GUAUGGAGAGUGGGACUAACCUUGGAAGCAAAGGUCCCCUGAGGCCAGUUGAGCAACCCGGCAACCAUUUGCCCUGUUUGAUUGCAAUCGUCAUCAAUGGCCUAGAAAACCCAUGCCCACAUCAGAAAACAACAAUCCACCAUAAAAAGAGUCUAGGAUUUUCACGGAAUCCGCAAAUUUAUUUUUAAAUCGUUACCAAAAACCCUAAUCUCUGGGCACGAAUUCACAGACCUGUUUGCCCAGAAUAAGGAGGCCAGGCUUCUCCACAUCGACGAGAGCUUUGAGAAGCUUAGCAACUGAAAGUGGGUACAGAGUGGCGGAAGCUUCGACGUGGAUGGCCCUAUCGGCGCCCAUGGCGAGACCCGUUCUGAGCGUGUCGACGCACUGGCUGGGACCCACACUGACAGCGAUAACCUCCGACGCCAGACCCGAUUCCUUGAUCCUCAGAGCCUCUUCCAAACCUAUCUCACAAAAGGGGUUCAUCGACAUCUUGACGUUGCUGGUCUCCACGCCGCUCUGAUCGUGGGUUGGCGAUUGUUAUUGGAUGAUGAUGAAAUUACAGAUACUGAAUAACUUGAGAGUUUGGAUUUGGGUUACCUUGUCGGAUUUGACUCUGAUCUUGACAGCGUAGUCCACAACACGCUUUAUCGCCACCAUUAUCUUCAUCUCGUAUAUGGGUGGUUAUCUUCUCCGGCACAAGGGUAUUGGCAAAUGACUGAUGAUGAAGGACGAGGAUAUUCGCCCGAGCCCUACUGCACGACACCACAUCCGCUUAUAAAAUCUUUUGAUACGGAUAAGUACAAGGGAAGUGGAAAAAAAGGAUUAUUAAGAAAAAUAAAUAUAUUACCAAAAAAAUUAUUUAAAAUUUUGUUCAUGUAGAAAGAACCCGUGAAUCAGAUCGAAAAAAUUAUAUUAAAACUGCUGUAUAGCCGAAAAUUGUGUACAGAAUUUAUUUUAACAUUGUAUUAUUGAAUUUUUUAUUCAAAAAUUGCUUAACGUGAGAUAGAAAUUAAAAAAUCAUUAGUAAUUUUGUCCGAAAGUUGUUAUAUUUCAUGUGUUUUAAAAAUAGAUGUAAUUUAUUCCUAUUUGCAUUUUUAACGUACAUUUAAUUAAAUAACCCAAAAAGUUAUUGAGUUCACAUCAUCUAUGGAGUCUACCUCUCUUUGCUUUUGUUGCUUCCAAAAAUACCAUACUCCCAUAUUUUUUUGGUUCUACUCAUUUUACUUUAUUUUUUUCAUUCCAUUCAUUCCACGUGAAGUCUUCAAUCCUAAUAACAUUUACUAUAUUACAAUUAAGUUUAAUUUUUAAAAAACUUAAUUAGGGUUAAAUUUCCUUUGAGAGAACUUCAUUACAAUUAUUUGAGUUGUACGUUAAGUUUCAUUUAAAAAUAACUUAUUUAAAAAGAUGUUAAGCUUCCCCUAUUUUAUUUAUAAAGUUUAAUAUCUAUUUGAUUUUAUAUUUGAAAUCCAACUAAAACCUAAUAACGAAUUGUUGUAAAAAAACUCCAAUCAAAAUACUAACAAAAAUUAAAACAUAAAACUCUGAUAAAAAAUUGUUAAAAAAUCCAACAAAAAAACAAUCAUAAAAAACCCUAAUCAAAAACAUCAUGGAAGUUUAAAUGAAAUUGCCAAAAAAUAAAAAGUAUAGAAAACCCUAACAAAAAAACAACACCAAAACACCUGACAAAAAACAAUUACAAAUUCUAGCACAAAAACCCCCAAUUAAAAAUAUCUAUAAAGAAAAACCUAAAAAAAACCAAUUAUAAAACCUCCAACAAAAAAUAAAGAGAAAGAUGAAGAAUAUGAAAAAUUUUGAAGAAGAAAGAAACAUGAGAGAACUAUCAUUGAUCUUUAUUUGUUAAUCUUUGUUAUAUGUUUGAACUUCACUAGAAAAUGAGAGAGAGAGCAUAAACCUAAAGAGAGAAAGAGCUGAAAAUGAGAGGAGAAAUGAAUCACAAUGAGGGGAAUGACAAUUUGAGGAAAUAUAGAAGGGUUAAAUCAUUUGAACUAGGUUAACGUUUUUAUUAAAAAAAAAGAGUAAUGAAGGUCCUUGUUCUAAUUUCAAGAGUAUGUCUGUUAAUUACCAAAUGUGGCAACUCUAAAUAAAAUCCUUUGUUAUCAACUAAAACUAAAAGUCCCAUUACAUCAUAUCCAACUUUCAUUUGUUAUCAACAAAGUAAAACUAUAUACAACUAUUAUCACCAUCUCUCCUAUUUUGAUGUUAUUUUCUUAGAUGAAUUUGUAAAUCAAAAUUUACACCACCCAUAAAUUUUUUGAGCUUCCUAUUUAACACAACUUCAAUUUGUUAUACUUUGAACAUCACAAAGAUAAAGUAAUCAACAUUUUGCUUGGACAAGUUUUUCUUCUCUAAAGUUUAGAGUCCUAUUUCACUUCCCGUUUAUGGGUUGUUAGUUCAUCUAAUAUCUCACCAUCAUCCAUUCCAUGUACUGUGUUUCCGAAAUGAGUUGAUUCCACAUCCUAAAUGUCUGUGCAAAUUAAUAAGGAAUGUCGAGUUACCAAUUUUCUUAAAAGCUUAAUCUUGCAAGAUUUGGAUUCAAAAUGCAUAUCAUGCUCUCUUUAACACCCCUCCCCCCUCUCACAUGUAGCCCUAUACCCACACGUAGAGAAAUAGACUUAUAGGAAAAUUGGUAGUUUAAUAUAGUAUCAGCACUUGGUUUGGUGGGAGGUCUCCUGUUUGAGUCACCUCUCCACAAUUUACAUUUCUCCUAUUUGUUUAAUUUACAGUUCUUCCCUUAAUCUGUAAUUCUUUGGAUAUAAAUUUUCCCCCUAAUUUGUAGUUUUGUGGAUAUGAAUCUCUCUUCCAUGUUCAGGUAUGGGGCCACACAUAAGAGAGGGUGUUAAAGAGCAUGAUAUGCAUAUUAAACCCAAAUCCUAUAAGUUAAAACUUUUAGGAAAAUUGGUAGUUUAACGCUUUUAGGAAAAUUGGUAGUUCAACAUGUGUACACCCCAUUUUGGGGACUGCUAUUGCUCCCACUUCUUUUUGUCAAAUGGUGGAGCUUUUUAGGAGCACAUGUUGUAUUUGGAAAGGCUAUUAGAAAAUGGCAACAUGACUGUUAAUGGAAGUAAUGAUUUUCUAAAAAGGCAACCAUGGGAAGACACAUAACAAAGAUGUUUGGGGAGGAGGGAGAGUGUGCAUCAAGACUACUCAUGAGGGGUAAGAAACAAAAAAAAAAAAGUGUCGAAGAUAACUAAAAAAUUGGAGAAACAUAAAGGAAUAAGGAUUUUAGGGCUAUGGAUGGUGAACAAGAGUGAAUUAUGGGUGUCUAGGACAGCUAGGAAUGGUGAGAGGAGUAGGGAGCUGUAGAAGGUGAUGAGCUAGGUAAGAUGUAUUUUCGAGAAAGAAAAGAACCAAAGAAAGAAGGUGGUGAAUUAAGUGAGACACGUCUCAGAGAAGCAGAGAAAGUUGGCUUGAAGCCAAGCAAACUUUUGCUUGAGAUGAGCAUUGCCUAGUAAGAUUGUUUCGAUUCAUCGAUUAUUACUGAUCAUCAUACUUCUCUUGUCUUAUAUUCAUGUGAUUAUUUUACAUUGAUUGUGGGGUUGCUUUGGUUUGGUUAUUAUGGCUUCAUCCUCUAUUUCUUUAGUUUUAUUCAAGGAUAAAUCUAAUUGUGCUUUGAUUAGUUAUUCCAUAUUUGAAAAUCUUUGUGUAUUUUGGGUUUUUUCUCUUUAGAUAUUUUCUAGAUUAAUCCACUGACCUUUAAACCCACAAAUAAAGAAAAAUGAAAUGAGUUUUUUCAUAUUUGUUGGGUGUUUGGCCCUUGUUUAUCUUUUUUUAAAGCUUUAUUCCUUUAUAUUCUCUAUUUCUCCCCAUUUUGUACAUGGGUGUUUCAAUCAGAGUCUCUAUUUUGGCUUCCACAUUUGAGAUUUCUUUUAUGAGCGAAGACCCAAAAAUGGAGACUGGCUUCUUGUAAUUGAUAAAAUAGUUAGUCACCCAUUAGCUUAGAUGAAGCAUAGAUGUUAACCGGAUUGUGAACAUGGAUACUCUAUUUUGGGCCUAUUAGGCCUUCCAAUCCUCUCUUAGUUUCAUUAUUCUUGAGGAUAGUGUUUGGUUGUGUCUGCUACUUAUUCUGUGGCUUCGGUGGUCUGUUUGUUUAUUCUUGGCUAUUAUCAAUGCUAACAAUGGGAAAGAGACUGGUUUUGGUUAUGCUCUUACGGAUUUGAAGGUGAUCAAAGGGUCCAGUGAAGAGAAGAUUAGUAGGUCAUAUUAGGUUAAUUAAUUAAUUAGGACAUGUUUUGAGUUAUAUUAAGUAAUACAAGCUCUUAGUGGGCUUAAGUAACUUAAGCCUAGUGGGGAAUGCCAUAAAUACCCCUUAGGGGUUAGCAUUUCCAUAGGUUUUUCUAGAGAGUCAUCUUUCACCUCCAAAGAAGGAGAGUCAUAGCCUUUACCAUUUUUUCCAUCAUUAUCGAAGUGUGUCAAGAUUAAGGUUUAAGUCAUUGAGCGGAAGACUCCAGGUUUAUGAGACUUCAUACAACUUCGUUUUUCAUUUUCAUCAAAUGGAAUUAAUUUGAAAACAUUUGAAUCUGAAGUAUGGUUUUUGUUAGCAUAUUUCGAAUCCCUUUAAAGUUUAAAAAUGCAAAUUUUCCACUAUGUAUAGGAUUUAAAAUCGCUUAAGAUAGUUAAACAUGUUCCCCACUUGAUCUGAAUUGGGAAACGGAGAAAUCUGAUAUUUUCCCAUCACAAGGUAGGAUAAGAACUUGUGAUUGAUCUUUAUGGAUUGGACUAAUUAAUUAAUUGGAACCUAAUUAGGCUAAUUAAUUAAUUAAGACCUAAGCAAACUAGUUUAAGUUACACAAGCCUAGGAUGGACUUAAGUGACUUAAGCCCAUGGGAAGCUUAUAUAAACUCCUUUAGGGGUUAGGGUUUCAAACUUUUAUCAUCUAGUCUUCAAUUCCUUAAAGAGAAUAGAACUCGAGCCAACAACUCUCCUAAAGGAUUCUAUUGCUCCGUGUCAAGAUUCGAAAAAAAACUAUUUGAUGGAAGGUUGUUAUGUUUAUGAGAUUCGUUAUGUUUUUUUACACCUUUUCACUAAAUGGAAUUGAUAUAGGAAUGUUCAUAUCUCAAGUGCAACACACUUAUUCUCUUUAGAUUUAUAUUGCUUAUGGUUUUUUUUUUUUUUGUCAUGGUUUUCCGUUAAGAUUAGAUUAAGAGAGCCCUAUGUCAUAGAAUGCUUCAAAUGAGCCUCCCCGGGGGUUUGUAUAGAGCCCAUGAAGCUUCUAGAGACUCCUAUACUUAGCCAUUGGUGGGAAGAGUGUGAAAGGUUCUACAGAUGUCUAGAGAUAUUUACACAUCUCUACACUAUGGUGGAAGGCAUGAGAGGAGUCUAAGGCAUUCUAAAGAAUUAUAAAGAUCUCUUAUAUAUUCUUGUACAUAGGCUUGUACAUAGAAUUGUGUAGGAAGUUAUAGAUUAUUCUUGAGCUGUAAGGAACCCUCCAAGGUUCCAGAGAGUUCCAUUGGUGCCUAUAAAUAGGUGAAUGCCUCAUUUGGCCAAGACACUAAGCAAGUGAAUUCCAAAACACUUGUAAAGCUUCCUUUGAAUAAUAAAAGUUUCAAUUCUUCAAGAGUUGCCUAUUAUGCCUUCUAAAACUUCUAAGUCAUGAGCAUCUUAACCUAACAAGUUAAGCAUUGGGAGUAAUGCUAACUUAGCAAGAUCAAGGAUCUUGACUUGUCUAAGUGUUGCACGAUCUUAGGAAAAGAUUAAGUUUGUGACAGUUGGUUUCAAAGUGUGACUACGAAGUGAGCAUAGUAAAGGAAACAUGUCGAGCUUCAACAUGGAGGAAACUAGUGAGCAAACCCGUGGGAAAGAAACCGAGCCUACUGCAUAGGACAGGGACAUGAAGGAUAAAUCUCGUAAUGCCAUAGCCAACGUGGAGGCAAGGCUAGCCAAGGUGGAGCUAGCCAUGGCAGACACCCGGGAAGGGGUGGACUUAAUCGAGCAAGGCAUGGAAAAUGGCUUAGAGGAUCUAAAUGAGCAUAUCCAAGACCUUCAUGAGAGAGUGCUAGGCUUACAAGUUCGGCCGAUGUCAUAUGAGGAGUUCAUGUCCUUCCAAAACGAGGUCAUGAGCAUGUUUGCUAGCAUGGAGUCGAAGGUGGAGGCCUUGGCUGCACGCAUAGAGGCCCAAGACCAAGAGGUUCAACAAGAGCUAGCUAUCUACAAGACUGUCUUAUCAGCACGAGUCAUGGCCACUCAUGAGGCACUAAGGGUGGAAGUGCCCAAACCACACACGUUCAAUGGCAAGAGGGAUGCCAAGGAGUUGGACAAUUUCUUGUGGCACAUGGAGCUCUACUUUGAGGUUAUAACACUAAUAGAUGAAGCCACUAAGGUAUGUACCACAACCCUCUACCUCACCAAUAAAGCUACUCUAUGGUGGCGUCAGAGGUUUGCCAAUAUAGAAAAAGAAAUGUGCACCAUAGACACAUGGGAUGCCUUUAAGCAAAAGAUCAAAAAACAAUUAUACCUUAAUGAUGUGGCUUACCUAGCAAGGAAAAACACAAAAUGUCUUAAGCACACAGACUCGAUCCGUGAGUAUGUCAAAGAAUUCUCUACACUUAUGCUUGAGAUACCCAACAUGUCUGAGGAAAAGCUACUAUUCAACUUCAUGGACAACUUGCAAAGCUGGGCCGAGCAAGAGUUAAGGAGAAGUGGUGUCCAAGACCUAGCCACGGCCAUGGCGGUAGCGAAGUCCUUGGUGGAAUACAAAAAGGGAGACUCUUUUAAGCCCAAGCCACAGUCUAAGGGUAAUCAUGCUAAAGGUGGGGAAACAAGGGAUCAAGGAGGUACACUCCUAAGGAAUGAUCAAGCAAGACCUCUGGUGGCAAGGAUGGUAAGGGUAAGGAUAAACGGAAAUAGUUCACGCCUAAGAUCAAUUGCUUCCUAUGUGAUGGUCCACAUUGGGCGCGAGACUACCUCAAAAGAAAAGCCCUAAAUGCCAUGAUCGAGGAAAAGUAGAAGGAAGACAAUGCUCAUGUGGGAUCAUUACAACUCUUAAAUGAUAUCAAGGCUAAGUCAGUGCUUAAGACACCUCAAAGUAAAAGUCUAAUGUACAUAGAAGCCCUUGUAAAUAGGAAGGCUACCAAGGCUUUGGUGGACACUAGUGUCACUCAUAACUUUGUCUCGAAGGAUAAGACAAAGAACUUAGAGCUCCAAGCAUCUAAGGAAGGAGGUUGGCUCAAGGCAAUUAAUUAAGUUUCCAAGCCAUCACACGAAGUAGCACGCAGGGUGGCAAUGCACAUUGGCUCAUGGGAAGGAAUGGUCGACUUCACAGUGGCACCCAUGGACUACUUCAAGAUGGUACUGGGAAUGAACUUCCUAUAGAAAGACAAGGUCAUGCCACUACACUUCCUACAUUUAAUGGUUAUCCUAGAGGAUGAAAAGUCAUGCAUAGUCCUUACGGUCACCGAAGGUUCACCCAAGACCCCUAUGAUAUCGGUUAUGCAAGUAAAGAAGGGAUCAAAGAGGAAAGAGGUGACCUACCUCACCACUCUUAAGGAGGAAAAUGAUGAUGAGUUGGGGGAGCCCAUGCCUAAGGAAAUCAAGAGAGUCUUUGAUGAGUUCAAGGACGUGAUGUUGCCUAAGUUGCCUAAAAGACUCCUUCCUAGAAGAGAGAAAGAUCAUAAGAUCGAGUUAGAUGCAGGAACUAAGCCCCUUGCUAUGGGGCCAUAUAGGAUGGCACAACCCAAGCUGAAAGAGCUAAGGAAACAACUUAAGGAGUUGUUGGAUGCAGGGUUUAUCCAACCAUCCAAGACUCCCUAUGGCGCACCGAUUUUAUUUCAAAAGAACCAUGAUGGGUCCCUACAGAUGUGCAUCGAUUACCAAGCACUCAAUAAGGUAACAAUAUAGAAUAAGUACCCCAUUCCACUCAUUGUUGAUCUAUUUGAUCAACUUGGUAAAGCAAGGUAUUUCACUAAGUUGGACUUGAGAUCAGGCUACUACCAAGUGAGGAUUGUGGAAGGAGACAAACUGAAGACUACAUGUGUGACCCGAUAUGGCUCAUAUGAGUUCUUAGUGAUGCUCUUCGAUCUCACCAAUGUACCAACAAUGUUUUGGACACUCAUGAAUAAGAUCUUCCAUCCCUAUUUAGACUAGUUUGUGGUGGUAUACUAAGAUGACAUAGUCAUCUACAAUAGCAUCUUAGAGGAGCACGUGGAGCAUUUAAGGAAGGUCUUCAAGAUCUUAAGGUAAAACGAGUUAUAUGUAAAGAAGAAGAAAUGCUCAUUUGUUAAAGAGGAUGUGAGCUUCCUAGGGCAUCGCAUCAAAGAUGGCAAGCUGAUGAUGGAUGACAACAAGAUGAAGGUCAUCUAGGAAUGGGAUCCACCUACUAAGGUACCUCAACUAAAGUCUUUCCUUGGCUUGGCUAACUAUUACCAGUGGUUCAUCAAGGGUUACUCUACAAAGACAGCUUCACUCACUAAUCUUCUUAAGAAGAACAAGGCAUGGGUGUGAGACAAAAGGUGGCAACAAGCCUUUGAAGAUCUAAAAAGUGUUGUGAUUGAGGAGCCAAUGUUGGCAUUACCCAACCACAUGAAGGUUUUUAAGAUACACACAGAUGCCUCAAACUUUGCUAUUAGGGAAGUUCUGAUAAGAUAGACAUCUAAUCGCCUUCAAGAGUUGCAAGCUAAAUGACAUAGAGAGACGCUACAUGGUACAAGAAAAUGAUAUGACUGUCAUUGUCUAUUACUUGCACACCUGAAGACACUAUCUUCUAGGGUCUCACUUCAUAGUGAAAACCGACAAUGUUGUCAUUAGUUACUUCUAAACACAGAAAAGUCCUAAGUAAGCUAGGUGGCAAGACUUUCUGGUUGAGUUUGACGAUGCGCUGGAGUAUAAGACAAAAAGUACUAAUCAUGUGAAUGACGCCCUAAGCCGUAAUGUAGAGCUAGCAUUCAUGACGAGCCAGCCCCAAUGAGACAUAAUAGAUCUUCUAAGAGAGGGGUUGCAACAUGAUCUAGUGGCUAAGAGCCUUAUUACCUUGGCCCAUGAGGGAAAAACUAAGUGUUUUUAGGUAGAGGACGACCUACUCUACACUAAGGGGAGACUACUCUACGUGCUUAAGUGGGGGAACAUAAGGUAGAACUUGAUUAAGGAGUGCCAUGACACCAAGUGGGUUGGGCACCUUGGGCAACGACGCAUAAAGAGCACUACUCGAGUCAGCUUACUACUGAUCUUAGAUACAAGAUGAAGUUGAGGCAUAUGUGAGGACUUGUCUUGUGUGCUAACAAGACAAGGUAAAACAACAACAACCUAGAGGCUUGUUGGAGCCACUACCUAUAGCAGAGCGUCCAUGGGAGAGCAUCACCAUGGACUUCAUCAUCGGGCUACCUAAGUUGGAGGGCUAUGGCUCGAUCAUAGUGGUAGUGGAUAUGUUCUCUAAGUAUGUGACCUUCAUAGUAGCCUCUACUGACUGUACUGCAAAGGAGACAGCAAGGCUAUUCUUGAAACACAUGGUCAAAUACUGGGGGUCGCCUAAUUACAUCAUCAGUGAUCGCGAUUUGCAUUUCACUAGGAAGUUUUGGACAAAGCUCUUUAAGCUUAUGGGUUUGAAGCUUCACUUCUUCACAAGCUUUUCACCCGUAAACAGAUAGGCAGAUUGAGAGGGUGAACGCCUUAUUAGAGUUAUACUUAUCCUUCAUGAGUGUCAACCAAAAGGAAUGGACUAAGUUGCUAGAUGUAAUCCAAUUUUCAUACAACUUGCAAAGAAGUGAGACAACCAACAAGAGCCCGUUCAAGCUAGCCAUAGGGCAGCAACCAUUGACUCCUCACACACUACCAAUAGGCUAUACGAAGAGAAGUUCAGCGGCUUUGAAGUUCACUAAGGGGUGACACGAGCCAACUGACAUAAUAGCUCAUACUUGGAUAGGGCCGCUAGAAAGAUGAAGAAGUGGGCUGACAAAAAGCGACAUCACACUGAGUACAAGGUCGGAGACAUGGUCUUUGUCAAGCUCCUUCCUAAAAAAUUCAAGUCACUAAGGCCGGUACAUAAAGGCCUUAUGAUGAGGUAUAAAGGACAUUUCCCCAUACUUGGAAAGGUCGGCAAGGUGUCCUAUAGAGUUGAGUUACCACCGAGGUUGAAGAUUCAUAUCGUCUUCCACGUAAGUUACAUAAAAUCAUAUCACGAAGACAAGAAUUAUCCAAGCCAAGGGAUGUCCUAGAUGACACCUACAUCGAUUAUGACCUUCUAUGACAAGGAAGUAGAACACAUCAUUGCAGGCUGAGUCAUCAAGAGAUGAGGCGUGCCUCCUGCUACGGAGUACUUGGUGAAAUGGAAGGGACUACCAGAGAACGAGACUAGCUGGGAGCCAAUAGAUGCACUAUGGCAAUUUCAGGAGCACAUUAAGUGGUUCUAGGUGGAAGGUGCGACAAGGACGUUUACGGUUUAGGUAGGGGAGAGUGUCAUAGAAUGCUUCAAAUGAGCCUCCCCAGGGGUUUAUAUAGAGCCUAAGAAGCUUUUGGAGACUCCUACACUUAGUCAUUGGUGGGAAAAUGGUGGAAGGUUCUAAAGAUGUCUAAAGAUAUCCACACAUCUCUACACUAUGGUGGAAGGUAUGAGAGAAGUCCAAGGCUUUCUAGAAAAUUCUAGAGAUCUCUUGUAUAUUCUUGUACAUAGGCUUGUACAUAGAAUUGUGUAGGAAGUUUUAGAUUAUUCUUGAGUUGUAAGGAACCCUCCAAGAUUCCAAAGAGUUUCAUUGGUGCCUAUAAAUAGGUGAAGGCCUCAUUUGGCCAAGGCACCAAGCAAGUGAGUUCCAAAGCACUUGUAAAGCUUCUUUUAAGUAAUAAAAGCUUCCAUCCUUCAAGAUUUAUCUACUACGCCUUAUAAAGCUUUCAAGUUGUGAGCAUCUUAACCUAGCAAGCUGAGCAUUGGGAGCAAAACUGACUUAGCAAGAUCAAGGGUCUUGACUUGUCUAAGUGUCGCACGAGCUUAGGAAAAGACUAAGUUCAUGACACCUAGGACUAGUAGCAUGCACCCUAAGUAAUCCAAGGCUAGAAAUGAAAUGAUACAAGGAUUCCCAACACUUGACUUAAUUCCUUAGAAAUUGAAACUCAAUAAAAAACAUUAGUGUCAUUAACCUCAUUUUUUUUAUUACCAAUACUUAAUUAGGGGAAACCUUGAGCUAACAACCUCCUCAUUUUUUAUGAUGAUAAAACUGUACCAUCUAAAGAAAGCUUUCCUUAAUGUAUGCAUAUUAUAAGCAAUUUAAACAUUCAUCAUAAAAGAUGGAAAACAUAAACUCAAAUGGAGACAUGGAUAUAUAGAUAUAAGAGACAUCAUAAAGGUUGCAACAUGAUCGUAUAUCCGAAAUAGCAUCCAAAAGCAUGUCAUCCAAAAAAAAAUCAACCAUAAUAACCAUGUUCAAAUUGUCCCAAAAAGGAAAAAAAUAUAUAUAUGAAACAAAAAGUAUUAAAUAGUUUACUAAAUGUUAUGCCCUAGAUACCUAAAGAUAUCUCCCCCUUAGGCAACAUCGAAACAAUGAGGGAACUAUAUGGCUCAAGGUUGAGGUGGUGGAAACAAGGAACAUAGGACAGCUAUUGAAGAAGCUAAAAUUCUUCAUAAAUGAUUGAAUUUUAUUUCACCAUGAGAAACAAUACAAAGAGGGAUUUUUUUUUUUUUUUUUUUUUUUUUAUCAAGGGGAAGACCCCUUUCUCUUUACUACUUAUCCCUUUUAAUAAAAAUUCUUCCACAUUUUUCCACUUUAUUUUGCCAACAUUCUUUCAACCCCUUUUGCACAAAAAUGCCAAAGAUAGUAUUAGGAUAACCUUUUACAACCAUUGCUAACUUUUGACACAAGUUGCUAAAAAUUGUUGAAGAUUUGCUUUUAAUGUCAGGUAGGAUAGCAGAUUGGUUCUAAUUGAAGGUCAUUUCUUGUGGAGGACCUUACUUAUAAGUGAGAUGAUUGUUCCUAUCUUCAUGGUUUUAUGUUGUAUAGUUAUAGAGACUUUUUAGAGGCUAUCAGCUUUAGAGCAAAUUUAUGUUGUUUGUUAGGGAUUAAGUAUUUUAUUCAAAUUGGGUGAAUGGUACUACCUCUUUACUUGAGAUGGCUUUGAGAUUGGGUGGUUGAAUAGUAGUACUUUGGAAUGGUCUAGUUUUUGUUCGCUUUAGCUAUCAUUUUCUUAUGCUGUGUCUAUAGACGAGUGGAGACGUCAUUUGGAAAUUGGUCAAAUUGCCCGUGAAAUUGAUCAAAUUGUCAAGUUGUCAUCCUAAAAUUGACUAAACCUAGUUUGUAAAAAUGAGAAACGACCGUCACUAGCGACUAACAUCUUCUCAAGCUAAGUAUUAAUAGAUCCAAUCUGAGCAUAAAGGGCAUCUUAAUGUUGCAGGUUCAAUGCUCAUGAAGCAUAAUAUUUUGGAUACUUGGUGUGAGACACCUCAGCAUAAGUCUAAUCCAUAAGGAUAGUCUCCUCAGGAGGUUGAGAUGUGGGCAAUUGAAUGGUGGCAUCCAUGCCCUUGGUUUGCAUCUCCUGUUGAACAUCCUCACCCCCUAAUCCUUUAUGGUCACCCUCAGUCUCUAUCUAUAGAAUCUCUGCCUCUUACUCAACCCGGUCUUCAUUCAUAGCAGGACCCUUUCUUUUUCUUUCCAAUGAUCCAUUAGGCAAUUUCUCAAACAGCAUUCGGUCUGGAUUUUACGUUAUAGGUAUCAUAGGAUGAGGCCUGAAUGUUUUUUUCUCUUCUUAUGUCCACAUUGAAUGCUUUCAGGAUUUUUGUGAUCAGUCUUCUUCCGUUGGCCACUACUUUAGAAUUGCUUUUACAACAGUUUUUCAUGUGUUGAAAGAUGAUAAGGAAACCUUAGAAUGGAUCGGAGUCAAUAGAAAAUGCUACAUAAUAGGACACCUUGUCUCUAUGUCCACCCUUAGGUAGAAAAAUAUGUUUGAUCAUGUGGUGGUGCACCCUAGAGAUAAUGCUCAAGGCAUGGGCAUGGAGCUUUGAAGUCACUGUGUCGAUGGGUAAGUUACAUAUCCUCUAGAAAGCCCUACCUAGGUUAAAACUAGACACUAUAGGCCAUCCCUUCGUCUCAAAUAAACAAAGUCCCCCACAAAGGAUCUCCAAAAUAUCACAAAGCAUAUCAAUAUUUAGUUUAAUUCAACUCCUCUAACAAAUGUGCUAAUUGGCCUUCAUAUAUUUUAGGUUCAAGUAAAAUACCUGAACAAGGUUGGGGUAUGUAGGCUCUCUUGAUGAGAUGGUAUUGGUGAGUAUUUUUUUUUCUUCAAUACAAAACUAUUACAACACUUGGUUUUUUUUUUUUCUAAAAAAAAAAGAAAAAUAAAAAUAGUUUUAUAUUAUACUUAGUUUCAAGAAAAAUAAUAAUCAAAGCAAAAUGAAAAAAAAAUUCUCAUAUUGGUUUCUCGUGAAAAAUAUAAAAGCAAAUAAAAUACAAUUAAAAUUAAUUAAAAUCUUAUGUAUUUUUAAAUUAUUAAUUUUUAUAUAAAAAAUGAAAAAUAGUAUAAUGAAUUUAGAAGAAUAUAUAAAAAUAAUGUAUUAACUUUAAAUCUUUUUUUCUUUAUAUAUAUAUUUUCCCUUCAAUUUUCUAAUACCAACACAUAAUAAGGUUAAUGUCUUCUAGCCAACCAAUUGUAAGUCAAUUUUCAUAGAGCUUUUUUUUUUUUUUUUUUUUACAUGCCACCAAGUAGUUAUAUAAGCAUUUUUGCAUGUUAUUGUUAUCCAACAUACAAUAACUAUAACAUCCAAUUAUUAUGAACAUGAACAAUAAAAUUAGAUGCAACUAACUAUUUAGUGUAUAACAAGAAGUUGGUGAAGUAAUUCAUCCUAACAUGAUUCAACAAUUUUUGUUUAUUUUUCAAGAUUAAUUAUAACAUACCCAUUCUAUUAAAGUUGUUGAGAUAUUUGAGCAAAACUAAAAAUCAACAUUAAUUCAUUUUAUACCCACAAGAGAAAUAAGAUUUGUUUUUUUGUUUGAUAAUAAAGUAGUUGUAGUUAUUAAUGAUAAUUUUGAUCCUAAUUUAAUAGGUAUCCAAAAAAAAAGGAAAAAUGCAAGUAAACCAAUUCUUAUCUAACACAAUUAUUACCACCUUAAAAUCCUGAGGGGUAGCUCAGUUGAUCAGUUCGAGUCCCUUUAGGACCAUGAAAAGCUUACCCGAUGGUUCACCUUAAGAAAAGCAAAGCAUUUAUAUAAUUCAACUGGUAGUUGAUAAGUCUUAGAAAGGGUUUUGCCAUCAUUGGCUUCUCAGUAAAGGGCAAAUUUGGGUUGUGGCUGACAAUUAUUGAAUUUGUGAAGAAAUAUGUGAAGAAAGGAAACAAAAAGAGUUGAGGACAGAAUUCUUCAAUUAAAAAAUGGUUAGCCCAUGAACCCAUUCUUCAAACAGUAAGCCAAUGAGCCAAUGAGCCAAAAAGAAAGAAGAACAGCUGGUUUCAUCUUUUUAUCUUAAUGACUUUGACAACCCAUCUUUCUUUUAAAUACUUGUGACUUUGGAAUAUAAUUAAAAUGAAACUUUGGAAUGCCCACAUCUGAUUCACGGCCUUUUUACCUGUUUUCUUGUUUAACAUUUUUUUAAAUAUUAUAACAGAUGGAAAAACAUGAUUCUAACAGGCUGGAAAAUAGUGGAAGUUGGAACACCAACCAUAACCAAACUAUACCUUCCAUCUUUCUCCAACACUCGGAAUUAUUGAUACAAGUUGGUGGUUUUAUGAUUGUUUCUAUUGAGGGGACCCCUCUCCAUUUCCAAUUUCAAUGGAAAGGUUCUUCUUUCCCUACUUUUUUUUUUUGUUUUUCAAAUUCUUGUAGUUUUGUCUGUCUCUCUCAACAAAGCAAACUGCAAUCACUAAUUCAAAGAAAAGGAAUCCUAAAUGAAAAGAAAAGAAAGGAAAGGAAUGGUAAUUUAGGCUAUGAUGAUGCUCCUAUAUAAUGGCUGUAAGUCAAUAACAACACACUGGACCCGCCUCCUAUCUCAAAAGAUCACAAACCCAAAUAUCAUAUACUUCCAAAUUUCAAUUUGGUUCCCUGUUUAUAUCACAAUCUGUCCUAUAUCCUCUUAAUACAUCUAAAAUCUCUCUAUAUCAUAAAAAUAAUGAUGGAAAAAAAAAUUAAAAAGAAAGAAGGAAAAAAUGACAAAAAAAAAAAAACCUUGGUGCUGCUAUGGGUCCAUAGGAAUUGGCAGGACUGCACUUCUGGAUCCCCUUCCAUGGCCAAAAGAAAAGAAUGAUCUUCGGAAUCUGCUGCUGCAACCUUCACUAGGGCUGAAGUCACUGACAGGCCUGUUCUGUUGCAAAAUCUCUUGAAUUGCUAAAUACAGCUGCCUGUCGUUGGAUGAGUCCAUUGAAAAAGACCUCCUGAUGGGUUGGAUUGAGAACUGAUCAUCUUUGCCUCUAGUGUCAAUGCACUCAUCACCCAUGCUUGCAACAUGAUGAAACUUCCUUGCCUUUUUAGGCACAAUUCUCUGCUCUAGCUUCCUAGGUGAUGGACUAAUUGAUGGCGCAGAUAACUCUCUGGAAUUCAGUCUUUCUGGUGGCCUAAGCAGUGAUGAAUCAGCAGAACUAUCAUUUCCCAAUUCAAUUACUACAAAAUCUUCAUCCCCUCCUAUGUAAUUAUUGGCGUAGGGGCUUGGAUCUUGGGGGGAAGAGCUAGGAGCAAUGAUUUGGUGAACAGGAAACCGGGGUGUGGUUGAAAUGCUUGUUCUGCAAAGUGGGCAAUUAGCAUUGCUUUGAAGCCACACGUCUAUGCAAUCUAUAUGAAAUAUGUGACUGCAGUUUGGUAUGAUUCUUAGCUUCUCUUCUUCUUGAAACUCAUUCAAGCAAACCGCACACUCGCAAUGGCUUCUUUCUCCAAACUCUCUGCCACCUCCUUUCCUGAACUGGAAUAUUGGGAUUGAUCUGAUGACUGACUCGUCCAGGCCUCGACUCUCGAUUGCUGGGGAGUACACCAUUAAAGGGUCUUCCGGGUGCCGACUCCUUGAGAAAGAAAAUCGUCUCAGCAGAUCAAUCCGGUGCCAAUUGAGGCAGCAUUUGAUUACAAAGAUGUAGUAGCUCACCAGCAAGAAAGCAGUGGCCAGGAUUCCUAUUACGGCAAUGGCUAUAAUGGGGAAACUGGUGUCCGAGGAAUGAGAGGGAGAAGGAAGCACUGAGCUCGCCUGGCUUUUGAUGGGAGAAAAGGCUUGUGAUCCAUGGAUGGAGGAGUCUGUGCUCACAAGAUCCAUGAGAGAGGCUAUGAAAAACAUUUAGAAAUGAGUCUAUUCGGAUCUUCAAUUCACAGAAACAUGCAAAUGCUAGAAUAAAAUCGACAGACACUCAGAUAUAGACCCUACAGUUGUAAUGCAGCAUACCAUAAAUGUGAUUGAGUGAGUGAGGCUGAAACAGCAAAUGGGUCACUUCAAGAUCUCAACAAGACAGAAAACCCAUGUUGAAUUCACCAGGAGAGUAUUGAAAAGGGAAAAAUUAAGGACAUAUAGCUGUAUUGAAAGUUGAAACAAAUGCAGAAACAUAGAGAAGAGAGAGAGAGGGAGAAAACCCAGGAGGGUUGAAUGAGAGCGCUGCUGGGGAAGACAUCAAAACGCUUCAAAUUCAAUGAGAAUCUGUUGGGGACCUCUUUAAGAGGACUGCACAAAGCCUGAGCGUAGGGUACGUGGUUGGUUGGUGAAUUUCUCGGCUUCCAAAAGAGAAAUUUGGUGAGAAAAUUUUCAAGUCUCUUGAUUAUAGUAACGUAGCGUUUAUUUUAAUUUUAUGUAACCGAAACUAAUGGGCUGGUUCAAAAAAAUAAAAAAUAAAAAAAGGAACUUUCUAGGAUAGGCCAGCAGUCCACCGUUGGUCAUGUGGUUUCUUUUGCAUGUCCACAUCUUCCAACUAGUGGAGGUCCCUGUCACAACAGUAAGAAAACACCCAAUUGAAUAAAAGUAUGAACUUUUGGCUCCCAAUAUUACUUAUGCCCUCAUUCAAUACCUCAAAUAAAGCAGAGAUUUUGUGUCCCAACUUUUAUGAUUUCAUUUCAUCUUACUUCAAAUGCUAAUGACAAAAGUCCAAGUAUAUUCUGUAAUCACCCACACCCCAAUAGUUUUGAAUCACACUUGAAAUAGUUCCCAUGCUUUCUUAAUAAUUUAGAUAAUUAUUUACAGAAAAAAAAAUUCAGAACAGGAUGAUAAUCAUUUUGUGAUAGCAUGGAAGAAACUUUACUAGCCACUUUGGCCCCAUGAAGUUGAGUACUUGAUGCCAAUUAAUGGCAGGGUGGAAAAUAGAGAAAAGGGAUCAUAGUCAAAUCUAGAGUACAAGGCAUUGAAUCUUUGUUAAUAAUUAACAAAUGGGUAAAGCAUGGGUCACAGGGUCUACAGUUUGGAUUGCAAAAACCUCAGGCUUCUAUAAAAAGCUCAUCCAUUAUCAAUCAUCAAUCUGAAAGCCAGAAAGUCCAAGGCACAUGCAACCCACGACAGGGGUAAGAUUUCUGCAUCAUGUCCCUGAGUUGCAUUCACAUCAUAUGUUUCCCUCCGGGCCGUUCCAAUUUGAAAUCUCAUGGAAAUCUUCAAGAGCAAGGCUACAGAGUUUAAGAUAAUACUAGGGGUGGGUCCUGAUGGGAAAAGAGGUAGUGUAGGAUAGUCAAUAAAGGGCAUGUGUCUCUGGUGUGAAGUCAAAUCCAGUGUACCAUCCUCAAUGGAAAAUUUAGAAAUAGAACCGACACUCUACAGACUGCCGUGUUGACAGAUUAGAGAAAGACAAACCCACUUACACUUGCCUCAAAACCCAGUCCUGCCAUUUCAAAGGCAAAAAAAAAGGGUUUCUUUUUAUAGUCAAAGGUUGAGGCCUGGCCUGGCCUAGCAAAGAAACUUCACCUACUCUUUUCUUAUUUUUCAAAUUAAGGCCAUUCAACUUUUCCUGUUUGCAGGCUUGCUGCCAUAUCUUACUCCAAAAAAGGUGAAAACCCAAAAGAAAAAGAGUGUUUGCUUCAAUGGAAAACUCAUGUUUAAUAAAUUCACCGCACGAGUUUUGUUCCAGCUUUUCCUAUGAAAGCUGUGAUGCGUUUGGUAUGAAGUUGAUUUUGUUCCUAAAAAUUUUGAUCUUGGCGUGGAAGGCAACUUUUUCCUUUUCCCCCUUUUUCUUUUUGAAAAGUUCGGCAUUAGUUACCAAAUGUCCUUUUACUUGCAUGUAGGACAGCGGAAGCAUUACACAUCGCAGCAAAAUCCCAUUUACCCGAAUUUUCCACUAACUCUUUUUAUUUUUUACCAUCAUUUUUUAAUAGAAGUGAUGCACUCUUCAAAUUACAUGAAGCUUUUAAGAAGGUAAUAACCCGUUUCAAAGCGAACUUAACCUACAGAGUAUGUUUUAAAAAUAUUUAGGUAUUUGAUAAAAUUUAAAAAAUAUUUUUUAAAAUCUUUAAAAUGAUUUGUAAUAUUGAAAAUUUAUUUAUACUUUUUUUAAUAAAAAAACAUUUUAUAGGUAAUUUUUCUAAAAUACUUUUAGAGAAAAUGUCUUCCCUUCACUAUAAAUAUUAUAUACUAUCAAAUACACUUUAAAAAUCUGUUUAACAAUAAUUUUAUAAAGUGUUUUUAAUUUUAAAAAUAUUUUUAAAAACAAAUUAAAUUUUUGAUAAAAUUUAAAAAAUCUUUUUAAAAAUUUUGAAAAAUAUCUCGUAAUAUUAAAAAAUAUAUAUAUUUAUAAUGUUUUUUAUAUAAAUACUCAAAAUUCAUUUAAUAGUGAUUUUAGGAAAUGUUUUUAAUAUUUCUAAUACUUGAAAAUUUUUUAUCAUUUAAGUAUUAAAAAUAUUAAAAACACUUUAUAAAAUCACUUUCAAAUGGACUCUUAAUGAUUUUACUAAAAACACUUUUCAUAGAAAACAUUUAUAAAAAAUAAUUAUGAAAUACACUCUAAAUUAAGUAAAAGUUGUUUUUAACAUUACCACUAUUUAUUAAUAGUGCAUUUGUUUAAAAUAUUUAUAUGAAAAAUUCAUUAGGGUGGGAUAUAAAUAUAGAAGUGUUUUUCUUUAUAUAUUUUUUAUAAUAAAAAAUGAUUUUUGAAAUUAUAAAAUUUGAAUUUAAGAAUCAUUUGAUAAUAAUUUUUGUUAAAGCACCUUUAAUACGUGGUGCUUCUAUUGAUAGCGCUUUCAUUUCUAUGAAUGGCUAUAAAUUAUAUUUGAAUAAAUUUUUUAUAAUGUAUUAUAUAAUAAAAAAAAAGUCAUUUUUAAAAAAAUUAUACAUUAAAUGAUUAUUCAAAUAGUAUUUCCUAAAUUUUAUUAAACAUUUUUUUCAAAAAAAAAAAAAAAGUUUUCAAAUACUAGAAAACGUUUUUAAUCUCUCACACGAUCACAUCCAAACAAGUCCUAAUGCUACUCCUAGAAACACUCCAAAACAAAAGUCUUCCUCUAUUAAUGUUCAUAAAAUCCACAUAUAUUCUUCCAUCGUUUUUUCAAAAUUCAAAAUCAUUUCUAAAACAUCAAAUCAUGUUCUUUGGAUUGGCUGACUUGUUUUUUGAAAAUAGAAGGCUCAUUAUUGACGUCCGUUGACUUCAUAACCCAGUCUUGAUCUCUUGAUGGAGGGCAUAAAUGUAAAUUGGACGAAACCCUAGGGUGCGCUAGAGUGUAGAGGAUGAAAGGUUGGAAAAAGGAUGAGGUGGGGGUGUAAUAAAGAGGAGGGUUGGGAGAAUGGGACAUGUGUAGGUGAAGCAUUAAAUUCAAGACUAUGCUUACCAACAACAUAUAAAUAAAUAAAUAAAUAAAUAUAGGAACAGCACAUGGGGUGAGUAGGAGACAUCAGAAGAUGUGAACAACCCCUUGUCAGUCCAAUUUGCGUCUUUUAUCUACUCUAUUAUCUAUAUCGAUUUUCGUAUUUAUUUAUUUAUUUAUUUAUUUUUACCAUUUGAUUUUGCAUGGAUGUCGAAGGGUUUAUUGGCUGCCACGUGUAGGGUUAUGGUCAAGAUCACGUGGGGUGCCUACAUGGGAGUCACGUGAGUGCAUGAGGCAGGCUUGAAUUGCAGGAGGAGCAGGAGCAGAGCAGUGGCUGUUGUCUUAAGACUUUGCUCUCUUGGUGGAACUGCAGCUUAAGCAGCAUCCACGUGUUGUCACGUGCAAUGCGAGCCAUCCACACCACCAGUUUCUUUUUAGUGAUUUUCUAAAGUCAGUUAAGGUUGCAGUCAAUACCUUCAAAUGUUGACAGAGUUAGGGAUCUUUGUUAAAUGGAUUUUAUUAAGAUAUUAGUAAGUUAAUUAAUUGAGGGUCAACAUAACAGAUGGGUCGGGUUGGGUUGAAUCUGAAUUUAAAACGAUUUAAUUUAUGUUUAAUCAAAUUUAACAUUUAACUCGAAGCACUCAACUUAAGUUUAAUUGAAUCUUAGUUUUCAAAACAUUAUUUAAAUUUGGGUCAUUUGGAUUAAAGUCAAAUGGGUUAGAUUAAUCGGGUUAUAUGGUUCAAAAUCCACUUACCUUAUUUUUUAUACAUUAAUAUUAAAAUUUAAAUAAAAAAUAUUAGAAGAAAUUUCAAACUUGGGAUUAGUUGAUUGUAGCCAUGCAUUUGGAUGUUGGUAUUCUUGUUUCUUGUCUUGUUUCCAAAUACCCUUUCAAAUCGCUUUGUUAUUCAAUAGCAUCCUCCCGAUCAUUUAAAAAUUUAAAGAGCAUUGGUAUGAUGGAGGAAUUCAGAAAUUUUAGUUGAAUAAGUAAAAUUUUUCUCUCAUAAAACCAAAUAGCCUCUAUAGCUCAGUGGUAGAGCGUCAGUCUUGUAAACUGAAGGUCUGUAGUUCGAUCCUGCAUGGAGGCAACUUUUUAUAUUUCAUGAUCCAUUAUGCUCUAGUGAUUUAGUUUUCAUUAUAAUUUUAGAUUAAAAAAUUACAUCAACAUUUGAUAAGUUGGUUAUGACUUUGAUAUAAGGAUGAAACUAUCAAUAAUAUAUAUAAAUAUUUUGACACAAAAUAUCUAAUAUAUUAAAAAAUUAAAAAAAAACUCUAAAAAACAUUAUAAAAUUAUAUAUAUAAUUUAUCAUAUUUAAUAAUAAUAUCUUCUACCCUAAUAAAAAAUAUAAAUUUUAUAAGCAUACAUUUAUUAUUACAUUGUAUUAUAUAUUAUUUUACAAGAAUAUUAUGAUAACAUGUCUAAUUUUAAAAUAUAUUUAAUAUUAAAAUUAUCAUCAAUUUUAAUUUAAAUGUAUUUAAUGAUAUCAAAUAAUAUAUAUAUAUAUAAUUUUUUAAUAUUUAUAUAUUUUUAUAUUUAAUAAAUAUAUAAAUUAUGUAAAAAAAAAAGACCUAUUAAGAAGAUUAUGUUUUUAUAUUUGGAUCAAAAUUAAGUUUUUCCGAUAAAAUAUAUGAAACUAUUGAUAAAUUAUUGAUUGAAACGUGAAAAAAAAAAUUCAAAAAAUAGAUGAGAUAUUAGUAAAAUAUCCGAAAAUAUUGAUUGAUGAAUAUAUCAUUUCAAAUUUUGCAUCAACAUCCACAUAUGUUGGAUAUAUUGGCCAAAUAUAUUUAAACCUUGUUUCCAUGAGAAGUCUUUCCUUCAACAAUUUCAAAAGGUUAAUGAGGUGGUUUCCAAGAGAUGUGUGUAGGGGUCUCCAACGGGCGGGCCGGGCCAGCGGGCUUUUUGAAAUAAGCCAAAAUGGCUUUCAAAAAAGGGAAGGGAGAGGAUUUAAACCCCUUCCUUCAUGCUUAAAUUUCAAGGUUCUAACCAAUUGAACUACAUUCCUUUAAUGUUUAUUAAUUGAGUUAGUUAUAUAUAUAUAUAAAAAUAAAGUAUAUUAUUUUUUAAAGGGGCGGGCCUACGGGCUGGGCCGGGCCGAAAGCGGGCCACGGGCCACGGGCUUUUUGGAGACCCUUGGAUGUGUGCAAUCACAUUUGGUAUUAUAGGUGACAAAGUUUGAUAAAUGAGUAAUUAUUAGGUUAACUUAUAAAAUCCGAAUUUGAUUUAAAUUGAUUCAUUUAAUAAUCCCAUUUAUUUACCCAAUUAAAACUUUAAAUUAUUUAACUUAUAUUUAAUUUAAUUAAAAUUUGUUUUUAAAUAAAUAGAUCAAUUAAAACAUAAACAUAUUUGAUUGAAACAUUAAUAAUAUAGAUUUAAAUAAGACCUAAUUCAACCUAACGAUCAAAUAGAAAUAUCUAAUUAUUAAAUAAAUUAAACAUGUUACUUGCUUAAUAAUUAUGUGACAUUUGAAUUUAUGCUUUUGAUAUAAUUAUUAUUUAUAUCAGGUUUAUAUAAUGAAAUAUCUAGACUUUGACACCAGUCAACAUUGUCCACCAAUACAGAUUGCAACUCUUAUAUGCUACAUCACAUCAUGUUGAAGGAAGAGGAUGACGUUCAUUGGCAGCAGAGCCUCCAAUCAUAAGGAGCUUGAGCAAAUUCAAUCUCAACACUGAAAUUCACUAGAAAAAAAGUUUAUUAUUGAUACUUCAUUUGUGUAAAAGCAUUAUAUUUCUUGCAUCAAUCGUAAAGCAUGACAUUCCAGUAGGUACGGAAGAGAAAAUUUGUUAUGAAUUGAAAAAUCUGUCAAGCUUAAUUUGGAGGGCCCAAAAUUGACACGUUUAAGAGCUCUAUCAUUAGCCCAAUGAUAAGAGUCCAUUUCUUGAGUUUCAAGGAAGGCCCAAGUUUAACUUAGAGGGCCCAAUCUUGGUACCUUCUAAAAGGUGCAAACUUUGGCCCAAUUAUAAAAGCUUAUCCUUGCUUCCUAAGCAUCAAUGAUAUAUUUGAUCGAAGUAUUCACAUAACUAUCACGAAAUGAAAUGAAAUGAAAAUGUAUAAGUAAAUGAUGAUUUUGAGUUAUUUACUGACAAUAAAGAAUUAGGUGGUGUUUGUUUUUUUUUUUUUGGCUUUUUACUAAAAGCAAUUUGUUUUCAGAAUUUAGGUUAUUUAUUUUUCUAUUUUUUCAUGACUUAUUAUAAACUUUUUACUAAAUAAGAAAAUCCAAAAUAUAUAGUUUUUUCUAAAUAGAAAAAAUAACAUAUUGGUUUUCUUUUUUUUUUACUUUUUAAUAUUUAAUAGAAAUAAAAUAUUAUAAAAACAAACAACCUAAUAUUUAACACUAUUAAGUAUUAAGGUUUUAUUUAGAAUUAAGUAAAAAAACAAACACUACCUUAAAAUGAAAAGUAUGUAUAAUGACCUUAUACAAAAAAAGUCUCAUUAUUUUCUUCCAAAGAACUCAUACUUUUGUUUUUCAACUAUUACUUUGUUUUUAUUUUUUAAAUAAUAUUUCAAGUUUUUUUUAAUAAUACCUUUCUCUUUAUUAGAUAAUUUUAAUGACUUUAAAAGUAUUUUAAUAUAUUAAUUUAUUAUAUAAUUUUAAUGAUUUAAAAAUAUUUAAAUGUUGAAAUAUUUAUUUUCAAGUCUAAUUUUAAUUAUUUAUUUUUUGAAGUAUUUAAAUAUAUAAUAAAUGUGGGAUUAUGUAAAUCUAGUUGUAAUUAUUUAUUUCAUUCUAUUCAUGUUUUUAGUUGAAUUUGCUCAAAAUUUACACCUCUUUAUUUAAAGAUCAUGGAUUAGUUAGGUGUCUUGAGAUUUUUUUUCUCUCAAGACACUACUUGUUACACUAGAAAAUAAUUUGUGGCUAUAUUUUUUAGGCAAAAAGAAUUAUAUGUUAAAACUUCCUUUAUUGACUAGUUUAUCAUAGGGUGUAGAGGAAAGUUUGUGAUGUCUUUUUAUGUCAACUUUGGGAGAAAAAUAUCACUUUAGCAUUUUCCUUAGAAAAUUUUCAUACAUAAUUGAUUUUGGAACUAUGGAGGAGCAUAAGUAGGGAUAGAUAAUUCGAUUUUGGAAAAAUUAUAAUAGCUUUUCAACUUGGUGUUAAUGAUAUAUUGUUUAUUUCUUAUUUUUUUUCCAUUUUAAUAUAUAAUUGGGGAUUUUAAACUUGUAGAACAAGGCUUUUUCAAUUGAAUUGACACGUACAUAUGAAAGUUCUCUUUGGUUGCUAAUCACAUUUUUUUUUCUUUUGCUUUUUGUUUUUAUCAUAAUGAAUAUUGAACUCGAAAUUCAGUUUUUAAAAUCUUAUGAUGUUUUAAAGUUUAUAAAUAUUAUUGAUUUUUAUAAAUGAUGUUAUUCAUAUCUUGGUAAAGACAAUAUUUUCAUAUCGGUCAAGAUGAUUAAUAACAUAUAAGUUCAUAAAGAAAAACCUAUUGAUUAAUGGAUAUUUAAUGAUUUUUAUUAGGAAUGUUUUUUAAUUAGUUUCAAUACUCAUCUUUUAGAGCAUACAUAUAGGGUUUUAGAUGCUACAUUGGUUUUCAGCUUGUGAUUUAAAUUAUUGAAGCAAAAAAUGAGGGUUUUGCUUUAUGGAACUAUCUAAAGGGAGGUGAAUUAGGCGGUCUUCCUUUUUAAAAUCCAAAAAUUAGAUUUUUAAUACUUAUAUUAGUUAUACAUGUGUUCAAUAAUUAAAACAAAGAACAAGUCCAUAAUUUACAUGUGAUGUGCAUGGAAAAACACCUACAAAUUCUCUCAAAUACUUUACAAAUGAAAAAAAAAUCAAGGAUCGAUCAAUCACAGAGCAACUUCACUAAAUAUGAAAACAUGACUAUACAAUUUUACUUGGAUGAGGUGCUACCUUCUCUUAAGGGUUUUUACACUAGCCAACAAUUACACUCACCUUCACUCUCACCAUGCACCUCUAUUGUGCUCCAUAGUAAACACUUUAAUGACUGUAGCAAGAUUGCGAUAAAUUACUGCGAUUAAUUUGAGAGUGUUGAUAAUGAACAAAAAAUAAUGAUAAUUAACUAGAGAGCAUAUGAUUUUGUAAAAACACCAAAAAGAGGCAUAGUUAUAAGUGAAAACUUUAAUGGAUUGGAUUGAAUAUAUAAUUGAAGUAUGAAUGAAAAAUUACCAAAACAAUGUUCAAAACCGUGCUAAUCAAAGCACAAUCACUUGAGUACUCUCAUGGGGCACUUGAAUGCUCCUUUUAAUCACCGUAAUGCUGAAAUUAAUAAUUUGUCUCAAAUUGUUUUUCCAAAACAUAAAGCAAAAUAUUAUAAAUUUAUAUAAUCAAACCCAAUUUCAUCUUAAAGCUAGCCUACUUAGUCUUAAUUCAUGUCCAAAAAUACUCAUACUUGUCAAAGAAUGAAUAUGGUAUAAACAAAUUCUUUAUUUUCAAUUAUAUUCAAUUAUUGAAAGAAUAAAUCGGUUUACAUACAUUUUGAACAAAGGUAUAUACACAUAGACUAAAUCAAGGAAAUGAGGAAAUCAAUCACAAUCAAAUCAAAAUCAAAUGAUAGGUUGAUAUCUAGGAGAAGGUUAAGUUAGAACCAACUCAUGUAUUCAAUAUUCCCCCUUAAGAUGGCAUAUGGAGAUCAUGAAUAUCAAACCUAGAAAGUAAGGGAUAUGAAAUAUCUAUACCAAGGGAUUUUAUGAAAUAUCAACCAAUUGUUGUUGUGAUUAAACAAAUUGAAUAAGAAUAAUUUCAUUUCGAAUCUUUUCAUAGAUCAAGUGACAAUCAAUUUCAACGUGUUUAUUCUGUUCAUGGAAAAUUAGAUUAAUAGCAAUGUAUAGAGUUGUAUUAUUGUCACAAUAUAGAUGCAUUGACCAAGGAUGAUGAACUCCAAAAUCUAUAAGUAAAUAUUGCAACCAAUGCAAGUAGUAAUCAUUAAAUAAUAUUUCACUUUUCUUCAUGAGUGUUAUAUCAUUGAUUGCUUUUUAGAUCUUCAAGAGAUUGAUAGGCCACCAAGUAAAAUACAAUACCCUAUAAUUGAACAUCAAGAUUAUGCACAAUAGGCAUGGAGGAAGGCAAAAGAAUUCCUUGACCUAGACGAUUUUUUAAAUAGUAUAACACUCAUGUACUUGUGAGAUAAUUGAGACUACAUUGGCUUGUCAAGAAUUUGAACAUAAUUAGCAAUAUUAAGCCCUAUCAUUAUGAGUCAAAGUAACUUCCCAAUCAAAUGCCUAUAAUAAGAAGCAUCCAACAAAGGUUCUCUAUCUAAUUUACUCAAUUCCAAAUUUUGUUUCCUAGGAGUUUUUAAAGUUACAUGUUCCAAGAAAACCAAAAUCUUUUAGUACUUCUAGAGCAUGUUUUCAAUAACUUAAAUAAAUCUCAUUCUUAAAAUAUGUCAUUUCAAUGAUGAUGAAGUACUUUAAUUUUCCAAUCUCUUAGUUAGUUUGAAAAUGCUAUAUAGGUUUUCCUUGACCACCUUAAUUCCUUUAAGAUCAUUCAUUGUAAUAAUUAUAUCAUAAAUGUAAACAAGAAUGAUUGUGAAAUAGUUAUUUGAGGCUUGAGCAAAUAAGAAGUAAUAUGUACGUCUUGGCUUGCUUGUAAACCAUAAACAUCAAUGUGAUAGAUAAUUUGGCAAACCAUCAACGUGAAGCUUGCUCAAGGCCAUAAAGGGAUUUUUUAACUUUGCAAAUCAUAUUUUUGGUUCUAGAUUUCCUACAAACUUGGUGGAAGCUGCAUGUAUACCUCUUUAUCUAAGUCUUCAUAAAGAAAAACAUCGUUGAUGUCAAGUUGGUGAAGAUGUCAAAUUCUAAUUAUACAAUAAUUAGGGGUGACAAUGUGUCUUAUCGUGUUGAGGUGAGAAAUAGUGAAAAUUUACUUAAUCCGACUAUGACCCGUUUGAUAAUCGUGUCAAAAUAACCUAACAUGAAUACAAUUAGUUUAUUUCAUGUAACAUGACCCUUUUAACAUGUUUAAUAAAUAUAUUAACUUGGAUUAUGUAUUAAUUGACAUGAAUAACUCAUUAACUUGAUUUCAACCCCUUAAACUCAUUAACACAAUUCCAACCCAAUAAACUCGUUAAUAUGAUUUAACUCAUUAAACUUGUUAAUAGGAUUAUAACCUCUUUAACCUAUUUAAAAUUUUAAAUUUAUAAAUAAUAAAAUACUUCUAGAAAGUUUAAUUUUUAAAAUUUGAACUAUAAUACAUGUAUGCACCAAUUUCAUGAAGUCCUGAAAAAUUAGCAAAAUUAUAGAAAAAUAAUAUAAACAAAAAUUUGUAUUAAAAUUAAUAAGUAUGGGCUACAAUAUUAGUCAUAGUACUGCUUAUUUCUGAAUGACUUUAUUAAAAAGCGAAGAAUACAUGUGUAGUUCUUAUGUGAUUUCUUAAACUUGUAAGGCGAUUUUAUAAAGUUUUUUUUUUCUUUGUGAAACCUCUUUUUCUAUGUGAAAUUGUUUUGCCGAUUUGAAAUCUUCAUUAAAGGAAGUUACUAUUAUUUAUAAUUGAAAUUAGAGAAUGAAAUGUGGAAUCCCCAUGAUUUAGUUGCUUAAUUCAAGGAAUUUGAUUAAUUGAUUUUGGUAACUUGUCUCAUAAAAUUUUCUAACAAGAAUAUUUAUUUUUAAUCUCUUUUAUUUCAAUUGGAAUAUUUGUUUCCUUUGUAAAUUUGUCAAUAGAAUAUUUAUUUAUUUAUUUAAUUCUCUUUUGACUACAAUGAGAAGAUUUGAUUUUGUUUGUAAGACUAAAUUUUAUAACCUUUCAAAUUUGGCCAAGUGACACCUUUUGAAUAUAUGUCACAUGUCAAAUGUGUGUGACUCAUUAGUUGUUGAACCUAAAUUUUCUUGAAUUAGAAAGCUAUACUUUUGAAGACUAAUUUAGUGAUAAUUUAAUUCAUUAAAUUUUUUUGGUGUCUACAGUAUAUUUAUAAUAUGAAAAGUAAAUUAAAAUUUUAAUUUUUUUACUUGUUUAUUAUUUUAUUUAUUAUUUAAUGAUAAAUAUUUUUAUUCUUUAUUGAAAUAUAUAAAAUUUUAAUUAAUAUUUUAAUUUUUUUAAUUUCUAUAUAUAAAAUAUAUAGAUUUAUAUGGUCUAAUUGAGUCAUUAAAAUAAAUAGGGUAAAUAACUCACACAUAAGUGAUGGAUCAUUCUAACAUGAUUAAAUUAACAAGUUAGAUGAAUUGAGUAGUCAAAUACAAACAUGAUUUGUUUAUUAAAUAAGUUAUAUGAAUUGAUACGAUUAUGACAUCAACUCAAUUAAACUUAACUCAAAUAAGCUUUGUCUUUUAUUUUAAGUUGUCUAGUUGUUCACACAAAUUUUCUCAAAAUAAAGAAAUUAUAUAUAAAAUUGUAAAUUUGAUUAUUUGAGGGGACCAUUUUCAAUACUCUUUUUUAAGUAAUCUGGUGUUUAAUUUUGAAUCAAAGGGGCUUUCAUUAACAAAUAAUAGACUGUAGUUUUCAUAUAAGAAGAAAUCUCAAGCCUUUUUUUCUUGAAGGAAUCUUUAAAUUUUCUUUGAUACUUUAAAAAAUCAAUCUUCUUUGAUUUUUUAAGAAAUCUUUGAAUUUUCUUAAAGUCUUCAAAAAAAAAAAAAAAAAAAAAACUGAGUUUAAGGAAUUUUUUUAAUAACUCUCCAAAUUUCUUUGAUAUUCCAAAGUGUCCUUUAGAAGGGGACAAAUCCUCUAUUUACAGGAUUGAGAGUUUUAUUUUAAUAUUAUCUCUUAAUUUUUAAGAAAUAACUCUCUUAUUUAUGAUAAUUACUAUUUAUUUUAUUUAUCAUAAUUAGUUGCCUAUGAUAAUUAUCAUAAUUAAUUUUUCUAGAGAUAAAUAAUUAUAUAUAUUUAAUUAAUCAUGAUAACUAUAAUAUUUAUUUAAUUUUUUAUUAAAUUAUUUUACAUAACAUAUCAAUAUAUAUUAUUAGUCAAUUAUUAACACCGAAAAUUAAUGAGUUGGCAUAAAAUUUAUCUCUCUAUAAUAGUAUCAAAGCGAGCCUUAAUAAUAACAUUGCUUAUAGUCAAUUUCACAUGCCAACUUUUUACUGGGCAUUGGCGAUUUCAAUUUUGAUAGUCCGGUUAGAAAAAGUAGGUAAAGAUUAUUUGAUGUGGUAGGUCAUUUCUUUCAUAAAGACGAUGGCGGUGAAUUCAUGAGACAGGUGAUAAAGGAGAGAUUCUUUCUUUUGGCUUUGGAAUUUUAAUGAGGUCCUCGAUCCUCAUCCAAAAUACACCUCUCCAAUUAUAAAAAUCUUAUUAAAAAAAAAAAGAUUUGACAUGUGCCUUUCGAACUGCUGGUUUUCUGUUCCAAAAAUGAGAAUGGUUUCAAGUGGAUGAAGGAAGGUGAAGAACCCUUGGUUUUGUUAAGCGAAAAGCCACAUGAUUAAAUAAACAUAAGGCGGCAAAGGCUGAAAAUUUAAAAUUAUACUAAGGAACCCACCCCACAGGGCGACUACACUUUUGGUGAAGCCACGAGAAUGAAAGAUAUCGAAGGUGACACCAAGACAUUAAGCAGCACCAAGGUUUCGAUAUAUUAUAAGAUGGGAUCUUAUGAAAGACGAUCUCUAAUCUCUCUCCAAUCUCUUCUUUAACCUUUUCUUACUUAAAUCCAUUUCCAUGGUAGGGCACAUGUCCAGCUGACCCUACCCCCUCACCUACCUAUACUGCUAUACCCUUUUGUAUAAUUUGAUAUGGAUUGGAAGCCACCCCAACAUCUUUCUAAUUGCUCGUAAAUGUUGAGGUGCCUUUCCAUUUUGAGGCUGCCCUAAUGUGUGGCUGAAGUACGUAGGAAAAAAAAAUUGUGAUACAUGCACUGACGAAUCAAAUCCCAAUGUCAAAUUAUUAGACUCACCUGGUUCUUAAAUUAUUGUGAAUGCCGCUGGCCAUGGAUAAAUGGAAUUAGUGCGUGGCUUAAUGAAAAUUUAUUUUGAAAGGGAUAUUAAUUUGAGAGAAUUUUGGCUGAUACUUGGAGUUGAACGUAAGCAUAUAUGACCUCAUUUCGGGUGUGAUAUUGUGCUUAUAACGAACCUUUCGUUCUUUCCAAUUCCAGUGGGUAUUAAAUAAUUAAAGAAUUCAUGGUUCGAAGGCGAAAGGUAGAAGACCAAAAAGGGAUUACAAAGCCAUCGGCUUGACCAUCCAGAUGCAAUGGAUACAAACUUUGGACUCUAUCGAAAGUUCUUUGGGCACGUGCCCAAGUGUCCUACCCAUAUGAUAAGUUACACGUGGCUAAUUGCGGACCGGUUGCUCGUGCUAAACAGGGUACUUUUUCUACGCAUAUAAGAUGUUUCACUAGUGGGGCUUCACCAUGCAAACUCAUGGAUGAAGACCCUGAGGCCAAGAUGAAGGAACAGAAAGAAGGCGGAGGAGAGGUUCGGUAUCGAGGCGUUCGGAGGCGGCCAUGGGGGAAGUUUGCUGCGGAGAUACGUGACUCGACUAGGCAUGGAGCGCGCGUCUGGCUCGGGACUUUCAAUUCUGCGGAGGAGGCUGCAAGAGCAUAUGACCGAGCUGCUUAUGCCAUGAGGGGUUCCUUGGCGAUUCUCAACUUCCCUAAUGAGUAUCAUACACCCGGCACGGCUAGCUCUUCAGCUUCAUCCUCAAUGCCCGAAGGUGAUCAGCAGGGAAAACAAGUCAUUGAAUUGGAGUACUUGGAUGAUAAGCUGCUAGAGGAUCUUCUCGACUCUGAAGACAAAAAGAACAAGAAAACCUGAAGUUUCUGCUGCCUCGAAUCCCCUGAAAUCUAGUGCUUCAUCGAAAAAAAAUCCCCUCGCUCCUGAUUAACAACAUUUUUAUUUUAGUCAAUGAAUGUGUUCUCGGAUCAUUAUAAGUAUUUCUGCCGAAGUCCAUUGAUUUUUGGAGACUGAAAAAUGUCAGAAAAAUUGGUGCGAACAGGUUUACUCCUUUCUAAAUUAUGCAAUUGAAGUAUUUGGAUUAGUGCGCAGUGUAAACAUCAAGGAAAGCAUGAUCCACUAUUUUAAGGAGCCUAAGUGCUUUCCCCUUUACUCUUUUAGGAUGUCUUUUCAGUGAAGAAAGUUGGGAGACCACCACUUACCCUUUUGAUUGGUAUAUAACUGCCAACUAAUAACUGGACUAACAUUUGGCCCGUCUGGCCCUACUUCUUUGACUUUGUUGUUAAUUUAUAACUUUAUGUGAAGUGGGGGCUGUUUGGGAAUGUGUGAAGCAAGGAUUUGAGCCGACUUCGCCUAAUCUGAUUCUCCAUAAGUGACUUCAUUUUAUCAUAUUGGUGUUUUUUUUCUUCUUCUUUUUAAAUGGCUGGGGAGGAGGGGAUUUGGGAGGGAUGCAAUGCCAUGGUUGCAUGCUGGAUUAUCCUUCCAAAUGAAACAUCCAUUUGGUUUCUAGUAACUAAUUGCAAACAAUUAAAGAGAAUAAAAUUUUAAGAUGAUUAAACAAUAAGUACCUAUGUCCAUGAAAAGGAGAGAAGUUCACUCAUGGGUGUUCAUGAAAGACAUCACAAAGAACCAUCAAUAUGAGAAGAAUCCUGAUACAAUUAACUUUCAUGCAUAAGAAAAGACGCUCAAAAAAGAAUAAUGCUUACAAGGAAAGAAUCUCACUACGAUCAACUGAAAAAAUAUUCCAAUUUAAUUGGAAAUCCUUACAUGGGAAGAAUAUCAAUAAAAUCAACUAAAAAAAUAUUUUAAUUUUAUAUCAAAAUAUUUGUGAUUUAACCCGUAUCAUUUCAUCAUGACUUCUUAUAAAUUUUGUUCCUUUUUAUCAACACCACCCCUUGAGUUGGAGCAUAAAUAUUUAUUAAGCUAACUUGAACAAGAUCUUGAGAAAUUUUGUCGCAGGAUUUGUUUGCACUUUUUUUUUUCAAAUAAAGUCAUAAUUAACUUUAAUAUGUUUAAUCAUUUCAUGAAAUACUAGAUUUUAAGCAAUGUUGAUAGCAUACUUAUGCCUGAAAGCUUUAUCCCAAAUCACAUGAGUACAUGAAGUGAUUGCAUCAUUAAUGGUAGUAUUAUUACUUUAUAUUCAACUUCUCCACUUGAUAGGAUGCAUGAAAGCAUUGUGCUUUCUUCUGUUUCAAGUAAUAAAGAUUAUCACCAAGAAAGGUGCAAUUAAUACCUAGUAACAGAGUACCUAGUGGUAGCAUGCACCUAUCCACUGAACUUGUACUCGACUCUAUGAGUGUACGUUACAUAGUCCUUUUUUCGAAGUCUAAAUGUCCCUUGAUAAAACCUUCUAAUAUUUGAGGUUUUGGUAACAUUCAUGUAUCAAUGAACAAAUUAAUUUACUAGCUAAACUUUAAAAUUAGGCAAUGUUUUUCAAUGGGUGAUCAAGAUCUUGGAAUUUUCAAUGUUGUUUGAAUAGCUUCCACACACAAGCAUAUUUUCUCCUAUUUAGGAAUAAUCCCUUUUUUGAAGGUGUGAUCUUUAUGCUCAAAAAAUAAAGAUACUCAAAAAUUUAAUAUUGACCUUCUCGUGAAGGAAAAGCUUUAUAACUAAUUUUUUUUGUGCAUUAUAUAUAUCCUCAAUAUAGACUUUAAAAAAAAAAGAAGUAACUCCCUCUACAAAGAGUGAAGAGUCAAUUAAACUUUUUUUUUUUUAAAAAAAAGGAACCAAUUACUCGUAAAAGUAAUGAUUAUUUUUACAUACCAAACUUGAGGAGAUUACUUAAGAUCACAAAAGUUUUUAUUAAAUUGCAAGCUAGAUGCAUUUGAAACGAUCGUUGAUGUCUUAGCAACACCUUAUGUAACUCAUCAAUCUUUAUGUAAAAAUGCAUUUUUAACACCCAUAUAAAAUAAUGAUCAAUCCUAAUUUAAUAGAAACAAAUGGUAAUACAUGAAUAUCAUUCAUAUUAAUGAGAAAAGUAAAUAUUGAUUUAUAAUCAACUUCUUAAGUUUGUGUCAAUGCCUUAAUCAUUAGUUUAACUUUGUCAUUCAAUGAUACCAUCAUUACGACAUUUAAUUAACUUAGAUUUGCGUAAAUCCCUUAAUCACUAGUCUAGCUUUAUGUCAUUCAAUGGUACCAUCAUUAUGGUAUUUAAUUGAUCUUAUACCCCCAAUUUGUAUACCCCAUGUUUUUCUUAAUUUACCAUACAUCACUUAACAAUGUUCCAUGCAUGGAUUUUGUUAAGUGCCUUAAGUUCCUUUUGCAUAGCCUUUCUCCAAAUUGGAUGAGGAUUGGCUUCAUUAAUGUCAUUAGACUCAUGAUAUAUGGAACUCAAACAAUUGUUAAGUGAUUUUGUAUAUAUAUAAAAAAAAAAUUGUAAUUAAUGUGGUAGGCAUAAAAAUCUCACAAAUGAGGAUUGAUUAAUUGUUAUAAUUGAGCAACAUGCUUGAGGCUUAGUCACAAUACUAGAACUUGAAGUCAGACAUUCUCUUCAAAUAAGGACGUAUAUACAUUAUAUUGGAUCUCCAUUAAACAAGUAAAGAACUAUUUAGUAGACAAUGAAACCUCAUUGAUCAAUGGUGGUAGAGAGACACAUGAUGACCAGACUAUUCCCCUGGAAAUGAGAAUAAAAAAUAUCAUUAGCCGCAAAAAUCUCAAAAAAAUUUAGAUAAUGGGAUAUAAAGAGUUUAUGAAUUUUACAAUCAUAACUCUUAUACUGGUUUAAGUGGUAGAGUAAUCAAGAACACAAAACGAGUUUGAUGAGUGGUUGAGAUAUGAACAAAGCAAAGAUUUCCAAAGACACCAAAAUCAGAAAUCUCAAUUUUUGGGCUAAGGAUUUCAAGAAGAAAUUUAAAAUUAACUACAUGACUAGAAAAUUUGUUCAUCAAGGAAAUAGAAGUAACGAUAUCAUAACAUCAUAAUUAAUCAAUAUUUUUAAUAACAUGCAUUUGGAACAUGAUAUACCGGCUUUCUAAUAAUCAAUGAUUUUUGGUUCAACCACACCAUUUUGUUUUGGGAUGCCAAUACAACAAGUUUAACGAANNNNNNNNNNNNNNNNNNNNNNNNNNNNNNNNNNNNNNNNNNNNNNNNNNNNNNNNNNNNNNNNNNNNNNNNNNNNNNNNNNNNNNNNNNNNNNNNNNNNAUGUAAGUGCCAAAUUAGGUAGUGUCGACAAUGAAAUGGAAAUUUUGGAAUAUAGAAACAACCUCAUUUUUAUGUUCUAAUAAGUAAACCUAUGUAGCAUAAGAAUAGUCAUUAAAAAAAAAGGUAACAAAAUGUUGAUUUCCAUCCUAUGGAUCAAUUAGGACACAACCCCAAGGUAAACUAAUUUGAAAGUUGCAACAAAAAUGGAAAGAGAUGAAAAAAUAAUAGAGGAAUUUAAGGUUGUUUCAAAAUUUCAAGACAUGCUAAGAAACACAUGAGAUUAUAGAUGAUUAGGUAACAACCUUGGUUAAGUAUAUUCAACAUAUAUAUCCCACGAGGAUAAAUAUCUUCACUAAACUUUUCCUAUUAUUCAAUCCCCUAAUACCAUACAAGUGAAAAAUUAAUGUCACGGUCAAAAAUUUUAAUAAGCUUCCAAAGAGAUAAUAAUUUUGGGGAAAAAAACAACCUAAGAAACCUAUGAAUUGAGAUAAUUUAGGAAAAAACUAAAUGUUCGUUAGCUCUAGAAGGGAAUUGAAGCUCAUCAUCAAUAAAGAUUGUUGCUAUCUCGAAUAAUAUCAAGUAAACCAUUAAGAUCGCUAUUAAUGGUAUGAUUAGCAGCACCAAUUAUCGACAAAAAAAUUAUUAAAAAUAUAAGAAAUGAGAGCUUUAAGAUUAUCUAAUUGAUUUGUAAACCUAGGUAAGUGAAUCAGUAUUACGUUUUGUUAAGGAAGCUUAGAUCCAAUUGGUAUCAUUCACCAAGUUAUUGGAUUAAAUUACACUAUCAAACUUUGGCUUUAAAUGAGAAUGAAGAAUCUAACCACAAUCCUUAUUGGGAUUAGAUAUGUUAUUGCAAUAAUGUUUACAAUCGGAUGAGUGCUAAUUUCUAUUGAAAUCAUGAAGCAAUCUCUGAUCAUUGGUCUUCUUUGUAGAAACAUGAGCAUUGAAUUUAAAAUUAAUAAUUGUUACUUGGGAUUCAACCUUCAUAAUCAUUGCCUGGGUUUCCUAAUCACUUUCAAGAAUUACUUAUAUAGUGAAGGCACUCGAAACUAAUCAAAUUUGUCCUCUUAUAAAGUUGUCAUAUUCAAGCUUCAGAAUAGCCAAUAAUUGAAAAACUUAUCAUACUCCGCAAUUUGUUGAAGAAUAUUUGGGUCUAUUGAAGGGGACAAUAUAGGGAAUAUUUGUCCCAUAUGCUCAAAAUGUUCAAUUAACAAAGUGUUCUGUAUGUUUAGGGAUUUGUUAGCUUUAAUUACACAAAACAUUAGCAGUUUUAGAGAAAAUUAAUUUUUUUUUGCAAUCUUAGGUUCCAUGAAAUUAAAAAGCCAAUAACAAGUCAAUAUGGCUUGAGACCCAGUCAUCAUAUUCAAAGUCAUCCAACUUAGAAGCAUUCAUUUUGCCACUAACAUGUGCUAAUUUCCAUUUUCUAUCUUUCAAGAGAAAAAGACUGCUCUUAACCAUGGCAAAUAAUUGAACCCAUUAAGAAGAUUGAGGAAAGUAUCAUAUGAGGGUUGUCAUUUUCCUCCAUGACAAAGAAAAAGCAACAGAGAAAAACUCAUAAUAUUAGAAAGAGAAUGAAAGAAAUUGAGUCAUAGAUACACACAGAAGAAUCCAAAAAUAAAGCAAUAAUACAACCACAAAUAUGAGAAGAAGCUCAAUUACAAAGAAAGGAACUCAAUACAAUCAACUAAAAAGCGUUCCGAAGUUCAUACGAAAAUAUUCAUAAUGUGAAGAUCAUUUCAUGAUUCCUACAAUUUCUUCCUUCUACCAGUCCACUCCAUACAAGGUUUGAUCAACAACUUCUUCAUUGAUUUUCUGGUCUCUCUCCGGUGUAUCAUAGAGCAUUUUUGACAUGUUUCUGCAAGAUACACUUGUUAACUUUAAGCGACAUAAGUGCAAAAAAAUAAGAUCAUGUUGUAUUGCCUGUGCUUCCACUCUGCCUUGUUUAGUACUAUUAUGGAGCAGUACUUCCAUAUAGAACCAGUGAUCUCCAGUUCAUUAUGUUGCCUUCUUUAAACUAACUUUAAUUAUCUAUACAUAUAAAACAAAGUGGUCCCAUCAAGGGGCUAAAUCAAGAAUCAAGUGGGGCGAACAGGAAACAGUGGCAUCAAUUUUUAAGUCCAUAAGCUUUAAUAAAAGGAAUAAAACCAAGGAUAUGAAUAUGUUAUUUUUUCAUUUGUUCAUGCACUGGAAGAUCUUUCCUCUUCAAGCAUUGAACCAGCAUCCUUCUGUGCAAGUUGCUGUCGGAACCUUCUAUAAUUGUCAGAAGUCUGUUUCUGAAAUAUACAGAUAAAACUUUUAGCAAGUCUUGACAUUGCUCAUCACUAGGACAUUGUACUAGGAUACCAAUUCAUCUAAUUAGGGUUAAGUUGGCAUCUCGUACACUAUUUUUUAUUUUUCCUUCAUCUUUUGUUCCCAUUUGCAGUGGAAGUGGCACUUAGAAUAUCUGAUCAUGAAGAAUUAGCUUUCGGUGAGAUGAUACUAGGUCAAUUGCCAUUAUCUUUUUGAGUUACUGUGCGAGCAAUCUUGAAAAUAUUUUGGGAUAAAUAGAAUUUGUGCUUAUCAUAAACAUGCUAAACAUCCAAAUCAAGUGCUUUUACUAUUGAUAUCAAAUCAGUAAUUGAUUUUAACCUUUAUGCUUAUCUUUCAGAUUCUCAAUUAUGUAUCUUGAAUAAUGAUAUUAAGCAGAAAUCAUGAAUUGAAUUGCUUUAAUUAACUGUGCCUUAUCAAGCUUGUCAGCAGUGCUAUUGCUACCGCGAAUCAAAUUCGCUGUGCUUCCCGCCUUCUCCAAAUAAGCCACAAGCCCAAUUAUAUCCGCCCUCCUCCCAUCUCCAAGGGAUCAAAAAAUAAAAUGACUUCAAUCAAUUUUCAAGUUUUCCAUCUUGAUCAGUAGACCACCCGGCAUGAAUGUUACCCUCAGUUUAGGAAUAGGAAUUCCUUUUACUAAUCAUUUGGCACUAAAAACUAUGACCCCUAGCAAUUCAUUCCCUCCAUUAGAUAUCUGGGGGCAUCUUGGCUCAGCCAAAAAUGAUAAGUCAUUGCAUUUCACAUUGCAUUCAUUUGUAUUAAUGAGCUAAUUUUUUUUCACAGAAUGUGAUGUGAAUCGAAUUACUUCCAACCAUGUGUCUCUAUAAGGGUUUAACAAAUGUAAUUUGCAUUGUCUGUACACUUUUUUUUCGGUUUCUUUUCUUUUUUAUGCAUGAUUCAUUAGUCCACGGAUCUUCUAUGCAAAGUGUGCAGGCCAAACACCUCCUUCAAUGCAUUAUUCUAGAAGUUAAGACUCAGUUUACUCCUUAAUUGAUCUGUUCCAUUUACUUCAAAUCAUUUGAUUACAUUAAAUGAAUCUUGAAAUUCAAAAAUGCAUCAAAGUUAAAAGACCUUCCAAUGCAUUAAGAAAUCAUCUGAUACAAAUAUAUGUGAACCUGCAACAACAAUAAUGUCAAAAUGGAAAACUUAGGUAGAAAAUAUUAGAACGGAAACUUACGACGAACUCAAUUUUUGGCGCCUUUCUUCUUCUCAUCUUCUGAUCCAAGAAGCUCUUCCAACACCGUGUCAUCCAAACACUCGAACUCAAUGACUUGCUUUUCUUGCCCAGAAGAGGAACCUCCCAUCUCUAAACUCCUACAAGGCCCAGAAGAUGACGAGGAAGACGAUGAGGAUGGUGAUGGUGGGGGGCGAUGGGAGCCCAUGAUUUCAGAAUAGUACUCAUUAGGAAAGUUAAGAAUGGCAAGAUGACCCCUUAAGUUAAAGGCCGCUCGAUCAUAGGCGCGAGCUGCAUCCUCCGCCCUGUCAAAUGUGCCUAGCCAUAGACGAGCACCUUGCCUAGACGGAUCCCUAAUCUCGGCUGCAAACUUCCCCCAUGGCCUCCUCCUCACCCCUCGGUAUCGAACUUCUUCCUUUUCCUUCCCUUCCUGCUCCUGCUUCUCAUUCCCUUUCGAAUGAUCUUCCAUGCUAAACGUGUCGAUUUGCUAGGCGCAAUUUUUUUGGUUUCAAAUGUGCUGGUUUACGAGAGGCAUGGAUGCUUAUGUAUAUAUAUGGUUGCCACAGUCAGGUCUGACGUCACCGCUCAAUGUAUGUUCCACAGCGUGGGUUGACGAGCUUUCUGAGGGGGUUUCCUCGAAUUCAAAGCAAGUAUAAAAAUUCGAUUCUCCGACCUUUCCAAUGAGGAUCGAACAGGCCUUUUAUUAGAACCGUAUGAUAACUCCACACUGUUUUCAAAUAGUCAAUGUGAUCUAGAUUCUUCGUUAAUUUUUUCCACCUGACUGAUUGUUUACAAUUUUAUUUUUCACCGUCCCAAAUUUAAACCAUUUACGCGAUUCCCUGGAUUGCAUUUUUCUUUAAUGUUGACUUUACGAGGCAAUAGGACCCCCCAGCAACCCCACUAGGGCGACUUCAUGGGAACCAGAUUACUUUUGGAUCCAGAUAUGGUCCAGAAGAAAUAAGACAAAUCAAUUAAUGUCCACUAAAGUUUUGAUGGAACCCUUAGUCCGUGUUUCCUGUGGAUGUAUGUAUUGUAUGCACCUCAAUUUUCACCAAUCCCUGCUACGAGUCCCUUUAAUUUUGACGUUAUAAAUGUUUUUCCUGACAUUAGCAGAGUGUUUUUCUGCCGUCUUUGAGGACCUUCCACGGCCCAUAAACUAAUAAGGAUCGUCCAGUGAAUUUAGUCUUCCCCAGUUAAUUAUCCUGCGAGGGAAACUUGGGCAGUAAGUUGCCUACAUGAGUGGCUCCCGCCUACAUGAGUCAAGGGACCAUACGUCAGGACGACAACCAGUGUGGUCACACCAAAGUGGGUUGCCUGGACUCCAGGGUGGUCGCUUCAAAGUUGUCAAAUGAAGGCUAGCUUGGCAAGUUUUGGAAAACAAUUAUUGAAAAACAUUUUUCAUGAAUAACAGUUUCUAUGAACAGAUUUUAAGAAAGUUUAUUUUGUGAUUUUUAGGAAUAUUUUUAAUUUAAAUUUUUAUAUUUUUAAUUUUUUAUUAAUUUAUUGAUUAUUUAAUAUUAGCUUAAUUAAUGGAUUUUUCUUGGUCCCAAAUUAUUAAUUUAUCAAGAUUUAAUCGCAUCCAUAAUUAGUCUAAUUUCUUUUGGAGUGAGUGUGACAAAGUGCAAAUUUCUAGAGUUUUAUUAAUGUUAUUCAAUGUCAUAAUUUAACUAAUUAUAUUAAUUAUUUAUUAAUCAAAAUAAAUCAUUCACUUGAAAUAUGAUAAUUUAAAUUAAAAGUUUCAAUUAUUUAUUAAUUAGCAAAGUAUGAACUUUUCUUCUUGUUUUAUUAUUGUUAUUCCAUGUAUAUAAUUUAAUUAACUGUUUCCAAUAUUAAUCAAUAAAAAUAGAAUAUAAGCAUGAGAAGAAUUAGUAAAAUUCAUUGAUUUGGAAUUAGAUAGCUAGAGGAAGAACUUCAUCAUCUUCCCAUUACUUAAAUUUGUAUAAAUUCUAAAUAUUUAAACCCCCCCCCCCCCCCCCCCCCCCAAAAAAAAAAAAAAUGGUAAAGAAAGACUCCCCAAGCUUUCUUGGUUGGUGUUACCCUAAAAUUUGUACAAUAAGAUGAACCAUUUGGCUUAAAGCUUGGUGCGAAACCCCUUAUCAAUUGAAAAUAUCAAUGAAGUUGUUGAAUGGUUUUAGAGGACUAUUCUUAUGCAGAGUGGCAUAAGAAGCGAGGAGAUGAAGAGCGGAGAGACGUUAACAUCGGAUGCUGCUACGAAGGUGGGAAUACGGUUAAUUAAUUAGAUUUUGUGAUGGCUUUGAGUUUGAAGGAGUUAGUUUAAUGGGUAUUAUUAGUGAACUGAUAAUUGGAUUUGAUGUAAAGAAGGUUGGUCCAUUGGAUUAGCAAUUGGUUUGGCCUUUUGGGGGCCCCAUUUCCAAAUGCAUUGCCUUUUACAAGCAUUCAACAUCGCUGGACGUAACCAGGCUUGGUUCACCUAAAAGUAUCGCAUGGAUUGAAUUGACUAAGUUUUCAUUGUAGACUAGCCUUGAUUUUCCCUUGACCUGCCCACCAAAUCCUGAUGCCCACGCGAGGGAAUACCUCAAUUUUCUAAUAAUUUAUGCAGUUUCUCUUCAAAGCUCGUGUGAUCACUUGGGUCGGUAAAAUAAUGCAUUCCUCUACUUUUUCUCCCUUCCUAGAUGCAUGUUAUACCAUUAAUUCAAAUGUGAACAUGGGCUUGGCUUUGAAACUUGGUUCAAGGCCCAACAUGUUGACCCACAAUUGAGGUGUAAUUGAAUUUGUACACUUUUCGACUUUGAUACCAUUUGUCAUUACCAUUGACAUUGGGUCAUUGUUGAUUUUGAGUCCACAACUUUUAAGGUUGUUAUUACAAUUUUAAAUUGCGCCCACCCAAUUUAUAUGCAUUAUCCCUUAUAAAUACCGAUAACCUCUCUUUCUUCGAUAAUAUAAAAUGUCACAUAUAUUAUAUAUCUCAAUGUUUUCUUUUACUUUUUUUUUUUUUAUCGAUCGACAUUCUCUCUCAGAUGAUAUGAGAUGUCACAUAUAUUAUAUGUUUCAAUGUUUCUUUUACUUUUUCUCUUUUUCCUCAUGAUUGACAUUGUCUUUCUCAAAUGAUAUGAGUUGUCACAUAUAUUUUAUGUCUCAAUGUUUUCUUUAACUUUUUUUCUCUCUUCUUUAAUGAUCGACGUUCCUUUUCUCAGAUGAUAUGAAAUGUCAUAUAUAUUAUAUGGCUUAAUGUUUUCUUUUACUUAUUCUUUCUUUAUUAAUAAUCGACAUUUUAAGCAAUAUGUGAAUAUAAAGCAUUAAAAUUAUCUCCAUCGUUUUUGGAUGUGGUAUAAAUACACAAUUCUUAUUUUUGUUUUAAAUAUUUCUAUUGCUAUCUAUUGAAAUUUUAUGCAUGAAGCUACCAAGUUAAUUAUACAUAUAUCUUAAGAUUUUUUUUUUUUUUUUUUAUAGGAUAUAUUGUCCAUGAAUAUUUUCUGCAAUGGUAUCUUGUUUGAUUACUAUAAGAAAUAAUAUAUAUAUAUAUAUAUAUAUAUAUAUAUAUAUAUAUAUAUAUAUAUAUAUAUAUUAUAUUUCAAUGUUUCAUAUUUGCUUAAAAUAAAAAUUAUAUUUUAUCACAAUAUUUGGUAUUAAAAAAAAUGAAAUCUCUCUCAUUUAUUAUUACAAAAAAAUUAUAAUUUAUAAUUUUCUAAAUAAGUUUUAUUUAUUUGCUAACUAUAUUCAUGAUUAAAAGAUUUAAAAUUUAUAAAUAAAAAAUAUUAUGUCAUGUCAUUAAAUAAAUAAAAAUAUAUGUAUAUAUUAAAAUUAUGUUUUAUUGUAGCUUUUAAUAUUUUUUUUUUUAUUCUUUUCUUUUUUGAACUACAAUUUUAAUUUUUUUUAAUCAAAAUUUUUUAAUUUACAAAACGAGUAACAUAAAACUUGCCUUUGAACUUUAUUGGAAUGUUAUAUACUACCAUUUGGCUUUCAAGACAUUAGAAAAGGCAUAAGUGUCCCUUUUAUUUUUCCGAAAGGCAUAUUAGACUAUAGUAGGAAGUGUUGUAUAGAGGCAACUAAAAGUUGCCUUUAACUUUAUGAAGUCAUAUACUCCUCUUUGGCUUUGAUGACAUCAACUAGCAAAUUGGAUUUUGUUUCCUUUGCAACAUUUUUCCAUCCAUUAGCCAGUUUUUUUAUACUGUUUGGUGCUUGCCAACAUGGCACACACUAUGGUUCUUAAAAAGUAUUUUUUUUUUUAAGAUACUACGAAAUAAAAUACACGAUUGAAAGAUGAGUCACAAUAAUUUUCAAAACUAAAUUUUUUAAUAUUGUUAAGAAAAUUUGACCACCAAAUGAUUGAUUUUAAAUUACAAAUACUUUUGUUAGCUAAGAAAUUUGUUGUUCUAUUUGUUUCCCUAUAAAUAUGACAACAAUCAUAAAUAUUUUCAUUUUAAGAUAAUUUUCAAAUAUCUUCCAUUAAUAAUAUAAUAGAAUUAGGAAUUUUUUUUUUAGUUAUAACAAUCUAUAAUUAUUUAAGAGUCUUCCUCAAUCUCUAGGUUUAAGAACUUAUUGUUCUUAACAACUAACAUGUCAUCUCUUAAAAUAAUACAUUCUGCAAUAAUUAUUGAAAUAUGAUAUAAUAUAUAUAUCUACUUACAACCAUUUUUGUAGUACCAUUAGAAUUUUUAAUUACCCAUUCUAAAGUAUUUUUAUUCUCUAUUCUUAAACCAUCAAAAUUUAAUUUAAAUCUUUCAUUAAUUGGAUAAAUCCAAUGAAUCUAACAAGUUAAAGGAUUAUGAAUCCGACAAAACAGUUGAUAAUAAAUUAAUAAUGCCAUUAAUAUGAUUUUAAUGUGAAACACAAUUAUCACAUUUAAUACAGUUAGUCCUUGUAUGAUUAAUGUUUUGGAAGCUAAAAUCAAUCUUUUGACUAUAAUAAGAGUUUCUACUAUUUCUAUUUUUGGAUGAUUUUAUAUUUUUCUUAUUGUUUUAGUUUAAUACAAAAAAUAAAAAUAAAAUUACAUUAGUAGAAUUUUUUUAACUUACUCAAAAACCUAUUUUAGUUGAAUGAUUUUUUUAAAAAAAAUAUAAAUAUUUUGUUAAAAGGGAUAAAAUAACCUUACCUUGUGAAAAAGACCUCUUCACCCAAGAUUACUUGUUCAUAAUCCUUUUAAGACGAAAAUGCCCCCUUCCUAAAAAAUAUUUCAUCUUAAACUUAUUUUUCUUUUUAUUGCCCUUUGUUCCAUCCUUCCGGCUUGGGAGAGAAAUUCAUUCUUCUUUUGCGAAGAAAAAUUCCUAUUGCGAUUUUUCAUUUCAAGUGGAAAAAAAAAUUCUUAUUUCAUUUUAAAGAAAUUGUACAUUUUCAAUCUUUCUCUUUGUUCCUAGUUGAGGGUUUUUUUUGUAAUUUUAUCUUAACACUACAAAUUUAAAGGUGAGAUUAAAUCUUAAUGGUUAUUAGUUAAAUCACAUAUCUAACUUUGUUUUUGUCAGGACCUAUAAUAUGAUUGGAACCACCAUCCAAACUUCAUUAGGUGGGAUACUCCCCACCCUCCCCCUCCCCCCGCGAAAUCCUUGGAUUUUAGUUUUGACUUGGAUUUCAAUUGCCCGUAUCAAUUUUUCUUUAUUUAUUAAUUUAUUAAUUUUCAACUUUAACAAAAGCCUUGAAUCAUAUUUAAAUUCAAAUAACUUAAUCCUAAUUAAGUUCUUUUUAAAUAAAAAUUAAUCAUUGAAAAGUUCAUGUGACUAUUAUAAUUGAGAAUUUAUCCCAAGUUGGGUUUUUUGCAAAUAAAAUUUUAUUAUAGGACAUCAUGAUGCAACAUAACAUAAGGUUGUUACUUAAGUUUGUUUUGACCUUGUAAUAUGUUAAAAUGAAAAUGAAGCCAUUGUAACAGGAGAGAAUGAUGAAGCUGUGGAGAGAGCUUAACAAAGCUUGGGUUGGAGAGACUUCACAGGAAGAGAGAGAGAGAAAUAAAGGGUAAAAUUAUCAAAAGAGAAAAGAAAAAAAAAAAAAAAAAAGAAGGUUAUGUCUUCAAAUAAUCAAUAAGAGAUGUCAUUUUUCUAAUUUUCAAAGUUCUUUUGGUCCUUCUCUACAAAUAUCCCUAUAAAAAUAUUAUAAUAUCAAGUUAAUUUGUCAAUACCAAAAUUUAUAUUUUAUAUUAGGGCGACUAAAUAACAUAUAGAAAGAAUUUUAAAUGAGUAAAUCAAAUCAAUUUUGAAACCAAAACUUAAUAAUUACCAAACUUGUAAUCUUAGUCAUUAAAAGUGUACGAUGAAAUCUAAAUUAUUAAGCAAUGAAACAAAAAAUUAAGAUUAAAAUACAAAACGUUAAAAUCAAGAUACAAACUAUUAAAAUGUAAGUGGGAUAUGAGAUGAUAUUAUAAAAAAUAGUGUGAUCCAACAAAAAGUCUAGUACAUCAUUAUCUUCACUUCCAACCAUGUUUAAAAGGUCACAAGUUCUAGCGGUUUCCAAGGACAAUGUUAAAAAUAAUAAAAAUAAAUCCAAUUAAAUAUUAAUUAAUUUAUUUGAAUUUGAGUCCGACAAAAUAGUUGGUAAUAAGUUAAUAAUGCCAUUAAUAUGAUUUUAAUGUGAAACACAAUUAUCACAUUUAAUACCCGUUAGUCCUUGUAUGAUUAACUUUUUAGAAAUUAAUAUCAAUCUUUUGAUUAUAAUAAGAGUUUCUACUAUUUAUAUUUUUGGAUGAUUUUAUAUUUUUCUUAUUGUUUUAGUUUAAUACAAAAAAAUAAAAAUAAAAUUACAUUAGUAGAAUUUUUUUUAACUUAUUCAAAAAACCUAUUGUAAGGUGAAUGGUUUUUUUAUUUUUUUUUUAAAUAUAAAUAUUUUCUUAAAAGGGAUAAAAUAACCUUACCUUGUGAAAAAAGGCCUCUUCACCCAAAUUUACUUGUGCAUAAUCCUUUUCAGACGAAAAUGCCCCCUUCCUAAAAAAUAUUUCAUCUUAAACUUAUUUUUCAUUUUUAUAACCCUUUGUUCCAUCCUUAUGAUUUGGGAGAGGAAGUCAUUCUUCUCUUGUGAAGAAAAAAUUCCUACUGCCAUUUUUCAUUUCAAGUGAAGAAAAAUAUUUAUAUUUCAUUUUAAACAAAUUGUACAUUUUCAAUCUCUCUUUGUUCCUAGUUGAGGUUUUUUUUUUUUUUUUUUUUUUUUGUAAUUUUAUCUUAAUUGUACAAAUUCGAAGAUGAGAUUAAAUCUAUAAUGGUUAUUGGUUAAAUCACUUAUCUAACUUUGUUCUUGACAGAUCGUAUAAUAUGAUUGGAACCACCAUCCUAACUUUAUUAGGUGGGAUCCCUUUUUUUUUUUCCCCAAACCCUUGGAUUUUAGUUUUGACUUAUAUUUCAAUUGUCUGUAUCACUUUUUCUUUAUUUAUUAAUUUUCAACAAGUUCUUUAACAAAAGCCUUGAAUCAUAUUUAAAUUCAAAUAACUUAAUCCCCAUUAAGUUCUUUUUAAAUGAAACUUAAUCAUGUGAAAGUUCAUGUGACUAUUAUAAUUGAGAAUUUAUUCUUAGUUGGGUUUUUUGUAAAUAAAAUUUAGUUAUAGGACUGUGAUGAUCCGUUCUCAACCGUAUAAAUAUUGUUCGUUUUGAAUUCAAAAUAACUUUUACGGCUUUAAAACAUGUUUACAAGAUUAAGAGGAGUCCAUAUUUAUAUAGCUUCACGAACUUUCCCCCCUAUUCGAUGUGGGAUGUCACAAGGACAUCAUGAUGCAACGUAUAACAUAAGAUUGUUUCUUAAGUUUGUCUAACCUUGUAAUGUGUUAAAAUGAAGAUGAAGCCAUUAUAACAGAAGAGAAUGAUGAAGUUGUAGAGAGAGCUUAACAAAGCUUGGGUUGGAGAGACUUCAUAGGAAGAGAGAGAGAGAGAGAGAGAGAAAUAAAGGGUAAAAUUAUCAAAAAAGAAAAAAGAAAAAAAAGAGGGUGAUGUCUCCAAAUAAUCAAUAAGAGAUGUCAUUUUUCUAAUUUCAAAGUUCUUCUGGCCCUUCUCUACAAAUAUCCCUAUAAAAACAUUAUAAUAUCAAGUUAAUUUGUUGAUACCAAAAUUUAUAUAUUAUAUUAGGAUGACUAAAUAACAUAUAGAAAGAAUUUUAAAUGAGUAAAUCAAAUCAAUUUUGAAAUCAAAACUUAAUACCUACCAAACUUGUAAUCUUAGUCAUUUAAAGUGUUCCAUGAAAUCUAAAUUAUUAAGCAGUGAAACAAAAAAUAUAAGAUUAAAAUACAAAACGUUGAAAUCAAGAUUCAAACUAUUAAAACGUAAGUGGAGACGUAAGAUGAUGUCAUAAAAAAUAGUGGGAUCCAACAAAAAGUCUAUUAAUCAUUAUCUUCACUUCCAAUCAUGUUUAAAAGGUCACAAGUUCUAGCGGCUUUCAAGGACGAUGUUAAAAAUAAUAAAAAUAAAUCCAAUUAAAUAUUAAUUAAUUUAUUUGAACAAUAGAUAGGACCAAAAUAAUAUUCUAAAAGGAAUCAUAGGGAAGUCCUUGGACAACCUACGACAUUGAACAAAGGUACAGUGAGACAAUGCACUUAGCCCUUCCUUGUCAUUGCGAUGAAUAUAAAAAGACACCCUGAUUGAGGGUGCCCCACUAAGCCAAGAGUGAUUCUUUUGUAUUGUAUAACGUGAAUAUUUUUGAACUUUGAAUGACCCUUCCUAUAGUCAUCAUUGUCAAAACUAGAAAAUCAGAAAGAUGCGAUGUACGAAGGCACCAUUGAAUAAGAGGCUUAAUUCUCUUUGGCAAUUAGGAUAAAGUUUCAAAAUAGAAAAAUUAAACAAAUGUACAGUGUACGGACACUUGGGCAUUGCCUAUUUGUUUUGUUCUUCUAGAGUUGUAUAUGGUAAAGGUCAUAUUGGGUUGGUUCUAUUUGGUUAUUGAAGUCGGCUAGAAUAUUAGAUUUGGUUUCAAUCUAAUCCCAUAUGAUAUUAGAAUACCAGCCCAUACAGAAUUUUUGACCAAAUAUAAUAUUUCUUUUAAAUAUAAAUAUAGUAAUUAAUUUUAGUCUAAGAUUAAUUAUGUAGUUUCCUAAAGAGACCACUUCCUAAACGGUAGCUAUGUGGAAGUUGGGCCAGGUCCUGCCGAGAAGGUUUCCACGAGCUGAGCCCAAAACUGAGUAGCUGUGAUGGGAUCAUUCUAGCAUUCAGCCUGAAACUUGUAACAUAACGGAUCGAGAGGCCUGAACUCCAAGACCAUGGUUCGUCAGCCCAUUAACUUCAACAGCACGCAUUUUAGAGGACUGGGCUUGCAAGGGGUGAGGUUUCCGGGCCGCGACCCCAAAUAUGAACAGCCUCAGAAGUGAUAUUGCUUACUGGCACGUGAAGAGCGCAAGCGUAACUAGAAGAUUUGUAAUGCCGCUUUAAUUGUUUGAUUAUAGAAUCCCACGCAUUACGCAUGGAAAGUGUAAAAGAUAAAAGAUGUAGAAUUUUUUCUUAGAGAAAAGUUCGUUUGGAUAUAGUUAUUGUUUUUUUUUUAAAUAAUAAUUGUUUUUUUUAUAAAUUAUAGAUAAUCUUAGAAAUUUAUCUUUAAAAAAAUAGUUUUUAAAAAUAUUUAAGGAGAAUAAAAGUGAUAAAAAAAAACUUUACAAUUUCAAAUUUUUAAAAAAUGAAAAUUAUUUUUAAGAAUAUAAGUUAAUCUCCUGCAUUUAAAUCUUAGGUGGUUUUUGUUUUUUUUACUUUUCGCUGAAAACAAUUUGUUUUCAAAAUUUAGGUCAUUUGUUUUUUCUAUUUUUUCAUGAUUUAUUAUAAAUUUUUUACUAAAUAAAAAAAAUCAAAAUAUGUAACUUUUUCUAAAUAAAAAAAAUAACGUAUUGAUUUUUCUUUACUUUUUAAUACUUAAUAGAUAUAAAAUACUACAAAAACAAAAAAUCUAAUAUUUAACACUAUUAAGCAUUAAAGUUCUAUUUAGAAUUAAGUAAAAAAACAAACACCACCUUAUAUUUUAUAUAAAAGUUACUUAUAUUUUGGUUUUUGGAAAUAAAAAAUAUAAAGCAUAUCCAAACAUGAGCUUAGCUAUUUUAAAUCAUAUCAAAAUAAUAAUCCCAAUAAGGUAAAUGGACUUUUAUACGGAGAAUAAUCUUUAAGGUUUUCAUUUUUAUUGGAUUUUUUUUUUGUGGUGUUUUUUCAAUCCAUCUUCUCAAUUAAUUCCUUAAAAUUAUUUUACUGUUUUUUUUUUUUUCAGUUUCUAAAUAUUUGAUUUUUCCAAAAUGCUUAAAUGGAAGACACUAAUUUUUCAAGAUAUUUGGUAUUACAAUUUUCCCUGUUCUCCCUAUUAUCUAUCAGAUUCAUGGCCCUUUUGUUUUUUCAUUGGUUUUCAAUUUAAUUUUCCAAAUAUUACAUUGUUGUGUUUUGAAUUUGUGAAACCAAUUUUAUAUAUAUAUAUAGUAUGUAAGUCUACUUUGGGUAACAUGUACAGAGAGGUUUUCAUGUGUUUGAAACCUUUUACCUCAAAAAUUAAUUAUUUUUAAUUUUAUAAUAAAUCUUUUUUUAUUUUUUAUUUUAUUUAGGAAAGCCUAUAUUUAAACUACAUGUUUGCAACGCAACACCAUACAUACUCCUAGUGGAACUUACCUUAGUGCUUGAGGGGGAUGCAGAUCUUCUUCUAAACCUAACUAAUAAGCAUAAAAUUGUUCACUAAUUAGCAUAUCUAGUAAAUCAUACAAAUUGGCAAUAUUUCAUGUUUUUCAUGUUUUGUCAAUAAAAGGCGUCUUGACCAUUUUGUGAGUUUUGUAAUAAAUAAAAAAAAAAAAAAAAAAAGGGCAAAAGGUGACUAAAAUGAGGCACUUUGGAAAGGUUAAUAACCUAAAAGGAAGAUGAAUUAAUACCCCCUUAUUCCUCUUCAAAAACCAUUGAGAAAAUGCAAGAAAUGCUCUUAGUUGUAUGCUAGGCUAACAGCCUAGCAACCAUAAUACCCUUCUUUGCAAUUGUAAGCAUUUUUUUUUUUUUUUUGAAGGCCAAACAACGUUGCAAACUUCCCAAAUCCCUUCUUUAUUUUUUAUUUUUUUAUUUUUGUUUUUAGAAGGAGAAUGAAUUUGAUGACAAACUCCUUGUCAAUCUUAUCCAAACCACGAUCGAACAGAACUCCUUGUCAAUCUUAUCCAAACCGUGUUCCACCUCAAAAACAUGUGUAGGACUUAAGGCAGCAACUGGCAAGCAUGACUGAUAGGGCCAAGUGCCCUUGUCUCUACAAUCCAUUAAGUUAACCAAGGGCAGUGAACCAUCAUUCUUUUCAAAAGCUUCAUUCCGUGUUGAAAAUGUGAGACUGAAGCAUGGUGCCCCCAAAAAUAACGAUCUAUUUACUAGCAGCAUGCCUGGACCCAUUAAAAAUACUCUACUUUAGGAAUAGAAAAAAUUACAUCUUUAUCCAAUAAUUUUAUAACAAUUCAGACGUUUCAGUCUAUAAAUAAUUGUACAUAGUUGCCAACGUUUAGCUAGUUUCAAAUGAAUAGCCUAGGUUCAUGCACCAGUUUGGCUGGUGGAGGAAAGGGAUUCGAGACAUUGAACCCUCUUUUUAGUGUGCCAAAUAUUCCACAAAAAUCACUACCUUCUCUUUGUGUUUGUUCACUUUUAGUUUAUAUUUAAUAAAUCUAUGUUUUCGAGUAGAGGUUGGGUUCAGGUGCGACCCACGUCACCUCUCGGACGGUCUUGAAAAAGGAGACCGGACCACGUAAUUUCAAAUGUAGUGACCAUCUCACUUUUACCUCCAUCCUUGAAGAUGGUUUCCCAAAUCAAUAUUAAUCUUUUGUUUACGACAAUAUCGAUCACUUUAUGUCUAUAUCGUUGUUAAUUUACCUUUUUUUUUUAGCCACAUUAUUUGAAAAUUGAUGCAAACUUUACCAACAUCUUGGUACCAUUUUAAAAUAUUAGAGUUAUUUGAUUAAAAAAAUAAAAUAAUCUCGAUAACUUGUUUAUAAAAUAAAUAUCUUUUAACAUUUAGACUAUUCUCACGCAUGCUUUAAAAUUGUAAAGAUAUUCAUAAAGUGGAACUUUAGACUUAAUCAAUAUCGAUCACUUUAUGUCUCUAUUGUUGUUAUAUUUUUUUUUUACAACAUUAUUUGAAAAUUGAUGCAAACUUUACCAACAUCCUAAUACCAUUUUAAAAUAUUAGAGUUAUUUGAUUAAAAAAAUAAAAUAAUCCCGACAACUUGUUUAUAAAAUAAAUAUCUUUUAAUAUUUAGACUAUUUUCACCAUGCUUUAAAAUCAUAAAGAUAUUUAUAUUCAUAAAGUGGAACUUUAGACUUAAACAUGAUAAUAGUUUUUUUACAAUAUUAUAAUUAUUUUAUCGUUUUAAUUAAGCCCUUUAUCAUACAUAUAAAUGUAAAUUAAUGCUAAAUUUUUAAAGCAACGUAUAACCUUUUACAUCUUUUUUUAAGAUGGUGCGAAAAUCCUAUGAAAAAUAAUAAAAGUCGAUGCAUAAGAAGAUUGUUUUGAUAAUUCAAUAGAAAAAUUCUUUUAAAAUGAUAUUAAAAAAUACCCAUAGAGCCUUUAUUAAAAAAAUCAAUUAUUUUCAUAAUAAAAAUUAUAAUUUUUUAUUAUGUAUUAUUAUUUUUAAGUAUCUUUAUUACAAAUACUUUUUUUGAGUUUAUGAGAGGAAUCAACAGGUUGGUACAAGCUUAGGCGUCCUCGUACAUGUUCCCGCUGUGCAAGGUUUUUGUCUUGUUUCGAGCUAGUCGGAAUUUACGUGUUUGAUAACGUUUUGUCCUAUUUUUGUAACGCUUUAAAGGGCGGCCCACCGUUGGAACAGUUCAAGCCAUCCAAAUCAGCCCGGAGGGUUAUGGCGACGUGGCAUGACGCCUACCACCUUAGUUCACAUGAACCCUAUGAUCGUACUACCCUCACAUGACAUCUGUGAUUCUUCACCUCCAAACCCUCUUUAACUUGGUAAUGUAUUCAAAGCUUCAUCAAAUCAUAGCGAUUAGCGACCCUCUUCCACCCUAAUUUUAUAAUAAAAAAUAAAUCUUAGUGGACAUUAAAGUAGUAUUUUGUGGGGGGAAAGAAAAACUCUAUGGGCGUAUCCACUAAAUACGAGCCAAGUAUAAGAGUUAUCACCAUGGAAUCAAAUUAUGAAGCAUUGACAUUUUAAUUGUAUUCAGAUUUGAGGAGGGCACCGCGGCACCAGCUGGCCCAGUGUAGUCUGCUAGCCUACCCGCCAUAAUGACCAAAUUAAUAAAGUAAAAAGGAUUACAGGGAUAUUCCCAACUUUAUUCUGGGUCUGAGCUGGAACUUGGGAGUUAUCACGAUCAACGGGAAAGAUGGUGGGUAGGGGACGAGGAUUGAGGGCUCCAUAUUCACAUCAGUGAAAAACGAAAUGUAUUGAGACAAGUCUUCUAAGGAUUUUCUAGCGUAUUAUAUGGUUUAAAUGAUUAUAAAUCUGUAGUUACUGGUAAAGAGUAGAGAGUGAAGACGAAAGACGUUGAGUGAAAAGGAAGGAGGAGAGGGGAUGGGGCCAUCUUACCGUGUCGGGGAGGAUCCAUAAAAGGACUACGUUCCCUGAAUCUGUAGGCAUCAUGCCUCGCCUAACGGGUUAGUCAAAAUACAGUGAUGUGUGUGAGUUGGGGGCCUCACUCCUCAUUUCUUUCCUUCUUUUCACCCCCACCCCCACUUUUUUUUUUUUUUUUUCGAAUUUUUCUUUGUCCUUUUCUCUCACUUGCGCACGCGGGAGAAGGACCACAAACUAGACAAUUCCUCUGCUCACGUGACCCCGAGUUUUUAAAUAUUUGCCUAUUUGGAAAAUAGUCAUGAAUCAUGAUCGUUAACAAACAAUCUUCACUUUAUUUAUUUAAGAUCUAUUUUUUGGAGCUCUAGUUUAGUUUAUUAUUAUUAUUAUUAUUAUUAUUAUUAUUAUUAUUAUUAUUUAGUAACUCCUCUUAUAUUAAUGAAAAAGAGAGGAGGAAUCCAAACUUGUUUAUUCUUCCUCUUUUAAGGUGUUUGUUUUUUUUAUUUUAUUUUUAUGCUUCAUAUGUCUUCAAUUUCUUAGCAUUUGUCUUAUAUUUCUUCUUAUCCGAUUCAUUAUUGCAUCCUUGGUCAAUCUUUCACGAGGAGUGCCUACUUUUUUCCUUUUUAUUAUUUAAUUCACUUUAUCUUUAUAUUUUCCUUUUACACUUUAUUUCCAAUUCAAAACGUGUCAAAAAAAAAAAUUGGUAACAAAAAAAAAAAAAAAAAUCAAUUGUAAUGAUUCUUAUAUAAUUUUAUUUAAUUUUUAUUAAACAAUAAAGAAAUUAAAAAUAUAUAAAUUUUUAAAUAAUUAUUAUAGUCUUUCAUUUUUGUGUAUAAUUUCUUUUGCAAGAAAUAGUGUAGGCUUUCCACGGUCUAAAGGAAAUGGAAUAUCAAAUGAGAAGGUAAUAAUAAUAAAGUGAGUUAUAGAUACUAAUCAAACUAAUCCACUAAUGAAUUAUUUAUUUUUAUUUCACAUGGACAAAUCCUAAAAGUUGGAGUUCUAAUUUACUUUUAUGUUAAGCUUUUUUAAGUAAAAAUCUUUUAUUAUUAUAAUUUAUAGACAAAAAGAAACCCAUUAAUGUGAUGGAUAAAAAAUUUCAAUUUAAAAAAAAAAAAAUUAAAGUUGCUAAAUUUUUGUAUUUAUUAUUUCAAACUCAUUUAAAUAAUUUAAAAAUAUGUCUUCAAUUAAUUUUAAUGAAACAAAGCAUGAUUUUUUUUUAAUUUUUUUUUCUUUACCAAAUAAAGCAUUAUUAUAAUACGUUGAUUAAAUUUUCAUCAUGUCUCUCAAGAUUUGGAUUAAAUAUACUUAGUUGUCAUAAAUUUGAAAUUUUAUUUAAUGUAUUUUUUAUUUUAAAUUAAAAAGAUGAAUGCAAAUAAAAAAAAUAUGUAUAUUUUAUAAAAUUUUAAAUUAAACGAAGGAUACGUGUAUUUAACCAAGGUGAAUGAAAUUAAUCCAAAUACUUUUUGGUAACUUGCAAAAUAUCUUGACGAAAUCAUUAUGGCAGGCAUCGUACAAGCUCAACCCUUGUCGCCUUGCUAGAAAUAGAGAAACAAAAAGACCCCCAAAUUGGGUUGCAUCCUAAAUAUGAAGAAGUGGUAACAAAGGAAGAAAAAAUGCUGUGUUAUUGAAUAGUUAAUACAUUGAACAUGAUAUGUUACAUAGAGAGCCAGAUUAAUCCUAGUGGAAUUCCACUGUCACGAUGGUAACCUAGGGUUAUGUUUGGUUAUUGAAAAUACCAAGAAAAGAAAAAAAAAUAUAAAGGAAAAUAAUUUUUUCAUUUUUGAUUGUCUUAUAAAAGAUAUAAAAAAAAAACAAAUAUAAUUAAAACUAAUUAAAAAUUUAGGUAUUUUUAAAUUAUUUAAUUUUUAUAUUAAUGAGCGAAAAUAAAUAAAAUAAGUUUAAAAUAACAAAAAAAAUAAUUUACCGAUUUUUAAUCUAUAUUUUAUUUUACUUUUUCUUUGUAUUUUUUUUUUCUUAUAUUUUCCCUCAAAUUUUCUGAAUCAAACAUAGCAAAAAAGGAGCUACCCCUUUCGAAAGAAACUCCCAAGAAUUUCAAAGAAACCUGCUGAGAUAAUGAAUGAGGGAUCACUGUCGGUAAACAGUAUCCAUUCUUUUGGGAGGACUUUCAAACUGAGAAGUUGUUUUCAUGACUUGGAAACAAAAUUUUGAGCUCUAAGGGGGUCUGUAUUUGGGCCCUAAAAUUCAAUCCAUCAAUCUGAAAAAUGCUUAGGAUAAUGAUUUGAUUUAGCCACAAUCACUAAACAAAUUCCAGAGGAAAAUUUCGCUACUCAUAGGUGGCUGAUUCUCAUAAAAAGACAUCGUGGUAGGGUGUCUCAAGUGCAGGCUCACCAUCAACUUGCUGCCCUUUUUAGAUUAUUGUAAAAUGAUUUCACAUGAAGCCCAAUGCAAAACUUUGAAAGAAAAGGUUGGUGGAGACGUGAAGAAUAUGUAACCCAUAGGCCAUAACUAGUACCGAAGAUUAUUGAACAAACAUUCAAGGUUUUUGUAUAGACGAAACUGAAAAGAAUGUGUACCAGACUCAGGCGUUCAGAUCAGAUGAUGCCGUAAUGUGGAUUGUGGAGGAGCAUUGUGCAGACAGAUAAUGAGAUUCUGAAAGCGAGGCCACUGAUGGGCCCUUGGAAGGGGGGCGUGCCUUCAAAAUUAUAUAUAUAUAUAUAUAUAUGUCAUUGAAAAUUGGAAGCAACUUUUCUUCUUAAGUUAUUUUAAUCGAAGAAGAAACAAAAAGUUAAAAACAUACAUUAUUCUUCCUUCUUACGAGGUUUCCGGGUCUAAAUUACUAUGGUCUCUGCAACUGGCGUCGUUUUCUCUCCCCUCUCUCUAUUUUCCCUUUAUUUUUUCACUUUUAGAAAGAAGCAUCCCAUCAAGAAUCUACUACAACCCUACGCUUCCAUUUUGAUUUAGAAAGUUAAAAAUAAGUUUAAGUUAAAAAAAAAUAUUUUCUUAUAUAAUUAUUUAAACUUAUUUCUUUUCCUUUUUAUAUAAAGAAACAAAUAUUUUGCAAAUAAAUAAAUUUCUAAUUAUUUUCAUUAACAUAAUAAUAAUAUUUUUCAUAUGACUUUAAUCACAAUUUUUUUUACCACUUGUCCAAGGCGGUGAGAGGUGAUAAAAUGUAUUAAAAAAACGAUUAAAUUGCAUUAGGUAUAGAAGUUUUGUGCUUCAAUUAUCACUUAUAAAAAUAAAAUAAAAAUAGUCAAAUUUGAGUGUGCAAGUUGGUAUUCGUAUGUAGAAGGAAUUGGGGGAUUUGGGGGUCCUAACAAAUUUGAUAUGAUUGAUGGAAGGAAAUGAUUAUUAUAGGAUAAAGUCCGAAUGAAACGCUGACGAGGGGGGAAAAACAACAGUGGCAAUGCACUAUCCACAGAUCCAUGAUUGAUUUAUGUUAGCAAUAAUGAAUUAUUUUGACUUUGAUAACCUUGGUUAAGAGAAUUUGGUCUUGUUAUUAUCAUUUUUUCAAAAAAAAAAAGUGUAGGUAACUAGGUAGUUGAUUUAUUAGAAUUUAGAAAUGAGGAUCCCCUCCUCCUGCAAGAGCCGUGACAGACAUGCCUGCUUUCUUGCCAGAUUAUACCAAUGUGCCCAAAUAAUCCCCCAUCUAUCAUCUCUGCACCCUGGAACACGUCACUCCCUCCUUUGAGCAAUAAAAUAUCUCUUUUAUUUUCUUUUGAACCACUCUUCUAUUUCUUUGUACCAGACUGGACCCAUUUAAAUUCUUCGCUACGCUGUUCCCAAGGACUACGAGAAUCAAAAUAGCAAAAUUCUUGAAUCAUUUUAAUGGGUUCAGAAACCACAUGUUUCUCUAGAUCAUAAGAGGAAAAUCUUUUUGGAUGGUGUUUGUGUUGUGUUGUGUUCAAUAUUAAAUACUCAAUUAAAUAAGCUAAAUCAAAUAUCACAUGAAAAAUAAUCAAAUUAAAAAUAGGGAGAAUUAUGUUUUGAGGGUAGAUGGACCCCAAAUUAACAAAAGGUUCAUGUAACUCUUCAAAUUGAGCCCAGACCCAAUGAAAAUAUGGAAAUUGAGUUGAAGUAUAUCAUCAUUCAGUAUUUCCAAAAAUGUCCUUUGUUGAUUUUGAGAAAAAAAUUAAUAUUUUUGAAAAAUAUUUUUAUGUAAUUUAAUAUUUUUUUAAAUACUUUUAUUUAAUUUAAUAUUUUUAAAAAAUAAAUUUAUUUAAUUUAAUAUUUUAAAAAAUAUUUAAUUUAAUAUAUUUUUUAAAUACUUUAAUUUAAUUUAAUAUUUUUGAAAAAAAUUUUAAUUUAAUAUUUUUGAAAAAAAAAUUAUUUAAUUUAAUAUUUUUUAAAACUAUUUUUAUUUAAUUUAGUAUUUUUGAAAAAAAAUUAUUUAACUUAAUUUUAUAAAAUAUUUUAUAUGUGUUCUUAAAGGGUAUAUUUGUCCGUUACUAUUUCAUAUCCUUCAACUCAAUUUAAAGAGUUAUAUGGACCUUUUGUUAAUUUGGGGACCCAUCUACCCUCAAAAGAUAAUUCUCCCUUAAAAAUAUAAAUUUAAAUAUGACAUAAUUAUUAAAUAUGUUAGAUCUUGUAUGAGUUUAUAAGAUUUAUGUUUCAAAAUAACAUGUUUAUAAUUCAUCUAUUGAUUUAUAAUCAAAUUUUAAAUAAAUUAAAGUUAUUCAAGUUAAUAAAUAUGAUUUAUGUUAUAAAGACUAACUAAAAAAUAAUUUAUUAAUUAAACGGAUCCUGGUCAAUAAAAAUUUGAUUUAAAUACGAUCAUACUUAAUCAAAACUUAGGUCAAAUUGUAUUGAUAAAUUACAUCAAAACCUUGUUGUGUUCAAUAUUUUAUAUUAAACUAUUUUUUAAUAAAAUUAUUUUUAUAAAUAUAAUAUUACAUCAUUUGGAGAAACAAAAUAGUAUUAUAUUGAUUUUACAUAUAAAGCAACCAGUUAACCCCUCAUUAUUUUGAUCCAUUUCACAUCCAUAUCAUUCUCAUAAUUUUUUUAUAAUAUAUUAACAUGAUGGACGGUAAUUGAGGGUAGAAAAAAAAGAUGAGAAGAAUAAAAUAAUGUGAAUCCUCUCUAAAUGUUACAUCUUCUGACAAAUGAAGUCUAUAGAAAUGUGUAAAAAAAAAAAAAACACUUAAUUGUGAGGUUCACUUGAUUUAGCAAAAAAUUAAUAUUUUAUUUGUUGUGUGAUUUAAAAAUAAUAUUUUAUUUUUAAAAAUAAAAAAUUAUUUUUAAAGUUUUUUAACACUAUUUUACUAUUGUUCUUUGAAAUAAUUUUUAAAAUUAAAAUGAAAUAACUAAUAAUUUUUAGAUAAUAAAUUAAAGUUGUUUUUAUUAGAUUUUAAAAAUAAAAGAAAAAUAUAAAACCAUUUGAUCAAAUUUUUUUAAACUUAUUUUUAAAAGGUUUUUUUUUUUUUUUUUUUUUUUCUAUCCUAAGUUAAAAGAUAAAAAAUAAUUUUUAAAGAUAGGUUACGAGCAAAUGCCACAAACUUUUUUCUUCUCUUUCCCUUGUUCGGAUAGAAGUGAAAAAUAUCCUCCCAUGGAUCGACAUUACGUGAGCCAUCACCAUUCCCCAACUGCAAUUCAACCGCCAAAGCUGAGGUGUCAUUAUUAGUUUGAACAAAAGUCAGCAUUGUCCACGUGGUGACAAGCGGAACUGACCCAACUUGCAAGGCAAAAAAAUAAAUAAAAUAAAAUGAAAAAAUCAGAUCACCAUUAUGACGUCAGUCCAAUUGCUGACCUGGCCGCCGUCCCCCAUUUGACCCACGUGUUCAUUUAACCCAUUCGCCGUAUGCCGUGGCUCCCCACCCAUAUGGCCAUAUCUGCCAUUUAUUUUAUCCGUUGCCUCCAUUCGGUUUUUGGAUUUUACCCAUUCGCCCUCGUCUAUUCCCAUUUCCGUAUUUGCCCACCAAGGAAAUUCAAUUCCCAUGCUUUUGUUUUACAUUCAAAUCCUCCCCCCUCUAUAUAAAGGAGGGAGUAGGGCUUGAAAGUUUCUCAAGCCAACAUGGACUGUUGAGAGUGAAAGACAGAGGAGCCACAAACAAAUAUCACUCACUCAAACCAAAGCCAAAACCAAUACCGAAUUCAAUUCAAAUGACUUCUUUCUCUCUCAUCAAUUCCCUGAAUUCCGAUUCCGAUUUCAAUUUGUUAUCGGAUUCUUUUUCCUGGGAAAACUCCCUACCUUUCAAUGAAAACGACUCCCAGGAGAUGCUCCUCCUGGGCAUGCUGGCCAGCUCCACUCAGGAAACCUCAGAAACAGUUUCUUUGAAUCGAGUGAAGGAGGAAGAAGUGACUUCCCAGGAAAAUCCCGAGAAGGAGAAGUCAUACAGAGGCGUUAGGAGGCGGCCAUGGGGGAAAUUCGCAGCAGAAAUAAGGGACUCGACCAGGCAUGGCAUAAGGGUGUGGCUGGGAACAUUUGACAGUGCAGAGGCAGCUGCUCUGGCCUAUGAUCAAGCUGCUUUUGCGAUGCGGGGCCCUGCGGCAGUCCUCAAUUUCCCGGUGGAAAGAGUGAAGGAAUCGAUGCAGGAGAUCAAGUGCAUCUUGGAGGAGGGGGGCUCACCAGUGGUGGCCCUCAAGAAGAGGCACUCUAUGCGGAGAAAAAGUCCUUGCAAGAAACAUAAAAGUGAAGAGGUGAGGUUAGAAAAUGUGGUAGUGCUGGAGGAUUUGGGUACUGAAUACUUGGAACAGCUCCUCACUUUCUCUGAGACCUCUAGUCCUUGAUCAUCAUCAUCCAUCACCUGGAUAGCUUCUUCUCUUUGCUCUGUUUCUUACUUUUCUCUCUCUCUCUCUCUCUCUCUCUCUUUUUUUUUUAUGUAAUUUUUCUUAAUGUAUUUUUGGAGAUGGCGGGGGUGUAGUGGUGGCAAUUAUCCAUCUAGAAUUUUUCAAAAGAUAUGUUCUUUUGUUUCUUUGUAUAAAGUUGAAAAGUGGGGAUCAAUUGUGAUGGUGCUCUAUGUUCAUCCACCCAAUUUAUAUAAUCAAGGUGAUUAAUGUUUUUUGAUAUCAACAAUUUGUGAAUGACAUAGAGAGAGAGAGAGAGAGAGACCUUAUUUUCUACACUCAUUACGGUGGUUUCCAUUUGGGGAAGGAAAAGGAAAUGGCUAAGAAUGUUACCAAAAGAAGUGGGGUGGCUUUCAUAUGCGUGGUGGCAUACUUGCAUACAAACUUUUCAAUUGUGUUCUGCAUGCCACUCGGGUCAAUUUCAUUUCUUUUACUCCUAGUAGCCUAAUUGGAUUUCCUUUUUCUCAUGAGACAUCAAAUAAAUUUCAUUUUUUUAUAUUUAAAUAGUUAGGUAAGUUUGAUAGUGAGUUAUAUUUUAUACAUUAAUUCAUCUUUUAGAAUGUUGUCUACAAUAUAAACAGUGUAAUUAAUUUCAUCAUUACAGAACAGUCAUCUUAUAAAAUAACAUAAAAAUUAUUGGAUCACUUGUAUGGCACCACUGAUUUGGACUUGGUAUGGCUCUGUUUGGCUUCAUAGAAAAAAUUUGGACCCAAUUUGAAUGUCUUGCAUAAAAAGAGAUACGUCCCACUUUGAAUGAUAUUGAAGAAAAAAAUUUCUGAUGAAGAAUAUAUUGUUGGCAGGGUCAUGCAGGCCAAUAGGGAAACGAUAAAUUCAGAAGAAUGAGUCCAAACCAGUGGGCUUGAAAAUUAAGAAGAGAAUUGCUGUAUAAAACAAUCAUUUCUUAAUCGAGUUCACUUUCUGAAUAAUCGUCACUUUGAGAAUGCAUACUUAGGAAGAUGAUGAUCCUUAAUGGGAAUAAUCAAAGGCAUCAAAAAAUUGUUCUGGAACAAUUCUUGAUUGUCUCCAGUAAAAUUCAAAGUCAAAAGUCAAAAGUCCAGUCGGUCAACACCAAACCAGGCCAGUCCAAAAGACAUUAAUUUGCAAUCUAGAAUCUAUGAUGAGGUGGCGAAAUCAAACCUUGGCUUUUCACCAGGGAAUGGUACUCUGAAUUUGGUCAGUUCACUGUUUCGAGUGAAUAGGGUGUAGUAAUUAGUAAAUCAUAUUUUAGAUUUGUGUCACAAGUUACAAGGGAUAUGGGCUGACGUUCAAUUUUGGCGACAAUUUGUGGGCCCGUAUAUUUGUUGAGAUGUGGAAAUUGGGUGUGUGCUUUUUUCUGCUACCACAUAAAUAUAUUUCUUUGAAUUGAAGAGUGUUUCAGACCAUUUUUUUUCAAGUCACAAAUGGACAACUGAUUGAGAUUGUAUUGGUGAGAGUAGGAGUUUAUUUUGGGCUGGUUGAGCGAAGUUGAAAGUCGAGUUGGACCUAACCCUUGAAUUCAGCAGACUACAGUCCGAUCCUGUAUUUUGGAUUUAGGGAACCUUCUUUCCCAGAAGCUUCGUCUGGGUUUUAAAGUCUAAAUGUGGCUACUCUUAAACAUUGGAGAAAGGAUGAGCGUUCACAAGCAAAUGGGUAAUUGUGGAUGGUUCAAGGACCUGGCCAGCUGGUCUUCAAGUUUGGAUGCCGGUUUGGGCCUGAGAGAGUCUUUGCAAAGUGACUUCACUUCAGCCUAUGAGAUCAAGAUAUCAUGGUGAUGUCCGAUCACUUAGGUUUCAUUUUCACCUCGGAUUACCGUUACCAUGUUCAUGAAUAAAAAUAAAUAAAUAAAUGAAGCCUUAUAGAGAAAUUAAUGAAGUGAGCUAUACAAGCAACUGGGCCAGGAGCCUACAAGGCAGAAAUUCCCUGCCCUAGACUAGGCCGAAUAAAUUAGAUGAAUGAAUUGGGGAAACCUGGGCCAGCCACACAUCCUCCUGAAGGCUGAUGUCGAACUCGCUUACGAGGAAUGGACAUGGGAGAUUGGGCUGGGACCAAAUAACCAAUUGACAGCCCUAUCCUUGUGGCAAGACGUCAGUAAAAUGGUUCAUUCUGAUUUUACGCUGCCAUUCAAUUUAAUUUUAAUUUUUGUUUAAAGCGAUGUACAAAUUGAAUGGUGUCUAGUCACUUAAAGAGUGGUUCAUAAUACACUUAAUUUAAACAAAAAAGAAAUUAUUAGAUAGGGGAUUCUCCAAUAAAAACCACCCCAUCUUGUCAGCAAGUCCGGAAACUUCCUUCACUUAGGGCGUAUUUGUUUUUUUAACUUUAAUAUUAAAGAAAGUUGGUUAAACCUUAUGACACUUUUAUAUUAUUUUAUGAAUUUUUUUUAAUUUUUAUUUUAAUGGAAUUUUAACUUUAAUACAAGUUGGAGUAAUUCUUAUCUUAAAAACAAAUCAAAAUUACUUUAAUUUUAUAUAGAAAUAAACUUACAGUAAAUUUACCAUGAAAAUUUCUAAGUCAAAUACACCAUAAGUGCUAGUAUUUUAUAAUAUUUAGAAACAUGUUAAAUUAUUAUUAUUAUUUUUUAAAAUUAUUAGUUUUCAUAUUAGUUUUAGGGAAACUUGUGCUUUAGGUCUUUUAUUUGCAAAUAAUAUGGUUUUCAAAUCCUAAGAAUAGAAAAUAUGAGAAUCAACUGUUAAUGUGGAAAAUAAUAUCAAUUUUGUGCAAUCUCUAUUGACUCAUUUUUUUGUGCCUAGAUUGCCUUCACCCACUUCCAUGUCAACAACCACAUUAAUAGAUUGUUUUUUUUUUAUAAAACAAAUAAUUAUUAUGUUUAAAAUUUUGGGGAAACUCUCUAUCUCUCUUACUUCUUCACUACAUCCGAGACCCAUCUUCCUUAAACGUUUGCCUCUCAUUUUGCCCUAACCCCAAAUCUCAUAAAUUUCUCAUUUUCUUGCCUCAUUUGAAAUAUGAAGAUGACCGAUUCUCAAACAUCUCUGUCUCUCUCUUCACGUUUUGACCAGUCUAAUUGGAAACCCAUUUUCCAAAAACCUUCUUUCUUUCAUUUUGCCCUAACCCCACUAUCUCCCUCUUCAAGACCUAAUCACCCAAACUCGAUAUCUAUCUUCCCAAAACCUUCAAGCAAACUGAACUAGACCCAUAUCUUCUUUUUUCAUCAUCAAAGGUGAAAUUUUUUUAAGGCUUUUGGAAACCGAAUUGGAGCUUUCCCUUCUUCUGGGAUUAAUCAUUCGCAAGUGAGUUUUCCAUUUAAGGCUUUGUUUGGCUGUUGAAAUCUUGGGAUCAAAGGUCUUUUAUUUUCAGGUUUCUUGUAUUUUGCUUUAUUUUCUUGUAUAUAACAAUAAUCAUUGUAACAUAUGCUAGUAGUUACCCUUGGUGCAACUUUACAUUUCCAAAUACCCUAAAGUCCAAAGCUUUUAAUUCCCUUUUCAAAGCUUUCAACUUUGAAAGCAGACUAAACCAUAAGAACUAUGAAACUUAUAUCUCUAUCACCACUAAUUAAGCAUGUCUAUGAAUCCUUCCACUUUAAGUCACUUAUUCUCAAACCAAGAAGGGCUCCUCUCAUUCUCACCCCACCUCAUCUAAAUGAGGGAAAUGAUCAAUUGCAGCCAUGCUUUGCACCAAAUUAGAGAAGUGAUCCUCCCAAUCAUCCAUUACCAAAAAUUGAUCAUGCUGAUGAGAUCAUAAGAGUCUAUUCGGAACUCCCAGUUUACUUGCCUCUUAUCUCAGGAUCCUCCAUUACCCCCUGUCUUUCCAACAUCAAAUCAACUUGCAAACAAUUCCUUUGUAGAUAAAAUGUUUUUAAUAUUGCAAAAGGGGACUUAUCAUAAUGGUUGAAUCGAUUUAUUUGAUAUAAUCACUCAAAUUCAAGCUUAAAAUUGAUCAUAAUAAAAUGUUUUUAAUAUUGUUAAAAGGAGAUUAUAAUGGUUUUAUUUGAUAUCAUUACUAAAAUUCAAGCUUUCAAACAUGCUCUACAAAGAAGUUCUAAAAGACUACAAGAAAGAGUUUCCACUAAAGAAAAACAAUGAAACCAUUUCUACUAAAGACAAACAAUGAAACCACAGAUGCUUUGUGAAAUAUGUACCCGCACAAUCCAACAAACUUUAGAAAUUCACAAACACUACCUAGAAUUUUUGCUGACCAGCAAAAAAUUUAUGCAAUUUAAUUCUUAUUGUUAUUAUUAUUUUCAAUGUGAACAAAUAUGAUUGAAUUAUGAAGUAUUUGGCCAGAAGAGGAUCUUGCCUAAUUAUAGUCAUUAAACAACCAUUUAUACCAUAGCCUCUAGACUUUAAAAAGUUUAUAAAACUCAAGGGCUUCCACCCAAUUUCUAGAUAUCUCCAUAACAUUCUUCUGACUAUUAGAAAGCAAUUACCACUUUAAUUUUUCAUUUCAUGAGUGUUCAAUUCAGAAAAAGACCAGGAUCGAACUUGCGAUCAUGCAGUCGAAAAUCCACCUGUGCAUGAAACUAUUGCCUCACGAUUGCAAACUCAAGUUGGAGUCCAGUAACAACUCUAGGUUUGCUGAUGUGCUCCAUUUGAAAUAAAGGAACUAAAGAAUACUUUAUAAAGAUUAAUUACCUUCAUAUUUUAGGUUGGGGUUAAGGCAAAAUGUGAUAGAUUGAGAGGAAGAAAAUAUAUCUUGUUCAGGAAGCCAAUAUUUUGGAGUUCACCUUUCCAUUCGAGUCCACUCUGCUAUAGCAAAAUCAGAGUCACAACUAUGCCUCUUUAAGCUAUCCUUUAAUUGGAUGAAUUGCAGAUUUGGUUGCUGAGAAAGUGGAUAAGAAAGAAAAAUGCAUACUGUAGCUUGAGAUUAAGAGUUUGUUUUCUAAAAUGAGAGAAAGGGAAAGAGAAAAAAUGCAUAUUGUAGCUUGAGAUUAAGGGUUUGUUUUCUAAAAUGAGAGAAAGGGGAAGAGAAAUGUUCGACAACUUUGAGAUGACAAAUUUUUAGAUUUGGAAAAUUUGAGAUGAGUCUCAGGUUUUUUUUUUUUUUUUUUUGUCUUUGUCUUUGUUUUUUUUUUUUUUUUUUGUUUUUUUCCCAAAAACAACCUGUUAAUGUGGUUGUUGACAUAGAAGUGGGUGAGGGCAAAAUGGGCAUAGAAAAAAGAGUCAACACAAAGUGCACAAAACCCAUAUUAUUUUCCACAUUAAUGACUGAUUCUCAUAUUUCUUGUUCUUGGGAUUUGAAAACCAUAUUAUUUGCAAAUGGACCUCCCAAAGCACAGGUUUCCCUUAGUUUUAUGUCUCCAUCUACAUUUUACAUAUAAAUAGAUUAUUUUAUAAAAUUUGUUUUGUAGAUAUAUUAGUUAAUAAUUAUAUAAUUAAUGAUAUAGAAAACAUAUAAAAAUCAUAUUUAAAAAAGAUAAUUACAUAUUCCUCAACAAUCCAUCCCAAGAAUUCGAGGUUGAGUUGAAAACAUGUAGAGUCUUUGAUGUUAUUAUAAUCAUAUCCAACACAUAUGAUUAUUGUUUAUGAGAUAUUAUUAGAAAGUUUGUCUUAAAAUAAUUGAUUUAUUACCCACCUUUAGCAAAUGCCCAUUUUUGCGUCUUUCAAAAUUUUCAUUUUUUUUUUGUUUAAAAGAAGUAUUGUAAAGAAUGAUGAAAUAAGAAAUUUGUUGAGAAAGUGUGAGUAAAUAAUUUUACAUAAAAAGAGAUUUAAUACUUGAUAAAUAAAAUAAUAAAAUCAUGAUUUCUAGUUGUAUAGGGCCGGGUGGAUGGAGUGGCUAAGAUGUAAUUCUUGAAAUAGAGGAGACAACAUCAAUGUAUAAAAGUUUAACAGAGAAGGAAAGUGUGUUUGAAUGACUUUAUUUUCUUCAUUUAAAGUUUUGACGAUGAGUGUUUAUACAAGAUAAAUUUUCAAAUGAUAGGACUCCUAUUUACAUGGAGUUUGUGAUAUACUAUGAUUAUACAAAUUUAAAAUUCAAACAGAUUCAUGAGUUGAUAGGAGUCUGCUCAAUACGCCCCUUCAAAAUGGUGGGAGAUAGCACACCAAUCUUGACUCGAAGGGCCUAAACUCGUGCAGAAGAUGAGGGCUUUGUUAGAGCAUCGACAAGUUGAUCCGUGGUUGACAUAUGGGACACCUUGAGCUCACCUGAUUAAACCUUGUUUCAAACAAAAUGAAAAUCAAUCGCCGAUGUGUUUCAUGGAGAGUGAAACAUGGGAUUUGCACAAAGAUAUGUUGCACCCACGUUAUCACAAGAGAUAGGAGGUGGUGAUAAAUUUGAAACACUAAGUUUUGAGAGAAGAGAAUUAACCCAAAGAACCUUUGAGGCUGUAGAGGCCACGACGUGAUAUUUCGCUUCAGUGGAAGAGCGUGCUAUGAACUUUUGUUUCCUCGAUGACCAAUACACAAGAUUGUGACCAAGAAAAACAAUGGGAGCAUUGGUGGAGGAUCUGACAUAAGGAUUCCUUGCCCAUUCAACAUUCGAAUAUGCAUGUAGAUUGAUGGGCGAUUUCUUAUGCAAGAACAGACCAUGCACCAUUGUGCCGACUAAGUAUCUAAGCAAUCUUUUAACACAAGACCAAUGUGUUGAUGUUGGAUGGUGCAUAAAUUGAGAUAAUUUAUUCAUCAAGAAGGUGAUGUCAGGGCUAGUAAGAGAGAAGUAUUGAAGGCUUCCAACAAUUGACAUAUAUUUAGUGGGACCAGGAAAAGAGGUGUCAUCACACAGAUUUGGAACAUUGUUGAGGAACAUCAAUGAUUGAACUGGUUUGGUAGCCACCAUUUGUGUUUUCUUAAGAAGCUCUCGAAUGUACUUGAGAUAAAAAUAAUCCUUUGGAAGUAUGUAUCAUUUCAACACCAAGAAUAAAAGAUGAAGUCCUGAGAUCCUUAAUGGAGAAUUUGACUGCUAAUUGAGAGAUCACGCGAGCACGAAAAACAUUAUUGUUACUUGUUAAAAUAAGAUCAUCAAUAUAAAUAAGUAGGUAAACAAUGAGACCACUCUUUUUAAAAAUGAAGAGGGAUGUCUCGGUUUAGGAGUUGACGAAGGCUAUUGAGAGGAGAAAUUGGCAAAGUUCAUGAUACCAUGAUCGUGGAGCUUGUUUAAAGCCAUAAAAAGCCUUACAAAGUUGGCAAAUGUGAUGAUGUGUGUAUUCGUGAACCCAGGAGGUUGAAUCAUGUAAACAUCUUCAUGAAGUGUCCUAUGCUAGAAUGCAUUAUUAAUGUCCAAUUCAUGAGUUGAUAGGAGUCUGCUCAAUACAAUGUGGGAGUGUGAUUUCAAAAUUAGGGUAAUUUCGAAAUGGAUUUUGUAUUCACAAGUUGAAUUUCAAAAUUAUUUUGAAAUGGUCUUUUAACUUUAAGCAGUUGUGUUCAAAAGGUCAUAACUUCUUCGUUUCAAUUUUGAUUUACACAUUGUUUAAAACAUUGGACUCUUUACUUCCCGAGCUUCAAAACGAUAUAUAGUAUGCUCAAAAAUGACAUCAGGAUUGGUUCAAAUUUCAUCUUGAUAUUAGAGUACAUGUUGUGAUUAGAUUUUGAGUUCCAAAUUUCCAUGUAAACUUGAUUGCAUUUGCUUCAAACCUCCUUCAUUAUGGUUGCUUGCCCUCUAUCUCACUUUGCAACAUUUGUUACUAGUAUUUUAUGUCCAUGACUUACUCAUUUCAACCUUUCUUGGAUUCUUCAUGGUUCACAAAUUAUGGAUUCUUCAUGGUUCACAAAUUGAGUCUUUCAAUUAUGCAUGUUUAACUCCUAUUUCCUUGGUUGAUAAUGACUUUUACACUUAUCAUUUUCUUUUAUUCUUUAAACCUGAAUUUAGACUUACAAAAAAAAGUUAGAUCCAUAACUAGGGUCUUAGCAUCAAUUUGAGUUAAGUUGGAUGAUUUGAAAAUUUUAUAUUACAUAAAUCAUAUCAUACAUGUGCCAUUGGAGUGCACAUUUUGGCUCUAAUCAUGUUCCAACCCAUUGUUUUACUCUUGCAUGAAGUAUGUGGCCAUUGAUUUUAAUUUUAUUUGCGAUUAGGUUCAAAAUGGUGCUUUUGUGUUGCUCAUGUGUCAUCAGAAGAUCAACUAAUGGAUUCUCUAACAAAACUACUACAUCAUAGUCAUUUUUUUUUUUCUUAAGACCAAGAUUGAGAUCUCCAAUCGGAGCCAACUCCAUCUUGGGGGCAUGUUAGUGAAAGAUAAAAUUUAUCUUUAAUUUAAAUAUUAAUAUUUAUCAGUUAUUAGUUUUAAUUAGAGUAAAAGAUAGAGUUUAAAUUGGAGUAGGAGAUAAACUUGUGUUUGAACUAGAAUAGAAGAUAAAGUAUAAAGAUUUAUGUUUGAAUUAGAAUAAAAUAUAAAGUUUGAAUUAGAGUAGAAGAUAAACUUGUUCUUUAUUUGUAUAUAAAUAUUCAUCAAUUCUUGAGAAGAAGAUUAUUUCAUAGUUUUUCUAUCUUCUUUUUUCUUCAUACAUAUCUGCAAGAAAUUGAAGAUUUCAAGUAAAAUAUUUUCUGUUUUAAAUAGUGAAAAAAGCUAGAAAUUCACUUUGUUAUCUCUUGGGGUAAAUUGACAAGGUUUAACGUUAAGAAGGUGAAUUAUUUUUUCAGAAAAACUGAAGUAGCUAGGAUAUCUGGCCAGUUGUGAUCGAUAAAAAAGUUGUAAAAUCUCUCAUAUACUAAACAGGUUUUGGAUGUUGGUAUGGUAAAUCCAUCUGCAGUCAUUCGUCAUCUCAUCUAGUGAGAUGUUUGGGAGGUGGUGACCGCCGGAUUGGGUUUCAUUUGGUUAAAUCUGUCAGUGGGUUGGCUACUACCCGAGCCUCUUGCUUUGGGGGAGGUGGGUUCUAGAUAUAAUGUUCAAACCAUUUUAGUUAUCAUAUGCAUGACAUGUAAGCAUAAUCUCUUUAUCACUUCUUCAAUGGGAGUUCAUGGUUAGGAAUUGACUUCUUUUCUUCUGGGAUGCUUGGCAUGUAAUGGACAAAGUUACUUUUAUAUCGAUCGAAUUUCUAGUAUUAUAGUGAAGACUUACCCUUUUGACAUUUUAUAUCGAAUUAUAGAAGAUGAAAGGGACAUACAUGCAAUCGACUGACGCUUUAGUGAAUAUGCUGAAAAUAUGCUGAUGCUGUGGAGAUCGUAUGAGGACAGAGGAAAAAGAUAGAAAUGGAUAUAUAAUUAGACCUAGGUUUUUAUUAAAUGAGAUGGGGAACAUAGAGUGAGGGAAAAUCAAAAUUUUUGGCUGCAGUUCACAUUGGUGAUAUUUUGGAUUGACAAAGACUAACGACUUUUCUAUUUUUCUUUUCGGCCUGACUGGAUAGUUGGACAUGGACAAUACAGAAUCCACAGAAGGAUUGUUGGGACCGCUGAAAAUUAGCUAGAAGAAGCUGAGGAAGUAGUCUACGUAGUCAAAUACCAAACACAAAGAAAGAAAGAAAUGGAUAUCAUGGAUGCCUAGAGUUAUACUCCUAAUACCGUCACAGGUAUUUUUCUUUCCUCCUUUUUUUUUCUACGAUAAUUAGAGCAUUUCUCCUCCUCCUCCUCCUCCUCCCCCCACCCCACCACCAAAAAAUAAAAAAAUAAAUUAUUGCAAGUAACACUUCAAAUAUUAAUUUAUACAUUCUAAAGUAUAUAUUCAUGAAAUAACUUGAGUAUCAUACAUUAGUUCUCAAAAAAAAAAAAAAAAAAAAAAAAAAAUUACUGGAAGAGAAAAGUUUAAGAAAACAUAAAAAUAUUCAACUACUAUUUUAAAGAGAAAAUUUAAUUUUUACACUAUAAAUUUGAAGAGAACUUUUACAUGCAUCUUAUAUAAACUACCAUUUUUUGCUAAAAGGCUUAAAUUUGUCAAAAAUACCCCUUAGGUGCUUAACGUUCUGGUCAUAAUAUAAUUGGCAUCUUUUCUCAAACAUAAGGCCUGUGUGUGGGAACAAGAUUUAAUGUUAAUGAGCUUCGCCACCGACAUUUAGUUCCAGAAAUCAUUAUUUUAAUAGAGUGGGCUCAAUUUACAACUUUAAUUAAACUCUAACCAACUGCAUUGUGAAAUGAAUAUGUUUCUUUCGUGGUGAAUCCAAUGAGUUGGGAGUCAAACUUUGCUUCAUUGUGUAUAGAUGAAAUGUUAAGACUCCAUGUAACCUCAAACAUUUCCGCAAUNNNNNNNNNNNNNNNNNNNNNNNNNNNNNNNNNNNNNNNNNNNNNNNNNNNNNNNNNNNNNNNNNNNNNNNNNNNNNNNNNNNNNNNNNNNNNNNNNNNNUUCUUUCGUGGUGAAUCCAAUGAGUUGGAGUCAAACUUGCUUCAUUGUGUAUAGAUGAAAUGUUAAGACUCCAUGUAACUCAAACAUUUCCGCAAUGAGCGGGAGUUCUAAAUUUAAUAAUUGAAAUUGUCAGUGGAACCAGUGGACAAGAGUUGGUUUGUGGUUGACAAACUUAUCCGUUUGAUCUUUACUUGAACAGUUCCAGUGUGUGGAUGGGUACUGAUGAAGUGUGCGCAUUUAUUUUGAGAAGCCUGCUUGUUCGCAUAGAUUUUAACGACAUGAACAUUGUGGUAAGGUUAGAGAGUAAUGCGAAUGUAGGAGCUUAUAUUAGAAAUGACACAAACACGUAAAUAGAAGUAAUCUAUAUAUGAUAUUACUCAUGGACUACAAGCAAAGAAGUACAAUACAUGGAGUAAGUGAUGAAAUGAGCAUUCCUCACUACUACUGCUUGACUGAUGGAACAUGAUGCACGAGAUAGCAUAAGUAGUAGUAGGAAGCAGCUCUUAUUUGUGGCGUCGGUAUACAUCAUACUAGGUAGAUGGUUCAAUUGGCAUGGAUGGGUGGUGGAGCCUUGAAGUGCUUGUGAUGGGGAGCCCACGGCUUCUUCUCAGGAGUUGGUGGCUUCUUGUAUGGAGUUGAUGGAGGUGUUUCUACUGGAGGGUGGCCAGGGUAGUGACCCUGGGGUGGUGAAGGUUCUUUUGUCGGUGGUGGCCUCACUAUUAUUGGCGGUAGAGUUGGUGGCUUGGGCGUUGGCGGUGGUCUCACUACUCUUGGGGGUAGAGUUGGUGUCUUGUGUUUUGGUGGUGGAGGUGGCUUAACAGGAGUUGGUGGCUUGUAUUCUGGGGGUGGUUUCUCCACCGGAGGUGGCUUAUAAACUGGAGUUGGUGGCUUGUAUUCUGGGGGUGGCUUCUCCACUGGUGGUGGCCUGUAAACAGGGGUUGGUGGCUUAUAUUCUGGGGGAGGCUUCUCCACUGGAGGCGACUUAUAAACAGGGGUUGGUGGCUUGUAUUCCGGGGGUGGCUUCUCUACGGGAGGUGGCCUGUAAACAGGGGUUGGUGGCUUCUCCACCGGAGGUGGCUUAUAAACGGGGGUUGGUGGCUUGUAUUCUGGGGGUGGUUUCCCCAGUGGUGGAGACUUGUAAACAGGAAGAGGUGGUUUGUGCUCAUAUGGGGGUGGCUUGUGGUCAUUAGCAAGUGAGGGAGUGGUGAGGACCACCAAUCCAAGGAACAACACGAGUGAGCAAGCAGAAGACAUGUUUGGGCUCUGGUGAUGCACAAGUAGAAGAAAUGGGAACCAUUUAUAAUGCUUCGAGACCUUGGUUAGCACCAAAAUAUGUCAAAAUCUUGAUUACUUCAUUUCAUACAUAGAUUUAAAAUUAUUUCAAUCAACCAUGAUCCUUAAUUUUCUGGGUGGUCCAUAAAUGUAAUGGGGUCAAUUUGGGACCUAACAAGCUGAGAAGUUUGACAAUGCUGCAAGGCUUCAUCCGAAAGUCCGGGGAAGAAUAUUAGGAGUUACACUCCGUUUCCUUUUUUGGGUGCAUUUUUCUCCUUUAACAUUCUAUUCCCUUUUACAUUAGCAUUUGAUCUUAGCUCAUUUCAAGUACAAGUUUCUUGAACCCUAUACCAUUGUCAAAGUUGAGUAACCAUCUCUACUUUGCUCAAGAAACAUAAAAGACAAUGACAAUAAAGAAAAAGGAGAGAGACCAUACGUGACUUGGUUUAUAGGUGGCUUUGUGUUGACAUUUGAGUAUGGAAGCCGACAUGCAUCUUAGCUUCGAUUUUAAUUAAAUUUGUACAUUAGUGUCUGUGUCAUUCAUUUUGGUAUAAAAGGUCUCUUGAUUUCGUAAGUUUGGUAAGAACCGUUGAAAAUAGCAGUAGCAGCACAUGGUCCACUUUCUUUCACAAAAUAAUUUUAAAAGUUUAGAAGCAUAGGAGGUAACAUUAGUGGCCUUGUGGCUCAGCCACGAGUACUAUGUGGUGCUCGAGAAAUUGAGUUUAAUUUCCUUCCGAUAGUUCAUGAUAAGGUCCGUCACUGUCCUGAGACAGAUUGCGUUUUUUCUUUUUUCCUUUUUUAGUGUUUUAUUGACUAGCUAGGUGUGACUUUUCCUACUUUAAGGCACGAGGCAGAAAAGAAACUGGGAUUUAGUGCUUAAGAAGGCAAAUUUAAUUCGAUUUGGAUCUAAAAUUUGCCAGCAACAUGAGAUUUUCCAGCCUAUCGUUGCUCCACAUAUAGACAAGGCACUUGUAGAAGUGGCUUGUUUGUAGCCAUUCCCGAUAUUUGGACUCACUUGAUUCACCGGACACUUUGAUAAAAUUUAAUAUUUAUUAUUUAAUAAUUUAAAUUGAUUUAAAAUUAAAUUAUACCGAAGUUGUGAUUUAAAAAUUAUUAUUUAAUUCUUACUUUUAAAUAUGAAGAUUAUUUGAUAAAAAUAAUUUAAAAUUUAUUAUAAAUUAUCAAAUUAACAUAUUUAUCCUUAUAAAUUAUAAUUAAAACAGAAAAGGUCAAAUGAUUUGAGUAUCCAUAGAUGUGGUAAAAUAAUAAAAAAGAUUAUAAAAACAAUUAUGAUAAAUAAAGAUAAAAAGUAAAAUGAAUAUGUGAAUUUAAAGAAUAAAUUAAUUAUUUUUAUUUAUUACUUAAAAUUAUUUUUGACUUUAAAUUAUAUUAUUAAAUUAUUUUACCAAACAUACUUAAUUUAGUUAAUAAUUUAAAUUUAAUUUAAGUUAUUAAAUUGAUUCACCAAAUACCCACUUAAUCAAAGACUGAAGUAUACAUUAUUUGGCCAAAUGCAGCUAUUGAAAUUUAACUUUUUCCAAACUUAUUCAUUUUGUGGAAAUAUUUUUAGAAAUGAUUUUAAAAAUGCACUAUUCUGUGUGUUGAUUUUAUAUUUUGGCAUUAAUCCAACAUAGAAAACGGUUCUUAUUUUCGCUGUUAAAUAGGUACCAGAUCCUUAAUUAGUGCCGUGAAUCCGGCAGCUUCCAAUGAGUAAUUUGGACUUGGGUAUUGACAAUGUGUGGCCAUGCUUCUACUAUUUUAUUAUUCUUGAAACAUAUAUGAUAUAUUGGACUUUAUACAGGGAAAAAAAAAAAAAAAAGUCUUCACCAAAAAUGAUUCCUCCUAAAAAAUAGACUCCACAAACUAGGUUUAACAGGAAAAUGAUUCUAAUCUAGUAGUUUCCAGCCACAUGAGCAUUUACGUAACAAUAGUAUAGUUGAUAACGACUUUUAUUUUAUUUAUUUUUAAAUAGUUAAAGGGAUAAUUUUUGAGCUUAAAUUUUAUUUUUUUAUUUAGAAACAUUUUACUUUAUUUUUUAAUCAUAAUUCUAUUAUAUUAAUGUUUUAUUUUCUAUUUUUUAAUAUAUAAGGAGAUACUAAAUUUAUGUGAUUAUUUUUUAAAAAUUUAGUAUAUGAAAUUAAAUAAUUGGAUAUAUAUACAUAUAUCAUAUAAUGUUUUUUAAGUGUGAUUUUUGAACUUUUUAGUCAUUUUAUAAGUUUAAGCUUUUGAUUUUUUUUUUUAAACUUUGGUAUUUUUUAUUUUAUAUAAAACUAUUUUGAUUUAAUUUUAUUAAAAAAUAUUGGUAUUAUAAAUUAUUGUAUUAAUUAUUUUUUUAUAUUAUAAUGUAACUGGUAUAUACUAAAAAAUGUAUGCAAGUUCAAUUUAAGUUUCAAAUUAAAAAAUUUCAUUUAAAUAUUUAAUAACUUGUUCAUAAUAAAAAAUUAAACAACAUAAUACAAAUGAAAAGAAACAUAAAAGAAAAAGGAAAAAAUGGUCCUCUCUGUGUGUCACAUUACUAGGUCAUCCUCUUUUUCUAUGACCCUUACAAUAGAAUGGCAUAUUUGUCAAAUCUACUUAUGAAAGUUGGAAUGUUUCUACAUGUGUAGGGUCCAUUGGAACUAAUGGAGGAAAGGCUUAACGUCUAUGUAAAUCACAACGUUGCCUAGGUGGGCAUAGAUCUAGUUGUGUAACAUGAGAUGGUGUGAGAGUACAAUAUAUGCAUUGUAGUCUCUAUGGGAAGAGAGAUAGGUAAUGGUAGGGUGGUAGACGGUAGGGUGAUCUCUAAUAUAAUGACAUUUGAUGUGGUGGCUUCUAAGAGAGGAGAUAUAAGAGAUGGUAGAAUGACAUUUGGUGUAAUGGUCUCUAGUGCAAUGACAUGUGAUAUGGUGACCUAUAAAGAAGAGAUAUAGGUGAUGGUGAAGUGGUAUGUGGUGUAGUGACCUUUGAGAUAGAAAAUAGAGGUAAUGGUAGGUUGGCAGGUGGAGUGGUCUUUGGUGUAGUGACAUCAAUUAUAAAUGUCUCCAAGGGAGGAAAUAAAGGUGAUGGUAGGUAGUAAAUGUUGAGGUGGUCUUUGAUAUGUUAUGCUCUAAGAGAGAAGGUAUAGGUAAUGAUAAUAGGGAAUUUGACAUAGUGGUGUUGGAAAUAAAAAGUGAAAGUGACCGUAGAGGUGAAAGGGCAAGUGUAAAAGCCUCAAGUACGAAUGGAGUAAUUAAUGUGGAUGGUGCUAACAUAGUCUUAGGUGGAUACACAAAUAGUCAUAGUCAUCAACUAGCUUGCCCACCAUCUGUCUUUCUGCUAGUGAUAGGUUACAUCUUAAUAGUAAUGGCCAACAUAAGUGGUGUGGAUCCGAUUUUUUUACGUGUGUCCCCACUCAAUCGACAAGACUUAUUUUUUAUUAGUGAAAAAUUAAUUUUGGAAAAGUUGGAGUCACCACUUAUUUUAUUUUAUUUUAAAAAGGAAAGUAAAACAAGAAAGAGAACUCUAAAGAAGUGACUUCAUAGUUUUGGAAAAGUUAGUCUUAAAAAAUCCAAGUCUUGGUCCGGAGAUCAGGUUACUUAUUGGGAAGAUACCUCUAAGAGGUAAUACCCCUCUAAACCCUAAAGAAGUCUCUAAUGACUAAGUUGAGGAGAAUGUGGUAAUUAAUUAAUUGAUUGAGGGUACCUAGGUAGACUAAGGUGAUUUCAGAAUUAACAUACCAAGCUAGAAAGUCCAAUCAUGAUCAUAAAAGAGAGUCAAAGUAUGUACCUGAACUGCUUCUCAAACGCUAUCAUAAAACAUCAAAGUUAGUAUAGAAAUAUAACACAUAAUAUUUGUUUUAUCCAAGCAAAUAAAGCAUACAUCUAAGCACCCAAGAAUCACAUCAAGUAUGGAUAUAGUCAUCAAUAGCAUACGUGUCCAUAGAACUAUCGAAAGUAAAUGUGGAGGAGCGUAUCUGGACAACAUAGAUAACUUAUAAUGUGCUUCCACAAGACAUGGGGGUUAGAUAAAAGUUAUAAUAAUAAUUAGUAAAUGAAAGAAUUCUAGCAUGUUUGGUAUCUAAAUAACAUAGCAAAAAUGAACAAGAGUACACGAAAACAUCAAUUAUCACACGAGUCAUAUUGGCUAGUAUUUAAUCAAUAAACCAACAAUAAAUGACUAUAAACAUAUAAAAUGACAUAUUCAAAGAGACCCAAACAUAAAGAGCCUAGAACACAAGCUUACACUAAAUUUAGAAAACUAAAACAUGGAAUUUUAAAAGCAUAAAUUAGCAAACAAAUUGAUGGAAACUAAAUUUAGAUAACUUAAGAAUAUUUUUCUUAUCCUUCAAUUUAAAUCAGUAAGCCAACAAUAAAAAAUUAUAGAAACAUGGAAUAUCAAGAUCAAUGGGAUACCUAAACUAUAAUUUUUAAAAGAAAAUAAACUAAGCAUAAUAUCUACAAAGCAACUAAACUAACAUUUUUUUAAAAAUAAAUUAAACAUGACAUUAAUGGAGUAACCAAACUAAAUUAAAGUAAACUAAAAACAUUUAUGAAUUUUCAAACAUGGAAUCAGCUUUCUUAGUAAAUUAAAAUUAUUAAAAUAAAAUCUAAGCUUAAAAAUGAAUUAAAUACUAACUAAAGCAAAUCUAAAACCAAAUAUUUAACACAUAGGAUCAAUUAUAUUAACAAACUAAAAUUUUAUAAGAACACUUAAACCUAAAGUUGAAUUAAAAACUAACCAAUUUUUAAAACUAGAUCUUUAACCCAUAGGAUCAAUUAUAUUAACAAAUAAAUAAUAAAUAAUAAAUAAAUAAAACUCAAACCUAAAGAUGAACUAGAAAUGUACCAAAGUAAAUUCAAAACAAGAUCUUUAACACAUUAGAUCAAUUAUAUUGACUAACUAAAAAAAAAAAAAAAAAACACUCAAACCUGAAACGAUGUAUUAGAAACUAACCAAAGCAAAUUUAAAAUAGAGUCUUUAACACAUAGGAUCAAUUAUAAUCACUAACUUAAAUUACAAUUUUUGAAACAUGAACUAAUUAGUGUUGGAUUAAUUAAACUAAUUAACUAAAAAAAACUAUAAACUAGAAUACGGUGAAUCAAGAAUUCAAAUCAACAAACAUAAAAUAUGGGUACAAUGAAAUGAAAAUCUAUUAAACUAAUAAGACGGAAAUAUGACAAACUCAUGAACCCACAUUUUGAUCAACUAGGAAAUAGAAAUUAAUAGACCUGUAGCAUGGAUACAAUGAAAUGAGAUCAGUUAAAUUUAUUUGCCGAAAUUCUAAAAAACACAUACACUCAAAUAAGAUCUAAAUCUAAGACCAAGCAAAACUCAAACUUUCUCAAUCUAAUGCAAUGAAUCAAAACUAAAAUUAAAUAGAAAUCAAACCAUUUUUUUUUUAUCUAAUAUAAUAAAUCAAAGCUAAAACUAAACAAAAUCGAAUUUUCUUAAUUUAAUAUGAUGAGUCAAAGCUAAAAUUGAACAAAGUUCAAACCUUUAUAUAAUGGAUCAAAGUUAAAUCUAAAUGAAAUCCAUACUUCCACAAUUUGAUAUAACAAAUCAAAAAUAAAACUAGAUAAAAAAAAAGUCAAAGCCUUUCAACUUGACAUAGUGAAUCCAAACUGAAACGAAACAAAAUUUUAACUUUUCCAAUGAAACCCAAUAUAGAAAAAAUUAGCUUACCUUCUUUAGAAUAUAUGUAUGGGCCAUAAAGAAGUCACCUUGGUGCAUGUGUUCCUCACUUUGACGCCAAUGGACGACUUUCUAUGGUAGCAAAUGGAGAUCCUUUUUGGUGGUAACUUGCGUGUGGAAACCUAUGGUACAACCAAUGUCAUCUUUUAUUGUGCGUGUGGACCAAUUUCUUCUCGAGAACUCAUGUGUGUUGUGCUCAAAAUAUGUUGCCUGUGAGAAUCUAUUGGUAUACCCCACAUAUGGUUUCCUUGAGAGAAUCUGUGGUUGUGUGUGGGCGUUUUCUUCAUGACAGCAUGUGGAUGUUCCCAUCUAUGGUAGAUUGGUUGUGAUGCUUUAGUGCAUGGUCUCCAUAGGAAUAGUGUGUUAUGGAAAUUUGGUUUUUUUAUUGGUGCAUGUUGUCUAGACUUUCCCAUAUGCGUGGACUGUGUGUUCAUGCUUUUCUUUUCGGAUGGUCGCCUGUGUUAAUGUGUGGCGGUGUCUACAAUGAAAGAUACAACCCUUUCUCUCCUUCUGCGUGAUAGAAAAGUCAAUCCCCCAUGGUGCGACUAUGUUCCCUCGUCCUUUUUGAAAAAUUUUGGUGUUUUCCCCCCAAAAAAUCCCCUCCAAAAAUCUAAUUAUAAAUGUCUGCUUUGGCCUAAUGUGUGUGCUACUUUUUUUUUCCUUCUUUUUAUGGUUGUGCGUGCUUUUCUUGAUACGUGGCUUAUUUCUUAAGGAUAUGAUUCGCUCCCAAUUGGUGUCUCAGCUGAUUCAUGUCCUUUCAAUGGUCCCUGACAGUGGUGCCAUUUGAUUCGUGUCCAGCUGGUGUCCCUUGAUUGUGGUCCUCAGAAGGGAGUAAUCAAUAAAAUUUAUAACCUAUUACACCAUGUAUUAGGAUAGCCUUAGCUAGCAUAGCAUAGUGGCUCUAGGGUCGUUUAUUGGGAUGAGUUUUCACUUCACAAUUGAUAUUAAUUCAAGAGCUGAAUUGGUGCCUUUUCAUUUCAAGGUUAGCUUUAAAAGAAAACAUAAUCUUUGGUGGAAAAAGGUUUGGUUUUAAACUAACCAAAAAUAGUAACUGAUUUUACUUACAAAGAAAAGUGUUCUUUGGAGUUUAGAUCACUAGGCUCAGGUUCCUCAUACAAAAAGGAGAGUUCCGAUCAUUUGUUUCUUUUCCUCGCAUUAGAGAAUUAACAUAUAGUUAAUUCUCUAACCGGUGCGGUACAUAUGCUUCCCAUUAAUGGGUUCAAACACUAAAUACCUCUCACUGAUGCACCUUGCAAUGGCUCGUGCCUCUCACCUAGCAUUUAUCAUUCAAGGUGAUCUUUAACCUUGGAUUACCCAUCAAAAGCUCGCAAGAGAUAACUAAAGGAUGUCUCCUUAGAGUCCAAAAGCUUACCAAGUGUUGGUUAUUCUAGAAAAUCCUACCUUCAAACCACCUCCCAAAGGCUCGCAAGAGAUAAACAAGUGCAUCUCAAUGGAUGAAGAUCACUUGCCUUACCAAGUUUUGGCCCAGAUGAUUUAAUGACAUUUUAAGUUAACUAAAAAGAUAAAAACCAUUAACGGGUCACACUUUCUCUUCAUUAAAAACUAAAACAACAAAACUUCCAAUUUAUGCAUGAGGAAACUUACCUGGCUUUCUUCACUUCAAGAGAUGAAGAGCCUAGCCACUCAUCAUUUGAGGAAAAAUCCUCAGAGUUUGAUUUGCUAGAAAUAAAAAUAAUGAGAAAACAAAAAUAUAUAUAUGAAAAACAGAGCAAGUUCUCUGUAAUAUAUUUUUCUUCCUUAUACAAAAGGUUGUCUCUAAGAACAAGUUCCCGAGAUCUAUCUGAUUGUAAAUAAAAUUACAACUAUAUAUAAGAGGUUAUUCACCCCUUUGUUCUUUCUUAAAGACUAAGGAAUCCUAUGAUAGGUGGGUUACAAGGAGAGUUUGGGGAUUUAGACAUCAAAUAUCUAAAGCAAAAUAUCUCAAGAUGUUAGUCGGAAAUAUCAGGAAGCUUCAGGAGAACACCGCGACACUGUAUACUGAGAGAAAAACUCUCCGGGUAAGCUCUAUCAAAGGAUCCAGACAUGUCUGACUGGGAAAGUUGAAACGUCCUUCUCUCCCAUCCGGAUGUGAGAUAUCCGGAGAAAGUGAAAUGUCGGUCGGACAGAAUUCUUUCCCCGGGUGGAAUGAGUUGUGUUGCGCGUCGCAAGGGGGACCGUCUGCGUGUACAAGUUGUAGGGACCCCUCUCCCGGAUGACACCGAGCGCGUAAGGCUAUCCGGAUCAACUCCAUUCGGAUUCCCCAAGAGGACAUGUGGCGUGCUCCCCUAUCAGGACUCCCUUAGGGAGAAGCACACGACACUCGUGAACAUCAUACCCGGACGAUAGCAUGUCCUAUCCGGAUGUGUUGUCCGGAUCAUUGACUAAAGUGAGCAAGCCUUGCUACGUCAUUCGGACAGCUUGCCACAUACCAUGUUCCGUCGCCAUCUGAUGGUGUGUCCGAACGCCUUGUCCGGACAUCUUUUGCUCCUUGCAUUCCGGAUUUGCUUAUGACAAAGGACUUCAAAGCUUCGGUUCUUCAUGUUUCUGAGCUUUCCAUUGCUUUGCCAUGGAUUCCAAAGAACUCUCCUUAAUCACGGAUUGCUUUGGUGAUCAAAAAGUUAUCAAAACACAAAAACUUAACAUAGUUUGAUUAGAAUUGAUUGCAAGGGUUCUUAAUAUGUUAAUUGGGUUAAAAGGUGAUAACUACUACUCAAAAGUGUUUAUAAGAAUUAAUUACAAGCUAUGAAAUAACACUUUUUGAGUAGUAAUCAGGAUACAUCCUAGUUUUUCAUGGAAUUGAUAGUGGGUUGUUGUGCAUGAAUGCCACCAUUUCAACUAUGCUGUUGUUAUUUUUAAAAAAAAUAUGGAUUAUGCGCGAGUGGCAAUUCUCCACUAUGGAAAGUGGAUUGCUCCUUCAACCCAUGCAUGGCUACGUAUUCCUAUGUCUUUCUACUUGUGUUUGAUCCUCCAAAAAAAAUUUCGGUUUAGUGCUAGUAGAUUUUAAGUGGUGGAUCCCCAUUUUUUGAAAAUGAAGUGGCAGCCUCCCAUUUCAAGACAAAAUGGUAGCCUGCCUUUAAUCUUUGGAGAAAAAUCUGUGCAUGACCUUUUUUUUUCCCAAAAAAUCCGUGCAUGGUGUCCUUUAAUAUUUGGAGAAAAAUCUAUGUUGGAUCUUUUCUUUUCUAGAAACAUUUGUGUGGUCUUUUUUGUUAGCCCAAGGGUUCUUCUAAUCAAGUUUUGAUGAUAACAAACCAUGGUUAAGUGACUAAUUGGUUUAAUGAUUAAGAAUCUCAAACAUAAAAUCGAAAAUUCAUCAAAGGACCAAAUGGAUACAAGAUCGAGACGCUUGGAAGACUUGUAAUCAUAGGAAACUAAUGUAAGAUGAAUGCAUGAGUGCACUUAGGAUUUUCACACGUUUCAUGCAACUUAGAAAACCCAGUUUAUUCUUUAAAACUUCAUCCCAGUUUAUUCUUUUUAUGGUUGUGUGUGCUUUCCUUGAUACGUGGCUUAUUUAUUAAGGAUACAUCCCAGUUUUUCAUGGAAUUGACAGUGGGUUGUUGUGUGUGAAUGCCACCAUUUCAACUGUGCUGUUGUUAUUUAAAAAAAAAAAAAAUGGAUUGUGCGCGAGUGGCAAUUCUCCACUAUGGAAAGUGGAUUGCUCCUUCAACCCAUGCAUGGCUACGUAUUCCUAUGUCUUUCUGCUUGUGUGUGAUCCUCCAAAAAAAAUUUUGGUUUAGUGCUAGUAGAUUUUAAGUGGUGGAUCCCCUUUUUUUGAAAACUAAGUGGCAGCCUCCCAUUUCAAAACGAAGUGGUAGCCUGCCUUUAGUCUUUGGAGAAAAAUCUGUGCAUGACUUUUUUUUUCCCAAAAAAUCCAUGCAUGGUGUCCUUUAAUAUUUGGAGAAAAAUCUAUGUGGGAUCUUUUAUUUUCUAGAAAAAUUUGUGUGGUCUUUUUUGUUAGCCCAAGGGUUCUCCUAAUCAGGUUUUGAUGAUAACAAAUCAUGGUUAAGUGACUAAUUGGUUUAAUGAUUAAGAAUCUCAAACAUAAACUCGAAAAUUCAUCAAAUGACCAAAUGGAUACAAGAUCGAGACGCUUGGAAGACUUGUGAUCAUAGGAAACUAAUGUAAGAUGAAUGCAUGAGUGCACUUAGGAUUUUCACACGUUUCAUGCAAUUUAGAAAACCCAGUUUAUUCUUUAAAACUUCAAUUUCAUUAAAACCCGAGUUUUUAACUAAUGUACCUUAGGCAAAAUGUUUUAUAAUUGGCUUAAUAAUUCACCUAAAUACAUUUUCUAAGUGUUAGAAAAGAAAGGAAUUAAAAAAAGGUUUUCGGGGCAAAAAAGGCUCAACCGGUCGAGGCUAUGGUCAACCGGCUCAACCGGUUGAGGAACCAAUCGAUCGGUUGUGCUUGUCCGAUCGAAGACCAAUCGAGGGAUGCCAAAAAAUUUCUCUCUCUCCUAGUGGCCUUCUCUUCCCGGUCGAGGUUCGGUCUAGGCAACGGUAACAUGUCAAGCAUUAAAUGCUCCGACGACUAGUGAAUCGGUCGACCCCUAGCCCGAUCGGACGAGGUUGCCUUUUGCUGUUUUUGACUCCCGAGCUUAGAAACCUAUAAAUUGAGAGCUCCACUUCAUUUAUUGAUAAAAGAGAACACUUGCAUUCAAUAGUCUACCUACCUUUUCUUGAUCAAAAAGCUCUCAUUUCCUUCAUAGUGCAUUAAAUCAUCACUUGCAUAUCCUUUAGUGCACUAUUGUGUGUCAUCCUAGCUUUGUUUUGUAUUUGAGCUAUCCUUAAGCUAGGUUGAGGGAUUAUUUCUUAUAAAAAUCUGAGUGUUAAAGCCUUCAAGAGAUUUGAAUCUUGAAGAGAUUGUGUAAGAGCCCAUUGGAGCCGGAGUCCAAGUGUAAGAAGAUUGGAAGCUUGGUUGAAGCUUCAAGUUAGUGGAACCCUCACUCGGUUAGGAGGUUGAGGAGAGUGGACGUAGGUAAGGAAGUGUCGAACCAUUAUAAACCCGAGUUUGAAUUCUCUAACUCUAUCUCUUUAUUUUGCUUAUAUUGUGUUUGAAUUUGUUGUGAUUGAAAAGAUUUUAAAAACCUAAUUCACCCUCCCCCCUUUUGGGUUUUUUUUUCUUAAUUAAGCAUAACCUUUGUUUUCUAAUUUUCUUUUUAGGAAAAUCCAUGCGUGGUAUGUCCAAACUCUCCAAGUGGCAGUCUGCCUUCUUCUAAAAAAUUUGUUUCUAUUUCUUUAUUCGACUACCUUCCAUGUCUUCCUAAUGAGUGCUUGUGCUCAAUGGUCAAUCCCUGGUGGUUGCCUCCUUUUCCCAUAUAUACGUGUUGCAAAAUCAACAUCCCACUAUAUGUGGGUUGCCUCUAUGGCAAGUUCACAUUUCCCACAUGAAACCUAUGAGUUUCCACCAAAAAUUGCCAUGAAAAAGUCUUUAUAUGCAUCUCAUGCAAUAAAAAGUCAAGCCAAUACUCAUCUUAUCUCGAAAAAUAAGUAACCAAAAUCAAGAUCAUGCCUAAGUGAACUAUGCCAAAAGAAGUGUCCAAGUGACCUAUUAUGAAAAAAGUGCCUAAGUGACCUAAGGUGAAUGUGUGUAAGCUGGAAGGUGUCUAGGAUGUUUAGGACAAUGCCUAAGCCUAAAAUAGGGUUGCCAAGGGUCACAAUGGGGUUAGAUAAAUCUCUCAAUCAGAGUCUCCAAGGUGGCUCAUAAAAGAUAAGCUACACGAGUAAUGAUGGGCCACCAGGGAAUUAUUGUAAAGCACCAAACGAACACAUAAUAGGACAUGUGUUAGAAUGAAAAAAUGGAGGGUUUACAAGUGGUCUCAUGGAUGAGCUUGAUAAUUUAAAUGACUCACAUAAUGAACGUAUGUGAUGUUUCUCUCCAAUAACAAGCAAAACAUCACUAGCAAUAUGAUGAAUGUCUCCUAAAUCACUUGAAGUAGUCCUAGCAAAUCAAUUAGAAAAAUCACACAUAUUGCUCUAAUGUAAUAUUAUAUACAUCUGUCAAUGAAUGGGAGAACUAAUGACACAACCAUCAUGUUGAUAUCUCGAACCCUCUAAUCUCAUAUGUAGGUGGGAUCACACUUAGAAACUCAUAACACAGUAAUGACCAAUCUAAGUCAAAAUGUGUUGGUGAUCGGAGGCCCAUGAAUAUGAAGUUCUAGGAUGAUAAUGACAUCUUAUAAAGUAAUGAUCAUCUCCUUAAUAGAUAGGUGAAAUGUGUGUGUCUUAGGACACCAUCUCUCAACAAGACUUGUGAUCAAUCCCCAGUCUAGUGUAACAUGCCUAUUAUGACAUCCAUCGUAAAAUCUAGACUAGAUAAUAUAAGGACAAAUGUGAGGGUUCAUCUCCCUUUCCCACAUAAAUUUAAAAAAUUAUUAUUGACAAGUUAAGACCAAACUAAGUUGCAAAAUAUAAAUAAGUCCAUUAGAUAACAAAUUUAUGUUUUCUCAUUUUCUCAUUUUUAAAGAGAUAUUAUGUGCUUCCAUGUACAUACAUGCUAAAGUCAAUUAUACGAGACUUAUAUCCAUCUUGUAGAACCAAAUCGAACCUAUCUAAUAGAUCCAGAUUAGAAGUAUGUCCUCUAUACUCCAUAUUUAUAACACAUUUAUAAAGAUAAAUGCUAAAAAAAUGUUAAAGAUAUAAAUUUAAUGAACCAUACUUUAUGAUUUUAAUUCUCAAUUAUUGUUCAUAUUUAUAAGAGAAAAGUUAAAAAAAUUGAUAGAGUUUUCCCUCUAUCAUGGACAUUAUCCCAAAUAAAAAUAAAUUGAUUAUGCAAAUUACAUUAAUAUUUGUAACCAAAUGAUCAAUAACUAUCUUGUAUCAAUUUAGUAAAUAAAUUUAAGUAUAUCUUUUCAUUUAUGACUAACAAAUAACUCAUACUUGUCCAAUAAAAGCCACACCUAAUUUCUAAAAUUUUGUCUUCACCUCAAGUGAGUGUUACAUUGAGAAAGAAAAAAUAUGAAAGAAAAAAUGAACACCUUUUUCUUUUAAUAAAAAAAGGCCAUAACGAAACAUUAAAUCUCACUGUUACACCUAUCUUCAAUGGAAACAUGAGGAUGUGAAUGGUGGCGGUGAUAUUCUUUGCUUGAAGCUCAUAAACAAAUAUUCCUUACUAAGCCUAUGCCAUUUAGUAUUUCAAUAGUGGACCCCCCCCCCCCCCCCCCCCCCCUCCUUGCAUUUCAGAUUUAGCAAACUUAGAACCAAAUAACAAAGUGCAUUUGAACCCAUAAAGAAGUAAUGAGACUCUCCUAUAUUGGCAAUAGAAGAAAUUUUUGGAGGUAUAGGAGAUUCACGGAUGAAGAAGUUGGGCCCCAAUUGAGAUAAGACCCAAGAAAAGAUGGGGUAGAGAGGGAUGGUUGGAAAUUGUAAAGUAAGAUUUUCAAAAUGUAGUUGAUGACUAAGAUUUUGACAAUUUAAAAAAGGUUUAAAAAUGUAGUUAGCAAUCGGGGUUUUGUAACAUUUAAAAAAUAAAAUAAAAUCUCAGGCCACAUGGUAGCCCAUGUGAUUCAGAAGCUUGAGAAUUAUUUUAUAAGAAGACUUAAUUUGUGAUUUUUUUAUAACUAUAUUAUUUUUUUUCUUAACACACGAAAAAAAUUAUGAAAUAAGACAAUUUUCCUAAGAAAGCAUGUAAGUGACUCUUGGUUAUUUUAUUUAACUUCUUCUAGUUUGGAGAGGAUUAAUACCUUUGCUUUUACUCACUUGCUUGGAUAUGUACACGUUGUUCAUGUCACUUUUCAUUUAAUUUUCUGAUUAAGGGAAUUGGAACCGUACGUAACUGUCUUUAUUCCCUCUGAAACUUGGACUUGGAGUUGGACUUUCAAUCUCAUCAGUCGUGUUUCCAUAAAAAAGAAGAUGGAUUAACCAAUUUUCCUAUGCCUACUAAUCAUACACAAAACUCCACUUCCAAAUAAAAAGGAAUGGGAUAUCACUUGUUAAUAGUGGCUAAAGACUAUUAAUAACCAUGCAAAGAAAUGUCACAUUUUUUGUUCUACGCAAAUUUUAUUCAUCAACUACUAGAACCAUUUCAUACAAUAGUAGCUUUUCGAUCCUUUGAUAAAUGGACACUUGAUGUGAUAACACCAACUACACCUAUAUAUUCAAGCAAUCAUGCGUAUAUAAUAGUGGAUAUGGAUUACUUCUCUAAAUGGGCAAAAGUUUUGUCAUUCAAGGAAAGUGAACGAGGAAACACAAGUUUACUUUCAUCGGAACUAAUAUUAUAUAUUGAUAUGACUUCCCAUUAUUACUUACGAUGGAAUAUGCUUCCAUAAAAUGGCCUAGAUGAACAAACUAUCCAAGAAGUUUGGGAUCAAAUAAUAUAUAUAUAGUUCAUGUGUGAUUCUUUGGUUGACAACCUUGUUAAGGGGUGAGUGAAGCACUUUGGGCAUACCACAUACUACAUGCUAGACUUCCACCCAAGCUACCCUAUAUUCCUUAUGAACAAAGUAGAAGUUGUCAUCUCUCUUGAAUACCAAAUCCUUUCACCUAAUAAUGCUAUCUAAAAAGGUCUUAAAAAGGAUAAAAAUGCGCAUAUUUGAAUUUUUGAAUUAGGAGUGCUACUUAAAAAGAAGCUAGAUAUACAAUAAUAGAAUGUUAUCAAGCAUAUCUCUUCAAAGUUUUUGACCAAAAAAUAUAUGAUUUCUCAUUUUAGGUAGGAGACUUAGUACUCACUAUUCAAAAACCAAUUAUCAUUACUCAUAAAAACUAAUAGAAAGUUUGGGCCAAAGUAGGAUGGACCUUAUAUUAUGCAACAAUUAUGCCUAUAAAAUUGUUGCAAAAGAGGUUUUAGAAUCAAAUCAAUGAAUGAAAAAUUAUUAAAGCAUUACUAUGCUUGAAGGCUAGUCAUUUUCCCUUAAAGUGCAAUAUUAAGUUGCAUAGUACUAUGUGGAUCCGCAUUUUUCACAUGCGUUCCCACUCAUUGUCGAGACUCACUUUUUAGAAGUGAAAAAUUAGUUUUAUUAAAGUCGAAGUUGCCACUGGGGAUUUGAACCCUAACAAAAGGUUCAAUUUAAGGAUAAAAAUAUCGAUAAUCACAUAUAUAUAUAUUGGUACUUUGAUUUUAUGAAUAUAUUGAAGAAAUAUGGACAAAUAUUUUGACACAAAAUAUGUACAAAAUAAAAAUUAUAUAAAAAGUAAAAAUAAAUAUUUUAAAAUUAUUUUUUUAAAUAUAUAUAUAUAUAAUUUGACAUAUUUGAUAAUAAUAUAUAAGGGUCUCCAAAAAGCCCGUGGCCCGCUUUAGGCCCGGUCCGACCCGACAGGCUAAAGCCCGGCCCAAGCCCGCCGGGCCCAAGCUCGGCCCGAGCCCGUUUAUGGGUGGGCCGGGCCGCGAGCCCGUAGGCCUGCUCCUUUAAAAAAAAACUACAAAAAUAAAAAGUAUUAAAAAAAAUAUUCAUUUCAAAAUUUUAUUCAUUGAAUGUAUAAUUACAUUUGAAAAUGUGGGAAAAGUUUACAUCACUACAAAAUAAAUACAUCCCAACUAGGUUGGCACCUAUUUAUUUGUCAAUCAUCUGUAUUUUUCAACCACAAAAAAUAAAAAUAAAAAUAUAAUAUACAUUUAGUCAUUAUUUUCUGGCGGUGAUGGCGAACUAUCAUGCAUCCAUGAAGAUCUUGAUAAUUUUAAAGAUUCCAUAUCGGUAAGCAUCUUUGUUUCUCGAAUGGAAUCAUACAUCCUUUUAUCUGCUAUUUCCCAAUCUUUCACACAUAUCCCUGCUUUAAUAACAUCUGACGCUAAGUUGCAUCGUUUUUUACUAACUACUCUUCCACCUGCACUAAAAGCAGCUUCUGAUGCAACUGUACUCACAGGAACUGUUAGUACAUCACGAGCAAUUAUAGAAAGCACAGGAUAUUUGUGUUGAUGUGAUUUCCACCAUAUUAAAAUAUUAAAAUCUUCUUGAUCUUCAAAUGAAAUUAUAUCAGUAUUAAGAUAUUUAUCUAAAUCAGAUGUAUUAUUUGGAGAAUUAUUUGUUGUCUUUUUUCGACUUUUCAACAUUUCUAGAGCUCCUUUAUAAAAAGAUGAGGAGUUUGUAGAUGUAGGUGGUAAUUUAAUAGUAUUAAUAUCAUUACCAUAUUUUUCUUUAUAAUAGUUAUAUAAAUUAUAUAAUAAUGAAUUUAUUUCAUUUUUAAUUUCUUCAAUUUUUAUUUGGUCAUUAAAAUAAAUAAUUGUUAACCAUUCAUCCAAAGCUUCAAAUUUCAAUCUAGGGUCCACAAUUAAAGCAAUAUAAAAAAUUAAAGGUAUUUCUCCCCAAUAUUUUCUAAAUUUUUAUAUCAUUACAAAUAUUGUAUCAUUAAAUAUUUCAAAACUUAAAUAUUUUUGAAGUACAAUAAAAAUAUUAGUUAUUUGCGUAAUAACUCGAUUUGAAGUUGGAUAAUAUACACCACAAAAAAUGUUUGUUGAAGUAUCAAAAAUUUCAAAAAGAUCUCUUAAAACAUCCGCAAUAUGCCAAUCAUAAUCAUUUAAUGCAUAAAUAUCUGCUUCAUAAUCAUUGUUAAUUAAUUGUAUUUCAUAUAAUUCGACUACUUUUCUAUAUUUUGUAAUAUUUUCUAAAAGUUUAUAUGUGGAAUUCCAUCUAAUAGCCAUAUCCAAAUUUAUAUUUUUUCUUUUCAUAUUUAACAUUUUGCAACAAUCAAAAAAUAAUUCAUGUUUUGCUUGAAAACUAUUAAUACUAUAUGCAAUGCCUCUAAUUUUUUUCCAAUGUACUAUCAACAUUUUUUAAUCCAUCCUUUACAAUUAAAUUUAAAAUAUGUGCACAACAACGCACAUGAAAUAUUUUAGCAUGAUCUUCUUUUACUUGCCAAUAUCGUUUUAGUCUAUGUAUUGCUGCAUCAUUAUUAGCAGCAUUAUCUAAUGUUAUUGUCAAUAUUUUAUCACGAAUGCCUAAAUCUAUAAUUUCAUCAUUUAUUAAAGAUGCUAUAUUUUUACCACUAUGUGGAGUAUUUAUUAAUUUAAAUAAAAUUAUUCUUUUAUUUAAUUUCCAUUCAUUAUCAAUGUAGUGAACAAUUAUAUAUAAAAAACCAGUAUGAGUUAAAGAUGUCCAAAUGUCAGAUGUUAAACGAAUAUUUCCUUCAAAAUUUGCAAAAUUUUUUUUUAAAAUUUCUUUUUGUGUAUAAAUUUUUUUCAUAAUAUCUCUUUUAACUGUAUUUCCAGAUCAACCUUUAAAUUGAGGAUUAAUACCUCGUUGAAUUGUUCUUGCAAAAUCAUGAGUUUCCAUCAUGUUGAAAGGUUGUUCUGCUCUUAUUAUAUAAUCAAUCAUUUCUUCACAACAGUUAGAUUCAUCAUAAGAAAAUGUUUUUAAAUUUCCACUUUCAUUUUUACUUAAUUGCAUAUAAUUUCUAAUAUCUACAUUAUUUUUAGUUUUACAAUUUUCAUGAUGUCUUUUUAAAUGACUUGUAUCUGCAUUUGAGCCACCAGUAAGAAAUUUAUUACAAAUUUUACAUUUUGCUUUUAUUUUUUUUUUAUUAUUUUCUAAAAUUAUUUCUAUUCUAUCAAAAAAAUUCCAUAUAUUUAAAGUAAAUUUUUUGUUUGAUGAUAUUUCAUCACAUGGACUAGACGAAGAAGCACUUGUCAUAUUAUAAUUAUUGAUAAAAUAUUAUGCCAAAAAUAAUAAAGUAAUAAAUAUAAAAAAAAAUGUAACAAAAAAAAUAAAGUAGUAGGGGUGAAGUAUGUUACUCAAUUAGAGAACCUAUGCAGAAAUUCCUAGCAAAUUUGAACUCUUGGAGCCACCAAUGCUUGUUUUGCACCAUCAACAAUAUUGUAUAAUUUGAGGGAAAAAUAAAAGAAUUUAAAAUAUUGUAGAAUGUGAGAGAAAUAGAGAGAAUUUGAUGAAAAAAUGAAAAGGAAGAAAAUGUAUUUAUAGGAAGGUUAAAAAUAAUAAUAAUAAUAAUAAUAAUAAUAAUAAUAAUAAUAAUAAUAAUAAUAAUAAUAAUAAUUGGCCAUGUGACCGUUGGAGGCUUAGCUCCAACGGUCACAUGGGCUGGAGCUAGGCUCCAACAGUCACAUGACCGUUGGAGCCUUUAAUUUUUUUUUUUAAAAUAAUAUACUUUAUUUUUAUAUAUAUAUAACUAACUCAAUUAAUAAACAUAAAAAGAAUAUAGUUCAGUUGGUUAGAACCUUGAAGUUUAAACAUGAGGGGAGGGGUUUGAAUCCCUCCCUCUCCCUUAGGGGCUUUUUUAAAAGCCAUUUUGGCUUAUUUCAAAAAGCCUGUCGGCCCGACCCGCCCUGCAGCCCGCGGGCCUAGCAUUUUAGCAUGGCCUGGUCUGUUGACUAGUCAAAUGGCUCAUAGGCUCGGCCCGAACUGGGCCGCGGGCCUCUUAUUUACGGACCGGCCCGACCCGGCCCGCCCGUUGGAGACCCUUGAUAAUAUCUUCUAUAUUAAGUUACAUUAUAGUUUAUUUUACAAUAUUAUUAUGAUAAUAUGUCUAAUUUUAAAAUAUAUUUAAUAUUAAAAUUAUGAUCUAUUUUAAUUUAAAUGUAUUCAAUGAUAUCAAAUAAAUAAUAAUAUAUGUAUAAUUCUUUUAUUAUUUAUAUUUAUUAUUUUUAAUAAAUAUAUAGAUUAUAUAAAAAAGACCGGAUAUAUCUUUUCAAAUUUUGUAUCGCUCUCCAAGGAUAUUAGAUGUAUGGGAAUUUGUAUUGCUAUCUACGGAUACGUUGAUAUAUGGGUGAUUUAUCAGGAUAAUUAGAAAUUCUAAUUAUGUAAGCAGGUACGGAGUUCUGUGUCGGUGCGAUCUUGUCGACAACAGCUCCAAAUUGUGCAUCUUGCUCAUAGAGAGUAGCGGAAUGCACCAAUCGUAGGCUCAGAGUACCACUGAGUCGUCUGGCAGAGACCCAACUGAAGGUGCCUGUGUUGUUCCUGAUCUGAUCAGGCUUCAAACUACAAGGUGGAAUACUGGUUCCCCUAUAUCAGAAGCUGGAGAUACCCACCCCAUAUGCUCGUCUGGAUGUGCUCCUACCCUUUGAAGCCUUCUUCCGAGUCAAGUCCGAAUUGAUAAGGCUAGUGAGUUCCCAACCAACUGUACUCAGCAUGCUGCCAGGUGGAGACCCUCCAUAUUUGAUGGCUUCCUAAUAUUAAAAUGCUGACCACUGGUCUUCAUGUUCCACAGGCUUAAUUGUGUCCUUUGCUGAAAGAAUGGAUAGUGAUCCAUUUUAACACAUGAUUCACGCCGUCUUUGCCAUUCUUCAUGGUCUAGCCCUUUUAUAUAUAUGCUUCCUGAACUGUUGCUAUUAAUAAAAUGUGGUAUCUAUCCCGUACACCUUCCUGAUGGCCAGCGAAUGCAGAAGCUACAGAAACGGUUCCAUCUUUUGCUUCCGCCACUUUGGCAUCCUCCAUGAUGAGAUCGAAGGUGAAUAAUCAUAUUCUGGGGAUUUAUGUCCUGGAUAUUCUCAGUAAUGCCCAAUUUCCUGGUGCCGGCCUCAUUUCCAUGGGAACUGAUGGAUAACUUAAGGCUUCUACCAUCUGCGUGGUUCGCUUCUAACACAGGAAACUUCACGGCUAAAAGCAAGAUACCAAGAACAUCAAGGCUGUGACAAAAAUUAGUAUUUUUAACUUGUAGGAAUUUGAAAGGCAACCAACCAUCUAGCUCUGUUCUUAAAGCUCCCAUAGGAGGAUCAGAGGCUGGAUUGCUCAAGAUGAACUCAUCCAUUGUUGCACUUAAAAAGAAUUGGCAUGAAUUGUGGCCGCUCUAAUAGGUUCCCUAAACCAUCAUCCAAGUGGGCUUGCGGAAGGUAGCGAGUUUAAAACACCUAGGGCGAUGAACAGUGGACUGUGAUGCUCACAAAAGAGAAAAGGAAGAAUUCAAUAAUUCCUAAGAAUCCAUUUGCCUGUCAUCCAAAUUUUUAUAUUCUCUUCAGUCUGACGCGUUAUGCCAUAUAUUAAAAAUAGCGGCUUCUUCCAAGCCGAGACAGACUGUGCAAAGUUCGCAAGGCCAAUCAUCACCAUAAUCUGAAGUUGGCCUCCUCAAUCGCAGCUUGUAUCCGAAUGCUCACUUCACGGGAUGGAUUGUAAUGAAAACUAAUCUCAGUCCCAGCUAUGGCAGCAUCCUCACUUGACAGCAUUUUCUGCAUAUUCUAGAACAAAGCAAUAAACCCUCAAAGGCUCCUUCGGAUCAGAGUUAGAAGACUGUCCCUCAGGAACGUGAACACUAUGGUGGUUCUGAUAAGCAGUGAUAUUGCAUUAGAGCCUUUUGGAACAAGAGGAUCUUUUCAGGUGGAAACUGUAAACUGCUUCAUGUUGGGCUGCAACCUUUUCUUCAAGCAAUACUUUCUUUCUGUAUCACGACUUAUGUUGCUUCCGGAGCCAUCCCGUGUGGACUGCCCUUCAGUGAAAGAAUAUGUGUGUUGACAUGUUGGAUUGUAAUCUUUGUUCCACUCUAAUGGCUUUUGGUCCUCCUCUUUCUCUUUAUGACAGAGAACCAUUUAGUGAUCCAUCUCUAUAUUGUAGCAUUGCUGGUGCUUUGCAAUACUACACUCUCACCAAGCAUAACAUCUAUUUUUCCGUGACCAAAGUAUGUCGGUUUAUGCAUGCGCAAACUCUUAUUCAUUGGCAAGUUGUCAAGCGUAUCUCAUGAUUUCCCAAAGCCACAAGUUCUUAUGGUCUUUCUGUUCAAGCUUACAAUGAUCUAUCUUUUCUUGGUUAUACUGAUGUCGAUUGGGCUAGUUGCCCUGAUAACAAGCACAAUACUAGUGGGUACAACACUUUUCCUGGUCCUAAUCUCAUUUCAUGGGCAUUUUCAAAGCAGAAGGUUGUGUCUCACUCCAAUAACGAAUCUGAAUAUAGGGGACUCACUAAUUAAUGUUGUUGCCAAGGUCACUUGGAUUGAAUCUGUCUUACGUGAGUUGCGUGUUUCUCUACCCCAACCACCAAUUUUGUUGUGUGACAACAUUAGUGCUACACACUUGGACAAACCAUGUUGAAAUACACUAUCAUUUUAUCCAUGAAAGGCUUAUGCAUCACACACUCAAAAUUCAAUACACCUCUUCUAUAGACCAACUAGUCAAUGCUAUGACCAAAGCUCUUCCUUCAUCUCACUUGUACAAUCUUCAGUGCAAGCUGAUUGUUCUUCCCAAACCACUCAACUUGAGGGGAGAUGUUAAGCCAAUUUAAUAAAUUGAUUUCUUUUGGUUAAUUUGUUAGAAUCAUUUUUAUUAGAGGUUUGUUUGUACAAUUACAUCCAUUUAUCAGGAGAGUACACGUGUACAACUCCUCUUUUAAUCUCACCAUUGUAUAUAUAUGAUACACGACCUUACUCAGAAUUGCAUAACAUUUCCUCUGCUCAUUCCUUUUCUUCUUUGAAUUUUCCCUUACCUCACUGAUUUUGAUUUAUACCUGGUGUUUUCACCUUUGGUCUCUACCUUUCUAGCCAGUUUUCUAAUUAAUCCGUAUAUGGUAUACCUGUCAACUAAUGAGGAGAAAGAGAAAAGGGGAUUGCUGUUCCACCAGCUACAUAUAAUAAUUAAUUACAAUCAUGGUAAUGGAUCCUGAAAUCCAUCCUUUGUGGAUUUUGUACGGAAUAUUGUUGUUAUGUAUGUGGGCUCACUUAGAUGUAUAUUGCUAGCCUGUCUGGGAAAUGUGAUUGCAGGUCCAGAUUAUGAUGUUGAUAUUAGUGGGAUAAGCAAGAGAUGCAGUUAACACGUAUGUGAUGGACUUGAGUAACUUUUCCAUUUCAGUCCAUUUUUUAAGAUUAUGCUUAGUCUUAUUACAAGGAAAGACCAUAAGAAUCAUGAGUCAUUGGCAAGGUAAUAUCAUUCCCUCUUUACAGGCUUCUUCACCUUUUGGUUUUUUUAAUAUCCAUCAAGAUCUUUUAAUUGGAGGACAAUUACAAGUAUAUAUAUAUGUAUUAAAAGGGGAAAAUAUUAAAACAGGAAAUUUUAGGGAAAAUAUAAUAAUUAUUUCUUCCUUCUUUCCCAUAUAGAACUACACAAAAUAAAACUUUAAUAAUUUUUUCUUAUCUUUUUUAUUAUUAUUUUUUCUUAGAAACAUCCGUGGUCUCACAAGCUUGUAAUCCUAGAUUGUUAGGCUCCUUUAACAGUGCCCCAACAUCGUGGUCCAAUGACAAGCUUCCACGCCUUAAAAUCAGAAAAUGCCAUUAAACUUUAUCAGACAUUACAGUUCAAGACAAAGCUUUCAUUUGCUUAAUGUGAUAAUGAAAUUGUUAAUUUCAUUUCGUGGGCAUCUAAAUUUGGACGAGCAAGACCUCUGAAUUCCCUGUUUUUAUCACCAGCAGAGGAGAUAAAAUCUUAAUGGUGAGAAUCUCCACGUGAAAUUUAUGUGUACUGUCAACAUAUUUUUGUUUAUAUAGUCCAGUAGCUGCAGGAAGUCUAGAUUAUAUAGGUAGCAGUAGCACUAUUUAUAGCACUCGAUAUUCGCUGUAUGAAUACAUUAAACCUUGUUUUCAAUACGCAUCACAAGCAAGUACUAGAUACUACAAGGAGUGACAGUCGCAUCAACAUUUCUUGAUAAUAGCAGUGACUGAUUUAUACACAGAACAGUACUGUACACGUACCAGUCACCAGAGAUAGGAUCUUAUUCCUACAUACGACUCUUAUUGAUCGAAGUCACUCAGUUGGGGUAGCCUGGAGUUGGAGGUUUGUGUGGUGGCUUCUUCUUUGGAGGAGGCUUUAUCUUUGGAGGCAUCAUCUUUGGAGGCAUCUUGUGUGAGUCUUCUUCAGCAUUCUCUACAGGAGGAUGGCCAGGCUUAUGACCCUUAGGUGGUUUGCCAACUGGGAUUGGUGGCUUGUGUCCUGAGAGUGGCUCCUCUUCUUCGGGAGGUUUGCCAACUGACGUUGGUGGCCCGUGUCCUGGGGGUGGCUUGUGUUUUGGGGGUGGUUUCACUCCACCGGGAGGUUUACCAAUUGGUGUUGGUGGUUUGUGCUCAAUCGGUGGCCUCUCAACUGGGGGGCGCUUGGGGUAAUCAGCGAGUGAAGAAGUGGUGAGAACCACCACUCCAAGCAACAACACUAGCAAGUAUGUGGAAGACAUCUUUGAGUUUGGCUCAGAUGGUGUAGAACUAGAAUCCUGGGUGGCCUUUUAUAUUAGUUGGGCCCUAUGCCCGAACGACAAGUGUCAUGGUGACACAUAAAGUGAUGGGGUCGAUUUGGGCCUACCGGAUUUGAAAACUUGGACAAUUCGAGAAGCGUCUCCUGACUCCGGGUUGUAAAGUGAAAGAUUAGGUAUCGACCAUUGAAGUAUGAUCACAACUUUUGGCCUUUGGCUCUCUCUACUGCCGUAUAGCUUUUUUCCUUUGGAUAUUUUUCUUAGCUAGACACAAUUAUUGAGCAGUCUAAUCUCGAAAUGGGAUUAGUAUAGCUUUAAGCAAAUUUAUUAUAGUUAGUGGAGGACUUUUAAGAGUGCAGACGACAUUUAACACAUGCAUGCAGUAGUAUAGGGGACAUAACACUAUUCUUUUUCCAAAGAUUCACAUGAUUUUUAUAUUAUAGUAUUGGCACAUUGUAUGUAGCUGGUUUUGUGGUUAAAAUUCCAUAUGUAGACACUGGCGUUUCUCCAUUUCUCACAAUUGAUGUUUACCUCCACGAUUACUAGAUUAGAUAUACCAAACAAUAACACAUUGUAUAAUCUAUCCGCCCUUCAAAAUCUACUGUAUGAUGAAAUGUUUCAUGUGUGUGUGAAGUGUUAGAAAUGCACUAUAGGCAACAUCAUCUUCUUUUGUCUAGGCUUGGGCCUCAAAUUAUACUCCCAUGCCAUGAUAAAUUUUCAUGUGCAUUCUCUAAAGAAGAGUGUCUUGAAUGUGCCAAAUCAUUUUGAUUGAUUUUAUGAUGUUAAUUGCUCCGCAUAUGGAUGGGUAUGUGCUUUAUUUGCUUAUUCAAUCCACAAUUACCUUGAACUGAAGUCCUAUUGGAGCUCUAUUAUUUUAGCAACGUCCUGUCAAAUAGGCUGCUAACUUGGGGUGGUAUGGACCCAAUGAUCCAUCUUAAUCUUGGGUUGAUUUUGUCUGACUCUAUCUAUCUCAGAGAGAACCAGGAUCACCAGUGCUGGUCUGCUUAAAGAAGACUCAGUACUGGAUUAAUAUUGGUUUGGGUCAAUAGCUUAUAAUGCAUUGAAUGCAGAAUAAACAAGAUCAAUGAAACCCAAAACACACUGCCCACACAACUUCACUCUGGUGUCUGUUAUUCAUCAAUUCUAUUCCCACAUGAACUGGUUCAAGUUUAAGAAAAUGACAACGGAUCCACUGUAUUAACUUGGUUUUGCUUGGUUUUGAGCUAGUUGCCAAACCAGCCAUGAGUUUUACCUCUAAUGUCAAUGAACAAACCCCAAAUGAACAACUGCAACAGCUUAAAGAGAAGGAAUGGAGAUGAAAAUCCCUGUUUCUUCUCAUUCUGGGGACAAAUUAGAACAUAACUACAAAGGUUCUAUUAAUUGACUUACUCUACCAUGAAUUAUGGUUCUUUGGUUUUCCAAAUUUAAAUUGUACAUGAGAUUAUUUUUUUCCUUUAUAUAUAAACAUAUUAAGGUUUUCUUAUUUCGUGGGCAAAUGCGCUAAGGAUGAAAGUCAUUUCAUUUGGCUGCAACAGCAUCUUAUAAUCAACAUGCAUAAGCAGCAGUUUUAAUUGAUCGAUUGAACACCGACUCACAAGAAUAGAUAGAAUGGUACAAGACAGCUCUUAUUAAUUUAUACUCGUUACUCAUUUUAUGUAGCCCCAUUAAGAUGGCUGGCUGGACCACCGAGGUCUGGGGGUGGUGUUGCUUGUGUGAUGCAGCGGGCCGGGCAGACACUUCUCUAGUUGCUUCUAUUUGGAGUUAGAGGAUCAGUCUCUGCCAACCUUGAGGACUCUCUACCUCAGAGGGUCCAGGUGGUGGACUCUGGUGUCGGUAGCUUUGAACUCUCAGUAGACUAGUGUGUCUUAAUCAGUCACUGCCAGAGGCUGGCGUAGGCAGUGACGAUAAGGUGAGACAAAUUACCGAAUAGUCAAUAUCGACUGCACUUGACCAUUAUAGAUUUGUUCUGACAAAAGUGAGAAAAGGGAGAAAAUCGGAUGUUGACCUUUAUAGAAAAAGAUAAGAUUUACUGCAACACAGAGCACUGAUUUGUUACUUGGAAACCAAGUUAUGCUAUUAGCUAGCCUCCAUUAGCAGCAGGGUACCUUGCUGCCUGAUCCUAAUCUGAGUUCCCAAGGUUUCAAUCUUCGUUUGUUAACGCUUCAGGAUUUGGAUAUUUCAGCUUCGUUUCUCCAUUUAGCCAACGCUGCCUGGUUUGGAUUUCAAUCCUCAUCUGGAACAUUCUUUUUUCGGUCUGAUUCAGGAAGUGUUUGGUGAUAGUUGAUUAAAAUUAAACAGUACUAUCAUACAAAUAAAGCUGAUCUAAUUUUGGUGGGCAAUAUACCAACUCAUUUAUUCUUGAAAACACCAUGGGGAAUUGGAGGUCCAUCCGAAGUACUAUUUGAUGGGACUCACAAAAAGAACAGGUGCACAUUUAUGAGAUCCGUGGAAGAGAUAACUAUGACAGCUAUGCAUGUACAACAGAUUUAUGUCGAGUUCACCUCGUAGAUAUUUUGUUUUCAGUGUCGGUGGACCCCAAAAUGGAAAUCGGAAAUUAAGGUUAUAUUUAUUUUUUUAUUUAAUUUUAAAUAGAAUUUUAAUUUUUAAUAAUAUUAAGUAUUAAAUUAUUUUUUUAAGGGUAUUUUAUUUUUAUUAAGUAUUAAAAAGUAAAAAAAAUUAAUAUGUUGCUUUUUUAUUUUAAAAAAAUUAUAUAUUUUAAUUUUUUCUAUUUACUAAAAAGUUUAUAAUAAAUUAUAAAAAAAUAAAAAAAUAAAAAACUUAAAUUCUGAAAAUAAAUUAUUUUUAAUAAAAAAAUCCAAAAAAGCAAACACCACCUAAAUUUGAGAUGACUCAAAAUUUUAUAUUUUUUUUCACCUAAAUUAUAUUCAUAAAUUUAAAAUUAAAAAAUUAGGAAGUUGAAUUUUAUUUUGGAUAAUUGGAAACUACAAGAAAUCAAUAAAAAUAUUUGGAAAAAAAAGAAAAAGAAAAACUAUCUAUAUAUUCACCCCCUUCUAAGAAACAUAACUUUAGUUUUUAACUAUUUUUUAAAAUAAUUUUUGAAAAAUGUUAUAUAAUAUUUUAUAAAACAAAAAAUCUGUUUGACAAUUUGAUAUGUCUUUAACUUAUUUUUAAUAUUUAUAUAUAUAUAUUUUAAAAAUAAUUUUAUAUUUAGAACUUUAUCUUUAAUUAUUAUAUAUAUUUAUAUAAUUAUUUUUUUUAAAACAACUCUUAAAAAAUAAGUGAAAGUAAUUGAAAACAACUCAAAGAUAUUUGAUGAAAACACUCUAAUUUGUAUUUUUGAGAAUAAAAAAAUAAAUAAAUAAAUUUCUAGUUAUCAAAUGUAUUUUUUAAUUCUUUUAUUCUAAAAAAUAGAAAAUCGUUUUUGAAAAUAAUUAUUAAACAACAUUCUUAAAAAUUCACUCGUUACAAUCUAGAUUUAAUGCAAGAAUGAUUGAAGGAGUCCUCCAAUAGAACCCAAAGUUAUAAACAUGAACAAGAAGCCCUAGAAACACCAAAGAUCUCAUAUGGUAUAUAUAUGAGCUUGAUUGAGAACUGUUUUAAAUUCAGUUUUUUUUUUUUUUUUUUUUUUUUGUUUUCAAAGUCAAAACAAGUUUACUUUUAAUUUUUACUUCUUUUUUUUAAUUUUAUAAAUAACAGUUUUUUAAUAAUUUAUUUUGAAAACAUGAUUAUUUUUAAAACUUAUAAUGAAAAUAGGAAUUUUUUUUUUAAUAUCAUGGUUAUUUUCCCUUCUUUUAAGGAGGGCUAUUUUAAAAAUAAAUUUACAAAUAUGAAAAAUGAUUCAAACUAAAGCAGUACAAAUAAAAAACAUUUUUAAGAAAUAUUUAAAAAUAGAGAAAAUUAUUUGAGAACAUUUGAAGUCCUUAAAUAGACUUUUGUUUUAGAAAAGGCAAGAUAAUUAUUUUUGAAAAUUGUUUUCAUAAUGAUAUGCAAAAACCUACGUAAAAACCAUAAUUAUAAUCGGCCACAUAUCAAAUCUACUAAAUAUGAAAAGUAAGUACAUAAUUAUAUUUGACUUAGAUGCAAGGAGGAAAAUGUCGCGAUAUUAUCGCCGAAAUAUCGUGUGUCGAAGGGUAUCGACACGAUUUUUCUUGCAGAAAUAUCGGCCAGUCGAUUUUUCGGGAUAAAUCUCGAGAAAUCGGCAAUUUAUCGCGAUAUAUCGGCGAUUUUUCCUCGAUAUAUCUUCUGGUCAACGCGGGUCAACGGAGUCAACACGCUACAGUGAAAGUCAAAUGUGCUACAAUGUCCCCGCUACAAUCACCUCCCCAAACAAAUUGCCAAAUUGCUUCCGAGGGGAUUUGAACCAGCCUUCUUGCCAUUUGGGCUAACUCGCCCUUAUGAUAUAUAUUGCAUUAAACAUAUAUAUACUUAAAGUCCUUAUAUAAAGAAAAUGUUAAAAAAAUAUUUUAAAGAGCAAAUUAAUUAUAAUUAUUUUAUAAUUAAAAGCAAAAUUUUCUUUUAAUUAAUUACCAAAAAUAUAAAAAUUAUAUAAUUUUCUUCAUAAUGUUUUUAAUAUCAUUAAUAAUUAAUUAAAUAUUAAAAAAUUAUAUAUAUAUAUAUAUAUAUAUAUAUAUAUAUUAUAAUUUAUUUUAUAUUGUUUAAUACAAUUGAAUUAAAUGGAUCAUAUUUUAAUAUUAAUAUAUAUUUUAAAAUUAGACAUAUUGUAAUCAAAUAUCAUAAUAUUAUAUGUAAUUUAAUAAUAAAUGUACACUUAUAAAAUUCAUAUUUUUAUCGAUGCAUACAAUAUUAUUAUCAAAUAUGAUAAAUCAUGUUAUACAUAUAUCAAAAUUUUCAAUAAAAUAACUUUAAAAUGUCUAUUAUACUUCUAAUUAUAUUAUUAUGAGGUUUUCUUUACAUUUUCAUGAGUUUUAAACAAUUUUAAGCACCAAUAUUUUUUUCCAAAAUAUCCACCGAUAUAUCUCCGAUAUAUCCAAUAUAUCUCCGAUAUCUCCGAUAUAUCCGUAAAAUCGAAGUACCGAUAUAUCCGUGAUUACCGAUAUUUUCAUCAUUGCUUAGAUGCAACCUUCUUCCAAAUGACAUACUUUAGUCAAUACUUAUAUUUUUUCGUUUCACUUCUUUGAUACAACACCUCAUGGAUUUAUUGUUUAAUUUAUUUGUAAUUAUAAAACUAUUUUUCAUUUUUAAUAAGACUUGAAUUAAUUUAAUAAAUAUUAUAUAAUUUGAAUUUAUAAUUCUUUUUAUAAAAUCAAAGUAUAUUAAAAAAAAAACAAUUUAUCCGAAGAAAGUUUUUUAUUUUUUAUUUUUUAAAACCGAUUUUAAAAAUAACUAGCUAGACACCCUUAUUUUGAUAAAAUACGAAAUAAAAGUGUAAAAACAACAUGGCCAAAUAGGGGCUUAAAUUUUAUUUUUAAAACAUUUUUUUACACUAAAGUGCAUUUUAAAAACACCAUCAAAACCAACUACAAGUUAUGCUUCUUCCCGUAAUAGAAAUAUUUUAGGCCAAAAUAGAACCUCCCCAAAUAAAGACCCUAUACUAAACUCCUUUUCAUUUUAUUAAUACAAAAGUGGGGAAAAAAGGUCUAUGCUCACCUAAAAAACAUGAAUAUUGUGAAUUCACCAUUUCUAUAAGGAAGUUGAAAACUUCAAAAUUUUAUCAACAAAUUCUCUAAAAUCCUCAAAAUAUAUAGGGCCUGUUUCACAAAGUUUUUUAAAAUUUGUUUUUAUAAAUUGCUUUUAAAAUAUAGAAUAAAUAACAGUUUUUUAGAUUUUUUGAAAAAUAAGAGUGUUUGGUAAGAUGUUUUUUUUUUUUUUUUUUUUUUUAAGAAUUAAAUAAAAAAUAAAAAAAUUGUUUAGAUAAAAGAAUUUGUAUUGUUUUUAAAAACAAUGUCUUACUUUUAUGUUAUAAAAAUUUUAUUAAUUUAAUUUAUAAUAAUAUGAAAUGAAAUUCAAGUUAAGUCUUAUUAAAAAAUACAAAUUAAAUCUAUAAUUAUGCAUGAGUUAAAGAUAAAUAUAUAUUUUUUAAAACUAUAAAAUAAAUUUUCUAUUAUAGUGAAACAAAAAUUACUAUAAAAUAAAAAUAAUUUUAAUAUUCAUUUUUAAUACAAGUCAAAUAAGUACUUUAAUUAAUUUUUUUUAUCAUGAUUUCUUAUGUUUUUUUUUUUUUCUAGAAAUUAUUUUAAGUAAUAUAACUAAUUUUUUUUUUAAUGUUUUAUAAAAAUAAGGAUAUUUGGCAAGUUGUUUUUAUAAAAGGAUUUUAAAAAUAAAUGGAUUUUUUUUUUUUUUAAAAAAAGAACAAAAUGAUUUGUUUGAAUAAAUUGUUUUGAUUUUGUAAAAACAUUUUAAAUUCAAUUUAUAUAAUAUUAAUUAAUUAAAUUAAAUUGAAGUUUUAUUGAAAAUAAAAAUAAUUUUGUAAUUAAAAUUAGAUUAAAAAAUAUAUAGGUUUUAAUAAAUCGUAAAUAGUAAUAUUAUAAUAAAAUUAUAAAUUAUAUUUUUAACAUAAAAUAUACUAUUUAUUACAUAUUAAAAAAAAUAUUUUAUUAUAUUAAUAAUUUUAUGGUAUUAAUGAGUUUAUUAUUUAAGUUUUAAAUUAUUUUUAAAAAUUAAUAAAUUUGUUAACAAAUGCAAUGUACUAAAUGUGGUUUAAUUUGGAGUUAAUUUGUUUAGGGAAAAAAAUAAAAAAUAAAAAUCUUAUGUAAAAGAGAAAUAAUAGAGUGUGUGUGUUUUUUUUUAUUAUUUUUAAAAAUCAGUAAAAAGAACUUUUACUUAUUGCCUAAAAAUUAUUCUCUAUUUUAUUUUAUUUUUUAAAUCUAGAAAUAGAUAACAAUAAUAAAAAAAAUUAAAAAAGAAAAAUGUUUUUUAAAACUCAGACUUAUAAUUGCUUUUGUUUCUCAUUCGCACCCCUGGAUUCCUGGAUUCUAAACACAAAAUUAAGUUGAAUCGUCCAUCUAUCUUGUAAGCCAAGAAUUCACAUAGAAGAAAUAAUCGGAAUUUGAUUUGAUAUCAGAUUUAGAGUGGCUCACUACUCAUGCAUUGUCCCACAAUAGUAAUGCUUUGGGCCGAGAUAAACCCAUUUGUGGGCCCAAAUAAAACCCCUGGUUUGAAAACAUCGAUUUUACAGUGGCCCAAAAGAUUAUCUAUGAGGGGAAGAUAACUUGGAAGUCAAGCAAACACAUUUAUCGCUAACUUUUCUCUAAUUAUAAAAUUAUAACUUGGUCUUCUACACGUCUCACUUAAGAGGCGGAGCCACUUGGCACUACCUUUCCAUAUUGUAAAAGGAGAAGAAGCAGAAGGAGAAGAUUCUUAUGCCAUUCCACACACCAUGGCUAGUACUGCUAUGCUGCUUGGCCCGCCGGCUCUCCGCCAUCCUAAUUCUCCCGCCGGCACUGUCUUUGAAGAUGGGGUCAUUCUAACGGAUUCCCUGAUCGUCCGCACCAGUAAUCUGGAGCUUUCUGAAAAACCGCCACUGGAAUCCCUGGCGUAGUGCUCUGUCAGUGGGGAUAUUGCUAUGGAUUGUUUGGAUUCCCAAGCCCACAAUCUUCAUCUUCCCGGGAAACCGCCGAUGGGCUUAACGGAAAACAAGUCUCCGACCUUUUUGUCUUCCGGGAACCCGUGCUUGGACUUCUUCUUCCAUGUGGUUCCCGAUACGUCGUCUGAUGAUCUGAUCCGACGGUUUGAGUUGGCUUGGGAAUUCAAUCCGCUGACGACGUUAAAACUGAUAUGCAACUUGAGAGAGGUGAGAGGCACCGGAAAAUCUGACAAAGAGGGUUUCUACACGGCGGUUCUCUGGCUCCACGACCACCAUCCCAAAACCCUAGCCUGCAAUGCUAGGGUGUUGGCCAGCUUCGGUUAUUUCAAGGAUUUUCUCGAGAUUCUCUACCGGCUUCUGGAGGGCCCUAAAAUUCGAAGAAUCGAAAAGAAAGACUGGCUGGAUCGAAAAGGAAGGAAGAAAAAUUCCCGGAAAAGGAACUCAAUAUUCAAGCGAGAAAAUAGGCCUGGAGUUGAAUUUCCUGUAGAAGAGAAGGAUGUGGAGUAUAUGGUGGAAGAAUUUGUGGAUAAAGAAAAGGCUAGGGUACUGAGAAAGGAGAGAGAACUUGCUCUUGCCAAAAGAGCCCUGCACAAGUAUUCUACUGAUUCUAAUUAUCAGUUCUUACAUGAUCAGAUUUCAGAUUUAUUUGCUGAACUUCUGAAAUCUGAUAUUCAGUAUUUAAACUCCGGUGAGCUUUACAAGAUUAGUCUCGCAUCCAAAUGGUGUCCCACAAUUGAUUCUUCUUAUGAUAAAUCCACCUUGAUAUGUGAAAAUAUUGCUCGAAAGGUUUAUUCUCGCGAGGAAUAUAUAUCCAGAAUACCAAGGAAUUGAGGAGGCUCACUAUGUUAAUAGAGUCAGGGAUAGGUUGAGAAAACAAGUACUUGUUCCAUUACGUAAGGCCCUGGAGUUGCCAGAGGUUUUCAUGUGUUCGAACCAGUGGGGAUCACUUCCCUACAACCGUGUGGCUUCAGUGGCCAUGAAAUCAUACAAGAGCCUCUUCUCAAAACAUGAUACAGAGCGGUUUGGUGUGUAUCUUGAGAAAGUGCAAACUGGGAAGGCUAAGAUUGCAGCUGGUGCAUUACUUCCCCAUGAGAUUAUAGCUUCAUUGAAUGAGGAGGAUGGCGAGAAAGUUGCAGAGCUUCAGUGGGCGAGAAUGGUGGAAGAUUUAUCAAAGAAUGGGAGGCUCACAAAUUGCAGUGCGGUAUGUGACGUAUCAGGAAGUAUGAGUGGAACUCCAAUGAAGGUGUGUGUGGCUCUGGGGCUGUUAGUUUCAGAGCUCAGUGAAGAUCCAUGGAAAGGUAAUGUAAUUACUUUCAGUGCAAGUCCUGAGCUUCACAAGAUCCAAGGAGACAGCCUUGUAUCCAAGACUGAAUUUGUGAGGAUGAUGGAAUGGGGUGCGAACACUGAUUUUCAGAAAGUUUUUGACAGAAUCUUACAAGUAGCAGUGGAGGGAAAUCUGAGUGAAGAUCAAAUGAUAAAGAGGGUUUUCGUUUUCACUGAUAUGGAGUUUGAUGAAGCUUGUGGGAGGUAUAACUAUUGUGAAUAUGACUAUGAUAUGGAGGAAAUUGAUGAGAGUCAGAAGGCAUCUCAGAAGUGGGAGACAGAUUAUGAAGUGAUACAGCGGAAAUUCCAGGACAAAGGAUAUGGAAAAGUUCCGGAGAUAGUGUUUUGGAACCUUAGAAACUCAUCAGAGACUCCAGUGAUGGCCACAGAGAACGGGGUGGCCUUAGUAAGCGGGUUUUCGAAGAAUCUGUUAGACCUUGUUUUUGGAAGGAGGUGGAAUUCUGACCCCUCAGGAUGUGAUGGAAUUAGCCAUCUCUGGUGAAGAUUACAAGAAACUUGUUCUAUUUGAUUAAGAUAUCAAGAGAUUUAUCAAUAAUAAUAUGUUUUUUUUUUUCUAUGUGAAAUACAUGUAAUAUUAACUAUGGAGUUAUCAAAGUUCUGGAAAUUUAAUUAUUUCUUCUUUUCAAGUUUUGUUUGUCUUUGUUAGGAAUUCCCCUUGGGCGGACCCAGCUGGGGACUUGGAUUGAGGAAGUAAGGAGGCGAAAUUGUGUUCUUCUAUGGACAGAGAAAAAAGAUAAAAAUAAAAAAUAAAAAAGGAGGUUAUUUGCAUUUGGAUGUCAUGUGGUUUCAGGGUACAACUACAAGUUCGAAAUUGUACAUAAUGUGAAAAUUCCUGUGUGGAGAACAGCAUAAAUAUGUAUCUCAGUGUGUUUUGUUUGAGCUAAUUGGCAAAUUCGCUUUAAACAUGGUCACAUGGAUGCAUAUUUAUUUGUGAAAUGAUAGUAGUCGAUUACUUGGUCAGUAAGGUUUGUAUCUCUAACUCCAACAUCUUAUUGUAGUCUUUUAAAAUGUCAAAAGUUUAAUGCUAGCUUGAGAAAUUUUGGAAUGGAGACAUUCUAAACAAAGUUAAUAAUCCAUGAGACUUGGUAAAACCGAUCAGAUGAUGCUUACGUACAUGAAUGCCUUCUUUAAGCCGUAUCCUAUUUUCAUUGAAUGAGACGUGCCAUCUAGUUUUGUUCUUGUCUUGAUUGGAUCAUGAUCCCGGGAAUUGAUUACUGUUCUGAAUUUGCGAAUGUUCAAGGUAUUAGAGAAAGUUAAUAUUAUCGUUAAUUUACAUAUUAGUAUUUAUCUAGUUAUUAUAUAUUAGUUUGAAUUAUAAUAUAAUAUAGAAUUUGAAUCAAGUUUACUAUUAGUUUGAAUUACAAUAGGAAAUAAAGUUUGAAUUAUAGUAUAACUCAAAUAUAUUUGUAUAUAAAUAUCCAUCUUUAUCAAUGAGAAUAGUAAACCAUAUUUUUCUCUAUCUUCUUCUUUCUCUAUAUAUAUGGUAUCAAAGCCUCCAAAUCCUAAACCUAGUCUCAACUUAGAGCAAAUUUAGGGUGCAGGGUUUAGGCCCCGCCUCCCCCAACCCUUACCACAAAUGGUAGUGACCUUGUUAUGCCUAUGUAUUGUCAAUGCCUCAUUUUCUAUGGUCUUCAAUACAAUAUCUAGUUUCAAUGUCUCUUUCCUUACUAUCUCCAAUGCAAUAUAUUGAUUUCAAUAUCUCUUUACAACCAAGAGCUCCAAAUUUUCCUGGUUCAAAUCUACCAUAAUUUUUAUUCUCCUUUGCUUUUUACCAAUAUUAGUUCCCCUAAUUUAAUAUAUAUCUCUUUAUUACCUUCAACUCUACCUCUCUCUUUCUUUAAAAGCUUCCUCAAAGAUUUGAUUGCUUUCUUGCAUGUUUUGGGAAAACAAACAUGCUCAUAUUCUAUUACCUCUACUUGAGAUCUGCCUUAUACUCUACCUUCUUCUUUACCUCCUAUAUCAUCUACUACAUUAGCUUCAAAAACAUUAUUUAGUUUGAUGCUAAAUAAGGCUCCUAAUCCUACCCUUCCUUCAACUAACUUUCUUUUACAAGUCCCUCAAAGUUUUUUUUUUUUUUUUUUUGGAAAUUUGGCUUAGAAAGAUUUCAUUACUCUUACCUAAUCUUUCAACCAUCAAGUCGAAUCCACUUAUCUCUUGAAUCCAAGGAGACUACCCUCCACAAAAACAAGGAGAUUGACCCCCACAAUAACAAAGAGAUUGUCCUCCAUAGAAACAAAGAGAGCUUCCUUCAUGGAAGCCGAAUACAUCGCAAUCUAUUUUCUUUCUCUCAAGAUCAAAUCUCCAAUCGGAGCUCCAUCUUGUGGGGAUAUAUUAGAAAAAGUUAAUAUUAUCCUUAAUUUACAUAUUAGUAUUUAUCUAUAUUAUAUAUUGAAUUAGAAUAGAAUAUAGAAUUUGAAUUAAGUUUACUAUUAGUUUAAAUUACAAUAGGAAAUAGAGUUUGAAUUAUAGUAGAACUCAAAUAUAUUUAUAUAUAAAUAUCCAUCAUUAUCAAUGAGAAUAGUAUUCCAUAUUUUUCUCUUUCCCUGAGGCUUCAGAAUGUGAUCUUGAACAUUUGAUCUUUUGGAUUCUUCUUGUUUCGGUGGUUUAAUAUAAUGGAAUGUUUAAUUAUAGCCUACUUUAUCACCAUGGAUGUGCUCCUGCAGAUUUCUUGAGGGUGAUGGUUAUUUUGUCAUGUUUCUUGAAUGGUUUGCAUCAGCUGCCUGAGCUGUUGUUGCUGGUCACUUUUGCAACCAGGGAAAGAAUCAUGGCUUUGGAGAAGCCAGCUUCUGUUUUUGUUGCCCAGCUGUUAGUUCACUAAGAUUGGGGGUCCUAACAUGUAUGUAUAAUCAUAAGCAAGGAAAUUUUAUGUCUUACGCUAGAUAGGUACCAUGAUAUGAUGUUUGAUUGAUUUAUUAACUCUACCUGUUUCAAAAGGCAUCAACAUUAAUUUUACCCUUUUAACACAUUGGAUUGUUUGACCUUACGAGAUUUUCUAUUUCUGUACUAUUUGAACUGCAAUCGUUAUGGUCCUUAGGUCUCUAAACCUUCGUUUAAAAUAAAAGUAAGGAGCACACAUAGUAAAAGUUAAUUUUGGGUAACUUUUAAAACAAAGAGAAAAGUAAAAGUUGUUUUUGAGAAAAACAUAUAGAAAUUGAAAGAUUUUUUAUUUUGAGAAAAAAAAGUCAUAGAAAAGAAAUAAUAUCCCCAUAUAAGUAGAUAUGAUCUAUCCGAAGUGUAGCUACUCUCCUGGAUUUAUUCUAACAUUUUAAAAUUUUUCUCAAUGGGCAAAGGAAUAUCAAAUCAAGCUUGAGUAGGAUUAAUUUCUUAAUUUUUAAAAUAACUUAUAAUUAAAAUUUUUUGGUGUUUUCUUUUUUGGACAAUUUUUUAUGAAGACUCUGAAUCAUGCAAGAGAUAUGGUUAUUUUAAAAAAAAAAAUAAUUUAAAACUCAAAUACAUAAUCAAUGUCACAAAUUUAUAAACAAAAGGUUUUUAAAAAAUACUAUUAUUUCCCCUCUACACAUAAUUUUACUUUUCCGAUUUAUUUAUUUUUGUUGGAAAACAGUCUUCAAAUCAAGUAAAAUUAAUAUGUUAAAUUUGUUAAACAAAUAAAUUUUAAAAUACAAUUUGGAACUCAAAAAUCAAUUCAAGUAAUGCUAAAAUUCAAAAAAUCAAAUUUGGAAUAAAAUGACUUUGUAAAUUUUUUUACUAAACAAAUGAAUUUUAAAUCAAGUGAGAUUUAAUACAUUGGAUUUUUAUGAGAAUAGUAAUUUUAAAAAUUAAUUUGGAACUCAAAAAUAGACACAAUAAAUACCAAAAAUCAAUGAACCAAAAUUGGUUUGGAAUAACUCCAUAAUUUUUUAUUUAUUUAUAUAUUUAUUUUUUUGUGCACACGAAUUUCUUACUAAGCAUAUUGCUUCCAAAUUGAGAAAAAUUUACUAUUUAGAUUUUUUUAAUGAGUUUAAUGGUAUUUAAAAAUAAUUCAAAAAUUCGAAAAUUGACUAAUUUAAUAUUAUAAAUUCAUAAACCAAGACUAAUUCAAAAUGCAUUGGGGGCUAAGGGGGUUGAAAUUAAUGCUCCAUUUGGUUGUGGCCACCAAUUGGCAAUGGCCACCAAUCAACCAAUCAAGGUGGCUAAGGGGGUUGAAAAUAGGGACAAUGGGGUGGGUUUGGGACAGGACACUCAUAUCCCAUUCCCAUCCCAAUUACACAGUUAUUUCCCAUCCUUAUUCCAAACUUGUGUUGGGGCAAGUUGAUUUGUUCCCAUCUUUGUUAACGAAAUGACUAAUAACCUCAUCCUCUCCUUGUCUUAGAUGUACAUUUUCUCAAAUUUGGUCAGGUAUGAUUGAUUCAAGCCCUAACCUUAAUUGGUAAUGAGUGGAUACCACACCUAAUUGCAUUCUUCUUUCGUUGCAAAAUAAUGAGAUUAUAAUAAUCUAGCAAAUAAGAAAAAAUAGUAUGGAAGUUCAAAUUAACACCAUAACUAUCAAUAAUUUUAAGCUUAUAGAUGACUUAAAUGAUUGAAAACUAAUGCAAAAUACUAAAAAAAAAAAAAAUCAUCUAAAGAAUUCACAAGAGAAUAGAACGAACAAAACCAAAUAGGAACAUGGGUCAACAUUAGUUACAGAUUUUGAUCCCUUUCAAGGCCAAUCUUUGAACCAAGACUUCAUCAAAUCUACUACUUCAAAGGCUUUUGUGUUCUUCUUGAGUUGUACUCUGGAACAAAGACUUCGAGGUGAUGCUUUAGAUGAUUGCAUUACACAUAUUUAGGGUAGGGAGAUUGGAGAAGCUUGAAGAUGCCAACGAUGGGUACAAUUGAGUGGUCAAUAAGAACAAUGUGGCCUAUGACUAGUUUGAUGUCAUGGUAUAGGAGUUUUGGGCAUUGAGGUGAAAGCAAGAGCAACAUGGAAUUGAUUUCAAAGUCUUUCAAUUAGUGUAAAGGAGGAAGAAGAAGUGGUAUUGAUCCUAGAAAUAGUGUUUUAGGUGUUGCAUUAGAGGAAAAGAAAAAGAAAAAGAAGGAACCAUUGGAAUUAGUACGAGUGUGAAGAGAGAAGUGUAUACAUAAGGGGAAGUAAAAGCAAAGUUCUAAAAAUUUAUUUUUUUAUUGGUGGUGUAUGGUUGCAUGAUUAUCCCUAUAAAUAAUAGGAGUUUUUUGGUGUUCUACUAGUAGUUGAAGGAUAAUUUCAUAAGAUAAUAUUUAGAGCGGGGUGGGGUGAGUUGUGACAAAAUCCAUACCCGUCCCAAACAUUGGUUCAGGUUUUUAAAAUAUUUUCAAACUUAUCAUAUACCCAAUUUUAUAUUUCAUACUUGUCCUAAUAGAGACAGGUUAGUCAGGGUUACUUGAGUAGCCUACAAAACUAUCAUCCCUAGUUGAAAUGCUCUUUUUGGCAGUGGCAGCUAGAAGCUCGAUCGAUUGACCUACAAGACUAGUUGUCAUCAUUUUAAAAAGAGUUUUGGCUUUGGUUGUGAGUGCAAUUGAAUCUAAACUAACAUUUCCUUAAUGCAUCUACUUCAAUCCUAAACUUCUUACUUAAGCCUCAAUUGUUGUUAAGAUUUUGGAAAACCCAUUUCCUUAAAUUGUAAAUUUAAGAAAAAAAAAAUUAAAAGUGAGACAUUUCUUGAUUGAAUGUUGUUAAAGGUCCCUUGGAAUUAAGACUUGGUUGAAGCCUUGGAAGAUUAGCAGAACUCUCAACUUAUGUUUGAACCUUGAGGAGAGUGGACGUAGGCCAAAAUUUUGUCAAACCAUUAUACAAAUUGAGUUUGAAUUCUCAUUUCUUGAUUUCUUAUUUAUUUGCUUUUUCUUAUUAUUACUUGAAUUGUCAUUUGCAUUCAUUAAUGUUAAAAUUGGUUAUAAUUAGCCAACACUAAUUCUCUUUCCCCUUCCCUUAAUUUCUUGGGUGUAAACCUAGGUUGGAUUAACUAGAUUUUAUCAAAUCUAUUAAGAUGGUAAAAGAAUAAUUAUUCUUAACAUACAUAAGAUCAUCUUCAAUCAAAUGACUCAUUGGCUGAUAUGUUGAAUUUGCUUAUUACUUGCAACUCAAAAUUGUGUUCUAGUUGAUAUGUCAAGUCCUGAGUGUAUGGACAUUAAAUUUGUAGUACGUGAUGAGUAUUUAGAUGGUCCAAUUCCAAGAAAGUGAUUGAAAACUAGUUCAAGAAAGGUGCAAAAGGGAAUUGUUUUGGUAUUUUCGUUUUUAUUCUUGAAGGUGGCAGAGCUAAAAUUUGAGAAAUCAAGCAAAACAUACUGAAAUUACAUUGAAAGAAAGAAAAUGGGAGUUAAUGUCUUGCAGUACAUGAUAAGGACUUCAUGCAUGUAGUGUGACCCAUGUCUUGGACUGAUGCCACACUCACGGUUACACUUAUACCCUUAGUUCUCUCUUUACUACCUUAGCUAACCUAGAUCAGGUUAUGAGAUAGGCACCUCACCACACCAUUACUUGCCCAUUAAUUAGUGACAUUUUCAAGCAAUGAGGUAACAUGGUGACACCAAGAGGGUAUAUUCCUCACCCCCAACAAGCCUAGACCUGGUCUAAAAAAAAUGGAGAAAAAUGACGUGUUGUUAUGCAGAAAUAUAGCAACCAUGCCUUCCUCAUUACUUAGAUUCAGAAUGUGAAGGUGAAAUUGAGAAACAGAAACUCUUGAAACCAAAAUGAAAAUUGAUACUUUUACGAAGAAUUACAACAACAUUAGAGGAAGACUACAUUCUUCCUCUUUAUUCCUACAUUUCUACACUACUUCUACUCCACUCCAUAUUUCUACAUACAUCUUUAAUCAGUCUUCCCUCCUUUAUAUAGAGCCAUCUUCACACAAAUUCCGCAAGGUAGAAAAGAGGAAUGAAACUUGGAGCAAGGUUCGACUACUGGCUGUAGCUUGUCAAGGCUGAAAGUGAACUUUUUUUCUUGGCUUUUCUGGGCAUAGGUAGUAACUUGUAGGUUCCUUUUUGGAAUGAAAAUGGUACGGCUAGAACAUGUGGCACUCUCUUGUUGGAUGAUGUGUCAAGCAUGUGGCAGCCAUCUAGUGGAGAUUAUGUCAAUUUUGGGAUGGAGAGUUGGCAUCCAAUUGCAAAGAAAUAUGACAUCUACCAACAUGCAAUGUCAACCUAUGUAGAUCAUAUGAAGAUAGAGAGGAAAAAUAUAGAAAUGGAUAUAUAACUAGAACUAGCUUUUUAUUAAAUGAGACGGAGAGCCAACAAUGAAGGAAAAUCAAAAUUUUUGGCUCAUAUCAAAGAAUUCACAUUGUGUUACCCUAGGUUUUCUUAAAACUUACUUUUAUGAUAAUAAAAAAUCAUUAUUGUUUAAUCCUUUGUUUUAAACGCAUGUUUAGCAGGUUGUAAAAUGUAAAUAUCUUUCGAAAUUCAAAUAUGAAGAUAUGACAUCAUUUCAAGCAAUAUAGUCUCUAGGAAUUAAUGUAAAGCUAAAUUAAGGUGCAAUUAAGUUAGUUCAAUGCAUUAUUUUAAGAAACUUGACCUAUCAAAACCUUGUCUUACUUCAAAGCCUCUUUUUCUUUUCUUCCAACUAACAUUUUAAUAAGUGAUCGCAAAAGUACAAAAUUAGAUGAAAUCCAUUUCAAUGGUUAAAAUGAUCAAAUUCAAACUUUUUCUAAGUAUCUUUUAAAAGCAUCAAUAUUGAAAGACAAUUUUAUAUUUAGUCAAAGCUUGGACAGAGCCAAAAAGCACACAAAAAUUUAUAUUUUCUAGCUCUCUACCUUGGAUGGUCUCUUGAUCCUACUUGGAGAUGUGCAUAAAUAAAAGGAUUUGAAAAUGACAAUUGACUAAGUAUGUAGUCAAUCAAUUACUCAUUGAUUGACUAGUUGAUCAAUUAACUUUGCAACAUCAUAUGCAAUCCUAAUAGCUAGUCAUCUAAUCAACUAGGUAGUAAAUCAAUAGGCCAAAAAUAUGUUUAUAAUGACUAUUUUGUACAAAAACCACUUAUAUAGUUAAAUAUAAUGCAUUUCAUUUAUAAAUCUUCUAAUUCUUGAAUAACAAUCCUAUCAUCCUUUGAAAGUUUUUAUUACACCUUUUCUACAUUUGUUCUAAAACUUAUACAUCACCCUUAAUUGUACCAUGAGAACCUAGCAUUUUUUUUUUUUUUUUUGUAUUUCAUCAAAGUUAGCUCUUGUACUCAUUGUUGUAUUAUUUUUAUUGUAACUUAGAGAGCGAGUGUUUUCAAGUGAGUGAAAUUGACUUGUAAAUAUUGUAAAGAUUCAUUGAUAUGUAUCUCAAACUAGGUGUACAAGUUGAAACAUUUGCUAGUAGAUUUUCUCAAGAUUUAGAAUGAGCUUAAGGCUAUCGAAUUAGGUGGGGUUGCGCCAAACCAUAUCACAUCGUUGUUUGCACCUUUUUUUUCACUCUCUUUUACUUAGUUGCUCUAUAUAUAUUGUCUAGCAAUAUCCUAAAGGCUUGAUGGGCUAGGGAGCAUCCCUCUGAAUGAAAAAUUUUCAUUCAAUUCUUAGUUGUAUUACGCAUAUAUAAAAUGCCUCAUUGUUUUAAUGGUAUUCAGUCGUGGCACCACAGAUAUGGACAUCUAAAUUUUAAAAGUUUGAAACUUUUAGCUAAAGAAAAUAUGGUGCUUUGCCUUUUUGGAAAGCAUGUUGAUGAAAUCCAUGAGAAUUGUAUACUUGGAGAGCAACAUCGAGAUAACUUUUUUUUUUUCUUUUUUUAUAAUGCAUUGUUUGUCCAAAUUCCGUACAAAUUAGGCCACCACAUGUUCAUAAUUCUCCCUUCUUGAAUUUGAAAACUCGGACAAUUUGACAAUGCGACACCUAAGUCCGGUUUUUAAAUGCUAAAGUGAAAGGGCAGGUAUGGACCAUUGAAAUGUGAUAACAACUUUUGGCCUUUUCCUUUUCUCUGUAGCCAUGUUGUCUCUUUUUAAUUUCUUUUGCAUGAUUUUCUUACCUAAACAGAAUCAUAGACUUGUUUAAUCUCUAAGUGGGAUUUCAUCCACCUUAAGCUACUGUAUUAUAUCUCGGUGGAGGACAACCGACAUAGAGCACAUGCAAGUGGGUAUAUGGGACAUGAAAUAUCUUCUUAUAAAGCUUGUUUUGCAGUUAAAUUAAUUGGAUAAGUAGACACUGGCGUUUCUAAAUUUCCCACCUAAGAUAAUGACCUUAUCCUUGACUGCUAGAUACACAAACAAUUAUACCUUCAAAAUCUACUGUGAAGUGCUUCAUGUAUGUGUGAAGUAUUAGAAAUUUCUUUCUUGGCAACUUGUUUUUUUCUUUGCGGUCUACUGAUAGGUUUGACUAAAAUUAUAUUCCCUGUCCUGCUAAUUAAUUUUCACGUGCAUGCUCAAAAGAAGAGUAUGACCUUAGUGCACCAAAAUCACUUUCAAUAAUUUGUGAUAAGUUUUUUUGCAUGACAUUAACCUUAUUCAUUUAGAUAAUGUUUAGUUCUCAUAAAUAUUAAGAAAAUGAAAAUAAAUAUUAAGAAAAAUAUUCUUAUAUUUGAUUGUAUUAUGAAAAAUAUCAUAAAAAAUCAAAUAUAAUUAAAAUUAAUUAAUAAUUUAUAUAUUUUAAAAUUAUUUAAUUUUUAUAUUAAAGAUAUAAUAUAAAUGAAAUGAGUUUUAAGUAUUAUAUAAAAAUGAUUUAUUUAUUUAUUUAUAUAUAUAUAUAUAUAUAUAUUUAGUUUUUCUCUUUAUUUUAUUUUCCUUAUGUUUUCCUCACAUUUUCCGGAAUCAAAGAUAGGGAAAUCCACAAUUACCUUCAACUGAGUAGAUUCUAUUGUUUUAGCAAUGUUAGGCUGCUAACUUGUGGUGGUACGAACCAAAUGAUCCAUGUUAAUCUUGGCUUGAUUUAAUUUGGCUCUAUCUCAGAGAACUCAAGGAUCACGUCAACUCUGGUUUCUACUAUUCAGGUCCAUUCCCAGAUGAACUGGUUCAAAUUUGAGAAAAUGGUAACAGACCUUUAGUGAUAUUGGUUUGGAGCCAGUUGCCAAACCUGCCCUGAGCUUUACCACUAAUGUCAAGGGACAAAGCCAUUUGAACAAAAACAAUAGCUUCAAGAGACUGAAUCGUGGAUGAAAUCUGAUCCACAUUUCUUCUCAUUUUGGGAAAAAAUGAGGACUUAACCACAAAGAUUCUACUGCCUCAUAGUGCUUUUCCUGAUCUAAGGUUGGCUCGUUUCCCAAAUUGUGAGGUGCACGUGCCACUCUCACGCUCAGGAGUGUAUCCACGUGGUGGACAUAAGAUGGUGGCUUAAUAUCUGGUGUCGGUGGCUUUACUUUACUAGGAGAGUAGUGUGUCUUCAUCUCAUUCACUGCCAGAGGGUGGCGUAAGCAGUGACGCUAAGGUGGGGCACAGUCAAUAUCAUUUGCAUUUGACCAUUAUAAUUUUCUCCCGGCUUUAAAGUAACCUUAUCGUGAUAAUGGAUUACUAGCACUAGUUCAGAUGACAGUCAUGUUAAAUUCGGACCAUGUUUGUGUCACAUUAUCAGCAACCAUGUGCUUGUGGUUCAUGCUAUCUGCAACUAAACUUGAUAUAUAACCAGGUGAACUUCAAUCUAAAUUCUGGAAGUACUCAUGUGAUAGAUGGUGCCUGUCUGCAGUGAGUGUAUCUAUAAGAGGGAAGGCUUGGCAAAUGUUCAGUUUUCUGGGAAUUCAACAGGGAUCUAAAAUAGAUUGUUUUCUUUGCUGAUUUCAAUGGUUGAAAUUUGAGAAGAUUGUGUCCACAUAACACAACUAUUACUGGUCCUUCUGUUGCAAUUUAUCCUCUAAGGCUCUAACAUGUCUUCCAAUUCCCACUUCCCACUUCCCUGUUACUCCAGGAAAGCUGUUUCUGUCAUUGUGAAGAAGAAAAGAGACUGUACAUAUCGAUGCUUUUAAGUGGACUGGAGAAUUCAUAUCAGGUGGUCUGCAGCCAUACAUGCCACUUUGUGAAGGUUGGAACAGUCAAUCACUAGGCUAUAUUAGUGGGGCCCAGCCACUUCAAUCAAGGACAAGUCUUCAUACUUAAAGUCAAAUUCUGCCUUUAGUCUCAUUAUAAAUUGCUGUUUAAAUAUCAAGCAAACAUUUGUUUAAUGCGAUUAAGACAGCACUAACUCAAUACUUGUUCUAUUUUUGGAUGCAAAUGCUUGAUAGUUUCAUCAUUGGAGGGGAUAAAGGUGCAUUCAUGAUUAUGAAUACUUGUAGUUAUAUUUUCAUUCUCUUUUUUCUCAAUGGGACUUGUUGGCACAAUUUUGCUGUUCAGAAACCUACCUCUCCAUGGAAAAUCAGUUGUGAUUGAUAUUACUGGAUAUAUUCAAGAAAGCUAAAUGUAGAUAGCACAAAAUAUUAUCGACAUAAAUAGCAUUAACAGCGUACGUAUGUCUCAAUGCUCAUCAGCUAUAAGCAAGGGGCAAACACUUACUAUGAGCAACUUACGUCAAAAUUCCGGAAUAGGACAUAGAAGUGACAGGUCAGUAAAUAUAGAACACUGCAUAUGAGUCACAAGAAAGGAAAUUACGGGUACAUAGCAGCUCUUAUUUUACAUCCUACUCAUACUGAUCAAAGUCACUCAGUUGGGAUGGGUGGGAGUGGGAGGUUUGUGGGGUGGCUUGUGCGGAGGAGUUGGCAGCUUCUUUCCAGGACCUGGUUGCUUCUCUGCUGGAGUUGAAGGAGGCUUAAUCUUCCGAGGUGGCUUGUAUGAGUCUUCAGCAUUCUCAGCAGGAGGGUGACCAGGGUUGUGACCACAAUGUGGUGGCUUCUCUCCCUUAGGUGGUUUGCCAACUGGGGUUGGUGGCUUGUGUUCCGGAAGUGGCUUCUCUUUGUGUUCAGGAGGUGGCUUCUCCACUGGAGGCUUGUGUUCAGGAGGUGGCUUCUCCACCGGAGGCUUGUGUUCAGGAGGUGGCUUCUCCACCGGAGGCUUGUGUUCAGGAGGUGGCUUCUCCACCGGAGGCUUAUGCUCUGGUGGUGGCUUCUCCACCGGAGGCUUAUGCUCUGGUGGUGGCUUCUCCACCGGAGGCUUAUGCAAUGGUGGUGGCUUCUCCACCGGAGGCUUGUGUUCAGGAGGUGGCUUCUCUACCGGAGGCUUAUGCUCUGGUGGUGGCUUCUCCACCGGAGGCUUAUGCUCUGGUGGUGGCUUCUCCACCGGAGGCUUGUGUUCAGGAGGUGGCUUCUCCACCGGAGGCUUGUGUUCAGGAGGUGGCUUCUCCACCGGAGGCUUGUGCUCUGGUGGUGGCUUCUCCACCGGAGGCUUAUGCUCUGGUGGUGGCUUCUCCACCGGAGGCUUGUGUUCAGGAGGUGGCUUCUCCACCGGAGGCUUAUGCUCUGGUGGUGGCUUCUCCACCGGAGGCUUGUGUUCAGGAGGUGGCUUCUCCACCGGAGGCUUAUGCUCUGGUGGUGGCUUCUCCACAGGAGGCUUGUGUUCAGGAGGUGGCUUCUCCACCGGAGGCUUAUGCUCUGGUGGUGGCUUCUCGAAUGGGGGAUGCGUAGGGUAAUCAGCUAGUGAGGGGGCGGUGAGAACCACCAGGCCAAGCAACACUACUAGCAAGUAUGUAGGAGACAUCUUUGGGUUUGGGCUCAGAUGGUGCAAAACUAGGAGAAUUGGCUAGCCUUUUAUAGCGGAUCGUACCCAAUAAUGAAAUGACACGUGUCAUUAUGACCCAUGUGUCAUGUGGUCGAUUUGGGUCCUACAGUGUUGAAAACUUCGACAUCCACUUUUUUGGCCUUUUGCUUUCUCUACAGUCGCCUUGCUUUUUCCCUCUUUUCUUUUGUUUUCCUCCUGCCCCAUUCUAUCAACUAAUCACAAUUAUGUAGUUGUUUAAUUCUUAAAUGAGAUAUUAUCCGUCAAUCAUAUUAUCUUUUAUCAAGAGAGAACGGAGUGAAAAGUGGCAAUCCAAAGAAAGAAGAUCCAUAAUGCAGCUGUAAUUUUAUCGUUUACUUUUAUCUCUAGGACCACUGCAUUUUUGUUGAGAGGUGCAAUAAUACACGUCUUUAUCUGCCAUUCAAUGUUUACAGUAAAGAGAGGGCACAAAACUCUUCACUGCUCUGCAUGUGCCCCAAAAAUGCAAUUGGACAAAUUAUGAUUUGCAUGCUAAAAAGAGGCAAAUGAGGUUAAUUAGCACCAAAAUUAUUUUGUUUUCUGGACACCCCGGGGCCCUUUGGUUGGUUUGGGGGUCAGAAAAUGAACAUCAUAGGGGGUUUUUCCCUAAUGUGCAUUUGCAUUUGUAUCUGAUGGCUUUAACUCGCCUUGUUACUACAAAGAAAUUGUCACAGAUAGGAACUUAUUCCAGGCUGAGUAUCUCCGCAUGGACCCUAUAAAAGAAGACAAGUCAUAAUGAACAUCUAACCUUUGUUCAAUUUGAUUCAAUGCCCCUAUUGUGUCCAUCUCACAAAUCUGAAUUAUUAUAUCCAUUGAAUACAUAAAUUAAUGAAGAAAAUAUGAAACCCAAGAUACAUCUCUGCACAACCUCAACCCUGGUUGCUAUGUUUCACUUCUAUUCACAUGAGGAUAUUGAUUACGGAAUAAGGAAACCUAGCAAGGGUUUACUCGGCUCUGGUUUGAUGCUAAUUGCCAAACUUGCAACAAGCCCUGAGUUUGACACCUAAUCGAUGGGCGAAUUAAAAGUCUCCUCCAAACAUAUAUUCCACAGCUUGAAGCUCACAGAAGAUGCUAUACAGGCAGGGAAAAACCUUCAGAGUUAGCUACCAAAGAUAAUUAUCAAGGAGAUAUCACCAAGAGAAUUCCAUGGAGUCUGAAUCAAAGACAAAUUGCUCGCUCGUGGGGGUUCUUACUUAAUUUCUUUUGGGUAUAACUCACUGAGGGCACUGGCUUUGUUAUUUGCAUUUCGCAUUUAGAGUUCUGUUCUGGAAGGUUUGUUCUGGAAACAUAUAAAAGGAGCAUCAUUUUGUUCUAGGGUAACCCAUAGUUGUGAGUGGGUCCAUUUGCAUGCUACUUAGUUGAAAAGUUGGACAAUUUGCUCCGACGCCUACCUCCUGGAUUCCAUGCUCGGAUAAAGCAAGAAUAAUAAAAUAUUUAUAAUUUACAAAUGGGGGAAAGAAAAAAAUGUCAACAACAAACUAGGAAAAAAGAGUAGUAAAAUUUAUGCCACAUGCUAUUGAUAGAAGGGGCAUGUAUUAGAUCCAUCACCAUUUGGUAAGAUUUUAGUAUUAUAUUUUUCAAGGUUCAUUAUUUGAGGGUGUGUUCUUCAUCUCUGUUGCAUUGCUUCUUACUAGGCCCACUGAGGUGGGUUCUUCACCUUUUGUAUAUUCUCUGCACUAGAUCAAUGAGAAAGGGGGAAUUUUGGUGAAUUUGCAGCCGUUGGAUGAUUGAUUCUAGGCUCAGUCCACCAAUGAUGCUCUCUUCACUCUUUCUCAUCUAGUGUCAUUCACAACUAUGUUUUGAUUCAUAUUUGUACUAUCAAAGAUAUCUCAUUAUUCUAGCUCAUUAGGUAGAGUUCCUAAUCUUCCUCCUUUUUGGUCUAUGGACAGUAUUGGCUUCAUAUUAAGAUCAUGUUUCAAUAAUUGCACAUUAAUGAAUGGAUCAUGACCCACAUAAACAGAGUCAGGGUUGAGUCAGUGAACCCUAAAAUUUCACAAUUCUAAAUUUGGGUUCUUUAACAAUGCAGGGUCAAGGACGCGUGGUGAUGAAGGAAAGCUGGUAAGCUCAGUGUUACUUCAAUUCCUGCCAUGUAGGAUGGUGAGGAGAUAUUCACUAUGCAAUUAAUAAUAGACAAUAUUCACUAUGCAAUAAUAAAGCAUAAAUUAAGUUGAAUGAAAAGCAUUUUCUUUGCAAGGAGUUGAUUUUGGUUUCAUAGUUUGUUCAACUGCUAUUUUGGAUAGGAAAGUGUGAGGAGAAGAAAAUAAAAAAUAAAAAUAAAACAAAAAAUAAAAAAUAGAUUUUAUAAAUUCAUUUAAUUUAUUUUUUUUUUAUAAAAAUUAACUAAUUUAAAAUAUAUGUAAAUUUCUAAUUAAUUUAAUUACAUUUUUUUUUUCAGUUUUUCAUAAUAAACCAAAUAUUAGAAAAUUAUUUUUAUUAAGACACCCAAGAUGAGGUAAUAUGCAAUGAAAACAUGAAUUAUAUUAAAAUUCAAAACAAAUUAAGAGAAAUCGGAAAAUAUACAUAGAUAUCUAAACAAAGAAAUUUAAAGAGAAGGAACCACAAACUUUAUUUACAUAAUUUGAAAAUAAAAAACAUAAAACAUACUUAUAGUAAGGAGAAAUUGAAUAUCUUACAAUGGAAGAAGGGAGAAAAGCUUUGAAGAAAGCUUUUGCUUGGAAGCUUACAUGGUGAGAGGUAGAGAAAGGAGAGAGAGAGAAGAAAAUGAAAAAUGAGAAGUGGAGAAAAUUGGAAGUUUUGUGUGCUUACAACUGAGGAUAGAGCCUCCUUAAAUAGCAAAAAAUGGAAUAUUAAAUAGUACCAAUCAGGAGACAAAAUAUUGUUUGCUUUUGAAACCCGUGCAUGAAUAGUAAUCCCGUGAGUGAAUAGUGAAUAAUAAAAGUGAAUAGUAAAAGUCACUUUCUACUAUAGCACUUUAGACUUUUUCAUCGAGAAUCUUACUUUCGGCUGAGUGAUGAUAGCUGAUAGGUUGCUUUGGAUUGUGGAGUCAUAUGUUUGAUGUUUUCGGUGCUGAAACCGCUUAGUUGGAGAAUAAUCUCGUCAGUAGAGCAUCAUGAGAAGCUUGAAUGGAGAGAGCUUAAUGAUGCCAUAUGAUUGGAAGGAAUCCUAUUUUAAUUUCCUUAUUGGAGGGAGAAUACCCUCACAAUCAUCUUCAUUAUCUUGAAGGUAGUUUGAUAUAGAGUCAUCUGACUCAGCAUAAGAGUCCUCUUGGGAGAAGCUUGAACUGCUUUUGUCAAGGAUUUUCUGAAAUUCUUGAGGGGUUUUUGCUAUUGCUAACAUGGUUUGGAGUUGCUGUUUCUUAAGAAGAAACUGUGCAAUAUCAUAAGAUGAUGAAGCUUGUGUAGGAUGCUUUAGGAAAUAUUGCUUUAUUGCUUGUAGUGAGGUAUCAUUUUUCAAGGCAUCCCACCACUUAGACUUGAAAGUCCUUCCAAGGGUUGGAAAGGCUGCUGAUUCAUCUGCUAUAAUGAUAUAAUCCCACUGGACUAUCCAGGCAAGGCCAAAUUCACUAAAAAAGAAUAAUAAUUGGGGAAAACUGAAAGUUCUCUAGGGAUAACAAAAGAACUUUGGAAUAGCUCAAAGCCAUCCAAAAUGGGUUUUGGGAGAAUUUUAAUAGUUGGACCAAAAUAUGUCCACCAAUUGUGGAACCAAAAUGGAAAAGAGGGGAGUUGAUGCUUAGAUGGGAAAUAGAACAUCCCUGAAUGAUGGAAGUCCUUGUUCUGGAUCAGAAAAGCAUUGAACCAUACUCUUUGGUAGUCUCAAUAAUUGAAAAUUUUAGGUUUUGAAGGCUUAGAAAAUUCUCUUGAAAAAUUAGGAUUCCCACCCCACUGCUUAACUGUAAGGAUUUUAUAAAUAUGGUAAGUGGAGAAUGCCAAAUCCAAAUUGCUGAAUUUAUCAGCAUUGUGCUUGAUUUUAACAGAGCCGGUUUCCAUAAGGAUUGCUUCAUAAAAUUCUCUUGUUUUUAAAAGAUCACCAAAGGGAUAAUGAAAAUUUUCAUGAAAAGCUUUUGCUGCAAUAUCUCUAGGGUUUUUAGAGAAAAACUCUUUUUCAAUAACCAAAAGAGGUUGAUUUAAAUCUUUUUGCCAAUAUCUUGCUUUUGCUGAAAGAGGUGUGGGGUUGGCUACCACCACAAUUUGCUUAUUUGAAAAAGAAGAGCUUGAUGCUAAUUCAUUUUGAGAGGGAUUAGCUUUAGUAACCUGCUUAAAGGUCUGAGACACAGUAAUAGUUGGAUACUGAGUAGCCUUGACUGGUUUAGAAGGAUUCGAAGGAUCAUAGUACAAGGACAAAAUCUUAUUAGGCAUAUGGUCAGAAGAAUGAAGCCUUGCUUCUUCUUCUAGCUCAACUUGUUGGCUCCAAAGUAUUUUAUGGGGAGAAGGUUCUUUGCUGGUUUUAGAAGACUAGGAUUCUGGAAGUUUAGGAGCUUGGGUAUUCUUUUUAGGGGCCAUGGUUUCGUGAAUCCUGUAAAAUUCACAAGUUAAGAAAUCAGGGCUCGAAGAAUGUUCUCCUUUAAUAUACUCAAUUUGUAAAUUAAAAUUGCUUAAAAUAGCUUGAUAUAUAGCAAAAAUAUGCUUAGAAGUUAUAUUCUUAACAUCCUUUUGUAAAACUAAUUUUGCAAAUUUACAAUCAACUCUUAAUAAAAACUUUUGAUUCAAAAGAUCAUCUUGAAAUUUUGAAAUGCAUAAAACAACGCUUAAAGUCUCUUUUUUAAUGAUGUUAUGAAUGAGUUGGGUAGUAUUCCAGGUUCUUGAAGUAUACCUAACUAACAUCUCAAGGUUACCAACACUUUGCUUAAGAAUCCCACCAUAACCUAUGUCUGAGGUAUCGAUCCCAACAAACUCAAAGGUUUCUGGAUUGAUAGAGCCUAAACAUGGUAGGGUCUUGACUUUGGACUUAACAUCAAUAAUGAAAACAAUGGUGAAAACAGAAAACUGGUUAAAGUUUUCAUCCAUUAUAUUCUGGAAUUCUGAGGUGCAUUCUUAAGAUCAAAGGGCAUUAUGAACCAUUCAUAAUGUCCAAGAGAUACCACAAAGGUGGUCUUAUUUGGAAUAGGACACCUAAUCCAACUUAAUGUAUCAUUAAGAGGCAUGUAGUUGACGACUAGUCUAGGUGUUCCUUUUUCUGAUUCAACUUGUUCCUGAACAUAGAAGGUUGAACAACUCCAAAGGGACUUAGACUUCCUUAUCAACUUUUUAUCAAGAAGAUCCCAAAUCUCCUUAUCACAAUAGCUUAACAAACCCUUGUUCAUCUGGAUAGGUCUUGAUUUAGUGGGAAUAUUCUUGUCACUAAAGUCUAGUUCAUAAGGUAAUUCUACCUCAUGUUGUUUCCUAUGCCAAAAUGCAUUAGGAAUGUUAGAGCAAACUUCUUCAACAAUCAGAUUAAUUUCUUGCUCAUGACUUUCCUUAGCUUGAAUCACCUGAUCCCUUAAGGUGUUUAUAUUUUUCUUAUUAGGUGGUUGGCAAAUUCAAAAAUAAUUUCCUUAUCUAAGAGCUUUGUUCUUAUACUUUGGUCAUCUACCCACAUGGGAUAGAUGGAGCUUAAAAAGGGGAUUCCAAGGAGAGCUUUCUCCUUAAGAUCCUUAACUAGAAUGAAGGUUUGCUUGAUGCAAAUGCCUUGGUUAUUUAUGUGAGCAUCUGACAGCUUAUACUCAAUGUCAAGCCUUUUACCAUUAGCUCCAAAGAGAGAUUCUUUGGUUUUCUUACAAAACUUAAUAGGACCUAGACCUUCUUGUAGGCAAUUCAAAGCUGUUCCUGAAUCAAUCAAAGCAACAAUAUCAAUGACAAAUUUACUCUUAAUUACUAUAGUAAGGGAGACUUUCCACCUCUGGAAAAUAACCCUACUAACAGUAUUUAAGUAUCCAUCCGUCUUUUCAUCAUUAGCAUGUGAAGAUUCUAGAACCUCUUCAAGGUUUUCCUAGUUAUCAACAAGAUUUUCUAUAACAAUCCUAUUUAUUUGUUCUUGGAGAUCUGAAAAACCUAAGCUUGUGUAUUGUCUUAAAUCUUUAAUUUCCUUCUUAUACUGUCUUACUUCUUCUUGAAGAUCCUUAAUGGUUACGUCUUUGGUAGACUACUGGUUAAAUCUUCCUAAGAUUUCAUUUAAGUUAUAAGAAUUUACUGUCUUCUUAAUCUCUUGCUUAUCGACAAAUUUCUUAAAAACUUCAUAAAGAUCUUGUUUAGUUUUUUCAUCUUCAACUUUCCUUAAAACAUCUAGGACAAGUUCUUGAUCUUGGCUUAUGACAUUUAUAGUCUUAGGUUGGCAAUCACAAUUAUCCUUAAUGUAUUCUUCUUGGUCACUAGAAGUUUGGCUUGAGAUUUCCUCACCACUACUAUCUAGUUGGUUAAUACCAUUUUCAUUAUCUGAAUCAAUCCUUGAUUCAGACUCUGUGGAAUUUAACAUUACUUUACAAAGCAUAUCUUUUAAGUCUUCUGUGACAUUUAAGUUAUUAAUUUUCUGCUUAACCCUACAAUCUUUCUUAUAGUGGCCUAUCUUACCACACUUAAAACAAACUGGCUUAGAUUGUGAAGGAGCUUCUAGCUUUUUAUGGGCUUCUUUGUUCAUCAUUCUUUGGAUGUGCCUUUGUUUCUUAGUUUCAUUCAUCCUAUAGUUGCCAUGAGUUCCUCUCUUGUUGUGAUAGGACUUUUCCUUACUAGGCUUUGUACUUACUUGUUUCUUACGUUGCUUAGAGGGGGGCUUAGUUUCUUUUUGGUUGAAUCCAAACUAGCUACAAAAUGAACCAAACUCAUUCUUGUAGAUCCUUUGUUCAUUUUUCAUCUGUUGCUUAAGCUUAAAGUCAUUGCACAGUUUAAUUGCUUCUGAUGUGACAAUGCUUAUAAUUUCUCCAUAAGAAAGCUUAUCAUAAGGGAUUUGUCCAUUAAACUGUUCCCUUAUCUUAAUCCUAAUCCUCUCAGAGAAAAGUCUAGGUAGUCCUAAGAUGAAUUUUUCUUUCCAAAAAGACUGGUUAUAGUUUGAUCUUAGUAUGACUUUGGUUAGGAAAACUUCUCUAUACCAUCUAAAGUCAUGAAGCUUGGGACACUUAAGGUUGGUUAAGAGAUCUACAAUCUUAUCCUUAAUCUUUGCAGGAUCUCCAAUGAAGUGCUUUGAAAUUGAAUAGAUUAGAGUAGCCACUACAUCCUCUAUAUCUUGUCCAUCUUCAUCCUUAACCACUUCAUUUUCCUCAUUAAUCCUAUAGGCUUUUAGGAUACCAUUUCUAUCCUCAAAGGUGAGAUAAUUAUCCCACCAACCCUAAAGUUGACCUGUAAACCCAACAACAAUUGUUUGAGCUACAGCAUGGCCUGACAAUCUAUUGUUUAACUUAUAGGUUGUACUAACCAUGGUCAUUUCUUGAAGCUUAGUGAGUAUGUUGUACUCAAUCAUACCAUCUAUGUUCCAUUCAUAGAUAGUGUCACUAGUGUAGGAAGCUUGAGUAUGCUGGUUUCUUUCCUCAUACUACAUAUCAGGAAAAGUUGGUCUAGGGUAGUAAUUCCUAGUUCUUGGUUGUUGAUAAUCCUCAUAACUGUUUGGUUAGGAGGUUCCUUAAAAAUCUUAAUUAGUUCAUCAGCCUCUGCUUCAGAACUAAUUUCUCCUUUAACCAUAUUGAUUCUCUUGUGAGAUGGUUGAGGUGUCUCAGAGACAACAAGGCUAUCCUUAACCUUUUGGCUUAUCCUAUCAAUGAGGGCUUGAUCAAUAUGGAGAUUCUCUAGGAAUUUCUUAGAGAAUUCAAAAGGCUUAAAUAAAGACUUAUUAUCUUUCUUAACAAACGUAGUCUUAAUGUAGUCUUGUGUUUCAAUGAUAUCCUCAAACUUGUUGAGUUGAUCGCCUGUAGUCUUAAGAAACAUGUUAGUGUAGUUGUUUUGUUCCAUGAUUCUUCUAACGUCAACAACACUAUCAAUUCCUUUAUUCUUUGGCCUAGUCUUAAAAGGUGAAGCUUUGACUAUGGUUCAAUUAAUGUUCUUUUAUAUCUUAGCUUCUAGAGGGUGGAUGGAUUCUAUGAUAGUAUCGUCACUAGUUUUCCAUAUCUUAGUUUUUUUGGAUGUGUCAUUGACACGCUUACUAGGGUAAUCUAGAUAUUCCUCUUGUUUGAAGAGUUCAAACCAGAUCCAAUACUUAAUGUUCUUCUUUUCUUGUCUUAAGUAUGUGUAGAAUUCUUCUUGGUAGAGGGUUCUAAUGUCUUUAAGGACCUUGCUAAAGAACCAAACUCUCCUUUUCUUAUUGACUUCAGAAUAGAAGUCUUUCCUUAAGAGGUCCUUGUUGAUUCAAAGUCUUCGUUAAUUAGGCUUACAGUGUUAAUCAACUGAGAAUAAGUAGGAGACAUAUCAGGAGAUUCGUCCUGAUGUGAUUCUUGAGUAAACUCAUUUUCCUCCAUGUAAAAGGGUUUGGCCACGUUGGUGUGACUUCUAACACCUGUUAGCUUAAUAUUCUUAGGAUUUGCUGAACUAGAUCCUUCCUCUAUCCUAGUGGUUCUUAUUGGGAUAGAUGAACUUGAAGCUCUAGAGGGCUCAUAAUAUGAAAUUCUAAGGCUGCUAGAAUGAUGAAAAGAGUUGGAGAAAAUUAGAUCUCGUUCUCCAUCAGGAUAUUGAACAAUCUGUUCAAUUCUUUCAGAUCUUUGCUCUAUGGCUGGGACAACAUUAGCAAAAUGCCAAUUUUCUGGAAACUCAACCUCAUUCCACUUGAUUUUCAUGGGGACUAUGAAAUUAGACUUGUUUAUCAUAUCUAAGUGGAAGAUAGUGGUUUCACCCUUGGGACUGGUGCACAAUGCUCCAAAUCCAACGCUUAUGGUCAUGCUCUUAUAGGCAAAUCUGGUGAUGAUGGAAACAUGAUUGUUUCCUUGCUUGAACUUAAAGUCAUGGGUCUUAACAUGAAGGACAACUGAAUCUAAGAUGUUGACAUCUCUUAGUCUAACUGUGAAGUUAGGGAAACACUGGAAAUAAACAGGACCAUCAUUUAAUCCUGCUUGGGUAGCUCCAAUAAUAGAAUCUCGGUAAUCAAGAUGUCUAUUAUCUCUUAAACACAUGACAAUAAAGGUGUUUAGACCUAGUCUUGUCAAGGGCUUAGCUGCAACUUGAAUCAUGCCAAAGUGUAUGAAGUUGUAGUCUCGCUUAUGCUUAUCAAUGGACUUACUAUCCAAGAGUCUUAUGACUUGAUCGUCGUGUUCUAAACUUACUGACAUUUCAGGGGUUUUAAUGGUGUAAUCUGUAAAGAACUUAAAGGUUCCUUUCUUAUAAAUUUCUUGAUUAGGUACCUUGGGUAACUUCCAAUCAUCUAAAUCAUCUUGGAUCUUAGGAUAAUUGAUCUCUUCAUUGUUUACUCUUGAGAAUUUGUGGAUUUCCUAGACAUGGUUCUGAAAAUCAAACUCAUUUUAAGGUUUUAAUCUAGAGCCUAAUAGCAGAUUAACAGACCUAGUGAGUAAUCACCCCAACCCUUUUCCAACCUUAACAAACGCCUAUCUCCAGCUAACAAUGGGCUCAACUCGGCAAGGAUCGCACUCAGGCACACUACUAUCUUUCCUAGGAUAGAUCAAAACACCCAAAACAAACCCGACUUCCUUUUCCUAGGAUAUAUAUAGUAUUUUGGGUUUGAGUAGGAGUUCAUGUUUUGUAUGUAAUUGUAGUCUACGUUGGACUAGGUUGUUUGCUCCUAAUUGAAAUAGGAAUGGUUGGUGUCACAUCUCAUUCAUUUUCUCAUCUAUUUCCAUGUUUAGAUAACUCAAGUAAUCAUAGGAAUGAAAUUAAGAAUGAUUUGAGGGAAAUGAAAUCUCACUUGUAAGUGGGAUCUCAAUUCAUCAUUAAUAGAAGGUAUUUUGAUUACAUAGUGCAAGUUAUUUUUAAAAACACUUUUCAAAAAUUGAAAAACCAAAAACUCUCUUGGAUAAGUUGUUUUUAAAAAGAAUUUUUGUAUUUUUAUUUUGUAAAAAAAAAAAAUAGUAAUUCAAUUUAUAUAAUAUAAAUAGACUUUAAUUUUAUUAAAAAUAAAAAUAAUUUUUUAAUUACAAAUAAAUUAAAAAAUAAAUAUUUGUAAUAAAAUAUGAAUAGUAAUAUUAUAAUAAAAUCAUAAAUAAAUUAAAAAUAUUUUUAAAAACAAAUAAGUUUAAUUUUUUUGAGGUACAAAUGAGCCAAAUUUUUCAUUAGGUACACAACCAACAAUUUUUAUUGGAAACAUUCCUCAAAAAAGAAUUCGUUUCCCAUAUAGCAAAGAUAUUUAUUAUUUAGUAUCUAACCAUCCGUAGUAAUCAUAUCAAUUCUACUAAGUUAUUUAAUAAUUCAUUUAUAUAUAGUACUCAAUUAUGAAUUUUUUUAUUUGAUGUAUAAUUAAUUAAUCAAUGUUUUGAAUUUUGAAUUAUUCUUAAAAUUUAAAACAUUAAUUAUGUCUAUUACUUUUUAUAGUCAUUAUAUAUAUAUAUAUAUAUAUAUAUAGAGAGAGAGAGAGAGAGAGAGAGAGAGAGCUUAAAUUUAUCUUUAAAAAUUAUUAAAUUUAUUAAUAAAUUCAAUACAAAGACUCAUUUGAUUUGAAAUUCAUUUCUUUAGUGAAAAUUUUGAAACUAAAUAGUACUUUGUUUUACUUUGUUUUUAAAUCAUACUCACAAAUAAGUUUUUAUCAUUUAGCCAAAAAAUCUCAAAGAUGUUUCUAAUUUUAUUUAUUUAUUUAUUUGUAAAUGAAAAUAAAAAAUUAGUUUAAACUAAAUAUGCGGAUAUUAUUGUUAAUUUAUUUCAUUUUUUAUUUCCAUUGUUAUUUAACAUUGAAACGGAAACAAAUAAUCAUUCCAAUCUUACAUUCUUAUAUGCAUCUAAACACAAGAAUUGAAAUCACCAAAUUCAUAUUCAAGGCAAAAUAGAAAUGGAAAAAAAAUAUUCAUUUUCAUUCCUCAUUCUCAUGUGCUAAACAUGACAUUAGUUCUACUACCUAUUUCACCAUUCUUCUUGAUAAAUUUGGUAUAUGCAAUAUUGAUCUAAGUGUGAGGUGAAUAAGAAUGAUGAUGGGAUGGGCUUGGAAAUAAGGGCAAAGUUUCUAGGUGCUAUCUAGAGGGGCAACGCGACUUUUUCAAAUUUCGAAUAUUUGUUCUCAACAUAAAGCAAAACUUUACUCACACAAUAGAUAAGACUCUGUUUGUUUUCUUCAUCCACGACUAUAUAAUGUAUAGCUCUUACUCAAGGGAUGAGCUACUUACUAUUAAGGAUUGGGUAAGAUAUUGCCUAAUGGCCAAGAAGGCAUGUCAAAAAAUAAAUCUAAUCACCAUAAAAAAUAAUAGGGGAAAAUUAAUAUAUUAUGAAUGAUGACUUUACUAUUUCUCUAUAUACAUAAUUAUAUAUUUUGAAUUUUCUCACUAGGUAAUGAGAUUCUAAAUCAACUGAAACAUAAUUAAUAAUUUAUAUUUUUAAUGAAUCUUUUAAUUUUUAAAAAUAAUUUAAAAUUUUAAAAAACAAUUCAAUUAAUUACAUAUUAAAUCAAAACAUUUCAAAAUAUUGUGUUUGUAGAUGAGUACUAAAUGCUUGCAUAUAAUAAUAAUAAUAAAAAAAUUGACUCAUUUAGAUGUUAAAAAAGUUAAAUGUUUUUCAUUAUUCAUUUUAAGUAAAAUAUUAUUGACAUUAUUAUUAUAAAAUUAUUAUUAUUCAUUUUUAACAAAAAACAAAAUAAGUUAUUCUUUUACCAAGAUGUCAAUAUCUAUAUUUUUCUAACAUAUAUUAAAAUAGUAUACUUUUCUUUUAUUAAAAAUAAUAAUUAUUAUUAUAUUAUUAUUCAAGUUUUAUUAAAAAAAUUUAUCUUUUAAUUCAUUUGUAAUUACAAAAUAAUUUUAUUUUAUUAAGAAUUUAAUUUAAUUACGCUUUUUUUUUUUAUAAAAAAAACAGUUAUGCUUUUACCAAGAUGUUAAUAUUCAUAUUUUUCUAGCUAACAUAAAUAGAAUAGUACACUUUUUCAUAUAAAAAAAUAAUUUAUGAUUUUAUUAUAAUGUUACUAUUCACAUUUUACUAAAAAUAUUUAUUUAUUUUAUUUAUUUUUAAUUAUAAAAUAAUUUUAUUUUCAAGAAUUUAAUUUUAAAAAAAUAGAAAUCAUUUAUUCUUUUACCAAGAUGUUAAUAAACAUAUUUUUCUAACAUAUACUAAAAUAAAAAAGUUUACUUGUUCAUUAAAAAAUAUAAUUUAUGUUUUUAUUAUAAUACUACUAUCUAUGUUCUACUAAAAAUAUUUAUUUAUAAUUAAAAAAUAAUUUCAUUUUUAAUAAGACUUGAACUAAAUUAAAUUUAUAAUUUUUUUUUAAAAUAAAAUAGAAAAUUAUUUUUUAAAAACAACUUAUUGAAAGAAAUUUUUUAUUCUUUACUUUUAAGAACUGUUUUUAAAAGCAACCUAUAAACCCCUUUGGGUCUGUUUGGCUAUGUUUCAUGCAACUUGUUUUUAAAAAUUGUUUUUUAUUCUUUAAUUUAAUUUUUUUUAAGUUAAAGAAUAAAAAACAACUUUCUAGUGUUUUAUAAAAAUGAGAGCUUUUGACAAGUUGUUUUUAAAAACCAUUUUUAAAAAUAAAAAAUAAAAAACUUAUUUAGAUAAAUUGUUAUAUAUAUAUAUAUAUAUAUAUUUGUAAAAACAUUUUAAAUUCAAUUUAUAUAAUAUAAAUUUAAUUUAAUUUAAGUCUUAUUAAAAAAAAAUUGUUUGGAUAAGUUUUUUUUUUUAAAUAGUUUAUUAUUUUUGUUUUGUAAAAACAUUGCAAAUUCAAUUUAUAUAAUAUAAAUUAAUUUAAUUCAAGUCUUAUUAAAACCAAAAUAAUUUUAUAAUUACAAAUAAAUUUAAAAAUAAUUUUUUUAGUAAAACAUGAAUAAUAAAAUUAUAAAUUAUAUUAUUGUGGACCCUGCAUUUAUGCUCAUGCGCUUCCACUUGUUGGCGAACUCAUUUUUUAUUUGAAAAUGAUUUAUUUUUUUAGAAAAUGACUUAGAGUCGCCACUUAUUUUUGUUUUAUUUUUAAAGGGCAAGCAAAAUAAGAAAGAAAACCCUAAGUGUGACUCCUUAUUCGAAAAAGGUAGUCUGUGUAAAACCGGAUCAGGGUUCAGGGAUCAGGUUACUUAUUGGGAAGGUAUGACAAUGACCGUAGCACUCCUCUAAGUCCUUAAAAACGGGCCUCUACUAAAAAAAAUAAAGUAAUCAUGGCAAUCAGUAAGGAAAUCACUGGAUACCCAGAACAAUUAUGCACAUGUGAGAAUUAAAACAUGCAUAAGAAUGGACAAAGUGAGAGUGGGUGCGUACCUUGACAACGAACCACAAUGCGUUAUCAAGAAAUGGGGUUAGUGCACGAUCAAUGAACAUAAAACACGUCACACAUGUCACUAAGCAGAGUGAGAAAUCAUCAGAUAUUACAAUUCAAUCAAAUUUAUUUUUAGAAGAAACAUCUGUUGAUGUAGAGCCCCUACCAAAGCCUAAUUUAUUUUUGCAUGAAUCAAUUUCAUAAAUUCAAUCGCUUGGAAUUACAGAAUUAAAUUCAUGCUUAUUUUAAAACAUCUUUUUAAAAUCAUGGAAGAUGUGAAAAUGGUUUUCCAAAGAGAAAAUGACAACUGAUUUUAUUGAAAAUGGGAUUUUGGGGACCUAAACGUUAAAGAGGGAUUAGGAAUUGAAAAUUAAAUCAUUUGAAAAUUGAAUUUUUCAAAAAUCAGUUUUGAAAGCAUGCAUGCAAGUAUGGACUGUGAAAGUGGGCCUAGGGAGGGUGGCCAUGCAAAAUGAGGUCAUACACGUGGGCCUUGGGUACAAUUGGGACUACUUUGCUGGUGCCAGUGGUGCUUGCAGCUGUCAUCCAUGAUUUCUUCAUUGGGAUCAAUUUCCAUUCUUACUGCCAAACAUUCCAUAACAAUUGACCAAACUAGUAACCCUGACCUUGCAUGAAAAUGAACGUUACCUAGAAACUCACUGCCAGUGAGAUUCAUUGCUCUUUCAAAAGGUCUCAUUUUCUUUCUCAUCCAAUUGCUUUAAGGAGCAUUCUAGCGUCACGAUUGGUGACUGCGCAUCAUCUAGAGCCUUCUUUCUUCUCAGAAUCAGGUUUGCGUGCAGAGGCCUGUGCUUGUUCAAGGUUGACCUAAAUUCAUCUAGGUUUAGAACCGACCAGUUGAGCUUGGGGAGCAACGACAAGAAUAUCAGUCACUUGCGAAGAGAAAACUCGAGAUCUUUCAAGUAAUGCCUGACAUAGAUUCCUCCAACCUGUGGCCAAUAUCUCAUUCCUUGUUGGCCAGACGCCUAUUAGGGCGUAUCUCAAUCAAUAAUAUGAUUUUUCGUUUGUUCACAAUAAAGACCGGAAGCCAUGGUUGUGAUUUAUGCAGUACAGAAGAAGUUGCCAUGGCUGGUAUCCUUACAAAUUCUGGUGUUUCUGCUAUCUGUUCAAGUGCAAAACACAACAGCUUUAUCAAGUUUGUCCCUAACAACUGAUAUUGAGCCCUCUGGAGGAAACCUUGAUAAAUUCAUAAUCACUUUUGACUCAUGCAUGGGCUGCCCAUCAAAUUUUCCUAGCAACGAGACGACUGCUGUCAUCUACUGCAAAGAGAAUUUCUUCUCGCAAAGACAAGAGGAGUUUAAGAAUACACACUAUUCUGCCAUUUCAUUUCCUCUUUCUCCACAACCAACAUAAACCAUAGUGUCUACAUUAGAGUACUUAGAAAGAGCUUAACUGAUGACCGUUUUUCCACAACCAAAUGCCCCAGGUAUGGCACAAAUUUCACCGAAAACAGAAGGGAAAAGGGCAUCAAGAACACGCUGUCCUGUAAGUAGUGGGGUAUCAGGACUACUCUAGGGAAGUUAUUUCUGUCAUUUUGAAAAAGAAAAAUUAAAGAAUGUACACAUGCUUUCAAGUGGACUGGAGCAUUCUACAUAUCAGGUGGUCUGUAGCCACAUGUGCCACUUUGUGGAAGUUGGAACAGUCGAUCACUAGGCUAUUUAGUGUGGCCAAGCCACGUUAAUCAAGGACAAGUCUUCAUACUUAAAAGUCAAAUGGUGCCUUUAGUCUCAUUACACAUGGCUAUUUAAAGAUGAACUAAUCUUUAGUGUAAUGUGAUUAAGACAGUACUAACUGAUCAAUAUUUUUUCUAAUUUUGGAUGCAAAUGCUUGCUGGCUUCAUCAUUGGAUGGGAUAAAGGUGCAUUCAUGACUCUGAAUACUUGCAGUAAUACUUGCAGUAAUACUUCAUUCUCUUUUUUCUCGAUGAGACUUCUUGGCACAAUUUUGCUUCUCAGCAACCUACCUCUCCAUGGAAAAUGAGUUGCGAUUGAUGGUACUGGAUAUUUUCUAGGAAGCUAAAUAUAGAUAUAUAGCACUCAAUGUCAACGAUAUAUAUAGCAUUAACAGUAUAUGUCUCAAUGCUCAUCAGCUACAAGCAAGGGACAAACACUUACAAUGAAUAACUCACGUCAACAUUCCUAAACAGGACAUAGAAGUGACAGAUCUAUAUAUAGAACACUGCAUAUGAGUCACAAGAAAAGAUAAUACGGGUGCAUAGCAGCUCUUAUAUUACAUAUUACUCAUACCGUUCAAAUUCACUCAGUUGGGAUGGGUGGGAGAAGGAGGCCUCUGGGGUGGCUUGUGCGUGUGAGAAGUGGAAGAAAGUUGAAUGGAAUGAAACUGAAAAACAGGGUAGAAUAGAGGUUUCUUGAAUCUUCUGAAAUCUUUAUUUUUCUGAGAUUUAUUCUCUGUUUUUGUGAGUCGUGACUCUACAUAUAUACAUGUAUUUAAAGUUAGUUAUGCCUUAUAACUAAUUAUCUAACAGUACCAAAACUAAUCAUCUAGUUGCAUGUUUCUAAUUAAUGCUAUUUAGUUACAACUAUAUAUGGCUUAACAUCCUCUCUCAAACUCAAAAGUCUAGCUAGAACAGUGAGUUUGCUUCAUAGAUUGAGAAAUUGUUGAAUAGGUAAGGCUUUGGUAAGAGCAUUAGCAAUCUGGUCAUAAGAAGGAAUGUGUUGAACCACCAAAGUCUUAUUGAGCACCUUUUCCUGAACAAAAUGGCAAUCUAGUUCCACAUGCUUAACUCGAGAAUGAAAAUAGGAUUGGCAGCAAGAAAGGUGGCUGAAAGAUUGUCAUAGAACAAAACAAAAUAGGAGAAUAAGAAGAUGAGAUAGAAAACUCCUGAAGAAGAUGUUGAAUCCAUUGAAGUUCAAAAGCAACAUUUGCUAAGGCCCUAUACUCAGCUUCAUUGCUGGAACGAGACACAACUUUCUGCUUACUGGAGUUCCAGGAGACUAGAUUAGAGCUAAAAAAGAUGCAAUGACCACUUGUACUUCGACGAUCAUCAGGGCAACCAACCCAAUCAACAUCAGCAUAAGCAGUAAGUUGAAAAUCAGGAGAAGAAUAAAAGGAAAGACCAAAGGAAGUAGUGCCCUUAAGAUAAUGCAACAAUCGUUUAACAACUUGCCAAUGAAGAUCAGUUGGUUAUUGCAUGAAUUGGCAAAGUUUAUUGAUAGAGAAAGAGAUGUCAGGCCUUGUAAUGGUACAAUAUUGCAGGGCUUCAACAAUGUUGCGAUAUUGAGAAGGGUCAGCCAAGAGGGAACCUUUAGAGGCAGAUAAAGUGUGAGAGGUAGUCAUUGGUGUAUCAAUAGGUUUAAAAUAUGGAAGACCAGCACGAGUUAACAAGUCCUGAAUAUAUUUGGUUUGGGAAAGAUGAAGAGAAGAUCCUUGCCAACAUACUUCUACACCCAAGAAGUAAUUCAGAAUACCAAGGUCCUUGAGAGCAAACUGAAAGUGUAAAGACGAAACCAUUUGGUGGACUAGCACGGUAUUAAGACCACUAACAAUAAUGUCAUCAACAUAGAUGAGAAUAAUGAUCAUGUCAGUCCCUUUCCGAAGAGGAGCUUGCUUCAGACCCUACAAGGCUUUGCGAAGUUUACAGAAAAAACCGGGUUUAGAAUGAUCAACAAAGCCUGGAGGUUGAACCAUGUAAACCUCUUCUUCUAACUCACCAUUGAGAAAGGCAUUAUUAACAUCUAAUUGUUCCACUAACCAACCAUGAGAAAUAGCAAGAGAAAGAACAAUUCAUAUAGUAGUUGGUUUAACAACAAGGCAAAAGGUUUCAAAAUAAUCAAUACCAUAUGUUUGAUUAAAACCCUUUGCAACUAAGUAGGCUUUAAAACGAUCAAUUGAGCCAUUAGCUUUGAGUUUCAGCUUGUAUAUCCAUUUACAACUAAUAAUGCGUGUAUUAACAGGUUUAGGAACCAAUGUCCAUGUGGAAUUGGUGAGAAGAGCAUCAUACUCAGUCUUCAUAGCAGCUUGCCAAUUAGGAUGCAAUAUUGCUUCUUUGAAAGAGGAGGGUUCGACAACAGUAGUUUGGAUAGCAAGGCUAAAUAUUUUUUUGGGUUUAAAAAUACCAUUUUGGCUACGAGUAACAAUAGUUCGGUUUGGAAGUGAAAGAGGAUCAGUGGAGGAGGCUGGAACAAGGGAUUGUGGUAAAGUAGGAAAGGAAGGUGGAUGAGAUGGAACAAAAUCAGUAGGGACAAUAAUGGGAGAAGAAAAAUUAGGUGGAGAAUGAUGAGGAUUCCUUGAAGAUGGUGUAGGAAUAGAGAGAAUACCAGAAUCAAGAAGUGUUAAAGAAGAGUUGGAUGAUGAUACUGGUUGACAGGAUAAAGACUUUGUUAAAAAUGGAAAUCGAGUUUCAUCAAAUACAACAUGACGAGAAGCAUAUAUCCGAGAGGAAGCCAUAUCCAAACAGAGGAAUCCCUUGUGUUUAGCACUAUAACCCAAAAAACAGCAAACAACAAAUAUAUUUGCUAGCUUGUGAGAAGCAUAAGGGCGAAGAUAAGGAAAACACAAGCAUCCAAAACUUCAAAGAGAUGUAUAAUAAGGUAAACGAUUAUAAAGAACUCCAUAAGGAGAAUUUUGUGAAAGAACAGCAGAGGGAAGGCAAUUUAUGAGAAAAAUGGCAGUUUGAAAUGCAAAUGACCAAUAUUUGAGAGGGUAUACCAGCUUGUAUUAACAAAGAAAGACCAACUUCCACAACAUGACGAUUCUUUCUUUCAACUCUUCAAUUUUGCUAAGGAGUAUAAUGACAAGAGACUUGAUGAAGAAGACCAUUUGUAGCCAAAUAAUUCUGAAAAGCUGAAACUGAAACUCAUCAAAUUGAUUUUUAGUAUCAAAUUUUCUUCAGACUGAACACAUUGAUUUUUAGUAUCAAAUUUUCUUUCAACCAUGGCUUGAAAAUGUUGGAACAUAAGUAAAGCUUCAUCUUUAGUUUCCAAAAGGUACAACCAUGAGAAUAUGCUAAAAUCAUCAAUUAGCAAGAGGAAAUAUUGAGCAUUACCAUUGACAGAAACUAUAGGAGUUGCACCCCAAAGAUCAACAUGGAUGAGACCGAAUGGUUUUAUUGCUCUAGAAGUGGAUAUUUCAAAUGGAAAACGAUGGCUUUUAGCCAACUGACAAGACUCACAUACAGAGUUAUUAUUGUCAUGUUUCAAAGGUAUUUUAUAAAGAGAUAAGAUUUUGGAAACUACAUUAAUAGAGGGAUGACCAAGUCUAUUAUGCCAAAGCCUCAAAGAACCAACGGCUAAAGUACUACUAGUAGAGUAAAAUACUAGUGGAUGACCAACAACUCUUGGUGUAGCAAGAAGUUUAUAGAGACCCUUCUCAAUUUUUCCUUGAAGAAGAGCAAGUCUCGUUUCCUGAUCCUUUACCACAAAAUGAGAAGAACGAAAUUCAAUAAAGGUGCCAUUGUUUGAGUAAAAUCGUUGCACGCUAACUAAGUUGGUGGUAAUAGAAGGAACAUGUAAGACAUCAUUGAAAAACAAAGAACCACUUGAAGAGGCAAGAGAAAAUUUACCAAUAUUUGCAAUGGAUAAACCCUUACCAUCUCCAACAAUUACUUUGUCACCACUGGUAAAUGGAUUAUGGAUUGUUAAAUUGUUAAGAUCAGAUGUGAGAUGAUGGGUAGCCUUUGUAUCAAGAAACCAAUAAGUGUCUCCCAUUGUUGCAGAAGUUGUAGUCAUAGCCUCAGGAUUGUUAGAGGUGGAAUGUUUAGAAUCUUUUGGCUGAUAAUCAGAGUUAAACCGAUACCAGCAUUGUAAAGCGGUGUGUCCGAACUUACAACCGAGAGAAAUAAUCUUUACUUAUUCUCUAAAAACUGUUCUUUAUUCCACACAUUAUUUCUAAAAACUGUUUCUAGAUAACAAUGACAAAAUAGUAUUAGGAAUUUUUAAAAAUAAAAAUUGUUUUUAAAUUACAUGAUCUAUAUCAUUCACAUUUGACCAUUAUAGCUUUGUUCAGGAAAACACUUGAAAGUAACCUUAUCGUGAUAAGAGAUAUAAGUUGGCUGUAGUUUCAAACUGAAAACAGAGGAUGGCAAUAGAAAGCAAAGCAUUAGUUAUCUGCAAUCAGUGGUGAUCAUGCCCCAUGUCAAUUUCGGACCCAUAUCUUAAAACCGUAUAAUUUGCAUUUCAACAUUUCUGAUUUCUCAGAUGUUUCAUACUCCACAGAAGAACAUUGUUUGUGAAAGCAUGCAUUUAUGCUGGAUUUUGGAUGAUGUGGGAACUGGGGCAAGGAUCAUAUGGAAGAGUGGUCGAUUUUUUCUGUACUUUAACAUUUGAAAUAGGAGCAGCACGGGCAUUUGUGGGGCUUAAUUGAUUUUGAAGCCUGAAAUUGCGUUUCUGUCAUUUUGUAAAAAAUAUGGCAGAUUCCAUGCUCUCAUAUGUUUGGUCUGUGGCCAUGUAUAGAUGCCACUUAGUGACCAGUUUGUAACUGUCAAUCAUAGUGUUUUGACUCUGGCUCAACAACAUCAGCCAUUGACGGAUUUUCAUACAUGCAAAUCAAAUAGUCUUCUUCCUCCCUUAGGAAUUUCGGUUUAAAUGUUAUUAAGCAUACAUUUGGCUGACAAUUAUUAACCACUUCAUGAUAUGGUUUCUUACCCUUAAUCAAUGGUUUCUAAGUGAAUAUAUGCAGAAGGAAAUCUGAACUGUAGACAGCAGUAUUGAUAAUUAUCAAUAUUCUUUAUAUAAGAGAAUAAACAACGUCAUAGUGAUCGUCGCCUACAAGAAAGGUACAUUUCCCAACAAGAUGUAGUUGUGACUGGUACAUGGACGUAAUUAACUCGUAGAAAAGGAUAAGACCAGUGCACGGCAGCUCUUAUUUUACAUGCUAAUUAUGCUAACCAAAGUCACUCAGUUGGGAUGGGAGGGAGAUGGAGGUUUGUGCGGUGGCUUGUGGGGCGGAGUUGGUGGCUUCUUUUCAGGAGCUUGUGGCUUUUUCGGAGCUGAAGGAGGCUCAAUCUUAUGAGGCGGCUUGUACGAGUCUUCUUUACUCUCGACAGGAGGGUGGCCAGGGUUGUGACCAUAAUGUGGUGGCUUCUCUCCCUUAGGUGGCUUGCCAACUGGGGUUGGUGGCUUGUGUUCAGGAAGUGGUUUCUCUCCCUUGGGAGGUUUACCAAUUGGGGUUGGUGGCUUGUGUUCUGGGAGUGGUUUCUCUCCCUUGGGAGGUUUAGUGGGUGACUUGUGUUCUGGAGGUGGCUUCUCCACCGGAGGCUUGUGCUCCGGUGGUGGCUUCUUGGUUGGAGGGGGCUUGGGGUAAUCAGCAAGAGAUGGGGGGGUGAGAACCACCACUCCAAGGAACAACACUAGCAAGUAUGUGGGAGACAUUUCUGAGUUUGAGCUGAUCAGAUGAUGCAAAACUAGAAGAAUUACGUGACCUUUUAUAGCAAGUAGCUCCCAAUACCCACAUGACACGUGUUACUGUGACCAUAAAUAUUAUAGGGUCCAUUUGUGCCCUACCGGGUUGAAAACUUGGACGCUUGGCCGAGGACACACCGAACUAUGGAGGACUAUUGACGUGUGAUCACAGCUUUUGGAUUUUUCUUCCUGUGCAGCUGUCUAGCGGUUGGCAUUAUUUUUUUAAUCUUAAAUAAAGGCAUAGUUAUAGAGUACAUUUAUAUAUCUUCAGAUAGCCAUUAAUAUAUUUGAUGAAGAAAGACAAGUGCAUACAACAUGUAUACGGCUUGCUUCAAUCGAGUACAUUUAUGAUCAGUUUUCCAGUGCAAGUAAACCAGUUUUUUGUUCCACAACUAUUUUGGAAUCUUGUUUAUCAGUUUCUAUCAUUAUAAUGUCACAUAGGCUGCAAACUUGGGCACCCAAAGAUCUAGUUGGGCAAAUUUGUUUCAGAAUUUCAAUGGUGGAUUCAGUAAUUGUUAAAAGGUGUUUCUUCAUUAAGGAAAGAGUCCUGUAAAAAUAUUGUUAAAAGGUGUCAUAGAAACUAUAAUAAUUAAAUAACUUCUUUUCCCCGUGGGUGGUGUUUCUUCUGGGGAUACCCAAAAUGAGUUCAGAUUAAAAUUGGUUCGAGUCAAAGCUGUCUCUUUUGUCCAGAAAUCAACUAUUUUGCGCAUUGCAUGAAUCGAUAAAGAAAAAAUGAAAGCCAAAUCACACCUCCCCUGCAAAACCUAAACCCCGGUUGCUAACUUUCUAUGUUUCAGUCCUAUUCAUACAGGAAUAUUGGUUCAAGUUUGAGAAAAAUGGCAACUUACCUAGGGAUUACUUGGUUGUGGUUUGCGACGACUAUUUACGCAACCAACCAUGAGUUUGACUUUAACGUCAUGGGUUGAAGCCUCCUACAAUCGUGUAUGAUAGUUCAAAGCUCGUAGUAGAAAUUAUACAGGAAGGAAGAAACCUCCAAAGCUAGCUCCAAAAGAGAAUUAUCACAUCGAUAGCUCCAGAGAUUCCCAAGGGGACUGAAUCAAAGACAAGUUCCUCACUUUUUCUUCUUUUGAGGCCAAAUAUGAACCAAGGAUCACACGACCUCAUUCAACUUCAUAAGUUUGAUUUCAUGCAGUUGAACACUGGGUGAAGGCCAUGACAAGAAUUGAUUAAAAAAUUCUACCACUGUUUUAAGUAAUGGAAGAUUAUUAUCUCUGAUUGGCACCACAACAGCACAUGCUGCUAGAUCUUUCUAGACACUCCAUGCAAUGAAAGUACAAUGGAUCUUGUAACGAUAGAAACUAAGCCAUGCUACAGUACUAGAUGACGAGGUAAAACUAUUAGACAUGGGUGGCAGCCUAUAUGGGAGGGACACAAGUCUAAUUGAUUUGCAUUUCAGCGUUCUAGAUGGGUAUGUUUUGGAAGAUUUGUUCUGGAAAUACCGCACCAAGUAGGAUUCUUUUUUCUCUUGAGUGGGUCCACUUGCAUGCCAAUUAUCGAGUUGAAAAGUAGAGCACCUACCUCGUGCUCGUGGAACCGAAGGUCAGUGAAGUGGGGCUCCUUUUGGCCUCUUGUGUUUCUGUUCCAACCAAGGCGGCGGAGGGAAAAACAGCAAUAUGUCUCCGCUAAAUAUCAACGCAUGAUAGCGAAUGAGGGAGAAAAAAAGUAAUUGGCAUCUCAAUCUCACAAACUUGGUACAGUAGUGACAUUAAUAGUCUUCCACAUGGUUUUUAUUUUAUUUUAUUUUAUAUUUUAUAUUUUCCAUUUUUUUAUUUUUUUGUAUGUCAAGGCUAAUGAAUAAAAUGCGUUAGCUUGUUUUGUGAUUGGAACUGCAAAUGUCCAAAUUGGAGUUUCUCCAUUUCUCAGUUCGGAUGGUUAACUUUAUAAACAAGAUAUAGGAAACAUGUGAACGUCUUGAGGAACAAUUCGAAUUAUUGAUUAGAACUCCUAGGUUGAGUUCCAAGAUUUAAAUCAGACCCCUCUAGCAGCUUCAGGGGUACCUAGCAAUUAGAACAUAUUAAUGAAGAUUUAGGAUUUAGACUCCGGAAUACAAAUUAAUAUGUAUCUUAUGCUCUGACUAGCUUCCCUGCAUAUGCACAAAAUGGAGAUGACCCAAAAAAUAGCAGAAUCGCCUUAGUUUAUGUGGUUAAGGUGAUUCUCCGGUUAAUAUCCACAUUGGCUCAUUAUGCAAAUCAACUGAGCUAUUUUUUUUUUAAUGUCAAAUAGGAACUCCUAAUUAACCUAACCAUUGGCCUGUGUAAAUUGAUUUCACAUGCACAAUGUUGUAGUAGAAGUCCACAUUUUGAAUUUUAUUUUUGGAAAGGUAAGGAAAAUGAAGCAUUGUGUAAUUAUAAAAAUAACUUCAUUGGAAUUCACAAGGUUCACCCAAAAUGGAGCUACAUCCGUAUUCUAUCUUACAGUAGACUAUAUAGAUUGUACAAUAGUAAAUUGCAAAUACAAUUAAUAAGUCUUGUGUUUCCUUACUAAUAAUCCUUUGACAUAAACAUUGCAGCACUAAGGUCCUCUUGGGCAGACACCUUGCACCCAUGAGAGCACUAAGAGGAAGCAAGGCGGAGUCAUGGGUGCAAUGUCAUGACUUGUUGCACUAAGAGAGGCUUGGUGAUGGCAUAGUGCUGCAGUAGCAAGAAUGUUGCCUUGGCAGGGACACGAUCUAGGGACAGAUGCCAAGAAAGGCUUAGCACUCACAUGAGUUGCACAAAGAUGAAUGAAAUAGAACAUCAAAGAGACAUCUUGGCAAGCUCAAGAAAGACAUGUGGGUUGGUAAAUGAAUGGAUGCAAGAGGCAACAACAUGAGGAGUUUCAAAUGGAUAGGGAAUGAGUCAAAGACAUUUGAAAGCUACAAGUUGGAUUCUAAUUACGAUUGCAAUUUGAGUUUGAGUAGGAGUUUAUAUUAUGAUUGUAAUUGUAGUAUGAGUUGGACUAGGAUUGCUUAUCCCUAGUCAAAAUAGGAGUUGUUCAUGCCACACCCUAUGAAAAGAGUUUGAGUAGGGACUAGGAUUGCUUGCUCCUAGUCAAAUAUGGAGUAGGUGGUGCCACACCUAUAAAAAAAAAAGGGACAACAUGAGAGAGAGAGAGAAUGAAUUCACCAAAGAUAUUGUGGGAGUUUUGCUUUGUUACAUCUUGUAUUAUUAUUUAGAAUAGUAAUAAAAUACAAGUUGGGGCUAGAGCCCCAUAAUCUCGUGUGCCUUUGUGGGUUAUUCUUUAUUUGCCAUCUCGUGUGGAUUGGAUUAGAUUGAUGAGGCGAAAUAUUAUGUGGGAAAUUUAUGUUGGGACACUUACCAUAACCAGGUAAAAUCUACCAAGUCUUUUGUAAUAUCUUCUACAAAUAUUUUAGACCAGUUCUUCACAAAACAUCAUAAUAUGUUUUGUGUUUCUCUUGGAUUUUGAGUUGAAUUGUCUUAGAUCAAUUGAAUGCAUCUCAAUAUUAUUAUCUUGUUUGAAGGCUUGAUGAUUUUCCAUUUAACUUUACUUUCUUUAGGUUAUGCUUGAUUCCUUAAAAGUACUAAGGAAAACAAAAAAUAAAAAAAAAUAAAAAAUGCAGAGGGUUAGGACAUGUGUUAUCUAAUUGUCCUAUCCAAAGAUAUUAAGAAAGUCAUGUAGGAAAGUAAUUGAAAACUAGGUCAAGAAAGGAGCAAAAGGGAAUUGUUUUGGUAUUUUCUUUUUUAUUCUUGAAGGUGGCAGAGCUAAAAUUUGAGAAAUCAAGCAAAACAUACUGAAAUUACAUUGAAAGAAAGAAAAUGGUAGUUAAUGUCUUGCAGUACAUGAUAAGGACUUCAUGCAUGUAGUGUGACGACCCAUGUCUUGGACUGAUGCCACACUCACGGUUACACUUAUACCCUUGGUUCUCUCUUUACUACCUUGGCUAACCUAGAUCAGGCUAUGAGAUAGGCUCCUCACCACACCAUCACUUGCCCAGUAAUUAGUGACAUUUUCAAGCAAUGAGGUAACAUGGUGACACCAAGAGGGUUUAUCCCUCGCCCCAACAAGUCUAGACUCGGUCUCAAAAAAAUGGAGAAAAAUGAGGUGUCGUUAUGCAGAAAUACAACAACCAUGCCUUCCUUAUUACUUAGAUUCAGAAUGUGAAGGUGAAAUUGAGAAACAGAAACUCUUGAAACCAGAAUGAAAAUUGAUACUUUUACGAAGAAUUACAACAUUAGAGGAAGACUACAUUCUUCCUCUAUAUUCCUACGUUUCUACACUACUUCUACUCCACUCCAUAUUUCUACAUACAUCUUUAAUCAGUUUUCCCUCCUUUAUAUAGAGCCAUCUUCACACAAAUUCCGCAAGGUAGAAAAGAGGAAUGAAACUUGGAGCAAGGUUCGACUACUGGUUGUCGCUUGUCAAGGCUGGAAUUGAACUUUUUUUCUUGGCUUUUCUGGGCAUAGGUAGUAACUUGUGGUUCCUUUUUGGAAUGAAAAUGGUACAGCUAGAACAUGUGGCACUCUCUUGUUGGAUUAUGUGUCAAACAUGUGGCAGCCAUCUAGUGGAGAUUAUUUCAAUUUUGGGAUGGAGAGUUGGCAUCCAAUUGCAAAGAAAUAUGACAUCUACCAACAUGCAAUGUAAACCUAUAUAGAUCAUAUGGAGAUAGAGAGGAAACAUAUAGAAAUGGAUAUAUACCUAGAACUAGCUUUUUAUUAAAUGAGACGGAGAGCCAACAAUGAAGGAAAAUCAAAAUUUUUGGCUCAUAUCAAAGAAUUCACAUUGUGUUACCCUAGGUUUUCUUAAAGCUUGCACAAAGCCAAAAAGCACACAAAAAAUUAUAUUUUCUAGCUCUCUACCUUGGAUGGUCUCUUGAUCCUACUUGGAGAUGUGCAUAAAUAAAAGGAUUUGAAAAUGACAAUUGACUAAGUAUGUAGUCAAUCAAUUACUCAUUAAUUGACUAGUUGAUCAAUUAACUUUGCAACAUCAUAUGCAAUCCUAAUAGCUAGUCAUCUAAUCAACUAGGUAGUAAAUCAAUAGGCCAAAAAUAUGUUUAUAAUGACUAUUUUGUACAAAAACCACCUAUAUGGUUAAAUAUAAUGCAUUUCAUUUAUAAAUCUUCUAAUUCUUGAAUAACGAUCCUAUCAUCCUUUGAAAGUUUUUAUUACACCUUUUAUACUUUUGUUCUAAAACUUACACAUGUACAUCACCCUUAAUUGUACCAUGAGAACCUAGCUUUUUUUUUUUUUUUUUUUGUAAUUCAUCAAAGUUAGCUUUUGUAUUCAUUACUGUACUAUUUUUAUUGUAACUUAGAAAGCGAGUGUUUUCAAGUGAGUGAAAUUGACUUAUAAAUAUUGUAAAGAUUCAUUGAUGUGUAUCUUAAACUAAGUGUACAAGUUGAAACAUUUGCUAGUAGAUUUUCUCAAGAUUUAGAAUAGAGCUUGAGGCUAUUGAAAUAGGUGGGGUUGCACCAAACCACAUCACAUUGUUGUUUGCACCUUUUUUUCACUCUCUUUUACUUAGUUGCUCUAUAUUUGUUGUCUAGUAAUAUCCUAUAGGCUUGAUGGGUUAGGGAGCAUCCCUUUGUGAAAAAUUUUCAUUCAAUCCUUAGUUGUAUCACGCAUAUAUAAAAUGCCUCAUUGUUUUAAUGGUAUUCAGUCGUGGCAUCACAGAUAUGGGCAUCUAAAUUUUAAAAGUUUGAAACUUUUAUCUAAAGAAAAUAUGGUGCUUUGCCUUUUUGUAAAGCAUGUUGAUGAAAUCCAUGAGAAUUGUGUACUUGGGAAGCAACAUCGAGAUGACUUUUUUUUUUUUCAUUUUUUAUAAUGCGACACCUAAGUCCGGUUUCUAAAUGCUGAAGUGAAAGGGUAGGUAUGGACCAUUGAAAUCUGAUCACAACUUUUGGCCUUUUCCUUUCUCUGCAGCCAUGUUGUCUCUUUUUUCUUUUGCAUGAUUUUCUUACCUAAACAGAAUCAUAGACUUGUUUAAUCUCUAAAUGGUAUUUCAUCCAGCUUUAAGCUACUGUAUUAUAUCUUGGUGGAGGACUUUUAAGAGUGAAACCGACAUAGAGCACAUGCAAGUGGGUAUAUGGGACAUGAAAUUUCUUCUUAUAAAGACUGCAUGGUUUUUAUAUUAGAGUUGUUGAGGCGCAAUGUAUUUAGCUUGUUUUGCAGUUAAAUUAAUUGGAUAAGUAGACAUUGUCGUUUCUAAAUUUCCCACCUAAGAUAGUGACCUUAUCCUUGACUGCUUGAUGAGAUACACAAACAAUUAUACCUUCAAAAUCUACUGUGAAGUGCUUCAUGUAUGUGUGAAGUAUUAGAAAUUUCUUUCUUGGCAACUUGUUUUUUCUUUGCCCUCUACUGAUAGGUUUGACUCAAAUUAAAUUCCCUGUCAUGCUAAUUAAUUUUCACGUGCAUGCUCAAAAGGAUCACGUCAACUCUGGUUUCUACUAUUCAGGUCCAUUCCCAGAUAAACUGGUUCAAAUUUGAGAAAAUGGCAACAGCCCUUUAGUGAUGUUGGUUUGGAGCCAGUAGCCAAACCCGCCCUGAGCUUUACCACUAAUGUCAAGGGACAAAGCCAUUUGAACAAAAACAAUAGCUUCAAGAGACUGAAUCGUGGAUGAAAUCUGAUCCACAUUUCUUCUCAUUUUGGGAACAAAUGAGAACUUAACUACAAAGAUUCUACUGCCUCAUAGUGCUUUUCCUGAUCUAAGGUUGGUUCGUUUCCCAAAUUGUGAGGUACGUGCCAUUCUCACGCUCAGGAGUGUAUCCACGUGGUGGACAUAAGAUGGUGGCUUAAUAUCUGGUGUCGGUGGCUUUACUUUACUAGGAGAGUAGUGUGUCUUCAUCUCAUUCACUGCCGGAGGGUGGCGUAAGCAGUGACGCUAAGGUGGGGCACAGUCAAUAUCAUUUGCAUUUGACCAUUAUAGUUUUCUCCCGGCUUGAAAGUAACCUUAUCGUGAUAAAGGAUUACUAGCACUAGUUCAGAUGACAGUCAUGUUAAAUUCGGACCAUGUUUGUGUCACAUUAUCAGCAACCAUGUGUUUAUGGUUCAUGCUAUCUGCAACUAAACUUGAUAUAUAACCACGUGAACUUCAAUCUAAAUUCUGGAAGUACUCUUGUGAUAGAUGGUGCCUGUCUGCAGAGUCCAUCAAUUGAAAAAUGGAGUGAGUGUAUCUAUAAGAGGGAAGGCUUGGCAAAUGUUCAGUUUUCUGGGAACUCAACAAGGAUCUAAAAUAGAUUGUUUUCUUUGCUGAUUUCAAUGGUUGAAAUUUGAGAAGAUUGUGUCCACAUAACACAACUAUUACUGGUCCUUCUGUUGCAAUUUAUCCUCUAAGGCUCUAACAUGUCUUCCAAUUCCCACUUCCCUGUUACUCCAGGAAAGCUAUUUCUGUCAUUGUGAAGAAGAAAAGAGAAUGUACAUAUCGAUGGUUUUAAGUGACUGGGGCAUUCAUAUCAGGUGGUCUGCAGCCAUAUAUGCCACUUUGUGAAGGUUGGAACAGUCAAUCACCAGGCUAUAUUAGUGUGGCCCAGCCACUUCAAUCAAGGACAAGUCUUCAUACUUAAAGUCAAAUUCUGCCUUUAGUCUCAUUAUAAAUUGCUGUUUAAAUAUUAAGCAAACAUUUGUUUAAUGCGAUUAAGACAGUACUAACUCAAUACUUGUUCUAUUUUUGGAUGCAAAUGCUUGAUGGUUUCAUCAUUGGAUGGGAUAAAGGUGCAUUCAUGAUUAUGAAUACUUGUAGUUAUAUUUUCAUUCUCUUUUUUCUCAAUGAGACUUGUUGGCACAAUUUUGCUGUUCAGAAACCUACCUCUCCAUCGAAAAUCAGUUGUGAUUGAUAGUACUGGAUAUAUUCAAGAAAGCUAAAUAUAGAUAGCACCAAAUAUUAUCGAUAUAAAUAGCAUUAACAGCGUACGUAUGUCUCAAUGCUCAUCAGCUAUAAGCAACGGGCAAACACUUACUAUGAGCAACUUGCGUCAAAAUUCCAGAAUAGGACAUAGAAGUGACAGAUCUAUAUAUAUAUAGAACACUGCAUAUGAGUCACAAGAAAGGAAAUUACGGGUGCAUAGCAGCUCUUAUUUUACAUCCUACUCAUACUGAUCAAAGUCACUCAGUUGGGAUGGGUGGGAGUAGGAGGUUUGUGGGGUGGCUUGUGCGGAGGAGUUGGCAGCUUCUUUCCAGGACCUGGUUGCUUCUCUGCUGGAGUUGAAGGAGGCUUAAUCUUCCGAGGUGGCUUGUAUGAGUCUUCAGCAUUCUCAGCAGGAGGGUGACCAGGGUUGUGACCAUAAUGUGGUGGCUUCUCUCCCUUAGGUGGUUUGCCAACUGGGGUUGGUGGCUUGUAUGAGUCUUCAGCAUUCUCAGCAGGAGGGUGACCAGGGUUGCGACCAUAAUGUGGUGGCUUCUCUCCCUUAGGUGGUUUGCCAACUGGGGUUGGUGGCUUGUGUUCUGGGAGUGGCUUCUCCCCCUUGGGAGGUUUUUCCAAUGGGGUUGGUUUGUGUUCAGGAGGUGGCUUCUCCACUGGAGGCUUGUGUUCAGGAGGUGGCUUCUCCACCGGAGGCUUGUGUUCAGGAGGUGGCUUCUCCACCGGAGGCUUGUGUUCAGGAGGUGGCUUCUCGAAUGGGGGAUGCUCAGGGUAAUCAGCAAGUGAGGGGUUGGUGAGAACCACCAUGCCAAGCAACAGGACUAGCAAGUAUGUAGGAGACAUCUUUGGGUUUGGACUUAAGACAGUGGAAAACUGCGAGAAUUCUCUAGCCUUUUAUAGCGGGUCGACCCAGUACUCACAUGACACGUGUCAUUAUGACACAUGUGCCAUGGGGUCGAUUUGGGUCCUACAGUGUUGAAAAGUUGGGCAUUUGAGGUGUGAGCACAACUUUUGGCCUUUGCUUUCUCUACAGCCGCCAUGCUUUUCCCUUUUUUCCUUUUCCUUUUGUUUUCCUCCUGCCUCGUGUUCUCAACUAAACACAAUUAGGUUGUUUAAUUGUUAAAUGAGAUUUUUGUCUGUCAAUCAUAUUAUAUCCUAUCAAGAGAGAACAGAGUGUAAUGUAGUACACAUAACACGAGGCAGUAGUAAUUUUAUCAUUUAUUUUUAUAGCUUGGACCACCGCAUUUUUUCUUCUAAAAUAUUCUGUCUUGUUAAGAGACGCAAUAAUACACAAUUUUAUCUGCCAUUCAACAUUUACUGUAAAGUUCUUUUAUCUCUUUGUAGUUCUAGAAAAGUACAAAAUGGAACAUCAUGUAUAUGGUGCCUUCUGUCCUAAAAAAGAAACUGGACAAAUUAUGAACUGCAUGCUAAAAAGAGGCAAAGGAGCUUAAUUCGCAGCAUAAUUAUUUUGGUUUCUAGAGAGCCCGGGGCCUUUUGGUUGGUUUGGGGUCAGAAAAUGAACAUCAUAGGGAUUGUGCCCUUAACUGGCCUUGUUACUACAAAGAAAUUGCCAUAGAAAUUUAUUCCAGGCUGAGUAUCUCCGGAUAGACCCCAGAAAAGAAGAGUCAUAAUGAGAAUCAACCUUUGUUGAGUUUGAUUCCAUGCCUCCAUUGUGUUCAUUUCAUGAAUCUGAUUUGCAUUUAACAUUACAGUUUUGUUCUGGAAACAAUCAAAGGAGCAUCGUUUGCUUCUUGGGUGACCCAUAGUGGUGGGUGGGUCGAUUUGCUUAGUUGAAAAUUGGACAAUUGGCUCCAUCGCCUACCUCUUGGAUUCCAUGCUCGGAUAAAACGACAACAAAUAAAUAUUUAUAACUUACAACUGGGGAAAGGAAAAAAUAGUACUAAAUUCAUGGUACAUGAUAGUGAGAGAAGGGGGUGUUACACUCAGCUAAAGUUCUUUUCUAAAUAUUGCAUGGUGUUUAAUUUUAUGUGUCGGCGCGCGUGUGAAUGGAACCUGCAAAAGUCCAAAUUGGCGUUUCUCCAUUUUCCACAUAGGAUGGUGACGUUAAUAGACAAAGAUACAAUAUCUGUAGACAUUGCUUAAAAAUCGAUGUGAAGUAUUAGAAAUUACAGGCCACUGUACUGGGGGAGCGGCUGCCCCGCCAAAGGAAGAAUGUAGCAAUUUCUUCUGUUAGCCAGGCCUUAGGAUUUAUGCAUGGGAUGCCUAAUAACAAACAGAGAAAAUAUGCUUUUGGGGAAGGUAUCCAACAACAGACACCAUCAUUCAGAUGGUGGGAAGGUAUCCAACAGAUGCCAUCAUUCAGAUGGUAACAUAUAUAUACAUUUAUUAGUGAGUUUUUUUAAUACCUAUAAAAAAAAUAUACACUUUGAUAUUGUGGCUGAAUCCAUUACAUACUCAACUAACCUUGCUCAUUAGGGAUUUGACGUAACAAGGGCAACGUUGCAGUAAAAGCUCGAAACUUUAUGCAGGUGACAUUACAUUUGGUAAAGAAGAGGAAAAUAAGGAAAGCCAUCCAUAAAAGCAAAAUUCCUCAUGGGAUGAAAUUCACAAACUUCAUUUACGUUAGAGUCGCAUCCAGGCAAUUAAUUCCACAUUAGACCGCCUUUUGACAUGUGUACGGAUCUUUUUUCAAAAAUUAUUUAUAAAUAAUUGAUACUUACAAAAAUAAUUUAAGAUUUAUAAAGGAUAAAAAAAUAUUUUCAAAUCUAUGACAAUUUAUAAAAUAUUAAUAAAAAAUUAUCUCUUAAACUUAGUAUAGUUUUAUCGUAUUAAACUUUUAUUUUGAACAAAUAAUUUUAAUCUAAGUUUUAAAUUCUAAAAUUAUUUCCUUAAAAUAAAAUUUUAAAAUUCAACACUUCAAUUGAAAUUGUCUUUUAAAAAAAAUAUCUUCUUAUUUUAAUCCUUAUAAACUAUAGUUGAUUGAAAAUACUAUUGAAGUUCUCUCUUCAAAAAAAGUCUUAUUUUAAUCUUCAUAAAUUGCCCUUGAUUUGAAAAUAAACUUUGGGUUAUCAUAUUUUAAAUAAUAUAUAUAUAUAUAUAUAUAUAUAUAUAUAUAUAUAACAAAUACUCUAUUUUUUUUUUAAAUGAACUAAUUUUAAUUAUAUUUUAUUUUAUUUUUUUAUAUAUUUUUAAUGAUAAACCAAACAUAGAAAAUCAUUUUUCUAAAUAUUUUAAAAUUUCUAAGCAACCAAACAUAAUCUUCAAAAUAAAAGGAGAAUAAGGAGGGACAAGUGAGAAAUGGCGAUUAAAAAAAAGUGUACAAAAGCUCAAUUAAUUUUCUUCUAGUCUUUUAUAUAAAAAAGUAUUGGUAUGUAAAUUAAUAUUUGGAUUUUAAUAGUAUUUUAUUUGUCUUUCUCUAUCUCAUGUAAAAGAGAAUUUAAGAUAUUUCCUAAAGCAAAGCAUUAGUUAUCUGCAAUCAGUGGUGAUCAUGGUCCAUGUCAAUUUCGGACCCAUAUCUUAAAACCGUAUAAUUUGCGUUUCAACAUUACUGAUUUCUCAGAUGUUUCAUACUCCACAGAAGAGUAUUGUUAGUGAAAGCAUUUUGUAACUGUUACUCAUAGUGUUUUGACUCUGGCUCAACAACAUCAGCCAUUGACGGAUUUUCAUACAUGCAAAUCAAAUAGUCUUCUUCCUCCCUUAGGAAUUUCGGUUUAAAUGUUAUUAAGCAUACAUUUGGCUGACAAUUAUUAACCACUUCAUGAUAUGGUUUCUUACCCUUAAUCAAUGGUUUCUAAGUGAAUAUAUGCAGAAGGAAAUCUGAACUGUAGACAGCAGUAUUGAUAACUCUCAAUAUUCUUUAUAUAAGAGAAUAAACAACGUCAUAGUGAUCGUCGCCUACAAGAAAGGUACAUUUCCCAACAAGAUGUAGUGGUGACUGCUACAUGGACGCAAUUAACUCGUAGAAAAGGAUAAGACCAGUGCACGGCAGCUCUUAUUUUACAUGCUAAUUAUGCUAACCAAAGUCACUCAGUUGGGAUGGGAGGGAGAUGGAGGUUUGUGCGGUGGCUUGUGGGGCGGAGUUGGUGGCUUCUUUUCAGGAGCUUGUGGCUUUUUCGGAGCUGAAGGAGGCUCAAUCUUAUGAGGCGGCUUGUACGAGUCUUCUUUACUCUCGACAGGAGGGUGACCAGGGUUGUGACCAUAAUGUGGUGGCUUCUCUCCCUUAGGUGGCUUGCCAACUGGGGUUGGUGGCUUGUGUUCAGGAAGUUGUUUCUCUCCCUUGGGAGGUUUACCAAUUGGGGUUGGUGGCUUGUGUUCUAGGAGUGGUUUCUCUCCCUUGGGAGGUUUAGUGGGUGACUUGUGUUCUGGAGGUGGCUUCUCCACCGGAGACUUGUGUUCUGGAAUUGAUUAAAAAAAUUCUACCACUCUUUUAAGUAAUGGAAGAUUAUUAUCUCUGAUUGGCACCACAACAGCACAUGCUGCUAGAUCUUUCUAGACACUCCAUGCAAUGAAAGCACAAUGGAUCUUGUAACGAUAGAAACUAAGCCAUGCUACAGUACUAGAUGACGAGGUAAAACUAGUAGACAUGGGUGGUAGUUGAUUACUACUCAAAAAGUACUCUUUUAUAGUUUGAAACUAACUGUUUUAAACACUUUUGAGUAGUAGUUAAUAAAUUUUAACUCAAUUGGCACAUUAAGGAACCUAGCAAGGGUUACUAAUAAACUUUUGGCAAGUUUUGGUGUUUUUGGUAGUUAUUCGAUCAUUGAAACAAGCCAAGAAUGAGGGAGAAUUUUGUGAAGUCCAUGGCAAUGCAAGUUAAAGCUCAAAUACACGAAGAAUCCAAGCUUUGGAGCACUACAUAGCCCUUUGCCAAGCCAAUUAGAGAUGCAAGGAACAAAACCAAAGGAAGAAAUCCAACAACCAACAUUUUCGCAUGGUUGUGUGAAAUUUCGCACACCAUGCGAAACCACAAGAGGUAGCCAAAGAAUUUCACAUGGUAUGCGAAAUCUUCUCAUGCACCGACUCCGUUAGAUUUUUAUCUUCAGAUAUUUUGUGUAAUUUCCUAGUUUCUCCUUGUAACCAACCUAGAUAUUUUCUUUUAUAUCUUUUUUUAUAUUUUUUAGGUAACAUCAUAUAUAAGGGGAGAGACAUAAGGAGGAUAUGGAUGUUUUUCAUAGAACACUUGUAAAUUUUCAGUAGUAAGAAAUAUACAAAGCUUUUUGCUAUGCCUUACCUUCUCAUUUUGUUUUCACCUGUCUUUCUAGCCAAACAACCUCUAAGGAUGAUUUCUCAGGGGAUGAGUGGCUAGGUUUUACGUUUCUUGGAGUGAGGGAAGCUAGGUGAAGGACCUGAAUGCAAAGAUGAGAGUUUUCCUUGCUUUAAAUGAAAGUAGUUGUUAAACAUUAAUGGUUUUUAUUUUAAGGUUUAGCUUUAAAUCCCUUAAAAACACCUUGAAUGACCAAUACUUGGUAAGCUUUUCGGAUUCUAUGGAUGCUUAUUGCUAGAUCCAUGGAUGUCUAUUAGUUAUCAUUUACGAGCCUUUGGAAGGUGAUUCAAGGUGAGGGUCUUUAGUGUUUGAAGCCAUUAAUGGGAAGCAAUUACCAUUUUUUCAUGAAUCCUUUGGAUCAAAUCUUAAUUGCUAAAUAUAAAACCGAUUUGGGAAAUAACCAUCCUUUAUGUUAUUAUCCCCAACGCAAGGAGAAGAUCCGGAAUCUUCCCUUUUGUCUAAGGAACCCGAUCCUAGUGACCUAAAGCUCCAAGAGACCUUUUCUUUGUAGUUAACUUCAUUUAUUGUUUUUGCUUAACUUAAAAUCAAUCUUUGCAACCACAAUUCCAUUUUCUUUAAAAGCUAAUUUUUAUAAGGAAAAACACCAUUUUAUUUCCUUCACUAAGUCAACUGUACGAUGAAAACCCAUCCCUGUGGACGAUCCUAGAGCCAUUAUACUAUGUUAGCUAUGCUACCCUAGUGUGAGGUGAUUUAGGUUUUAUAAAUUUUGUUGAUAACACCCAUCUGAGCCAGAAUCAAAUGGCACAACUGAACCAGGGACGAAUCAAAUGGCGCCGCUAUCGAGGAUGGUGCCAAAGUACAUUGACAUGACUUUUGGUGAACACUUGUGAUCUUCAUCACAAGUUUGGUGAUUUUUCUAUUACUAAUUUUUUUCUUUGUUUUUAUUUUAGCUUAUCUUUUAUUUAGUUUUUAGCUAACCUUAACUUUUUCUUAGAAUUGUAUUUCUUCUAUUUUCUUUGUUUUUGUUUCAGUGAUCUUUAGUUGUGCAUGCCCUAUUGGAUAAGAAAUAUUGAGGGAAUACUUGUGAAGAUUGAAAAUCCUCGAGAAACUGAGUUGGAAGUGUGAUUGAACAUCAUGGAUGUUCCACCUGAAGACCAGAAUAGCCAACAUGGUUAAGAGGAUAAUUUCAAAGCAUACCGAUCCAUGAGGGACUGCAUGCAUCCACCUCGUAUGAGUGCACCGUCAUGCAUAGUGCCUCCCACUGAGCAACUAGUAAUCUGACCUCACAUUGUGCCACUCCUACCUACUUUCCAUGGGAUGGAGAGUGAGAAUCUCUACUCGCAUAUUAAGAAAUUCGAGGAGGUUUGUAAUACAUUCCAAGAAGGAGGAGCUUCAAUUGACUUGAUGAGGCUCAAGCUAUUUCCUUUCACUUUGAAGGAUAAGGCUAAGAUUUGGCUUAAUUCUUUAAGGCCAAGGAGUAUCCGAACUUGGACUAAUUUGCAAGCCGAUUUUCUUAAGAAGUUCUUCCUUACCCAUAGGACCAAUGGUUUGAAAAGGCAAAUUUCGAACUUCUCAGCUAAAGAGAAUGAGAAAUUCUAUGAGUGAUGGGAGAGGUACAUGGAAGCUAUUAAUGCUUGUCCUCACCAUGGCUUUGACACAUGGCUCUUAGUGAGUUAUUUUUACGAUGGUAUGUCUUCUUCAAUGAAGCAACUCCUAGAAACUAUGUGUGGAGGAUACUUCAUGAGUAAGAAUCCGAAGGAAGCCAUGGACUUUUUGAGUUAUGUGGCUGAAGUUUUAAGAGGAUGGGAUGAACCAAAUGCUAGAGAGGUGGAAAGAAUGAAGUCUCAACCUAAUGCUAAGGGUGGGAUGUAUGUUUUGAAUGAAGACAUUGACAUGAAAGCAAAGGUUGUAGCUAUGGCAAGGAGAUUGGAAGAGCUAGAAAUGAAGAAGGCACAAAAAGUGGAAGCCAUUUCUGAGACAUCAGUGCAAGCUAUGCCUUGUUCCAUUUGUCAACCUAAUGCUAAGGGUGGGAUGUAUGUUUUGAAUGAAGACAUUGACAUGAAAGCAAAGGUUGUAGCUAUGGCAAGGAGAUUGGAAGAGCUAGAAAUGAAGAAGGCACAAAAAGUGGAAGCCAUUUCUGAGACAUCAGUGCAAGCUAUGCCUUGUUCCAUUUGUCAAUCUUAUGAGUACCUAGUGGAGGAGUGUCCUACAAUUCCAGUAGUGAGAGAGAUGUCUGGUGAUCAAGCAAAUGUUAUUGAUCAAUUCAAGCCUAAUAAAAAUGCUUCAUAUGGCAACACCUACAAUUCAAAUUGGAUGAACCAUCCAAAUUUCUCUUGGAAACCAAAGCUACCUCAAUACACACAACCUGCUCAAGCACCUUAGCAAUCCUCGAAUCUUGAACAAGCUAUUGUGAACCUUAGUAAGGUUGUGGGAGAUUAAAAGUCCAUCAAUGCUCAACUGAAUCAGAGAAUUGACAGUGUAGAGAGUACAUUGAACAAAAGGAUGGAUGAGAUGCAAAAUGAUCUGUCUCAAAAGAUAGACAAUGUCCAAUAUGCAAUCUCAAGGCUUACCAACCUCAACACAGUGCAAGAGAAAGGAAAGUUUAUUUCUCAACCUCAUCAAAAUCCCAAGGGUAUCCAUGAAGUGGAGGCUCAAGAGAGAGAAUCUUCAAAGGUGAGGGAAGUCAAAGCAGUUAUCACCUUGAGGAGUGGUAAAGAGGUUGAUCAACCCACAUCCAAGCCAAAGCAUAAUGAAGAGAGUUUUGUAGAAAAAGAAAAGAGAGGAAAAUAAAGGAAAGAGAAUAGAGAAAAGUACAAAGAAAGAUGACCAUGAGUCUAGUGUGGAUGAAGAGCCCAAGAGGAUAGUGAUCAAGGAAAAUAUGAUGAAGAAACACAUGCCUCCACCUUUCCCCUAAGCUUUGCAUGACAAAAAAGGAACCAAUAAUACAUCGGAAAUUUUUGAAGUAUUGAGGCAAGUGAAGGUCAAUAUCCCUUUGCUAGAGAUGAUCAAACAAGUGCCGACAUAUGCAAAAUUCUUGAAGGACUUGUGCACUGUAAAGAGAGGGUUGAAUGUGAACAAGAAAGCUUUCUUGACCGAGCAAGUGAGUUCCAUCAUACAGUGCAAGUCUCCAGUGAAGUACAAAUAUCCGGGCUACCCUACCAUCUCAGUGAGUAUUGGAGGUACUUGUGUGGAAAAAGCUUUGUUGGACUUGGGAGCAAGUGUGAAUUUGCUACCCUACUCUGUCUAUAAGUAGUUGGGACUUGGAGAGUUGAAGUCAACAUCCAUCACCCUAUCUCUGGCAGAUAGAUCAGUGAAGAUUCCAAGAGAGAUGAUAGAAGAUGUCUUGGUUCAAGUUGACAAAUUCUACUAUCCAGUGGAUUUUGUUGUUCUUGAUACGGAUCCGAUUGUCAAAGGAACUAAUUAUGUUCCUAUCAUACGAAGACCCUUCCUAGCUACAUCAAAUGCAAUCAUCAAUUGUAGGAAUGGAGUCAUGAAACUCACGUUUGUCAACAUGACAUUAGAGCUCAACAUCUUCCAUUUGUACAAGAAGCAUAUCCAUUCAGAAGAAAAAGAAGGUCUAGAGGAAGUGUGCAUGAUUGACACUUUAGUGGAGGAGCAUUGUGAUCGACAAUGCAAGAAGAUUUAGUUGAGAGUUUUGGGGAUCUUGAUGAAGGGUUACUUGAACCCUCAGAUUUGCUUGCUACCCUACUCCAUUGGAGGAAGAGAGAAGAAAUUCUACCCUUAUUCAAUGAGGAGGAGACACAAAGAGCUGCUAAAGAUAAGCCCCCAAAGCUUAUUCUUAAGCCACUACCCACAGAGUUGAAGUAUGCAUACUUGGAAGAAGACAAGAAGUGCACUGUUGUUAUAUCUUUAGCUCUUACCAUUCAUCAGGAGGAUUGUCUACUUGAAGUCCUUAGAAGAAGUAAGAAGGUAAUAGGGUGGCAAAUUUCUGAUUUGAAAGGGAUCAGCCCUUUUGUCUGCACCCAUCAUAUUUACAUGGAGGAUGAAGCUAAGCCAAUUCAUCAACCUCAGAGAAGGUUGAACCCUCACAUGCAAGAAGUGGUGAGAGUUGAAGUUCUUAAGCUACUUUAGGCUGGUAUUAUUUACCCCAUAUCAGAUAGCCCAUGGGUGAGUCCUACUCAAGUUGUGCCAAAGAAGUCGGGGAUCACGGUGGUGCAAAAUGAUAAGGGAAAAGAUGUCUCUACAUGUCUCACUAUAGGUUGGAGGGUGCGUAUCAAUUACAGGAGGUUGAAUGUAGUGACAAGGAAUGACCAUUUCUCGUUGCCCUUUAUUGAUCAAGUGCUUGAGAGGGUCUCUGGGCAUCCUUUUUAUUGUUUCUUGGAUGGCUACUCGAGGUAAUUUAAGAUAGAAAUUGAUGUUGAAGACCAGGAGAAGACCAUUUUCACAUGCCCAUUUAGAACCUAUGCAUAUAGGAGAAUGUCUUUCGGCUUAUGCAAUGCACCCACAACUUUCCAAAGAUGCAUGUUAAGCAUUUUCAAUGAUAUGGUGGAGCAUAUUAUGGAAGUCUUUAUGGAUGAUAUCACCAUAUAUGGAAGUGCAUUUGAUGAAUGCUUGGUCAACUUAGAAGUUGUUCUGAACCGAUGCAUUGAGAAAGACUUAGUGCUUAAUUGGGAGAAGUGCCAUUUCAUGGUACACCAAGGGAUUGUCCUUGGGCACAUCAUCUCCAAGCAAAGCAUUGAAGUUGACAAAGCAAAGGUUGAACUCAUUGUUAAGUUGCCAUUCCCAACAAAUGUCAAAGGAGUAAGGCAAUUCCUUGGCCAUGCCGGGUUCUAUAGGAGGUUUAUCAAGGAUUUCUCUAAGCUUGCAAGGCCUCUUUGUGAAAUAUUGGUGAAGGAUGUUAAAUUCAUAUGGGAUGAUAGAUGCCAAAGGAGUUUUGAAGAAUUGAAGCUAUUUUUGACAACCUCACCAAUAGUGAGGGCUCCCAACUAGCAACUGCCCUUUGAGGUAAAGUGUGAUGUCAAUGACUUUGCUAUAGGAGCUGUUCUUGGGCAAAGAGAAGAUGGAAAACCUUAUGUGAUCUACUAUGCGAGCAAGACAUUGAAUGAGGUGCAAAGAAACUACAUAACCACCGAGAAAGAAUUGUUAGCUGUAGUUUUUGCCUUGGAUAAGUUUCGUGCUUACUUGGUGGGAUCCUUCAUCGUGGUUUUUAUUGAUCACUUUGCUUUGAAGUAUCUAUUGACUAAGCAAGAUGCUAAAGCAAAACUGAUUAGAUGGAUUUUCUUGCUUCAAGAGUUCAAUCUCCAGAUCAAAGACAAGAAAAAAAUGGAGAAUGUGGUAGUAGACCACAUUUCAAGGCUAGCUAUCGCACAUAAUUCCCAUGCUUUGCCCAUUAAUGACGAUUUUCUAGAGGGGUCUCUCAUGUUGGUGGAAGUUGUCCCUUGGUACGCUCACAUUGCUAACUACCUGGUCACAAGAGAAGUUCCAAGUGAGUGGAAAGCACAAGAUAAGAAGCACUUCUUUGCAAAAAUUCAUGCCUACUAUUGGGAAAAGCCAUUUCUAUUCAAGUAUUGUGCGGAUCAGAUAAUAAGGAAGUGAGUUCCUGAAGAAGAGCAACAGGGGAUCCUCAGUCAUUGCCAUAAAAAUGCAUGUGGAUGCCACUUUGCUUAUCAGAAGACAACCAUGAGGGUGCUGCAAUCGGGUUUCUGUUGGCCAUCACUUUUCAAAGAUGCCCACACCAUGUGCAAGAGUUGUGAUCGAUGCCAGAGGCUUGGGAAGUUAUCAUGUAGGAACAUGAUGCCUUUGAACCCCAUUUUAAUAGUUGAUCUUUUUUAUGUUUGGGGCAUUGACUUCAUGGGACUUUUCCCUAUAUCUUUUGGCUACUCUUACAUCUUGGUGGGAAUAGAUUAUGUUUCUAAGUGGGUUGAGGCAGUCCCAUGCAAACACAAUGACCAUAGAGUGGUUCUCAAGUUUCUUAAGGAGAACAUCUUCUCAAGAUUUGGGGUGCCCAAAGCCAUAAUUAGUGAUGGGGGUACUCAUUUUUGCAACAAGCCUUUUGAAACUCUCCUAGCCAAGUAUGGGGUGAAGCAUAAGGUAGCUACACCUUACCACCCUCAAACUAAUGGGCAAGUUGAGUUAGCAAACAAGGAGAUUAAAAACAUAUUGAUGAAGGUGGUGAACACAAACAGAAAAGAUUGGUCAGUCAAGCUCUUCGAUUCACUAUGGUCAUGUAGAACAGCUUACAAGACCAUUAUCGGGAUGUCUCUUUAUCACCUAGUCUAUGGAAAAAAUGCCAUCUCCUUGUGAAAUUGGAAUACAAAGCUUGGUGGUCAAUCAAGAAGCUCAACAUGGAUUUGAGCAGAGCUGGGUUGAAGAGGUUCUUAGACCACAAUGAGAUGGAGGAAUUGAGAAAUGAUGCCUACAUCAAUUCAAAAAUUGUAAAAGAAAAAUUGAAGAGGUGGCAUGAUCAGUUGAUUUCCCGCAAGAAUUUUCAAAAUGGAUAAAGAGUCUUGCUCUAUGACUCUAAACUCCACAUCUUUCCGAGCAAGCUGAAAUCAAGGUGGAUAGGUCCUUUUACCAUUCACCAAGUGCAUUCAAAUAGAGUAGUGGAACUACUCAACUCCAACAACAUCGGGAGCUUCAAAGUGAAUGACCAUUGUCUCAAGCCCUUUGUAGAGUCUUUUUUCUCGCGACAAGGAGGAAUUCAUCCUCCUUGAUCCACAUCAAGCUUGACAAGACCAGUUUUUUUUUAUGGACUUAGUCUUUCUAAAGACUAUCGAGUCCAUAACUUUUUAUUUUAUUUUUUAUUUGAGAGUUUUUCGGUAUUAUUACUUGUUUUGUUUUUUAUUUUUCGUUUUACUUUUAUUUGGUUUGAUUUAACUUAGAUUUUUUAUGAUCAAUUGCAGGGGGGAUUUCAAAUAGAGGAAAAACCAAGAUAAUUCGCACACCCUGCGAAAAUUUCGCAAGGCAUGCGAAAUUUAUGGCUCAUUUCGCAUGGGAUGCGAAAUUUCGCACACCCUACGAACCAAUUUCGCACACUUUGUGAAAAUAAACCAACCCUACGAAAUCAUUUCAAAUACUCUACGAAAUUUUCGCAGAGCAUGUAAAAAAUUUCGCAGACCAAACACCAUUUCGCAUACUAUGCGAAAAUGUAAGGGGUCUACAAAACCAUUUCGCACCUCCAAAGCCAUUUCGCACAUUGUGCAAAAAUGAAAAGUCGCCCUAUCAUCCAUUUUUAAACCCCUUGAGCCCUGAAAUCCCCAUUUCGCAAGCACCCCUGUCCUUGCGAAUCCCUCAUUUUCCUCUGCCACCUUGCGACCUUGUCCCUCUCCAUUUGAUAUCGUGCCCUGCGCACAUCUCAUUUCAAAGACUCGCACUCUGCGCCCUCUCAAAGCACGAACCCAAGGCUCACAUUCCAUUUCCGACAUGGCACAGACCCGAGGAGCCCUUCCCGCCCCUUCAUCGAGACGCACACCAAGGUAGAGAGCCUCUUUUGCUCAGAUGCCAAGUGAUUCUCCAUUUCAGGCCACGGAGGCCCUGCGGAUUCCACAUUCCAAGGGUAGAACAGCCACUGGUCCUUCCUCUUCUAUUCCUCAGCGUAGAUAUGAGACGAGGAGACCACCUACUACACAAAGGGCGACUACUUCGCGCCAUGAGAAUUCGGUACGACACCCUCCUGCCAAGAGGGCCAGGACUUCAGGCCCAGGCGAGUCAUCCAAAGCUUCACAGCCUGAGCCUCCUGCAGAUUCCGAGGUUCCUACUGACAUAUCAUCGGAGUCUAUUAUCAAACGCCCGAUGCUCACAGCACCGCCCAUUGAGGGCAACUCUGAUUGUAGAGCGAGACCUUUCCACUUGGAGCUAUAUUUUAAUUAAGAGGCCAUGCCACAGCAGCCUGAGCUCCAAGACUCUUAUGGCUUACUACAGAGGUACCAUCUUGAGGACCUUAUGACUCCUCGUGAGUUCUUUUAUCCCAGAGUAGCACUAGACUUUUACCAGUCCAUGACUACUCGUGGCGUCCCGAGUCCUACCGCGAUGCACUUCACCAUUAAUGGACGUCAUGGUAUCCUCGAGGCCAGACAUAUUGGAGAGGCUCUACAGAUUCCUUUCGAGCUAGAGGACCCAUCUGUUUUCUGCCAAUGGUCCCCAAUAUCUCAGAGGGACAUGGUCCAUAUUUUAUCCAGGGGGACAUCUACAUAUUCGAUCCUUCUACGGAAGGAGCUUCGACCUGGGAUACUCCUCGUAGAUGUGGUGCUACUUUCCAACCUCUUUCCCUUUUAGCAUUCGAUACAUAGGCGAGGAGCUAUUUUGGACGCUUUAUUCUGUAUAUCAGAGGGCUUCUACUUUGGCCCGCACCACUUGAUCAUGGUUUCCCUCAUCCAUUUUGAGGAGAAGGUCCAUAGAAAGAAGCUUCAGAGGGCGAACACCAUUCCAUUACUAUUCCCGAGGUUGCUCUACUAGAUCUUGGAGUACAUGGGCUUUCCUACUGAGCCUCGGCUUGUGUGCCGCCGCCUUUGUCAAGAGCGAUCCACUCUCGACAAAUGGAAUCAGUUGGCGGGCUAUUCUACACCUCCAGGAGCCCCUCCCAUGGUAGCACCUCUAGUGUCCCCACAGGCAGAGUAGGGCAAGCUCCCGGUAGAGACUGCACCCCUAGUGCCCACACCUGAGGCUACUUCUGCUGUUCCGCCUACGACUCCUACUGUUCCACCAGUUGGUCCUUUUACAUCUGAGUCUUCCAUCAACAUCUCGACUUCGGAGUUUCGCGCCCUUGUGCAUACCUUUCAGACACUCACCACCACACAUACUGCUCUCUUCUAGAAAAUGGCUGAGAUGCGUGCCCAUCAGGACCAGCAGACUACUAUACUCCGCCAAAUUCAACAGCACCUGGGACUUCUGCCUCUGCCUCAGCUUGACCUUCCCACAUCAUCAGAGCCUCUAGCUCCAGUUGAGGAUACUAUUCCACCUGAGGACACUACCACAGUAGAGGUUCAGAUUCCACCACCUCAGGAGGCCACCACAGCUACAUUAGAGGAUGCAUCAUCUCCACCUGAGGCUCCCACUACUUGAUCAUAGGACAUCUCUUUAUCUUAUUGUAUUUACAUAUUAUAUUACUGGAGAUUUGUCUUUGUUUUGAUACUUUAUAUUCUGGCAUUGAAUGUAUUGCCUAAUGAUAUCUCAAUUGUACUUUCUCAUAUUAAUAUAUAGACAUCAAUUUUUUUUAGUAUACUUAGGAUUUUUCUAUUUACUCUACUCAUUACUCUUUUGUUUUUUUUUUUUUACUCAUGUGGUUUCUCCUAUACGACUCAGACUCCAUUUCACUCAGGAGGUACCACUUCUUCCCUUUAUUUUCAAUUGCUCUUGAAACAUUGAGGGCAAUGUUGAUCUUGGUUGGAGGGAGAGUUGAGGAAGGAAGUGAUUACUACUCAAAAAGUGCUAUUUCAUAGCUUGUAAUUAACUCUUUUAAAACACUUUUGAGUAGUAGUUAUCACCUUUUAACCCAAUUAACAUAUUAAGGACCCUUGCAAUCAAUUCUAAUCAAAUUGUGUUAAGUUUUGGUAUUUUGAUAGCUUUUUUAUCACCAAAGCAAUCCGAGAUUGAGGAUAUUUAUUUGGAAUCCAUGGCAAAAGAUGUUUGGACAGGACGUCCGGACACACCAUCGGAGGGCGGCGGAACGUGGGCUGUGGCAGGCUGUCGGAAUGACGUAGCAAGGCUUGUGCACUUUAGCCAAUGAUCGGGAUAACAUAUCCGAAAUUCUGCUCCGCCGACAUUCCACCCGGAUGUCUCACAUCCGGAAUUCUGCUCCGCCGACAUUACACCCAGAUGUCUCACAUCCAAAAUUCUUCUCCGUCGACAUUCCAUCCGAAUAUUUCACAUCCGACGCUUGACGCCGGAUGGGAGAGGAGGGCGUUUCAACUUCCCCGGUCAGACAUAUCCGAAUCCUUUGAUAACGCUUACCCGGAGAGUUUCGCAGCCAUUUUGCACAGUGCCGCGGUGUUCUCUUGAAGCUUCCCGAUAUGUGCGACCGACAUUUUGAGAUAUUUUGCUUUAGAUAUUUGAUGUCUAAAUCCCCAAACUCUCCUUGUAACCCACCAAUUAUAGGAUUCCUUAGUUAUUAAGUUUGGAAAAAUGGUGAAUAACCCCUUAUAUAUAGUUUGCAAUUUUCAUAAAAAAGAUAUGUAGAAUCUCGGGAGCUUGUUCCCAGAGAGACGCAUCCUUUGUACAGUUUUGGAAGGAAGUAAAAUACAGAGCACUUGCUCUGCUUUUCAUAUAUAUUUUUGUUUUCUCGUUCUUUUUAUUUCUAGCCAAUCAAAGUCUGAGGAUUUUUCCUCAGAGGAUGAGAGGCUAGGCUCUUCGUCUCUUGGAGUGAAGAAAACUAGGUAAGUUUCCACAUGCAUAAAUUGAAAGUUUUGUUGUUUUAGUUUUUAAUGAAGAGAAAGUGUGACCCGUUAAUGGUUUUUAUCUUUUUAGUUAACUUAAAACGCCUUUAAAUCACCCGGGCCAACACUUGAUAAGGCAAGUGGUCUCCAUCCAUUGAGAUGCACUAGUUUAUCUCUUGCGAGCCUUUGGGAGGUGGUUUGAAGGUAGGAUUUUCUAGAAUAACCAACACUUGAUAAGCUUUUGGACUCUAAGGAGACAUCCAUUAGUUAUCUCUUGCGAGCUUUUGACGGGUAAUCCAAGGUUAAAGAUCACCUUGAAUGGCAAGUACUAGGUGAGAGGUAUGAGCCAUUGCAAGAUGCAUUAGUGAGAGGGAUUUAGUGUUUGAACCCAUUAAAGGGAAGCAUCUGUACCACACCGGUUCGGGAAAUAACUAUAUGUUAAAUCCCCAAUGAGAGGAAAAGAAACAAGUGACCGGAACUCCCUUUUUGUAUAAGGAACCUGAGCCUAGUGAUCUAAACUCCAAGAAACACUUUUCUUUGUAAGUAAAAUCAGUUACUAUUUUUGGUUAGUUUAAAACCAAACCUUUUUCAUUCAAACAUCUUUAUGUUUUCUUUUAAAGCUAACCUUGAAAUGAAAAGGCACCAAUUCAUAUUUGAAUUAAUAUCAAUUGUGAAGUGAAAACCCAUCCCAGUGAACGAUCCUAGAGCCACUAUGCUAUAGUAGCUUUGUCUUUGCUACCCUAGUUCAUGGUUUAAUAGGUUAUAAAUUUUGUUGAUUACUCCCACAAUCAAAGGAGCACCAGUUGGACAUGAAUCAACUGAGACACUAAUUGGGCACAAAUCAGGAAGUUUUGUUAAUAAUGCUAGGUUAAUUUGUUAAUUUAGUUACUUUCUGCUUAAUUUUAAAAGUUUUCACUUUACUUUCCAUAGUUAUUAAGGAAAAAUUCUCAAAAUGAAAUGGGAGAAAUUGAAUUCUUACAUUUUUACUUGAAUUUUAGAAUUUGUAUUAUGCUUAUUGAAGCUGAUGAAUUAUUGAAACUCCUAUUGAAUUCAACCUUAUUUCUUCCACUUUAAUCUUACCACACACGGUGCACAUUAGGUUCCGAUUAUAAGAGGUGCGUUCUUAGCCUAUUGGAGGUUGGUCAAUUUGUUAAAGUUUGAGAAAGAUCUAGGUUAGGGGAGAGAGAAUAGUCUGACAUACUAUAAUCGAAAACUAAUAAACUUAACACUUAGAUCUUUGUGGAAGAGUAAGGAUUGGACCUUUGGGAGUGGAAAUUCGUUUGAUGCUUAAAUUUGCAUAAUGCUUACACUUUAUAAAUUGUGAUUAGGCAAGAGAUUUGAUGACUCUUGUUCAAGGUUGGGUUUUGCCUCUUUGAUGUUCCAUGAGAGAGUAUAAUCCUCAUCAUGCCACUUGAAAUUUUUUUUGGAGUGAUUAACAUGAUUUUGUAAAUUACUUUACUGUCUAUUUUUUUUUUAUCUCUCCUUCAUUGCUAAUGGACUAGCAAUAUGUCAGUUGAGGGGAGUGAUUACUACUCAAAAAGUACUCUUUUAUAGCUUGAAACUAACUGUUUUGAACACUUUUGAGUAGUAGUUAAUACCUUUUAACUCAAUUGGCACAUUAAAGAACCUAGCAAGGGUUACUAAUUAGUUUUUGGCAAGUUUUGGUGUUUUUGGUAGCUAUUUGAUCAUUGAAACAAGCCAAGAAUGAGGGAGAAUUUUGUGAAGUCCAUGGCAAUGCAAGUUAAAGCUCAAAUACAUGAAGAAUCCAAGCUUUGGAGCACUUCAUAGCCCUUUCCAAAGCCAAUCAGAGAUGCAAGGAAGAAAACCAGAGGAAGAAAUCCAACAAUUAGCAUUUUCGCAUGGCUGUGCGAAAUUUCGCACACCAUGCGAAACCACAAGAGGCAGCCAAAGAAUUUUGCACACUAUGCGAAAUUUCGCAUGGUAUGCAAAAUCUUCUUGUGCACCAACUCCGUUAUAUUUUUAUCUCAAAUAUUUUGUGUAAUUUCCUAGUUUCUCCUUGUAACCAACCUAGAUAUUUUCUUUUAUAUAUUUUUUAGGUAACAUCAUCUAUAGGGGGAGAGACAUAAGGAGGAUAUGGAUGUUUUUCAUAGAACACUUGUAAAUUUCCGGUAGUAAGAAAUAUACAGAGCUUUUUGCUCUACCUUACCUUCUCAUUUUGUUUUCACUUGUCUUUCUAGCCAAACAACCUCUGAGGAUGAUUUCUUAGGGAAUGAGUGGCUAGGUUUUACGUUUCUUGGAGUGAGGGAAGCUAGGUGAAAGACCCGAAUGCUAAGGUGGGAGUUGUCCUUGCUUUAAAUGAAAGUAGUUGUUAAACAUUAAUGGUUUUUAUUUUAAGGUUUAGCUUUAAAUCCCUUAAAAACAUCUUGAAUGGUCAAUACUUGGUAGGCUUUUUGGAUUCUAUGGAUGCUUAUUGCUAGAUCCCUGGAUGUCUAUUAGUUAUCAUUUAUGAGCCAUUGGAAGGUGGUUCAAGAUGAGGGUCUUUAAUGUUUGAAGCCAUUAAUAGGAAACAAUUACCAUUCUUUCAUGAAUCCUUUGGAUCAAAUCUUAAUUGCUAAAUAUAAAACUAGUUCGGGAGAUAACCAUCCUUUAUGUUAUUAUGCCCAACGCGAGGAGAAGAUUCGGAAUCUUCCCCUUUGUCUAAGGAACCCGAUCCUAGUGACCUAAAGCUCUAAGAGACCUUUUCUUUAUAGUUAACUUCACUUAUUGUUUUUUCUUAACUUAAAAUCAAUCUUUGCAACCACAAUUCCAUUUUCUUUGAAAGCUAAUUUUCAUAAGGAAAAUCACCAUUUUAUUUUCUUCCCUAAGUCAACUGUACGAUGAAAACCCAUUCCCAUGGACGAUCCUAGAGCCACUAUACUAUGUUAGCUAUGCUACCCUAAUGUGAGGUGAUUUAGGUUUUAUAAAUUUUGUUGAUAACACCUGUUUGAGCCAGAAUCAAAUGGCGCAACUGAACCAGGGACGAAUCAACAACUUAUAUGGGAGGGACACAAGUUUAAUUGAUUUGCAUUUCAACGUUAUAUAUAGGUAUGUUUUGGAAGAUUUGUUCUGGAAAUACUGCACCAAGUACGAUUCUUUUUGUCUUGAGUGGGUCUACUUGCAUGCCAAUUAACGAGUGGAAAAGUAGGAGCACCUACCUCAUGCUCGCGGAACCGAAGGUCAGUGAAGUGGGGCUCCUUUUGGCCUCUUGUGUUUCUAUUCCAACCAAGGCGGCGUAAGGAAAAACAACAAUAUGUUUGUGCUAAAUAUCAACGCAUGAUAGAUGUUUUUGUUUUUUGGUAUGUCAAGGCUAAUGAAUGAAAUGCUUUAGCUUGUUUUGUGACUGGAACUGCAAAUGUCCAAAUUGGAGUAUCUCCAUUUCUCACUUCGGAUGGUUAACUUAUAAACAAGAUAUAGGAAACAUGUGAACAUCUUGAGGAACAAUUUGAAUUAUUCAUUAGAAGUCCUGGGUUGAGUUCCAAGAUUUAAAUUAGACCCCUCUAGCAGCUUCAGGGGUACCUAGCAACCUAUAGCAUAUUAAUGAAGAUUUAGGAUUUAGACUCUAGAAUACAAAUUAAUAUGUAUCUCAUGCUUUGACUAGCUUCCCUACAUAUGCACAAAAUGGAGAUGACCUAAAAAAAUAGCAGAAUCUAGCUUCCCUACAUAUGCACAAAAUGGAGAUGACCCAAAAAAUAGCAGAAUUUCCUUAGUUUCUGUGGUUAAGGUGAUUCUCCGCUUAAUAUCACAUUGACUCAUUAUGCAAAAUCAACUGAGCUAAUUUUGUUUAUUUAUUUAAUGUCAAAUAGGAACUCCUAAUUAACCUAACCCUUGGCCUGUGUAAAUUGAUUUCACAUGCCCAAUGUUGAAGUAGAAGUCCAUAUUUUGAAUUUUAUUUUUGUAAAGGUAAGGAAAAUGAAGCAUUGUGUAAUUAUAAAAAUAACUUCAUUGGAAUUCACAAGGUUCACCCAAAAUGGAGCUACAUCCGUAUUCUAUCCUGCAGUAGACUAUAUAGAUUGUACAAUAGUAAAUUGCAAAUACAAUUAAUAAGUCUUGUGCUUCCUUACUAAUAAUCCUUUGACAUGAACAUUGCAGCACUAAGGUCCUCUUGGGAAGACACCUUGCACCCAUGAGAGCACGAAGAGGAAGCAAGGCAGAGUCAUGGGUGCAAUGUCAUGACUUGUUGUUGCACCAAGAGAGGCUUGGUGAUGGCAUGGUGUUGCAGUAGCAAGAAUGUUGCCUUGGUAGGGACAUAAUCUAGGGAUAGAUGCCAAGAAAGGCUUAGCACUCACAUGAGUUGCACAAAGAUGAAUGUAAUAGAGCAUCAGAGAGACGUCUUGGCAAGUAAAUGAAUGGAUCCAAGAGGCAACAACAUGAGGAGUUUCAAAUGGAUAAGGAAUGAGUCAAAGACAUUUGAAAGCUACAAGUUGGAUUCUAAUUACGAUUGCAAUUUGAGUUUGAGUAGGAGUUUAGAUUCUGAUUGUAAUUGUAGUAUGAGUUGGACUAGGAUUGCUUAUCCCUAGUCAAAAUAGGAGUGGUUCGUGUCACACCCUAUGAAAAGAGUUUGAGUAGGGACUAGGAUUGCUUACUCCUAGUCAAAUAUGGAGUAGGUGGUGCCACACCUAUAAAAAAAAAGGGACAACAUGAGAGAGAGAGAGAGAGAGAGAGAGAGAGAGAGAGAGAGAGAGAGAGAGAGAAAGAGAUAAUGAAUUCACUAAAGAUAUUGUGGGAGUUUUUCUUUGUUACGUCUUGUAUUAUUACUUAGAAUAGGAAUAAAAUACAAGUUUGGGCUAGAGCCCCAUAAUUAAUCUCGUGUGCCUUUGUGGUUAUUCUUUAUUUGUCAUCUCGUGUGGAUUGGAUUACAUUGACUUAGAGGGCUUCUAAGCACCACCUUUGUGGGUUAUUAUUUAUUUUCCAUUUCUUGUGGAUUAGAUUAGGUUGACUUUGAGGGCUUUUAAGCACCACCUUUGUGGGUUAUUCUUUAUUUUCCAUAUCGUGGGGAUUGGAUUAGGUUGACGAUGAGAAAAAUUAUGUGGGAAAUUUGUGUUGGGACACUUAUCAUAACCAGGUAAAAUCUGCCAAGUCCUUUGUAAUAUCUUCAACAAAUAUUUCAGACUAGUUCUUCACCAUAAACAUCAUAUUGUGUUUUGUUUUUCUCCUGGAUUCUGAGUUGAAUUGUUUCAAGUCAAUUGAAUGCAUCUGAAUAUUAUUAGCUUGUUUGAAGGCCUGGUGAUUUUCCAUUUAACUUUACUUUCUUUAGGUUAUGCUCACUAUAAGAAAAAUGAGAAAUAAUGACGCUUUUUACGCGUUAAGAAAGGCAACAGAUGAUGCUUCUCUAAAGCGUCCUCUUCGGCUCUGUCAUUAUAUGUGUUAGCCAAUAAUGACGCUUCUAGGAAGUGCCAUCUUUGAAUAAUGUUAAUAACGACACUCGUAAAAAGUGUCAUCUUUAAACAUAUUCUGGUCAAAUAAUUUUUACAAAAUUAGUAAUCUUCAAGCCGUUUCUGAAUCAUAUCUGAGCCUAUUUCUGGGGACCAGAAAACCAUCUUUUUUCCAUUCGCCUGAGAGGUCUGAUUAGCAUUUCUGGAAUCAAUCUCUAAACCCAAGCUUCCCUCAUCUACCCAUUUAACCCUCAUGCCCUCCUGUUUGAACAACUUUCCCACUAUAUACACAAAUUUUUUACCUUCUGUUGUUGGUAUUCGACCUCUUCCCAUUCCCAGCACAGAAUCCACCAUUAGUGCCACUUUGUGAAUAAAAUCAUCGAACCAGAUCUUUCGGGCGGAAGAUGAGCUCCAGAGAAAUAAAAUUUUUGGGGUCUUCCCAGCAUGAAAGUCAUAGGUAGCAUUAAUGACAUCAAGAAAUGGGGCACUGUUGAGAAAAAACAUGUUCCCAUCAACCACCCAAGAAUUGUACCAGACUCCAAACACUUCUGGAUUACAUAUGCCUUUACUAAGAUAUAUUUCUUGAUCUCCAUAUCAGAAUCUUGGAGACUCUUCAUUUUAUGAGCUCUGACACUACUGUGAAAUUGGUCCACAUCAAUCACAGGAUGACCCCUUCUAGCAAGAUCAAGCAGGAAGUCUGAAUUCGGGCCCAUAAAAAUGUAGUUCUGAAUAUUGAAACUCUCAAAGUGGCACAACAAAUUCCUUAUGACUCUUUCAGAUGCUCCAAACAGGCUCACAAGUAUAAUGGUAUCCUGUUUUUGCACAGAGUAAAGAAAAUAUCCGAGUUCUUCAAAACUCCUUACAACUAUUCCAGGAUGUACUUCUUUGAAACAGAAAUCGUACCACUUUAGCUUAGUCAGAGGUUGAAUCUAAAAUAACAAAACCCAAACUGAAAUCAAAAUCGAAAUCAACCCUAAUAGAUUUCAGAAACAACAAAUUAAAAGAGUAAAGCACAAAAGGGGGAAAACACAUAUGAAGCAAUCUCCAUACAAGCCCUAACCUUAGAUAAACCCAAAAAAAAAAAUCAAAGCAGAGAGUUACCAUAGAGCAUCUCUGUUUCAAGCUUAGAAAAUGUUUAAUGCCAUUGAUAACUAGUUGGCUAGUGGUGGACUUCAAGCUUCUCUAUUUCGGUGUUAGUAGCUCUCAAUGGCUAUGGUGAGAACAAAGAAAUGAGAGGCUUAGGGUUUGGGAUGUGAGGUUAUUGAUGAUGAUGAGGAUAAAGUUAUGGGCUCUUGGAGGGGUUAGGGAAAUUGAAGAUGGCUGAGAGUAAAGGCUAGGGUUUUUGAGAUAGUUAAUAGCUUUUUAGGGUGUGACUGUCCAUAGAUAGAAGAUAAAUGAGGGUGUGAGAAUUUAUAGAUCUCUAGGUGAUAUGGCGGGUGUGAGAAUGAAAUUUUAGAGGGAAUUGUGUGUUUGGUAGAAAUUUCACACAUGCAUAUAUAAUGUUUCAGAACAUGGCACUUUAAAAAUACGACAAGGAAGAAAUUAUUUAUUGACGCUUAAAUAAAGCGCCAAGGUCUCCAACAUUUUUGCAAUCAAUGACGUUUGUAAAAGGUGCCAUUGAAUAGGAGUGCCAUUGCUUUCCCACAAAGCAUCAUUGUUAAUCAAGCCUUUAAAAAACGCCAAGAUAUGUUGCCACUUAGGUUAAAUAUUGACGCUUUUAAAAAACGCCAAGGAAAAAAACGUCAUUAUUCAUGUUUUUUGUAGUAGUGGCUUGAUUCCUAAAAAGUAAAGGAAAGCAAAAAGUAAAAAAAUAAAAAUGUGGAGAGUUAGGACAUGCGUUAUCUAAUUGUCCUAGUCCCAAAUAUAUUAAGAAAGUCAUGUAGGUUACUUGGAGUAACGAGUCAAGUAAAGCAAGCCUUCUAGUGUUUAAGACAUUAGAUAUUACCGAACUGAUUAUGUCAUUAAUGUAUUGCAUUUGUUGUUUCUAAUAUAUAGAAGAAGAUGAAAUUAUUGGAAUAAGUGGGAAAUAGGAAUAAAUCCAAGGUACCAAAAAGUCACUUUAUCUUAGAUGUUGUUGGAAACAUAAGUGAUUUCACAAUAACGACUAUGAGACAAUCAAGGAUUAAUAAGAUAGACUUUAUAUGAUAUACCUCCCAAUUAGAGCCUAAAAAUAUGGAUGAAGCACUUAGAGAUGAAUCUUCAAUUUUUGUACUAUAGGAAGAAUUAAAUCAAUUUGUUAGCUAUUCUUUGGAUAUUUGAUUCAUCACAAGCUACAAAUCACUUUUGAUGACCAAACACGAAACUAAGAGGAUUGGGCCCAAUUCGAUGCCUAUCAACAAUGAUUUGUAUUCCACCUCAUUAAUUAUUCAAAGUUGGGAAGCUAGGUCUAACCACUUUCUCUACCUGUUCACCCUUAGAGGAGCAGAAGAAAAUUCUAACUUUGGUGCCUAAUGCCUUUGACAAUCUUUCGACAAAGAGAGUUCACUAAUUACUUUGAUUAUUUCUCUGUUGGUCACUGGGGGACAAGACUUUUGUAAUGAAGUCAACUAGAACUUGCCCUUUGAGGGCCAUUCAUGGACGAUAUUACACCAUGAAUUCCCUUAGGUCAUGUUUGGUAUGUGAGAAUGAGGAGUGGAAUGGACAUCUUAUUCAUUUUUUCAUCUAUUCAAAUGUUGGGAUAACUCAAGUGACCAUGAGAAUGAAAUCAAGAAUGAUUCAAGGGAAAUGAAAUCUUACUUAUAAGUGUGAUUUCAAUUAAUCUCUAAUAGAAAUUAUUUUGAAUCAAUAGUGCAAGUUAUUUUUAAAAACAUUUUUCCAAAAUUAAAAAAAUCAAUUUUUUUUUUUUCGAUAAGUUGUUUUUAAAAGGAUUUUUUUUAUUUUGUAAAAAGAAAAUUGUAAUUCAAUUUAUAUAAUAUAAACUAAAUUUUAUUUUAUUCAAAAAGAAAUAAUUUUUUAAUUAUAAAUAAAUUAAAAAUAAAUACUUUUAAUAAAAUAUAAAUAGUAUUAUUAUAAUAAAAUCAUAAAUAAAUUUAAUUUUUUUUAUAAAUAUUAUAAAAAUAUGGAUAUUAACAUUGGAUAAUUGAUUUAUUUUGUUAAAAUAAAAAAUAAUAAUUUUUAAUAUUAUUUUAUGUUAAAUGAAUUUUAAAAUAAAGAAAGUUUAAUUAUUUUAAGGUAUAGAAGAGCCAAAUUUUGCAUUACAUACAUAACAAACAAUAUUUAUUAGAAACAUUUCUCAAGGAGAAUCUUAUUCCAUCUCACAAAGAUACUCGUUUAUUCGAUGUUUGACCAUCCGUAACAAUCAUGUCAAUUCUACUGAUUUAAUAAUUCCUUUACAUUUAUUACUCACUUAUGAACAUGGUAUUGUGAUUUAUUUAUUUAUUUGAUGUAUAAUUAAUUAAUCAAUUUUUUAAAUUUCAAAUUAUUUUUAAAAACUAUUCAUUAAGGAAUUUAAAGCAUUAAUUAUGUCUAUUAUUUUUUAUAGUCAUUAUAUAUAUAUUGAGUUUUAAUUUAUUUUUAAAAAUUAUUAAACUUAUUAAUAAAUUCAAUAUAAAGUCUCGUUUCAUUUGAAAUUCAUUUCUUUAGUGAAAAUUUUGAAAAAAAAAUUGUUAUUUAUUUUACUUUGUUUUAAAAAAAUUGUUUCUAGAGAACAAUAAUCAAAUAAUGGUAUGAAUUUUUAAAAACAAUUUUGUUUUUAAAUCAUAUGCCCAAAUAAUUUUUUUUUAUUUAGCAAAAAACUUUGUUGUAGUAUGUGGCUCAUAUUGAGGGAAAGACAUAUAUGGAGAAAAAUGUGCAAAUGUUGGAGUGGAGCGGAGUGGAAUGACGACAUUUGUCAUUCAAACUUGUAUUUUUAUUGUUAAGGGUGACCGAUAGGUUGGUACGGUUUAGGGGUAUUUUUGGAAUUUCAUUACCUGAGGGUUAGUAUAAAUACCAUUUUAUGUAACCCUAAUUUUACAUAUAAUGUAAGUUUUCUUCCUUGUUCUUGUGGACAUAGGCAAUCCGUCGAACCACGUUAAAUCUGUGUGUUUUUUUUUCUUUUUUCUUUUUCUCUAAUUUCUUCACCAGGAAUCGUUACACUAAGAUCAACAAACUCUCAAAGAUGAUUUUUAAAAUGAAAAAAAUAAUGUAUAGUGUGAGAAUUUUUUAUUUUUUAUUUUUUUAAAAUGAAAAUAAAAAAUUGCUUUAAGGUAAAAGUGUGGAUAUUAUUGUUAAUUUAUUUCAUUUUUCAUUUUCAUUUCCAUUGUUACCUACAAUUGAAAUGGAAACAACUAAUCAUUACAACCUUACAUUCUUAUAUGCAUCCAAAUACAAAAAUUGAAAUCACCAAAUUCAUAUUCAAGGCAAAAUAGGAAUGAAAACAAAUAUUCAUUCUCAUUCUUUAUUCCCACGUGUCAAACAUGACCUCAAAGUUAUAAACAUGAACAAGAAGUCCUUGAAACACCAAUGAUCUCUUCUGGUAUAUAUAUGAGCUUGAUUGACAACUGUUUUAAAUACAGUUUUUUUUUUUUUUGUUUUCAAAAUCAAAACAAAUUUAUUUUUAUUUUUUAUAAAUAGUAGUUUUUUAAUAUUUUUUUUAAACCUUAUUAUGAAAAUAGGAUGUUUUCUAAUAUCAUAUUUUAAUUAUUUUCAAUUAUUUUCCCUUCUUUUAAGGAGGGCUAUUUUAAAAAUAUGAAAAAUGAUACAAAAUAAAGCAUUACAAAUAAAAAUCAUUUUUAAGAAAUAUAUGAAAAUAAUUUGAGAACAUUUGAAGUUCCUUAAUUAAACUUUUGUUCUAGAAAAUGCAAGAAAACUGUUUUUGAAAAUUGUUUUCAUAAUGAUAUGCAUUGAUCGUUUAAAAUUUAAUUACAUGAUAAAAAGACCUAUGUAAAAACCAGAGUUAUAUAAUCAGUCAUAGAUCAAAUCUACUAAAUAUGAAAAGUAAGUACAUAGUUGUAUAUGACUUAGAUGGAGCCUUCUCCGAAUGACAUUCUUUAGUCGGUACUCAUAUUUUUUUGUUUCGUGUCUUCAACAUAACACCUCAUGAUCCUUAAUAAAUCACCUGAAAACUAUAUUAGCACCUUAUUGUUUAAUAUUUCUCUAAAUUUUUUUAUUAAGCAAAUAAAUUCCAAAUUUAAAAUGACAAAUAAAAUUUAUUAAUUUUUAAAAAUAAUUUAAAACUCAAAAACCAAUUUAAUUGAUAUUAAAAGUCAUGAAACUUAAUAAUAUUAGAAAGUCAUGUAUCCAAAUUUAUUUUAAAUGACUUGUUUAAUUUCUUGUUUAUAUAUAUUAUAUUUUUAUAAUUUUUUUUACUAUACAAAUAAAUUUUAAAUUAAACAAAACUUAAUGCGUUGAAUUCAUUAACGAGUCUAAUAAUUUUUAAAAGUUACUUAAAAUUUAAAUACUAAAUCAAUUAGUACCACAAAUUCAUGGAAAAAAAUUGAUUUAUUACUACUAUAUUGUUUCUCUAUUGCAUAGAACCAUUAUUUUUCAAUUUUUUCAUUUGGCAAAUGAACAUCAAAUUAAACAAGACUAAGUGUAUUAAAUUCAUUAAUGGGUCUAGUAAUUUUUUAAAAUAAUUUAAAAUUCAAAUAUUGAUACUCCAAAUUAAACAAGACUUAGGUGGUGUUUGUUUUUUGGUUGAAUAGAAAAAGGUAAAAUAUUUGACUUUUUCUAUUUAGUUAAAAGUAACUUGUUGACAUCGUCCAAUAUAAUUAAAGUAAACCUAUUGAGGGCAAGUUCACUUUAAUUAUGUUGGACGAUGUCAACAGGUUACUUUUAACUCAAUAGAAAAAAUCAAAUAUUUUGACUUUUUUUUUAACUCAAAUAAUAAAUCCAUUAAUACAAAAAAAUUAUGGAUAAUUUGAAACUUUCUUUCUUUUUUUUUUUUUUUUUGCUACACAUAGCUAUAUUUUUAUAAAUUUUAUCAUUAGAGAAAUGGAUUUCAAAUCAAGUGAAACUUUGUAUUGAAUUAAUGGAUUUAACAUUUUUUAAAAAUAAUUUGGAACUAAAAAAAAAAGAUUUAAUUACUAAGAAAAUCAUAGAUCAAAACUAAUAUAUUCUGAUCCAUGAUUUUAUUAUUUUUCCUAUACAUACAAUUAUAUUUUUAUAAUUUUCUCACUAGGUAAAGAUAUUAUAAAUUAAGUGACACAUAAUUAAUAAUUUAAAUUUUUGAAUGAAUCUUUUAAUUUUAGGAAUAAUUUGAAAUUUAAAAAGUUGAUCCAAUUAAUUGUAAAUUAACUUAAAAUAUUAUAAAAUAUUAUGUUCAUAAUUAAGUACUAAAUGUAUAUAUGUAAUGAAAACUUAACUAGUUACAUGUUACAAAAGCCAAAAUUUAUUCAUUCUUUAUUUUAAAUAAAAUAUUAUUAAUAAUUAUUUUUUUUAAAAUAAUAUUUAGUAAUUAUUGUUUUUAAAUUAUUAUUAUUAAUUUUUAAUAAAAAAAUUGCAAAGUUAUUAAUAUCAUUAUAUUUCUAACAUAAAUUUAAAUAGUAUAUUUUUUAAUAUAUAUAUAUAUAUAUAUAUAUAUAUAUAUAUAUAUAUAUAUAUAUAUAUAUAAUUUAUGAUUUCAUUAUAAUAUUUUUAUUCAUGAUUGACGAAAAAUUAUUUAUUGUUUAAUUUAUUUGAAUUGCAAAACUAUUUUUCAAAAUUCAAGCGAGAAAAUAGGCCUGGAUUUGAAUUUCCUGUAGAAGAGAAGGAUGUGGAGAAUAUGUUGGGAGUAUUUGUGGAUAAAGAAAAGGCCAGGGUACUGAGAAAGGAGAGAGAACUUGCUCUUGCCAAAAGAGCCCUGCACAGGUAUUCUACUGAUUCUAAUUAUCGGUUCUUACAUGAUCAGAUUUCAGAUUUAUUUGCUGAGCUUCUGAAAUCUGAUACAGUAUUUAAACUCCGGUGAGCUUUACAAGAUUAGUCUCGCAUCCAAUUCCAAAUGGUGUCCCACAAUUGAUUCUUCUUAUGAUAAAUCCACCUUGAUAUGUGAAAAUAUUGCUCGAAAGGUUUAUCCUCGCGAGGAAUAUCCAGAAUACUAAGGAAUUGAGGAGGCUCACUAUGUUUAUAGAGUCAGGGAUAGGUUGAGAAAACAAGUAGUUGUUCCAUUACAUAAGGCCCUGGAGUUGCCAGAGGUUUUCAUGUGUUCGAACAAGUGGGGAUCACUUCCCUACAACCCUGUGGCUUCAGUGGCCAUGAAAUCAUACAAGAGCCUCUUCUCAAACCAUGAUACAGAGCGGUUUGGUGAGUAUCUUGAGAAAGUGCAAACUGGGAAGGCUAAGAUUGCAGCUGGUGCAUUACUUCCCCAUGAGAUUAUAGCUUCAUUGAAUGAGGAGGAUGCCGAGAGAGUUGCCGAGCUUCAGUGGGCAAGAAUGCUGGAAGAUUGAUCAAAGAAAGGGAGGCUCACAAAUUGCAUUGCAGUAUGUGACGUAUCAGGAAGUAUGAGUGGAACUCCAAUUGAGGUGUGUGUGGCUCUGGGGCAGUUAGUUUCAGAGCUCAGUGAAGAUCCAUGGAAAUUAAGGUAAUGUAAUUACUUUCAGUGCAAAUCCUGAGCUUCACAAGAUCCAAGGAGACAGCCUUGUAUCCAAGACUGAAUUUGUGAGGAUGAUGGAAUGGGGUGCCAACACUGACUUUCAGAAAGUUUUGACAGAAUCUUACAAGUAGCAGUGGAGGGAAAUAUGAGUGAAGAUCAAAUGAUAAAGAGGGUUUUCGUUUUCAGUGAUAUGGAGUUCGAUGAAGCUUGUGGGAGGUAUAACUAUUGUGACUAUGACUAUGAUAUGGAGGAAAUUGACGAGAGUCAGAAGGCAUCUCAGAAGUGGGAGACAGAUUAUGAAGUGAUACAGAGGAAAUUCCAGGAGAAAGGAUACAGAAAAGUUCCAGAGAUAGUGUUUUGGAACCUUAGAAACUCAUCAGCGACUCCAGUGACGGCCACAGAGAACGGGGUGGCCUUAGUAAGCGGGUUUUCAAAGAAUCUGUUGACCUUGUUUUUGGAAGGAGGUGGAAUUCUGAUCCCUCAGGAUGUGAUGGAAUUCGCCAUCUCUGAUGAAGAUUACAAGAAACUUGUUCUAUUUGAUUAAGAUAUCAAGAGAUUUAUCAAUAAUAAUAUAUUUUUUUUCUAUGUGAAAUACAUAUAAUAUUAACUGUGGAGUUAUCAAAGUUCUGGAGGUUUAAUUAUUUCUUCUUUUCAAGUUUUGUUUAUUUAAGGUUUUCUUUGUCUUUGUUAGGAAUUCCCCUUGGGUGGACCCAGCUGGGGAGUUGGAUUGAGGAAGUAAGCAGGCGAACUUGUGUUCUUCUAUGGACAGAGAAAAAAAAUAAAAUAAAAAAAUAAAAAAGGAGGUUAUUUGCAUUUGGAUGUCGUGGUUUGAGGGUACAACUACAAGCUCGAAAUUGUACAUAAUGUGAAAACUCCUGUGUCCAUUGCUGAGAACAGCAUAAAUGAUGGUGAUUUUCAAGUUGUGCCUGGUAUUCUACAGGAUGAAACAAGAAAGGAUCCAGGUGGUAUAUUGAACAAUAUCCCAAUCAUGUUGGUGGCAUCUUUAUUUAGUUAAUGGUAUUCAUUUGGUGGAAGCUGGUUGUUUAUGAUGUUUUUAAUUUUUUUUAACAUGAAGUUCGAUCAAAUACGUAUCUUAGUAUGUUUUGUUUGAGCUAAUUGGCAAAUGCGCUUUAAACAUGGUCACAUGGAUGCAGUUUUAUUUGUGAAAUGAUAAUAGUCGAUUACUUGGUCAGUAAGGUUUAUAUCUCUAACUUCAACAUCUUAUUGUAGUCUUUUAAAAUGUCAAAAGUUUAAUGCUUGAGAAAUUUUGGAAUGGAGACAUUCUAAACAAAGUUAAUAAUCCACAAGACUUGGUAAAACCGAUCAGAUGAUGCUUACGUACAUCAAUGCCUUCUUUAAGCCAUAUCCUAUUUUCAUUGAACGGGAUGUGCCAUCUAGUUUGGUUCUUUAAGCCUCCAAAUCCUAAACCUAGUCUCAAUUUAGAGCAAAUUUAGGGUGCAGGGCCUGCAUGCCUCCCCCUCCCCCUUCCACAAAUAGUAGUGACCUUGCUAUGCCUAUGCAUUGUCAAUGCCUCAUUUUCUAUGGUCUCCAAUGUAAUAUCUUAGUUUCAAUGUCUCUUUCCUUACUAUCUCCAAUGCAAUAGAUUGAUUUCAAUACCUCUUUACAACUAAGACCUCCAAAUUUUCUUGGUUCAAACCUACCAGAAUUUUUCUUCUCCUUUGCUUUCUAUCAAUAUUAGUUCCCCUAAUUUAAUAUAUACUUCUUUAUUACCUUCAACUCUACCUCUCUUUCUUUCUCUAAAAGCUUCCUCAAAGAUUUAAUUGCUUUCUUGCAUGUUUUAAGAAAACAAACAUGCUCAUAUUACAUUACCUCUACUUGAGAUCUACCUUAUACUCUACCUUCUUUCUUUACCUCCUAUAUCAUCUACUACAUUAGCUUCAAAAAUAUUAUUUAGUUUGAUACUAAAUAAGGCUCCUAAUCCUACUCUUCCUUCAACAAACUUUCUUUUUACAAGUUCCUUAAACUUUAUUUUUUAUUUUUUAUUUUUUGGAAAUUCGGGUUAGAAAGAUUCCAUUACUCUUACCUAAUAUUUCAACCAUCAAGUUGAAUCCACUUAUUGCCUAAAUCCAAGGAGUCUGCCCUCCACAAAAACAAGGAAAUUGAUCCCACAAUAACAAGGAGAUUGCCUUCCACAGAAACAAAGAGAUCUCCCUUCACAGAAGCCGAAUACAUUGCAAUCUAUUUUCUUUCUUGUAAGAUCAAAUCUUCAAUCGAGCUCCAUCUUAUGGGGGCAUAUUAGAGAAAUUUAAUAUUAUCCUUAAUUUACAUAUUAAUAUUUAUCUAUUUAUUAUAUAUUGAAUUAAAAUAGAAUAUAGAAUUUGAAUCAUAGUAGAAGUUUACUAUAAGAUUGAAUUACAAUAGUUAAUAGAGUUUAAAUUAUAAUAACUCAAAUACAUUUAUAUAUAUUUGACCUUACGAGAUUUUCUAUUUAUGUAUUUGAACUACAAUCCUUAUGAUCCUUAGGUCUCUAUACCUUCGUGAUGGGCUCCUUGACAUUUCAUAGGUUGUGCUACACAUGCAUUUGAAAUUUAGAGUGCAUUUGACAGUGAUUCUGGGAAGUGUUUUUGGCAUUUCUAACACUUAAAAUUUUUUAUUUUUCAAGUAUUAGAAAUGCUACAAACACUUUUGAAAAUUACUGUCAAACACACUCUUAGGAGCGCAUAUAGUAGAAAACUAGAAAUUGUGGUUUUUUUAGGAUUUACUGUAAUGUCAUUAGGAGGGUAGUAAGUUGAAACUGAGUAUGAAUAAAUAUUUCUUUCUUUGGGAUGUUCUUCUGGUAGGUGCUGAUGAAACUGUUCUUUUUACUGCCAAUGUCACAUAUCAGCCAGAAAUUGAAAAUUUCAGUCAAGGUGUCCUCGGUUUUAGUGGUGAGGAAAGCUAGAAAUUUUAAGGUGAAGUUCUGUUAAAAACCUUAAGUAGCUGGGAUAUCAGGCCUGUUUUGCUUGAAAAAAAAAGUUGCAAGAUAACUCAUAUGCCAAACAGGUUCUGAUAUUGUGAAUCUAUCGGCAGACAUCAGUAAUCUCAUCUUCUGAGAUGGAUGUUGGGGGUGCAUGUGGUGGUGGAGGGGCAAGGUUUCAUUUGGUUUAUUUUGUUGAUGGAUAUUGUCUAGCCCCCUGCGCCAAGUUUGAGGGGUGGUGGGUUGUGAUGGCCCUACAAUUACUAUUAAUUUCUUCCUCUUUUACCGAUUAAAGUGUCCGAACAGUCGAAGUUACCCUUAUGCAUGUCAACUUGAUCACUUACCUCUUCAAUGGAGUUUAUGCUGGUUCAUUUAGGAACUGAUUUUUAUUGUUAUGCAUUCUAUGCUGAUGUUUAGGCCUCUCCAUCAUCACUAUAUACAAAAAUUCUAGGUUGAUACUAUAGGUUGAGAUUUAUUUUUUAAAUAAAAAAUAAUAAAAAUAAAAAUUAUGGUGAUGUUUAGUUGUUUUAUGGAAAAUUUUAACAAGUUAUUUUUGGGCAAGUUUUCAAACAAAAAGAAAAGUAAAAGUUGUUUUGACAAAAACAUAUAGAAAAAAAAAAUCAUAGAAAAGAAAUAAUUUCCCCAUAUUCUAACUUUUUUUAAUUUUUCUCAAUGGGCAAAGGAAUAUCAAAUCAAGUUUGAGUAGGAUUUCUUAAUUUUUAAAAUAACUUACAAUUAAAAAAUUUUGGUGUUUUCAUUUUUGGACAAUUUUUUAUUAAGCAAAUGGACUCUGAGUCAUGCAAGAGAUAUGGUUGAUUAAUGGGUCAAACAAUUUUUUUAAAAUAAUUUAAAACUCAAAUACAUAAUCAAUGUCACAAAAUUUAUAAACAAAAAUAGGUUUAGAGAAGAUCUACACAUAAUUUUACUUUUCUAAUUUUAUUUUAUUUUAUUUUUUUGUUGGAAAAUAGUCUUCAAAUCAUGUAAGAUUUAAUAGGUUAAAUUUGUUAACAAUAAAUUUUAAAUUAUAAAAUAUAAUCUGGAACUUAAAAAUCAAUUCAAGUAAUGCUAAAAAAAAUCAAAUUUGGUAUAGAAUGACUACGUAAAAUUUUUUACAAAACAAAUGAAUUUUAAAUCAAGUGAGAUUUAAUGCAUUAGAUUUUUAUCAAAUAUAGUAAUUUUAAAAUUUAAUUUGGAACUCAACAAUAGACACAAUAAAUACCAAAAAAUAAUGAACCAAAAUUGGUUUGGAAUAACUCCACAACCUCUUUUUUUUUUUUUUGGUGCACACGAAUUUUCUUACUAGGUAUAUUGCUUUCAAAUUGAGAAAGAUUUACUAUUUAGAUUUUUUUUUUUAAUGAGUUUAAUGGUAUUUUAAAAUAAUUCAAAAUUUCAAAAAUUGACUAAUUACUAUUAUAAAUUCAUAAACCAAGACUAAUUCAAAAUGCAUUGGGGGCUAAGGGGGUUGAAAAUAGGGACAAUGGGAUGGGUUUGGGACAUGACACUCAUAUCUCAUUUCCAUUCCAAUUACAUAGUUAUCUCCCAUCCUUAUCCCAAACUUGUGUUGGAGCAAGUUGAUUUGUUCCCAUCUUUGUUGAUGAAAUGACUAAUAACCUCAUCCCCUCCUUAUCUUAGAUGUACAUUUUGUCAAAUUUGAUCAGGUAUGAUUGAUCCAAGCCCUAACCCUAAUUGGUAAUGACUGGAUACUACACCUAAUUGCAUUCUUCUUUCGUCGCAAAAUAAUGAGAUUAUAAUAAUCUAGCAAAUAAGAAAAAAUAGUAUGGAAGUUCAAUUUAACACCAUAACUAUCAAUAAUUUUAAGCUUAUAGAUGACUUAAAUGAUUAAAAACUAAUGCAAAAUACCAAAAAAAAAAGUUCAUAUAAAGAAUUCACAAGAGAACAAAAUGAACAAAAACCAAAUAUGAACAUGGGUCAACAUUAGUUAUGGAUUUGGAUUCCUUUCAAGGCCAAUCUUUGAACCAAGACUUCAUCAAAUCUACUACUUCAAAGGCUUUUGUGUUCUUCUUGGGUUGUGCUCUCAAACAAAGACUUCAAGGUGAUGCUCUAGAUGAUUGCAUUACACAUAUUUAGGGUGGAGAGAUUGGAGAAGCUUGAAGAUGCCAACGAUGGGUACAAUUGAGUGGUCAAUAAGAACAAUGUAGCCUAUGACUAGUUUGAUGUCGUGGUACAAGAGUUUUAGGCAUUGAGGUUAAAGCAAGAGCAACAUGGAAUUGAUUUUGGAGUCUUUCAAUUAGUGUAAAGGAGGAAGAAGUGGUAUUGAUUCUAGAAAUAGGGUUUUAGGUGGUGCGUUAGAGGAUGAAGAAGAAGAAAAAGAAGGAUCUGUUGGAAUUAGUGUGAGUGUGAAGAGAGAAGUAUAUAAAUAAGGGGAAGUAAAAGCAAAGUUCUAAAAGCUAUAUUUUUUUUUAUUGUUGGUGUAUGGUUGCAUGAUUAUCCCUAUAAAUAAUAGGAGUUUUUUUGGUAUUCUACUAGUAGUUGAAGGAUAAUUUCAUAAAUUUAUAUUUAGAGUGGGGUGGGGUGAGUUGUGACAAAAUUCAUACCCGUCCUAAACCUUGGUUCAGAUUUUUAAAAUAUCCUCAAACUUAUCAUAUACCCAACUUUUAUAUUUCAUACUUGUCUUGAUAGAGGCAGGUUAGGCCGGGUUACUUGAGUAACCUACAUAAUUGUCAUCCCUAGUUGAAAUACACUUUUUUGGCAGUGGCCACCAACUGAGCUAGAAGCUUGAUCGAUUGACCUACAAGAUUAGUUCUCAUCAUUUUAAAAAAAGUUUUGGCCUUGGUUGUGAGUGCAAUUGAAUCUAAACUGGCAUUUCCUUAAUGCAUCUACUUCAAUCCUAAAUUUCUUACUUCCUAAGCCUCAAUUGUUGUUAGGAUUUUGGAAAGCCCAUUUCCUUAAAUUGUAAAUUUAAGAAAAAAUAAAAUAAAAGUGAGACAUUUCUUGAUUGAAUAUUGUUAAAGGUCCCUUGGCAUUAAGACUUGGUUGAAGCCUUGGAAGAUUAGUGGAACUCUCAACUUGUGUUUGAAUCUUGAGGAGAGUGGACGUAAGCCAAAAUUUUGUCAAACCAUUAAACAAAUUGAGUUUGAAUCCUCAUUUCUUGAUUUCUUAUUUAUUUGCUUUUUCUUAUUAUUACUUGAAUUGUCAUUUGCAUUCAUUAAUGUUAAAAUUGGUUAUAAUUAACCAACACUAAUUCUCUUUCCCCUUCCCUUUCUUGGGUGUAAACCUAGGUUGGAUUAACUAGAUUAAUUUAUAAAAUCUAUUAAGAUGGUAAAAGAAUAAUUAUUCUUAACACACAUAAGAUCAUCUUCAAUCAAAUGACUCAUUGGCUAAUAUGUUGAAUUUGCUUAUUACUUGCAACUCAAAAUUGUGUUCUAGUUGAUAUGUCAAGUCCCCAGUGUAUGGACAUUAAAUUUGUAGUACGUGAUGGUAAUUAGAUGGUCCAACUCCAAGAAAGUGAUUGAAAACUAGUUCAAGAAAGGUGCAAAAGGGAAUUGUUUUGGUAUUUUCGUUUUUAUUCUUGAAGGUGGCAGAGCUAAAAUUUGUGAAAUCAAGCAAAACAUACUGAAAUUACAUUGAAAGAAAGAAAAUGGGAGUUAAUGUCUUGCAGUAGAUGAUAAGGACUUCAUGCAUGUAGUAUGACCCAUGUCUUGGACUGAUGCCAACUCACGGUUACACUUAUACCCUUGGUUCUCUCUUUACUACCUUGGCUAACCUAGAUCAGGCUAUGAGAUAGGCUCCUCACCACACCAUUACUUGCCCAUUAAUUAGAGACAUUUUCAAGCACUGAGGUAACAUGGUGACACCAAGAGGGUUUAUUCCUCGCCCUCCUCGCCCUCAACAAGUCUAGACUUGGUCUCAAAAAAAUGGAGAAAAAUGAGGUGUCGUUAUGUAGAAAUACAACAACCAUGCCUUCCUCAUUACUUUGAUUCAGAAUGUGAAGGUGAAAUUGAGAAACAGAAACUCUUGAAACCAAAAUGAAAAUUGAUACUUUUACGAAGAAUUACAACAACAUUGGAGGAAGACUACAUUCUUCCUCUUUAUUCCUACAUUUCUACACUACUUCUACUCCACUCCAUAUUUCUACAUACAUCUUUAAUCAGUCUUCCCUCCUUUAUAUAGAGCCAUCUUCACACAAAUUCCGCAAGGUAGAAAAGAGGAAUGAAACUUGGAGCAAGGUUCGACUACUGGCUGUAGCUUGUCAAGGCUGGAAGUGAACCUUUUUUCUUGGCUUUUCUGGGCAUGGGUAGUAACUUGUGGGUUCCUUUUUGGGAUACAAAUGGCUAGAACAUGUGGCACUAUCUUGUUGGAUGAUGUGUCAAGCAUGUGGCAGCCAUCUAGUGGCGAUUAUGUCAAUUUUGGGAUGGAGAGUUGGCAUCCAAUUGCAAAGAAAUAUGACGUCUACCAACAGGCAAUGUAAACCUAUGUAGAUCAUAUGAAGAUAGAGAGGAAAAAUAUAGAAAUGGAUAUAUACCUAGAACUAGCUUUUUAUUAAAUGAAACGGAGAGCCAACAAUGAAGGAAAAUAAAUUUUUUUGGCUUAUAUCAAAGAGUUCACAUUGUGCUACCCUAGGUUUUCUUAAAACUUACUUUUAUGAUAACAAAAAAAAAAAAAAACAUUAUUGUUUAAUCCUUUGUUUUAAACGCAUGUUUAGCAAGUUAUAAAAUGUAAAAAUCUUUCUAAGUUCAAAUAUGAAGAUAUGACAUCAUUUCAAGCAAGAUAGUCUCUAGGAAUUAAUGUAAAGCUAAAUUAAGGUGAAAUUAAAUUAGUUCAAUGCAUUAAUUUAAGAAACUUGACCUAUCAAAAGUACAAAAUUAGAUGAAAUCCAUUUCAAUGGUUAAAAUGAUCAAAAUCAAACUUUUUCUAAGUAUUUUUUAAAAGUAUCAAUAUUGAAAGACAAUUUUAUAUUUAGUCAGAGUUUGGACAAAACCAAAAAGCACACAAAAUCCAAGCGACCAUCUCUAGCUUGGAUGGUCGCUUGAUCUCUAGCUUGUGUACUUGGAAAGCAACAUCGAGAUGAUAUAUAUAUAUAUAUAUAUUUUAUAUAAUAUUGUUUGUCCAAAUUCCCUAAAAAUUAGGCCACCACAUGUUCAUAAUUCUCCCUUCUUGAAUUUGAAAACUCGGACAAUUGGACAAUGCGACACCUAAGUCCGGUUUCUAAAUGCUAAAGUGAAAGGGUAGGUAUGGACCAUUGAAAUGUGAUCACAACUUUUCUCUGUAGCCAUGUUGUCUCUUUUUUCUUUUGCAUGAUUUUCUCACCUUAACAGAAUCAUAGACUUGUUUAAUCUCUAAAUGGGAUUAAUUUCAUCCAGCUUUAAGCUACUAUAUUAUAUCUAGGUGGAGGACUUUUAAGAGUGCAACCGACAUAGAGCACAUGCAAGUGGGUAUAUGGGACAUGAAAUUUCUUCUUAUAAAGAUUGCAUGAUUUUUAUAUUAGAGUUGUUGGGGCGCAAUGUAUGUAGCUUGUUUUGCAGUUAAAUUAAUUGGAUAAGUAGACAUUGGCGUUUCUAAAUCUACUGUGAAGUGCUUCAUGUACGUGUGAAGUAUUAGAAAUUUCUUUCUUGGCAACUUGUUUUUUCUUUGCGGUCUACUGAUAGGUUUGACUAAAAUUAUAUUCCCUGUCAUGCUAAUUAAUUUUCACGUGCAUGCUCAAAAGAAGAGUAUGACCUUAGUGCACCAAAAUCACUUUGAUUAAUUUGUGAUAGGUUUUUGUGCAUCAUGACAUUAGCCUUAUUCAUUUAGAUAAUGUUUAGUUUUUAGAAAGUAUUAAGAAAAGGAAAAUAAAUAUUAAGAAAAAUAUUCUUAUAUUUGAUUGUAUUAUGAAAAAUGUCAUAAAAAAAUCAAAUAUAAUUUAAAUUAAUUAAUAAUUUAUACAUUUUCAAAUUAUUUAAUCUUUAUAUUGAAGAUAUAAUAUAAAUGAAAUGAGUUUUAAGUAUUAUAUAAAAGUGAUUUAUUGAUCUUGCAUAUAUGUAUUUCUUUUUUUUUUCUUCUAUUUUUUUUCUUUAUUUUAUUUUCCUUAUGUUUUCCUCAACAUUUUCCGGAACCAAACAUAGCCUUAGGAAAUCCACAAUUACCUUCAACUGAGUAUAUUCGGUUGUUUUAGCAAUGUUAGGCUGCUAACUUGUGUUGGUACGAACCUGUUAAGCCUAAAGAUGUAAUUAGUUAGGAUAUUCUUUUCCCUCUAGUCUUGUAGCUCCACGUGUAUAGUUGGUUAGGACCUCAUUGUAUAUAAUGCCUGCCCUGUUAUUGUUGAAGACAACAGAGAUAAAUAAUAUUAACAUUUUUCCUCUCAUCUCUCUUUGUUUCCCUCUGUUUUCAUCUCCUCUCUCAUCUUGGUAUCAGAGCCUCCAUGGAUUCUUUCAAAGAAACCUCCGAAUCACCUUCUGCUAGCAUUGUUAAUGUGCAAAACCCAUUAUCUCAGUCAAACAACCUUCCUUCACCAGCAGCCACACCCUCUUUUUCUUUCUUGUCUAUGAAUCAACCUCUCACAGUGAAGCUGGAUAAUGGAAACUACCUCAUCUGGAAGAAUUAGCUUCUGAAUGUCAUCAUUGCGAACAGACUCGAUGAUUUCAUUUAUGGAACUCGACCCUGCCCUCCUUGAUUUCUCAAUCUGCAACAACAAACCCUCACUCCAGAGUACUCGGUCUAGCAGAGAUACAAUCGACUUCUAAUGAGUUGGCUGUACGCAUCCUUGUCCGAAGAUAUAAUGACUCAGAUUGUUGGGUAUUCAACAACUGUGGAGAUUUGGAACGUCCUUAAUCAGAUUUACUCUGCCUCUUCAAUGGCGUGGGUUACCGAGCUUCACACCAAGCUUCAAACGCUCAAGAAAGAUGGACUCUCAGUUGGUGAAUAUAUUCAAAGGCUCAAAUCCAUUUGCAAUAGUCUUGCAGCAAUAGGAGAACUAGUUUCUGAGAAAGACCAGCUUAUCUAUUUGUUCAAUGGAUUAUAUUGUGAGUAUAAUUCUUUUGUUACCUCCAUUCAAAAUCGAUCUGACCAACCAACUAUUGAGCAAAUCCAUAGCCUAUUGCUUAGCUAUGACUUUCGGCUUGAACAACAAAACUCUGUUUCUCUCCAUUAUGCCCAAGUCCGUAUGGCUCAUCUGAACAAGAAACCUUAUAAAUCAACUCCUCAACCUACAUUCAAUCAUAUUCACAUUCAACCUAGAUACUCUUCUCCACCUUUUAAGCCAACCACUAGUCAAUAUCAACCCAGGAUUUUGGGCAAACCACAACCACAACCAUGACAGCCUCAACCUCAAUGGAAACCACAUUUUUCAAUCCAGAAUCAAAAGCCUCAGUGCCAAAUUUGUGGUAAAUUUGGACACACUGCUCUUAUUUGCUUCCAUUGCACAAAUUUGAACUAUUCACCCCAACCUUCUCCUAAAUCUUUCAAUACUGUUCUCACCACAAAUUCCCAGCUCCCUAAUCCUCCAAAAUUUUCUUACCCUACAAUGGCUCAUCCUGCUGCUACGCAUAACACGAUUCCUGAUACAAAUUGGUACAUGGACUCAGGUGCUACACAUCACUUUACUCCGGACAUCAACAUGCUUGACACUGUGACACCAUUUAGUGGUUUAGAACAGGUGACAGUUGGGAAUGGUAAGCAACUCUGUAUCUCACAUCUUGGUACUGCAAAACUACCAUCCUCGUAUUCUCCUCUUGUUCUACAUCAGGUAUAUCACACUCCAAAAAUUUCAAAUAAUCUUAUUAGUGUUAGAAAAUUGUGUUCUGAUAAUAAAGUUUUUGUUGAAUUUUAUGCCACUCAUUUUCUUAUCAAAGAUCAAGUUUCGAAGAGAGUUCUCUUUCAAGGUCAACUUGAUAAUGGCUUAUACAAAGUUCAGUCGUCAUGCUCUCCUUCUACUAUUUCCUUUCAUCCUCAAGUUUUCAUAGCCAACAUCAAGGAUCAAAAUUUGUGGCACAAGAGACUAGGCCACCCAGCUUUAUCUGUUAUUAAUCAAAUCUUGGAUUCUUGUAACAUUGCUCGAACACAGAAAAUUGGUUUUAAUUUUUGUAGUUCUUGUCAAUUAGCAAAAAGCCACAGGCUUCCUUUUUCUCUGUCUCCAUCCAUUGCAGAAAAACCUUUUGAGUUAAUUCAUACAGACCUAUGGGGUCUUUCUCCUGUUCGCUCUAUUUCUGGUGCUCGUUAUUUUUUACUUUUCAUUGAUGAUCAUACUCGUUUUACUUGGUUUUAUUUGCUCAAAACAAAAGAUGAAGCAUAUCCUACUUUUCUCAAGUUUCAAGCUCUCAUUGAAAAUCAAUUUAAUACCAAGAUUAAGGUUGUCCAAUCUGAUUGGGGAGGUGAGUUUCGAUCUCUCUCCAUACUGUUUUCAAAUAUGGGCAUUGUCUAUCGUUUAUCAUGUCCAUACACCUCACAACAGAAUGAGUGGGUUGAGCGAAAAAAUCACCAUGCGGUUGAAAUGGGAUUGUCCUUUCUUGCUCGCUCGGGUAUGCCCUUAUCUUAUUGGCCUUAUGCCUUUCAAACUGCCACUUACCUUAUUAAUCGUCUCUCUACCCCUGUGCUGCACCAUCAAUCCCCUUACUUCGCACUCUAUCACAAAUUCCCAGCUUAUACUCAUCUUAAGGUCUUUGUUCCUCUUGUUUUCCAUAUUUACGCCCUUAUAAUACCCAUAAACUCCAAUACAGGUCACUGGAGUGUGCUUUUCUUGGUUGCAGUUCACACCACAAAGGUUAUCUAUGUCUUGACAUUCAUUCUAGCAGGGUGUAUAUUUCUCGCCAUGUGAUUUUUAAUGAAGAUUCUUUUACAUUCAAGAAUUUGAAAUCUUCUCUCUCUUAGUCUAUUUCUUCUUCCUCUUCUUUAUUAGUUCCUCUGUUCAUUUCCUUGCCUCCCCUCUCCCCAUAUCCUCCUAUUUCUCCAUCUAUAUCUCAUUCUUUUCUCUCUUCUUCUUCUACCUCUAGUACUUGUUCCCCUCUCGUUGCUCCUACCUCUCUUCCUCCCUCUUCACACUUUGUGUCCCAUCUAUUCCACCUCCUUCUCCACCUUCUUCGAGUGUGGACCUGCUUGUACCUUGUGUGAAUACAAAUUUACUUACUUUUUCUCGCACUCACAAUAUUCAUCCUAUGGUGACCAGAUCUAAGGGUUUGUAUCUAUAAACCUAAGUUGCUAUUGAGUGUCUCCAUAGGUUCUCUCACUAAGCCUACUUCCUUUCUUCAAGCUAUUAAAGAUCCUUCAUGGAAGCAAGCCAUGGAAUUGGAGUUUGCUGCCCUUCAACACAACAAGACCUGGCAUCUAGUUCAUUCACCUUCCUCAGGCAAAGUAAUUGGUUGUAAAUGGGUCUAUAAGAUAAAGCUUUAGCCUGAUGGCUAAUUGAGAGAUACAAGGCCCGCUUAGUAGCUUAGGGUUAUCAUCAAACUGAAGGUAUUGACUACUUCGAAACAUUCAGCCUGGUUGUCAAGCCUUCUACUACCGUAUUGUGCUCAGUCUUACUUUUUCCCAGAAUUGGUGUAUUAGACAGCUGGAUGUUCAUAAUGCCUUCUUACAUGGUGACUUAGCUGAAGACGUUUUCAUGGAACAACCACCUGGAUUUGUUGAUCCUCUCUAUCCUACUCAUGUCUGCAAGUUGGAUAAGUCUCUCUACGGUCUUAAUAGUCACCUCGGGCUUGGUAUACUAAGCUGAGUACUUCUCUACUACACUUGGGAUUUGUUACUUCUAAGAAUGACUCUUCCUUAUUUAUUUGUCAUUCGUCUCAUGGGUUACUUCUUGUUCUUGUCUAUGUGGAUGAUAUAAUCGUCACUGGGAGCCACUCUCCUCAAGUUACUCACCUUAUCCAAUAGUUGCAUCAUCAGUUUUCUUUAAAGGAUCUUGGUCAUUUACACUAUUUUCUGGGCUUGGAGGUUCAUCACACCCCUACUGGUAUUCACCUCAGCCAAGCAAAGUAUAUCACUGAUCUCCUUACCCGGGCGGCUAUGUUGGAUGCCAAGCCAUGUCCCACUCCUAUGUCCUCCAACACAUAUCUUUCUCUUCAUGAUGGAGUGGCUCUUGAAAAUGGUUCAGAUUAUUGAAGUUUUGUUGGUGCCCUUUAGUAUUGUACCAUGACACGCCCAGAUAUAGCUUUUGCAGUAAAUAAAGUGUGUCAAUUCAUGCACCAUCCCUCUGAUGUUCACUGGCAGGCUAUAAAACGUAUUCUCCAGUACUUAAAGGGCACAUCUCAUUUUGGUCUCUUCCUACAGCCUUCCUAUGACUUCAACAUCACUUGCUAUACAGAUGCCGACUGGGCUUCCUGCCUUGAUGACAAGUGUAGCACCAGUGGCUACUGCCUCUUUCUUGCCUCUAAUCUGGUUUCUUGGUCAUCUUCCAAACAAAAAGUGGUCUCCCGCUCCAGCGCCAAAUCAGAGUACCGAGGGGUAGCAAAUGGGGCUGCUGAAAUUGCUUGGACUGAAUCUCUUCUUUGUGAACUUUCCACCCACUCGACCUCCCCUCAUUGUCUGUGACAAUAUCAGUGCCACAUACUUAGCUGUCAAUCCUAUUUUGCAUGCCCGCACCAAAACAUGUGGAAAUCGACUAUCACUUUGUCUCGGAACGUGUUCUUCAACGCUCUCUCUCUCUCCAGUUUACACCUUCGGAUGAUCAACUUGCUGAUUGCAUGACCAAGCCUCUCUCCACCCAACGUUUCAUCACUCUACGCUCCAAGCUCACUGUUCUCACUAGACCAAUGAGCUUGAGGGGGGAUGUUAAGCCUAAAGAUGUAAUUAGUUAGGAUAUUCUUUUCCCUCUAGUCUUGUAGCUCCACGUGUACAGUUGGUUAGGACCUCAUUGUAUAUAAUGCCUGCCCUGUUAUUGUAGAAGACAACAGAGAUAAAUAAUAUUAACAUUUUUCCUCUCAUCUCUCUCUCUGUUUCCCUCUGUUUUCAUCUCCUCUCUCAUCUGAACCAAAUGAUCCAUGUUAACCUUGGCUUGGUUUGAUUUGGCUCUAUCUUAGAGAGCUCAAGGAUCACGUCAACUCUGGUUUCUACUAUUCAGGUCCAUUCCCAUAUGAACUGGUUCAAAUUUGAGAAAAUGGUAACAGACCUUUAGUGAUGUUGGUUUGGAGCCAGUUGCCAAACCCGCCCUGAGCUUUACCACUAAUGUCAAGGGAGAAAGCCUUUUGAACAAAAACAAUAGCUUCAAGAGACUGAAUCGUGGAUGAAAUCUGAUCCACAUUUCUUCUCAUUUUGGAAACAAAUGAGAACUUAACUAAGAAGAUUCUACGGCCUCAUAGUGCUUUUCCUGAUCUAAGGUUGGUUCGUUUCCCAAAUUGUGAGAUGCACGGGCCAGACUUCAGAACUCUCACGCUCAGGAGUGUAUCCACGUGGUGGACAUAAGAUGGUGGCUUAAGAUCUGGUGUCGGUGGCUUUACUUUACUAGGAGAGUAGUGUGUCUUCAUCUCAUUCACUGCCGGAGGGUGGCGUAAGCAGUGACGCUAAGGUGGGGCAUAGUCAAUAUCAUUUGCAUUUGACCAUUAUAGUUUUCUCCCGGCUUGAAAGUAACCUUAUCGUGAUAAAGGAUUACUAGCACUAGUUCAGAUGACAGUCAUGUUAAAUUCGGACCAUGUUUGUGUCACAUUAUCAGCAACCAUGUGUUUAUGGUUCAUGCUUUCUGCAACUGAAAUUGAAAUUGAUAUAUAACCAGGUGAACUUCAAUCUAAAUUCUGGAAGUACUCAUGUGAGCGAUGGUGCCCAUCUGCAGAGUCCAUCAAUUGAAAAAUGGAGUGAGUGUAUCUAUAAGAGGGAAGGCUUGGCAAAUGUCCAGUUUUCUGGGAAUUCAACAAGGAUCUAAAAUAGAUUGUUUUCUUUGCUGAUUUCAAUGGUUGAAAUUUGAGAAGAUUGUGUCCCACAUAACACAACUAUUACUGGUCCUUCUGUUGCAAUUUAUCCUCUAAGGCUCUAGCAUGUCUUCCAAUUCCCACUUCCCUGUUACUCCAGGAAAGCUAUUUCUGUCAUUGUGAAGAAGAAAAGAGAAUGUAGAUAUCGAUGCUUUUAAGUGACUGGAGCAUUCAUAUCAGGUGGUCUGCAGCCAUAUAUGCCACUUUGUGAAGAUUGGAACAGUCAAUCACUAGGCUAUAUAUUAGUGUGGCCCAGCCACUUUAAUCAAGGACAAUUCUUCAUACUUAAAAGUCAAAUUCUGCCUUUAGUCUCAUUAUAAAUUGCUGUUUAAAUAUUAAGCAAACAUUUGUUUAAUGCGAUUAAGACAGUACUAACUCAAUACUUGUUCUAUUUUUGGAUGGAAAUGCUUGAUGGUUUCAUCAUUGGAUGGGAUAAAGGUGCAUUCAUGAUUAUGAAUACUUGUAGUUAUAUUUUCAUUCUCUUUUUUCUCAAUGAGACUUGUUGGCACAAUUUUUCUGUUCAGAAACCUACCUCUCCAUGGAAAAUAAGUUGUGAUUGAUAGUACUGGAUAUAUUCAAGAAAGCUAAAUAUAGAUAGCACAAAAUAUUAUCGACAUAAAUAGCAUUAACAGCGUACGUAUGUCUCAGUGCUCAUCAGCCAUAAGCAUGGGGCAAACACUUACGAUGAGCAACUUACGUCAAAAUUCCAGAAUAGGACAUAGAAGUGACAGAUCUAUAUAUAUAGAACACUGCAUAAGAGUCACAAGAAAGGAAAUUACGGGUGCAUAGCAGCUCUUAUUUCACAUACUACUCAUACUGAUCAAAGUCACUCAGUUGGGAUGGGUGGGAGUAGGAGGUUUGUGGGGUGGCUUGUGCGGAGGAGUUGGCAGCUUCUUUCCAGGACCUGGUGGCUUCUCUCCCUUAGGUGGUUUGCCAACUGGGGUUGGUGGCUUGUAUGAGUCUUCAGCAUUCUCUGCAGGAGGGUGACCAGGGUUGUGACCAUAAUGUGGUGGCUUCUCUCCCUUAGGUGGUUUGCCAACUGGGGUUGGUGGCUUGUGUUCUGGGAGUGGCUUCUCCCCCUUGGGAGGUUUUUCCAAUGGGGUUGGUUUGUGUUCAGGAGGUGGCUUCUCCACUGGAGGCUUGUGUUCAGGAGGUGGCUUCUCCACCGGAGGCUUGUGUUCAGGAGGUGGCUUCUCCACCGGAGGCUUAUGCUCUGGUGGUGGCUUCUCCACCGGAGGCUUAUGCUCUGGUGGUGGCUUCUCGAAUGGGGGAUGCUUAGGGUAAUCAGCAAGUGAGGGGGCGGUGAGAACCACCAGGCCAAGCAAGACCACUAGCAAGUAUGUAGGAGACAUCUUUGGGUUUAGACUCAGAUGGUGCAAAACUAGGAGAAUUGUCUUUUAUAGCGGAUCGCACCCAAUAAUGAAAUGACACGUGUCUUUAUGACCCAUGUGUAAUGGGGUCGAUUUGGGUCCUACAGUGUUGAAAACUUCGACAUCCACUUUUGGCCUUUUGCUUUCUCUACAGCCGCCUUGCUUUUUCCCUCUUUCCUUUUGUUUUCCUCCUGCCCCAUUCUAUCAACUAAACACAAUUAUGUAGUUGUUUAAUUCUUAAAUGAGAUAUUAUCCGUCAAUCGUAUCAUAUUUUAUCAACAGAGAACGGAGUGCAAUGUGGCAAUCCAAAGAAAGAAGAUCCAUAAUGCAGCUGUAAUUUUAUCGUUUACUUUUAUCUCUUGGACCACUGCAUUUUUGUUAAGAGGUGCAAUAAUACACGUCUUUAUCUGCCAUUCAAUGUUUACAGUAAAGAGAGGGCACAAAACUCUUCACUGCUCUGCAUGUGUCCCAAAAAUGCAAUUGGACAAAUUAUGAUUUGCAUGCUAAAAAGAGGCAAAUGAGGUUAAUUCGCACCAUAAUUAUUUUGUUUUCUGGACCCCGGGGCCCUUUGGUUGGUUUGGGGGUCAGAAAAUGAACAUCAUAGGGGGUUUUUCCCUUAUGUGCAUUUGUAUCUGAUGGCUUUAACUCGCCUUGUUACUACAAAGAAAUUGUCACAUAUAGGAACUUAUUCCAGGCUGAGUAUCUCCGCAUAGACCCUAUAAAAGAAGACAAGUCAUAAUGAACAUCUAACCUUUGUUCAAUUUGAUUCAAUGCCCCAUUGUGUCCACCUCACAAAUCUGAAUUAUUAUAUCCAUUGAAUACAUAAAUUAAUGAAGAAAAUAUGAAACCCAAGAUACAUCUCUGCACAACCUCAACCCUGGUUGCUAUGUUUCCCUUCUAUUCACAUGAGGAUAUUGAUUACGGAAUAGGGAAACCUAGCAAGGGUUUACUCGGCUCUGGUUUGAUGCUAAUUGCCAAACUUGCAACAAGCCCUGAGUUUGAAGCUCACAGAAGAUGUUAUACAGGCAGGGAAAAACCUUCAGAGUUCGCUGCCAAAGAUAAUUAUUAAGGAGAUAUCACCAAGAGAAUUCCAAGGAGUCUGAAUCAAAGACAAAUUGGUCGUUCGUGGAGGUUCUUACUUUCUUUUGGGUAUAACUCACUGAGGGCACUGUCUUUUUUAUUUUCAUUUCACAUUUAGAGUUCUGUUCUGGAAACAUAUAAAAGGAGCAUCAGUUUGUUCUUGGGUAACCCAUAGUCGUGAGUGGGUCCAUUUGCAUGCUACUUAGUUGAAAAGUUGGACCAUUUGCUCCGACGCCUACCUCCUGGAUUCCAUGCUCGGAUAAAACAAGAAUAAAAAAAUAUUUAUAAUUUACAAAUGGGGGAAAGAAAAAAAUGUCAACAACAAACUAGGAAAAAAGAGUAGUAAAAUUCAUGUCACAUGCUAGUGAGAGAAGGGGUUGUUACACUCACUCGAAGUUCUUUUCAAAAUAUCGCAUGGUAUUUUAUUUUAUGUGUGAGCGCAGUUGUGAAUGGAACGUGCAAAAGUCCAAAUUGGUGACCUUUAAUAAAUAUUUAAAACAAAAAACGAAAAAAAGGAGGGAAAAGGGAUCAGAAAAGAUAAAACAAUGUGUACAAAAGCUCAAUUAGUUUGCAAAUUACUGUUUGGAUUUUGAUAGUAUUUUAUUUGAUGUAAAAGAGAAUUUAAGAUAUUUCCGAAACAAAAGCAUUAGUUUGCUCCAUGUCAAUUUCGGCAUUUCUCAUAUGUUUCACACAUACACAGAAGAGCAUCGUUUUUUAAAGCAUGCAUUUAUGUUGGAUUAAUUUGGAUUUUGUGGGAACUGGGGCAAGGAUCACAUGGAAGAGAGGUUGACUUUUUUCAGUACUUCAAUGGUUGAGACAGGUGAAGGCCUGAUUGAUACUGAAGCCUGAAAUUGCGACUCCGUCAUUUGUCAAAACAUAUGACAGCUUCCAUGCUCUCGUUUGGUUGCAUUGUUCUGUGGUCAUGCAUACAUGCCACUUAGUGAUCAGUCUGUAACUGUCAAUCAUUGGGCUUUGACUGAACAACAUCAGCCAUGUAUAAAUACUUGCAAAUCAAACGGUCUUCUUCCUCCCAUAAGGAAUUUCGGUUUAAUUAUGAAGCAUGCAUUUGGCUGACCAUCAUAAACCACUUCUUUAAAUUGAUGAAUGAUAGUUUUUCAUUCAUUCUUUCAUUCGUUCAUAUACAGAGUAUAUAUAGAGGGUAAUCAUCAUUCUAAGAAUGGGAAAGAAUGAUACAAGGAAAUAAUGAUAUAAAGAAAUAACAACUAAUAUUCUAAUAUCUCAACUUUCCUAAUAUCUAAACAUUCCUAAUAUCUCAACACUAAAUGAUAUAAAGAAAGAAUGAUAUAAGGAAAGCAUUCCUAAUAUCUCAACACUCCUCCUCAAGUUGGUGCAUAGAUGUCAAACAUGUCCAACUUGUCUAAAAAUUUUGAGAACAGUUGACUUGAGACAUCUUUGGUGAGGAUAUCGGUCAAUUGAUCUUCUGAUCGAAUCUUAGGCAAUUCCACAAUCUUAUCAUCCAACUUUUCCUUAAUGAAAAAUCUAUCCAUCUCGACAUGCUUUGUACGAUCAUGUUGUACUAGAUUAUGAGCAAUGUCACAUGCUGCUUUAUUGUCACAAAACAAUCGGAUUGGUUGCCUAGAUAGGUAACCUAAAUCCUAUAAGAGGAGUCUUAGCCAUAAUGCCUCACAAAGUCCUAAAGUCAUACCUCUAAAUUCCGCUUCUGCACUUGAACGAGCGACGACAUUUUGCUUCUUACUUUUCCAUGUCACAAGAUUACCACCUACAAAGGUAAAGUAACCAGAUGUAGAUCGCCUAUCAUCCACUGCACCGACCCAAACAGCAUUAUACUUCUAUACUCUGAUGAUCAACAUUUUUAGCGAACAAAAUUCCCUUCCUAGGAGCAUUCUUCAAAUACCUCAAAAUACGCAUGACUACAUUCAUAUGUUGCUCUCCAGGAUUAUGCAUGUAUUGACUCACUACACUCAAUGUAUAAGCAAGAUCUAGUCUUGUAUGAGCUAAGUACAUUAAUCUCCCCACAAGUCUCUGGUAUCUUCCCUUAUCGAUUGAUACUUGAUUAGGCUCAACACACAAUUUCAGACCUUCUUCUAUUGGUGUAUUAAUAGGUUGACAUCCCGACAUUCCAGUUUCCUGUAGAAGAUCUAAGGCAUACUUUCUUUGAGACAGAAAAAUUCCUUCACUUGAUCGAGAAACUUCAAUCCCAAGAAAGUAUUUCAGACGACCAAGAUCUUUCAUUUCAAAUUCUCUAGAUAGAUACUUUUGCAAAGCUUUUCUUUCUUCAGGAUCAUUUCCUGUAACUACAUGUCAUCCACAUAUAUCAUAAGUGUCGUAAUCUUACCAUGUUGCUUUUUCAAGAACAAAGUGUGAUUUGAAUUACUUUGAUGAUAGCCAAAAGCUCUCAUUGAUUUUGUGAACCUUCCAAACCAUGCUCUCGGGGAUUGCUUCAACCCAUACAAUGACUUCUUCAAUUCGCACACCUUCUGACAUUGCUUUUCUGACACCAUGCAUCCUGGUGGAAGAUCCAUAUAUACUUCUUCAGAUAAAUCGCCAUGCAGAAAGACAUUUUUUACAUCGAACUAUUGUAAUGGCCAAUCUAGGUUUGCAGCUAAAGACAAUAAUACUCGAACUGUGUUGAUCUUAGCUACAGGUGCAAAUGUCUCUGUGUAGUCAAUUCCAUAAGUUUGAAUGUACCCACUAGUCUUGCUUUAAAUCGUUCAAUACUACCAUCUGCCUUGUACUUCACAGUAUAGAUCCAACGACACCCAACUAGCUUCUUUCCUGGUGGACAUUCUACGAGUUCCCAUGUUUCAUUUUUCUGCAAUGAUUUCAUCUCUUCAUUCAUGGUUGCUUUCCACUUUGGAUCAGCUAAAGCUUCCUGCACACUAUUAGGAAUAGCUACAGUAGAUAAUUGAUUUACAAAUGACUUAUUUGAUUCAGACAAACCAUGGUGUGGACCCGCAUUUUUCACGUGCGCCUCUACUCGAUCGGCGAGACUCGCUUUCUAUUUGUGAAAAAUUAAUUUUAGAAAAGUUGGAGUCGCCACCUAUUUUAUUUUUAUUUUGAAGGGAAAAUAAAACAAGAAAGAAAAACCCUAAAAAGUGACUCCAUAGUUUUGGAAAAAGCAUGUCUUUGGGAAACCUGAGUCUAGGUCCGGGGAUCAUGUUACUUAUUGGGAAGGUACCUCUAGGAGGUAGCACCCCUCUAAGCCUUAUGAAGGUCUCUACUAACUAAAUUAAGGGAAGUGUGGCAAUAAAUCGAUUGAUCAUAGAUACCUAAGUAGACUAGGUGAUUUUAAAGUGUGGCAUGUCAAACACAAUCAAAUUGCAAUAAAGGAGAGUUAGGGCGCGUACCUGAACCGCUUCUCAAGCGCUAUCAUAAAACAUCAAUGGUUAAUUUAAAUAAUAUAUCAUCCAGCAUGUAUUUUAUUAGAAAUAAUCAAACAAUGAAACAUGUAUAUCAGAACACUCAAGCAUUAUUAGACAUAAGCAUUAUUUCACUAUUCACAGAAUUCAGAAAGUAGGUGAUAGAGGACAUACCUGGAUAGCAUAGAUAAUUUGUAAUGUGCUUCCUCAAGUUGUAAGGGGUUAGAUAACAAAUAAUAAAAUAUAGAAAUCCUAGCAUGCUCGUUAUCUAAUUAGCAUAGCAAAAGUGAUCACAGUAUACAGAAUCAUCAAUUAUCACAUACAUCUUGUAUAUAAUUCCUAAAAAAAAUAGAUAGACAUGAUUUCAACAAGUGUCAAAUGUGGCAACAAAAAUAAAUUUUGAAAAGAUUUUCUUAUGUAGGGGUUUCACCAAUUCCCCAAAUUAAUAUACACGAAUUUAGCUUAGAAUUAUCCCAUUUAUUUGGGACUACAAGCUUUGAUUCGUGUUUUUGUUCAAAACCAAAAAUUUUUGUUGAAAAUCAAGAAGGAUGCGAACCGAACAAGAUAUGGUUGCAUAUUAUUUUUAAAUAAAUAAAUAAAUAAAUAAAGGAGAUUUUGAUCCUGAGGACUUUAAUGAGUUUUUUUUUUUAAAAUAGAUUUUUAAAAUGAUUUUUUUGAGAAAAGUAUUUUAUUUUAAAAUAAAAGGGAUUAAUUUGGGAAAAAAAUAAAAUAUAAGAAAUAAAAUACCAAACAAAACAAAAAUGAAACCUCAAAGUAAAAUUUUUUUAGUAAUUAACAAAAAUGAUAAUGGUGAUGGUAGAGGGCAAUCUUCAUGAUUUUCCAAUGGCCUCAGAAAGAAAAUCAAAUUAAAUGAAGGAUCACUAACAGGCAAGACAUUCUAAAUUAGACAAACUAACAAAGUAUCAAUUCAUGAACUAACCGCUAGGAUUUUGAAAGCAUAUAAGCUAAGAUAAGGGUGAUCAGGAACUAAUAUUAAUGAUUUUGAAAUAAAAACUAAAAAAAAGGAUCAAUUCGGGUAAGGAACUAAAAUUAUAAAAGUACCUAAACUAAUUAUGACGAGUUUGACUAAAUUAAACUAAAAACAUGAACUUUCAAACAUAGAAUUAAUUUUACUAAUGAACCAAAGCAAACUAAAAAUAUGUACUUUCAAGCAUAGAAUUAAUUUUAUUGAUGAACUAAACUAUAACAAAUAUCUAAACUAAAUAUAAUGAAUCAAAUUAAAUUAAAGCAACUUAAAAACGCAAACUUUCAAACAUAGAAUCAAUUUUAUCAAUGAAUUAAAACUAUAAAUGUAUUUGAACUAAAUAGAUGAAUCAAACUAAAUCAGAGCAAAAUUAAAAAAAAAAAAGAACUUUCUAACAUGAAAUCAAUUUUAUCAACAAAUAAAUGAAUGAAUAACAAGUAAUUAAAAGAAUAGCUACUACAUGAAUAACUGAAUGAAUAAAAUUCAAAUGUUUUCAAUCUGAAGCAAUCAAUCAAAAUUAAAUAGGGAUCAAAUCAAAAUAAUCGAAAUCGGAAAAACAAUAUGCAAUCUUUCUAAAGGUUUAACCAGACAAUUGAAUUAAAAUUAUGAAUAGAAUAAAUUAAUAAACCAAAUCGAAACCUAAAUUGUACCUAAAAAGAUUAAUUAAUUAAACUAAGAAAUCAAAAUCAAUAACAAAACUAAACUAAGGAGUAAAUUAAGACAAGACUAAUUAAAUUAAACUCACAAACACGUUUUAACUAUCAUAUGGAUUAAAACAAAAUUAGCAUGGACUUAUGAAUUACGAACAAAAAUAAUCAAAACUAUUUUAAAAAACUCACCUCUAUUAUAAGAAAAAAUCUGCCUUUGAUGCGUUGAGGUGGCUCCCCUCUCUGUGUGGAUCUCUCUGCUCCCCAGAAAAAAAAUGUCUCUUCCUCCGUUCUCUUUUGUUUCAGCAAAAUAAUAUAUCCCCUGCUGUGGAUCUCUCUACUCCCAGAAAAUAAUAUAUUCUCUCCGUGUCCUAAAGUGGACCUAGGGUGCCUAAGUGGACCUAGGGUGCCUAAAUGGGCCUAGGGUGCCUAAAUGGGCCAAGUGUAUCUAAAUAGGCUUAGGGUGCCUAAGUGGGCCUAAGUCUAAGUGAGCCUAAGUCUAAAUCAAGACUACCAAGGAUCAUAAUAAGGGGUUAGGCAAUCCCUUAACCAAAGUCUCCAAGGUGGCUAAAAAAAAGUAAGUAGUAUGAGUAGCUAUGGGUCACCAAGGAACUACUGUGGAGCAUUGAAAACGAAUUUAAAGACAUGUGCCAAAGGGACAAAAUUGAGGGUCUACAGAUGGUUAGACACAUAGUUGCUCAUGGGAUAUUUGACUUUGGUAAACAAUUCAGAUUCAUAUGUGGGUUUAGGAAUACCUUUAUUAUGACGGUGUGGUAAUCGUUUCAUGAAUGGAUCAGGUUGCAAAUUAAGAACACCCUCAGCAAACAACGAUUGGUUUGGUAUUUCAGUGAAGACAUCUUCGAACCCAAAUUGUUGACCACUCAUAUCCAACUCACCCGCUUCCUGGUUCACUAGUUCAGAUUGUCCAAAUUCAUCAUUCUCAUAGAUAUGAUAAUCAUAAUCGAGAGUCUGAAUUUCCUUAUGGUACUCCCCCUGAAGUUCAGACUUAGAUGAAAAAUACAUCGAAUAUUCAUGAAACAGCNNNNNNNNNNNNNNNNNNNNNNNNNNNNNNNNNNNNNNNNNNNNNNNNNNNNNNNNNNNNNNNNNNNNNNNNNNNNNNNNNNNNNNNNNNNNNNNNNNNNNNNNNNNNNNNNNNNNNNNNNNNNNNNNNNNNNNNNNNNNNNNNNNNNNNNNNNNNNNNNNNNNNNNNNNNNNNNNNNNNNNNNNNNNNNNNNNNNNNNNNNNNNNNNNNNNNNNNNNNNNNNNNNNNNNNNNNNNNNNNNNNNNNNNNNNNNNNNNNNNNNNNNNNNNNNNNNNNNNNNNNNNNNNNNNNNNNNNNNNNNNNNNNNNNNNNNNNNNNNNNNNNNNNNNNNNNNNNNNNNNNNNNNNNNNNNNNNNNNNNNNNNNNNNNNNNNNNNNNNNNNNNNNNNNNNNNNNNNNNNNNNNNNNNNNNNNNNNNNNNNNNNNNNNNNNNNNNNNNNNNNNNNNNNNNNNNNNNNNNNNNNNNNNNNNNNNNNNNNNNNNNNNNNNNNNNNNNNNNNNNNNNNNNNNNNNNNNNNNNNNNNNNNNNNNNNNNNNNNNNNNNNNNNNNNNNNNNNNNNNNNNNNNNNNNNNNNNNNNNNNNNNNNNNNNNNNNNNNNNNNNNNNNNNNNNNNNNNNNNNNNNNNNNNNNNNNNNNNNNNNNNNNNNNNNNNNNNNNNNNNNNNNNNNNNNNNNNNNNNNNNNNNNNNNNNNNNNNNNNNNNNNNNNNNNNNNNNNNNNNNNNNNNNNNNNNNNNNNNNNNNNNNNNNNNNNNNNNNNNNNNNNNNNNNNNNNNNNNNNNNNNNNNNNNNNNNNNNNNNNNNNNNNNNNNNNNNNNNNNNNNNNNNNNNNNNNNNNNNNNNNNNNNNNNNNNNNNNNNNNNNNNNNNNNNNNNNNNNNNNNNNNNNNNNNNNNNNNNNNNNNNNNNNNNNNNNNNNNNNNNNNNNNNNNNNNNNNNNNNNNNNNNNNNNNNNNNNNNNNNNNNNNNNNNNNNNNNNNNNNNNNNNNNNNNNNNNNNNNNNNNNNNNNNNNNNNNNNNNNNNNNNNNNNNNNNNNNNNNNNNNNNNNNNNNNNNNNNNNNNNNNNNNNNNNNNNNNNNNNNNNNNNNNNNNNNNNNNNNNNNNNNNNNNNNNNNNNNNNNNNNNNNNNNNNNNNNNNNNNNNNNNNNNNNNNNNNNNNNNNNNNNNNNNNNNNNNNNNNNNNNNNNNNNNNNNNNNNNNNNNNNNNNNNNNNNNNNNNNNNNNNNNNNNNNNNNNNNNNNNNNNNNNNNNNNNNNNNNNNNNNNNNNNNNNNNNNNNNNNNNNNNNNNNNNNNNNNNNNNNNNNNNNNNNNNNNNNNNNNNNNNNNNNNNNNNNNNNNNNNNNNNNNNNNNNNNNNNNNNNNNNNNNNNNNNNNNNNNNNNNNNNNNNNNNNNNNNNNNNNNNNNNNNNNNNNNNNNNNNNNNNNNNNNNNNNNNNNNNNNNNNNNNNNNNNNNNNNNNNNNNNNNNNNNNNNNNNNNNNNNNNNNNNNNNNNNNNNNNNNNNNNNNNNNNNNNNNNNAACCAAAGGAAGCAUGUUCCAGACGUCGAUGCCACAACCAAAUUUCAGACUUUUUCUUCUCCUCCUUAGAUCCAUCUGCCAUCAAGGCUUGUUGCAACUUAUUUGAAUCCUUUGAUUGCAAGUCCAAGUAUAGAGUUUCCCCCGCUUAAUACGACAACCAAUCGUCUGUCUUGUUUGAAUGUCCUUAAUCACACAAAAUUCAGGCCAAAAAAUGACAAUACAAGAUAAGGCUGCAGUGAUUUGAGAAACUAACAAAAGAUUGUAAUCUAAAGAUGGAACAACUAAAACAGAAUCCAAAUUCAAAGUAUCAGUAAGAGUUAAGGAUCCUUCCCCAAUGACUGGGGUUGUGUUACCAUUGGCUGUGGAAACAAUUUUUUGUGAGGAAGGUCUAAGGGGUGAAACCUGUCUAGAAUCAAAAGUCAUAUGAUCUGUAGCACCAGAAUCAAUUAUCCAUGCACUAUUAAUAACAGGUGUAAAAGUAUUUAAAAACUUACCACAAUGAUCUGUAGCGGCUACUAAUGCAGAGACUUUCUCAACAACAUUAGUCUUUGUUUUUAUUUCGGUAACAGUUGCAAUCAAGGUUUUCUUGGAAUUCUUCUUCCGUUGAUCACGAUUAUUAUCAUUAAUAACAAAGUGUUGAUAGCCUAAACAUGAUCUAAAGGUCCAUGGUGCAAACCCUCGGUUCCUCAUUGUUUUCCUGGUCAUACCAAGAGUUGUUGCUUUGAAAUUGUGGGAUAUCCAGACUGGUGGGAUCAGUUUUAUUGCAGUGAGUGCAUUUGAAUGUUGACUUAUCAAUAUUAGGGCUUGUCUUCGGAUGGUUGAUUGCUGUUGGACUACCAUAGCGACAAAAUAUCCAGGAUUUCAAUUCCAGGGCUCUGAUACCAUCUUCAAAUUGAUGAAUGAUAGUUUUUCAUUCAUUCUUUCAUGUACAGAGUAUAUAUAGAGGGUAAUCACCAUUCUAAGAAUGGGAAAGAAUGAUACGAGGAAAUAAUGAUAUAAGGAAAUAAUAACUAAUAUCCUAAUAUCUCAACUUUCCUAAUAUCUCAAUAUUCCUAAUAUCUCAACUUUCCUAAUAUCUAAACAUUCAUAAUAUCUCAACACUAAAUGAUACAAGGAAAGAAUGAUAUAAGGAAAACAUUCCUAAUAUCUCAACACCACUUCAUGAUAUAUAUAGUUUCUUACCCUUAAUCAAUGGUUUCUAAGUGAAUUUAUAUAGAAAGAAAUCCAAACUGUAGACAGCAGUAUUGGUAACACUCAAUAUUCUGUAUAUAAUAGAAUAAAUAGCGUCACAGUGAUCGUCGCCUACAAGCAAGGUACAAAUACCACAAAGAGUGACCCACAUAGACAUUCCCCAACAAGAUGUAGUAGUGACUGACACAUAGCCACAAUUAACACGUAGAAAAGGAUAAGACCGGUGCACAGUAGCUCUUAUUUUACAUACUACUUAUGCCAACCAAAGUCACUCAGUUGGGAUGGGAGGGAGAUGGAGGUUUGUGCGGUGGCUUGUGGGGCGGAGUUGAUGGCUUCUUUCCAGGAGCUUCUGGCUUUUUCAUCGGAGCUGAAGGAGGCUCAAUCUUAUGAGGCGGCUUGUACGAGUCUUCUUUGCUCUCGAAAGGAGGGUGGCCAGGGUUGUGACCAUAAUGUGGUGGUUUCUCUCCCUUGGGAGGUUUACCAAUUGGGGUUGGUGGCUUGUGUUCUGGGAGUGGUUUCUCUCCCUUGGGAGGUUUAGUGGGUGACUUGUGUUCUGGAGGUGGCUUCUCCACCGAAGGCUUGUGCUCCGGUGGUGGCUUUUUGGUUGGAGGGGGCUUGGGGUAAUCAGCAAGAGAUGGGGUGGUGAGAACCACCAGUCCAAGGAACAACACUAGCAAGUAUGUGGGAGACAUUUUUGAGUUUGGGCUGAUCAGAUGAUGCAAAACUAAAGCAUUACGUGACCUUUUAUAGCAAGUAGCUCCCAAUACCUACUUGACACGUGUUACUGUGACCCAUAAAUAUUAUGGGGUCUAUUUGUGCCCUACCGGGUUGAAAACUUGGACAAUUGGGCAAGGACCCGCCUGACUAUGGAGGACUACUGAGGUGUGAUCACAGCUUUAGGAUUUUUCUUCCUCUGCAGCCGUCUUGCCGUUGGCAUGAUUUUCUUAAUCUCAAAUAAAGGCAUAGUUAUAGAGUUGUUUAAUCUCUAAAUGGGAUUUUAUAUAUCUUCAGAUAGCCAUUAAUACAUUUGAUGAAGAAAGAAAGACAAGUGCAUACAACAUGUAUACGACUAGCUUUCAUGGAGUUCAUUUAUGAUCAGUUUUCCUGUACAUGUAAACCAAGAUCAUAUAUGUUUUUGUUCCACAACAAUUUUGGAAUCUUGUUUAUCCGUUUUUAUCAUUAUAAUGUCACAUAGGCUGCCAACUUGGGCGCUAAAUUAAAGAUCCAGUUGGGCAAGUUCGUUUCAGAAUUUCAAUGGUGGAUUCAGGAAUUGUUUUAUAAGAUAUGCAAAAUAGUAGAGGGAUGAAUAGUGUUUCAUUAAGAAAAGAGCCCUGUAAAAAUAUUGUUUAAAGGUGCCAUAGAAACUAUAAUCAAUAAAUAACUUUUUUUCCCCAUGGGUGGUGUUUCUUGUGGGGAUCAGUGACUGGUUUGAGUCAACGCCGUGUCUCUUUAGUCCAGAAAUCAACUAUUUUAUGCAUUGAAUACAUCAACAAAGAAAAUAUGAAAGCCAAAUGACACCUCCCCCGCAAAAACUAAACCCUGGUUGCUAACUUUCUAUGUUUCAGUUCCAUUCACACAAGAAUAUUAGUUCAAGUUUGAGAAAAAUGGCGACUUACCUAGUGAUAACUCGGUCUUGGUUUGCGAUUUGACUUUAACGUCAUGGGUUGAAGCCUCCUACAAUCAUCGUGUAUGCUAGUUCAAAGCUCGUGGAAGAAGUUAUACAGGGAGGGAGAAACCUCCACAGCAAGCUCCAAAAGAGAAUUAUCACAUUGAAAGCUCCAGUUGAACACUGGGUGAAAGCCAUAACAAGAUUGGUUUUCUAUCGCUCUUUUAAGUAAUGGAAGAUUAUUAUCUCUGCUUGUCACUACAACCGUGCAUGCUGCUAGAUCUUUCUAGACACUUCAAACAGUGAAACCAAGUAUGAUUCUUUUUCUCUUGAGUGGGUCCACUUGCAUGCCAAUGAACGAGUUGAAAAGUUGGACAAUUGGCCACAGCGCGCACUUACCUUCUGGAACCGAAGGUCAGUGAAGUGGGGUUCCUUUUGGCCCCUUGUGUUUCUGUUCCAACCUACUCCAGGAACCGAAGUUCAGUGAAGUGGGGCUACUUUUGGCCUCUUGUGUUUCUGUUCCAACCAAACAAAAAUGGGAGGGAAAAAUAGCAUUAUGCUUGUGCUAAAGAUCAACGCAUGAUAGCUGAAUAAGGGAGAAAAAGGCAUUGCUAUCUCAAUUUCAUAAACUUGAUAAGUAGUGACAUUAAUAGUCUUCCUCAUAGAUGGAUACAUGGUUUUAUUUUAUUUAUUUAUUUUUAUUUUUUUGUUUUAUGUCAAUGCUAAUGAAUGAAGUGCAUUAGCUUGUUUUGUGACUAGAACUACAAAUGUCCAAAUUGGAGCUUCUCCAAUAUAUUUCUCAGUGAGUUAUUGAUUAGAACUCUUGGAUUGAGUUCCAAGAUUUGAAUCAGACCCCUCUAGCAGCUUCAGGGGUACGUAGCAACCUAUAGCAUAUUAAUGAAGACUUAGGAUUUAGACUUAGGAAUACAAAUUAAUAUGUACCUCAUGCUCUGACUAGCUUCCCUGCGUAUGCACAAAAUGGAGAUGACUCCCAAAAAAAUAGCAGAAUCGCCUUAGUAUGUUUUUGUGGUUAAGAUGAUUCUCCACUUUAUAUAUCCACAUUGGUUCAUUAUGCAAAUUAAUCAACUAAGCUAUUUUUAUUUUUUCUUAAAUGUGAAAUAGGAGCUCCAAAUUAACCUAACCAUUGGCCUGAUUGAAUUGAUUUCACUUGCAUAAUGUUAUAGUAGAAGUCCGUAAUUUGAAUUUUAUUUUUGCAAAAGGUAACGUAAAUGAAGCAUUGUAAUUAAAUUUAUUUGUAAUUACAAACUAAUUUUAUUUUAUUAAGAAUUAAUUUAAUUACUCAUUUAAAAUAAAAAUCAGUUAUACUUUUACCAAGAUGAUAAUAUUCAUAUUUUUCUAGUUAACAUAUAUAAAAUAGUACACUUUUUCAUAUAAAAAAAUAAUUUAUGAUUUAUUAUAAUGUUACUAUUCACAUUUUACUAAAUUGAUGGUACAUGAUAGUGAGAGAAGGGGGUGUCACACUCAGCUAAAGUUCUUUUCAAAAUAUUGCAUGGUGUUUAAUUUUAUGUGUCGGCGCGCGUGUGAAUGGAACCUGCAAAAGUCCAAAUUGGCGUUUCUCCAUUUUCCACAUAGGAUGGUGACGUUAAUAGACAAAGAUACAAUAUCUGUAGACAUUGCUUAAAAAUCGAUGUGAAGUAUUAGAAAUUACAGGGCACUGUACUGGGGGAGCGGCUGCCCCGCCAAAGGAGGAAGAAUGUAGCAAUUUCUUCUGUUAGCCAGGCCUUAGGAUUUAUGCAUGGGAUGCCUAAUAACAAACAGAGAAAAUAUACUUUUGGGGAAGGUAUCCAACAACAGACACCAUCAUUCAGAUGGUGGGAAGGUAUCCAACAGAUGCCAUCAUUCAGAUGGUAACAUAUAUAUACAUUUAUUAGUGAGUUUUUUUAAUACCUAUAAAAAAAAAUAUACACUUUGAUAUUGUGGCUGAAUCCAUUACAUACUCAACUAACCUUGCUCAUUAGGGAUUUGACUUAACAAGGGCAACGUUGCAGUACAAGCUCAAAACUUUAUGCAGGUGACAUUACAUUUGGUAAAGAAGAGGAAAAUAACGAAAGCCAUCCAUAAAAGCAAAAUUCCACAUGGGAUGAAAUUCACAAGCUUCAUUUACGAUAGAGUCGCAUCCAGGCAAUUAAUUCCACAUUAGACCGCCUGUUGACAUGUGUACCAAUCUUUUUUCAAAAAAUAUUUAUAAAUAAUUGAUACUCACAAAAAUAAUUUAAUAUUUAUAAAGGAUAAAAAAAUAUUUUCAAAUCUAUAACAAUUUAUAAAAUAUUAAUAAAAAAUUAUCUCUUAAACUUAGUAUAGUUUUAUCAGAUUAAACUUUUAUUUUGAACAAAUAAUUUUAAUCUAAGUUUUAAAUUCUAAAAUUAUUUCCUUAAAAUAAAAUUUUAAAAUUCAACACUUCAAUUGAAAUUGUCUUUUUAAAAAAUAUCUUCUUAUUUUAAUCCUUAUAAACUAUAGUUGAUUGAAAAUACUAUUGAAGUUCUCUCUUAAAAAAAAGUCUUAUUUUAAUCUUCAUAAAUUGCCCUUGAUUUGAAAAUAAAUUUUCAGUUAUCAUAUUUUAAAUAAUAUCUAUAUUUAAAAUACUCUAUUUAAAAAAAAAUGAACUAAUUUUAAUUAUAUUAUAUUUUAUUUUUUUAUAUAUUUUUAAUGAUAAACCAAACAUAGAAAAUCAUUUUUCUAAAUAUUUUAAAAUUUCUAAGCAACCAAACAUAAUCUUCAAAAUAAAAGGAAAAUAAGGAGGGACAUUUGAGAAAUGGCGAUUAAAAAAAAGUGUACAAAAGCUCAAUUAAUUUUCUUCUAGUCUUUUAUAUAAAAAAGUAAAGGAAUUGAAAAGUAUUGAUAUGUAAAUUAAUAUUUGGAUUUUAAUAGUAUUUUAUUUGUCUUUCUCUAUCUCAUGUAAAAGAGAAUUUAAGAUAUUUCCUAAAGCAAAGCAUUAGUUAUCUGCAAUCAGUGGUGAUCAUGCCCCAUGUCAAUUUCGGACCCAUAUCUUAAAACUGUAUAAUUUGCAUUCAAACAUUACUGAUUUCUCAGAUGUUUCAUACUCCACAGAAGAGCAUUGUUUGUGAAAGCAUGCAUUUAUGUUGGAUUUUGGAUGAUGUGGGAACUGGGGCAAGGAUCAUAUGGAAGAGUGGUCGAUUUUGUUCUGUACUUUAACAUUUGAAAUAGGAGAAGCUCGGGCAUUUGUGGGGCUUAAUUGAUUUUGAAGCCUGAAAUUGCGUUUCUGUCAUUUUGUAAAAAAUAUGGCAGAUUCCAUGCUCUCAUAUGUUUGGUCUGUGGCCAUGUAUAGAUGCCCCUUAGUGACCAGUUUGUAACUGUCAAUCAUAGUGUUUUGACUCUGGCUCAACAACAUCAGCCAUUGACGGAUUUUCAUACUUGCAAAUCAAAUAGUCUUCUUCCUCCCUUAGGAAUUUCGGUUUAAAUGUUAUUAAGCAUACAUUUGGCUGACAAUUAUUAACCACUUCAUGAUAUGGUUUCUUACCCUUAAUCAAUGGUUUCUAAGUGAAUAUAUGCAGAAGGAAAUCUGAACUGUAGACAGCAGUAUUGAUAACUCUCAAUAUUCUUUAUAUAAGAGAAUAAACAACGUCAUAGUGAUCGUCGCCUACAAGAAAGGUACAUUUCCCAACAAGAUGUAGUUGUGACUGGUACAUGGACGCAAUUAACUCGUACAAAAGAAUAAGACCAGUGCACGGCAGCUCUUAUUUUACAUGCUAAUUAUGCUAACCAAAGUCACUCAGUUGGGAUGGGAGGGAGAUGGAGGUUUGUGCGGUGGCUUGUGGGGCGGAGUUGGUGGCUUCUUUUCAGGAGCUUGUGGCUUUUUCGGAGCUGAAGGAGGCUCAAUCUUAUGAGGCGGCUUGUACGAGUCUUCUUUACUCUCGACAGGAGGGUGGCCAGGGUUGUGACCAUAAUGUGGUGGCUUCUCUCCCUUAGGUGGCUUGCCAACUGGGGUUGGUGGCUUGUGUUCAGGAAGUGGUUUCUCUCCCUUGGGAGGUUUACCAAUUGGGGUUGGUGGCUUGUGUUCUGGGAGUGGUUUCUCUCCCUUGGGAGGUUUAGUGGGUGACUUGUGUUCUGGAGGUGGCUUCUCCACCGGAGGCUUGUGCUCCGGUGGUGGCUUCUCCACCGGAGGCUUGUGCUCCGGUGGUGGCUUCUUGAUUGGAGGGGGCUUGGGGUAAUCAGCAAGAGAUGGGAUGGUGAGAACCACCACUCCAAGGAACAACACUAGCAAGUAUGUGGGAGACAUUUCUGAGUUUGAGCUGAUCAGAUGAUGCAAAACUAGAAGAAUUACGGGACCUUUUAUAGCAAGUAUCUCCCAAUACCCACAUGACACGUGUUACUAUGACCAUAAAUAUUAUAGGGUCCAUUUGUGCCCUACCGGGUUGAAAACUUGGACGCUUGGCCGAGGACACACCUGACUAUGGAGGACUAUUGACGUGUGAUCACAGCUUUUGGAUUUUUCUUCCUGUGCAGCUGUCUAGCGGUUGGCAUUAUUUUCUUAAUCUUAAAUAAAGGCAUAGUUAUAGAGUUGUUUAAUCUCUAAAUGGGAUUUUAUAUAUCUUCAGAUAGCCAUUAAUAUAUUUGAUGAAGAAAGACAAGUGCAUACAACAUGUAUACGGCUUGCUUCAAUCGAGUACAUUUAUGAUCAGUUUUCCUGUGCAAGUAAACCAGUUUUUUGUUCCACAACUAUUUUGGAAUCUUGUUUAUCAGUUUCUAUCAUUAUAAUGUCACAUAGGCUGCAAACUUGGGCACCCAAAGAUCUAGGUGGGCAAAUUUGUUUCAGACUUUCAAUGGUGGAUUCAGUAAUUGUUAAAAGGUGUUUCUUCAUUAAGGAAAGAGUCCGGUAAAAAUAUUGUUAAAAGGUGUCAUAGAAACUAUAAUAAAUAAAUAACUUCUUUUCCCCAUGGGUGGUGUUUCUUCUGGGGAUCAGUGACUGGUUAGGGUCACCCAAAAUGAGUCCAGAUUAAAAUUGGUUCGAGUCAAAGCAGUCUCUUUUGUCCAGAAAUCAACUAUUUUGCGCAUUGAAUGAAUCGAUAAAGAAAAAAUGAAAGCCAAAUCACACCUCCCCUGCAAAACCUAAACCCCGGUUGCUAACUUUCUAUGUUUCAGUCCUAUUCAUAUAGGAAUAUUGGUUCAAGUUUGAGAAAAAUGGCAACUUACCUAGGGUUUACUUGGUUUUGGUUUGCGACUAUUUACGCAACCAACCAUGAGUUUGACUUUAACGUCAUGGGUUGAAGCCUCCUACAAUCAUGUAUGAUAGUUCAAAGCUCGUGGAAGAAAUUAUACAGGAAGGAAGAAACCUCCAAAGCUAGCUCCAAAAGAGAAUUAUCACAUCGAUAGCUCCAGAGAUUCCCAAGGGAACUGAAUCAAAGACAAGUUCCUCACUUUUUCUUCUUUUGAGGCCAAAUAUGAACCAAGGAUCACACGACCUCAUUCAACUUCAUAAGUUUGAUUUCAUGCAGUUGAACACUGGGUGAAGGCCAUGACAAGAAUUGAUUAAAAAAUUCUACCACUCUUUUAAGUAAUGGAAGAUUAUUAUCUCUGAUUGGCACCACAACAGCACAUGCUGCUAGAUCUUUCUAGACACUCCAUGCAAUGAAAGCACAAUGGAUCUUGUAAUGAUAGAAACUAAGCCAUGCUACAGUACUAGAUGAGGGGGUAAAACUAGUAGACAUCUUUCUAGACACUCCAUGCAAUGAAAGCACAAUGGAUCUUGUAAUGAUAGAAACUAAGCCAUGCUACAGUACUAGAUGAGGUGGUAAAACUAGUAGACAUGGCUGGCAGUUGAUUACUACUCAAAAAGUACUCUUUUAUAGCUUGAAACUAACUGUUUUAAACACUUUUGAGUAGUAGUUAAUACCUUUUAACUUAAUUGGCACAUUAAGGAACCUAGCAAGGGUUACUAAUCAACAUUUGGCAAGUUUUGAUGUUUUUGGUAGCUAUUUGAUCAUUGAAACAAGCCAAGAAUGAGGGGGAAUUUUGUGAAGUCCAUGGCAAUGCAAGUUAAAGCUCAAAUACAUGAAGAAUCCAAGCUUUGGAGCACUUCAUAGCCCUUUGCCAAGCCAAUCAAAGAUGCAAGGAAGAAAACCAAAGGAAGAAAUCCAACAAUCAGCAUUUUGGCAUGGCUAUGUGAAAUUUCGCACACCAUGCGAAACCACAAGAGGCAGCCAAAGAAUUUCGCAUGGUAUGCGAAAUCUUCUUGUGCACUGACUCUGUUAGAUUUUUAUCUUCAGAUAUUUUGUGUAAUUUCCUAGUUUCUCCUUGUAACCAACUUAGAUAUUUUCUUUUAUAUCUUUUUUUAUAUUUUUUAGGUAACAUCAUAUAUAAGAGGAGAGACAUAAGGAGGAUAUGGAUGUUUUUCAUAGAACACUUGUAAAUUUUUGGUAGUAAGAAAUAUACAAAGCUUUUUGCUCUGCCUUACCUUCUCAAGGGAUGAGUGGCUAGGUUUUCUUGGAGUGAGGGAAGCUAGGUGAAGGACCUGAAUGCAAAGGUGGGAGUUUUCCUUACUUUAAAUGAAAGUAGUUGUUAAACAUUAAUGGUUUUUAUUUUAAGGUUUAGCUUUAAAUCCCUGAAAAACACCUUGAAUGGCCAAUACUUGGUAAGCUUUUUAGAUUCUAUGGAUGCUUAUUGCUAGAUCCAUGGAUGUCUAUUAGUUAUCAUUUACGAGCCAUUGGAAGGUGAUUCAAGGUGAGGGUCUUUAGUGUUUGAAGCCAUUAAUGGGAAGCAAUUACCAUUUUUUCAUGAAUCCUUUGGAUCAAAUCUUAAUUGCUAAAUAUAAAACCGGUUUCGAGAGAUAACCACCAUCCUUUAUGUUAUUAUCCCCAACGCGAGGAGAAGAUCCGAAAUCUUCCUUUUUAUCUAAGGAACCCGAUCCUAGUGACCUAAAGCUCCAAGAUACCUUUUCUUUGUAGUUAACUUCAUUUAUUGUUUUUGCUUAACUUAAAAUCAAUCUUUGCAACCACAAUUCCAUUUUCUUUAAAAGCUAAUUUUUAUAAGGAAAAACACCAUUUUAUUUCCUUCACUAAGUCAACUGUACGAUGAAAACCCAUCCCUGUGGACGAUCCUAGAGCCACUAUACUAUGUUAGCUAUGCUACCCUAGUGUGAGGUGAUUUAGGUUUUAUAAAUUUUUUUGAUAACACCCAUCUGAGCCAGAAUCAAAUGGCACGACUGAACCAGGGACGAAUCAAAUGACGCCGCUACCAAGGAUGGUGCCAAAGUACAUUGACAUGACUUUUGGUGAACACUUGUGAUCUUCACCACAAGUUUGGUGAUUUUUCUUUUACUAAUUUUUUUUAUUUUAGCUUAUCUUUUAUUUAGUUUUUAGUUAACCUUAAAUUUUUCCUAGAAUUGUAUUUCUUUUGUUUUCUUUGUUUUUGUUUCAGUGAUCUUUAGUUGUGCAUGCCCUAUUGGAUAAGAGAUAUUGAGGGAAUACUUGUGAAGAUUGAAACUCCUCGAGAAACUGAGUUAGAAGUGUGCUUGAACAUCAUGGAUGUUCCACCUGAAGACCAGAAUAGCCAACAUGGUUAAGAGGAUAAUUUCAACACAUACCGAUCCAUGAGGAACCGCAUACAUCCACCUUGUAUGAGUGCACCGUCAGGCAUAAUGCCUCCCACUGAGCAGCUAGUAAUCUGACCUCACAUUGUGCCACUCCUACCUACUUUCCAUGGGAUGGAGAGUGAGAAUCCCUACUCGCAUAUUAAGGAAUUCGAGGAGGUUUGUAAUACAUUCCAAGAAGGAGGAGCUUCAAUUGACUUGAUGAGGCUCAAGCUAUUUCCUUUCACUUUGAAGGAUAAGGCCAAGAUUUGGCUUAAUUCUUUAAGGCCAAGAAGUAUCCAAACUUGGAUUGAUUUGUAAGCCGAGUUUCUUAAGAAGUUCUUCCCUACCCAUAGGACCAAUGGUUUGAAAAGGCAAAAUUUGAACUUCUCAGUUAAAGAGAAUGAGAAAUUCUAUGAGUGUUGGGAGAGCUACAUGGAAGCUAUUAACGUUUGUCCUCACCAUGGCUUUGACACAUGGCUCUUAGUGAGCUAUUUUUACAAUGGUAUGUCUUCUUCAAUGAAGCAACUCCUAGAAACUAUGUGUGGAGGAGACUUCAUGAGUAAGAAUCCGGAGGAAGCCAUGGACUUUUUGAGUUAUGUGGCUGAAGUUUCAAGAGGAUGGGAUGAACCAAAUGCUAGAGAGGUGGGAAGAAUGAAGUCUCAACCUAAUGCUAAGGGUGAGAUGUAUGUUUUGAAUGAAGACAUUGACAUGAAAGCAAAGGUUGCAGCUAUGGCAAGGAGAUUGGAAGAGCUAGAAAUGAAGAACAUACAAAAAGUGCAAGCCAUUUCUGAGACAUCAAUGAAAGCUAUGCCUUGUUCCAUUUGUCAAUCUUAUAAGCACCUAGUGGAGGAGUGUCCUACAAUUCCAGCAGUGAGAGAGAUGUUUGGUGAUCAAGCAAAUGUUAUUGAUCAAUUCAAGCCUAAUAACAAUGCUUCAUAUGGCAACACCUACAAUUCAAAUUGGAGGAACCAUUCAAAUUUCUCUUGGAAACGAAAGCCACCUCAAUACACACAACCUACUCAAGCACCUUAGCAAUCCUCGAAUCUUGAACAAGCUAUUGUGAACCUUAGCAAGGUUGUGGGAGACUUUGUGGGAGAUCAGAAGUCCAUCAAUGCUCAACUGAAUCGGAGAAUUGACAGUGUGGAGAGUACAUUGAACAAAAGGAUGGAUGAGAUGUAAAAUGAUCUGUCUCAAAAGAUAGACAAUGUCCAAUACGUAAUCUCAAGGCUUACCAACCUCAACACAGUGUAAGAGAAAGGAAAGUUUCCUUCUCAACCUCAUCAAAAUCCUAAGGGUAUCCAUGAAGUAGAGGCUCAAGAGGGAGAAUCUUCAAAGGUGAGGGAAGUCAAAGUAGUUAUCACCUUGAAGAGUGGUAAAGAGGUUGAUCAACCCACAUCCAAGCCAAAGCAUAAUGAAGAGAGUGUAGCAGAAAAAGAAAAGAGAGGAAAAUAAAGGAAUUAGAAUAGAGAAAAAUACAAAGAAAGAUGACCAUGAGUCUAGUGUGGAUGAAGAGCCCGAGAGGAUGGUGAUCAAGGAAGAUAUGAUGAAGAAACACAUGCCUCCACCUUUCCCCUAAGCUUUGCAUGACAAAAAAAGAACCAAUAAUACAUCAGAAAAUUUUGAAGUAUUGAGGCAAGUGAAGGUCAAUAUCCCUUUGCUAGACAUGAUCAAACAAGUGUCGACAUAUGAAAAAUUCUUGAAGGACUUGUGCACUGUAAAGAGAGGGUUGAAUGUGAACAAGAAAGCUUUAUUGACCGAGCAAGUGAGUUCCAUCAUACAGUGCAAGUCCUAGUGAAGUACAAAGAUCCGGGUUGCCGUACCAUCUCAGUGAGUAUUGGAAGGACUUGUGUGGAGAAAGCUUUGUUGGACUUGGGAGCAAGUGUGAAUUUGCUAUCCUACUCUGUCUAUAAGCAGUUGGGAUUUGGAGAGUUGAAGCCAAUAUCCAUCACUCUAUCUCUAGCGGAUAGAUCAAUGAAGAUUCCAAGAGGGAUGAUCGAAGAUGUCCUGGUUCAAGUUAACAAAUUCUACUAUCCAGUAGAUUUUGUUGUUCUUGAUAUGGAUCCGGUUGUCAAAUGAACUAAUUAUGUUCCUAUCAUACUUGGAAGACCCUUCCUAGCUACAUCAAAUGCAAUCAUCAAUUGUAGGAAUGGAGUCAUGCAACUCACAUUUGUCAACAUGACAUUAGAGCUCAACAUCUUCCAUUUGUACAAGAAGCAUAUCCAUCAGGAGGAAAAAGAAGGUCUAGAGGAAGUGUGAAUGAUUGACACUUUAGUGGAAGAGCAUUGUGAUCGAGAAUGCAAAAAGAUUUAGUUGAGAAUUUUGGGGAUCUUGAUGAAAGGUUACUUGAACCCUCAGAUUUGCUUGCUACCCUACUCCAUUGGAAGAGAAGAGAAGAAAUUCUACCCUUAUUCAAUGAGGAGGAGACGCAAAGAGCUGCAAAGGAGAAACCCCCAAAACUUAUUCUUAAGCCACUACCCACAGAGUUGAAGUAUGUAUACUUGGAAGAAGACAAGAAGUGCCCUAUUGUUAUAUCUUCAACUCUUACCAUUCAUCAGGAGGAUUGUCUACUUGAAGUCCUUAGAAGAUGUAAGAAGACAAUAAGGUGGCUAAUUUCUUAUUUGAAAGGGAUCAGCCCUUUAGUCUGCACCCAUCAUAUUUACAUGGAGGAUGAAGCUAAGCUAAUUCAUCAACCUCAGAGAAGGUUGAACCCUCACAUGCAAGAGGUGGUUCGAGCUGAAGUUCUGAAGCUACUUCAGACCAGUAUUAUUUACCCCAUAUCAAAUAGCCCAUGGGUGAGUCCUACUCAAGUUGCGCCAAAGAAGUCUGGGAUCAUGGUGGUGCAAAAUGAUAAGGGAGAAGAUGUCUCUACACGCCUCACUACAGGUUGGAGGGUGUGUAUCAAUUACAGGAGGUUGAAUGCAGUGAUAAGAAAGGACCAUUUCUCAUUGCCCUUUAUUGAUCAGGUGCUUGAGAGGGUCUCUGGGCUUUUUUUUUUAUUGUUUCUUGGAUGGCUACUCCGGGUACUUUCAGAUAGAAAUUGAUGUUGAAAACCAAGAUAAGACCAUUUUCACAUGCCCAUUUGGAACCUAUGCAUAAAGGAGAAUGCCUUUCGGCUUAUGCAAUGCACCCGCAACUUUCCAAAGAUGCAUGUUAAGCAUUUUCAGUGAUAUGGUGGAGCGUAUUAUGGAAGUCUUUAUGGAUGAUAUCACCAUUUAUGGAAGUGCAUUUGAUGAAUGCUUGGUCAACUUAGAAGCUGUUCUGAACCGAUACAUUGAGAAAGACUUAGUGCUUAACUGGGAGAAGUGCCAUUUCAUGGUACACCAAGGGAUUGUCCUUGGGCACAUUAUCUCCAAGCAAGGCAUUGAAGUUGACAAAGCAAAGGUUGAACUCAUUGUUAAGUUGCCAUCCUCAACAAAUGUCAAAGGAGUAAGGCAAUUCUUUGGCCAUGUCGGGUUCUAUAGGAGGUUUAUCAAGGAUUUCUCUAAGCUUGCAAGGCCUCUUUGUGAAAUAUUGGUGAAUGAUGUUAAAUUCAUAUGGGAUGAUGGAUUUGAAAGGAGUUUUGAAGAAUUGAAGCUAUUUUUGACAACCGUACCAAUAGUGAGGGCUCCCAACUGGCAACUGCCCUUUGAAGUAAUGUGUGAUGUCAAUGAUUUUGCUAUAGGAUUUUUUCUUGGGCAAAGAGAAAAUGGAAAACCUUAUGUGAUCUACUAUGCGAGGAAGGCAUUGAAUGAGGCACAAAGAAACUACACAACCACCGAGAAAGAAUUGUUAGCUGUAGUUUUUGCCUUGGAUAAGUUUCGCGCUUACUUGGUGGGGUCCUUCAUCAUGGUUUUUACUGAUCACUUUGCUUUGAAGUAUCUGUUGACUAAGCAAGAUGCUAAAGCAAGGCUGAUUAGAUGGAUUCUCUUACUUCAAGAGUUCAAUCUCCAUAUCAAAGAUAAGAAAGGAGUGGAGAAUGUGGUAGCAGACCACAUUUCAAGGCUAGCUAUCGCACAUAAUUCCCAUGCUUUGCCCAUUAAUGACGAUUUUCUAGAGGGGUCUCUCAUGUUGGUGGAAGUUGUCCCUUGGUACGCUCACAUUGCUAACUACCUGGUCACGGGAAAAGUUCCAAGUGAGUGGAAAGCACAAGAUAAGAAGCACUUCUUUGCAAAAAUUCAUGCCUACUAUUGGGAAGAGCCAUUUCUAUUCAAGUAUUGUAUGGAUCAGAUAAUAAGGAAGUGCGUUCCUGAAGAAGAGCAACAGGGGAUCCUUAGUCAUUACCAUGAAAAUGCAUGUGGAGGCCACUUUGCUUAUCAAAAGACAGCCAUGAGGGUGUUGCAAUCGGGUUUCUGUUGGCCAUCACUUUUCAAAGAUGCCCACACCAUGUGCAAGAGUUGUGAUCGAUGCCAGAGGCUUGGGAAGUUGACACGCAGGAACAUGAUGCCUUUGAACCCCACUUUAAUAGUUGAUAUUUUUUAUGUUUGGGGCACUAACUUCAUGGGACCUUUCCCUAUGUCUUUUGGCUACUCUUACAUCUUGGUAGGAGUAGAUUAUGUUUCUAAGUGGGUUGAGGCAGUCCCAUGCAAACACAAUGACCAUAGAGUGGUUCUCAAGUUUCUUAAAGAGAAUAUCUUCUCAAGAUUUGGGGUGCCCAAAGCCAUAAUUAGUGAUGGGGGUACUCAUUUUUGCAACAAGCCUUUUGAAACUCUCCUAGCCAAGUAUGGGGUGAAGCAUAAGGUAGCUACACCUUACCACCCUCAAACUCAUGGACAAGUUGAGUUAGCAAACAGGGAGAUUAAAAACAUAUUGAUGAAGGUGGUGAACACAAACAGAAAAGAUUGGUCAGUCAAGCUUCUUAAUUCACUAUGGGCAUAUAGAACAACUUACAAGACCAUUCUCGGGAUGUCUCCUUAUCGCCUAGUUUAUGGCAAAGCAUGCCAUCUCCCUGUGGAAUUGGAAUACAAAGCUUGGUGGGCAAUCAAGAAGCUCAACAUGGAUUUGAGCAGAGCUGGGUUGAAGAGGUUCUUAGACCUUAAUGAGAUGGAGAAAUUGAGAAAUGAUGCCUACAUCAAUUCAAAAAUUGCAAAAGAAAAAUUGAAGAGGUGGCAUGAUCAGUUGAUUUCCCGCAAGGAUUUUCAAAAUGGACAAAGAGUCUUACUUUAUGACUCUAAACUCCACAUCUUUCCGGGCAAGCUGAAAUCAAGGUGGAUAGGUCAUUUUACCAUUCACCAAGUGCAUUCAAAUGGAGUAGUGGAACUACUCAACUCCAACAAUAUCGAGAACUUCAAAGUGAAUGGCCACCGUCUCAAGCCCUUUGUGGAGUCUUUUUCUCACAACAAGGAGAAAUUCAUCCUCCUUGAUCCACAUCAAGCUUAACAAGACCAAUUUUCUUGAUGGACUUAGUCUUUCUAAAGACUAUCGAGUCCAUAACUUUUUGUUUUAUUUUUUAUUUGAGAUUUUUUCGGUAUUGUUACUUGUUUUGUUUUUUAUUUUUCGUUUUAAUUUUAUUUGGUUUGAUUUAACUUAGGUUUUUGAUGAUCAAUUACAGGGGGGAUUUCAAAUAGAGGAAAAACCAAGAUAAUUCGCACACCCUACGAAAAUUUCGCAAGGCAUGCGAAAUUUAUGGCUUAUUUUGCAUGGGGUGAAAAUUUUCGUACAUCUUACGAACCAAUUUCGAACACUUUGCGAAAAUAAACCAACCCUGCGAAAUCAUUUCGAUUACUCUACGAAAUUUUCGUAGAGCAUGCGAAAAAUUUAGCACACCAAACACCAUUUCGCAUACUAUGCAAAAACCUAAGGGGUCUGCGAAACCAUUUCGCACCUCCAAAUCCAUUUCGCACAUUGUGCGAAAACCAAGAGGCGCUGUGCGAAAAUGAAAAGUCGCCCUGUCAUCCCUUUUUAAACCCCUCGAGCCCUAAAAUCUCCAUUUCGCAAGCACCCCUGUCCUUGCGAAUCCCUCAUUUUCCUCUACUACCUUGCAACCUCGUCCCUUUCCAUUUGAUAUUGUGCCCCGCGCACAUCUCAUUUCAGAGACUCGCACUCCGCGCCCCCUCAAAGCAUGGACUCGAGACCCACCUUCCAUUUCCGACGUGGCACGGACCCAAGGAGCCCUUUCUGCCCCUUCACUAAGACACACACCAAGGCAGAAAGCCUCCUUUGCUCAAGUGCCUAGUGAUUCUCCAUCUUAGGCCUCAGAGGCCUCGGAGGCCCCGUGGAUUCCACCUUCCGAGGGUAGAGCAGCCAUUGGUCCUUCCUCUUCUACUCCUUAGCGUAGAUACGAGACGAGGAGACCACCUACUACACAAGGGGCGACUACUUCGAGCCUUGAGAAUUCAGUACGAUGCCUUCCUGCCAAGAGGGUCAAGACUUCAGGUCCAAGUGAGUCAUCCAGAGCUUCAUAGCCUAAGCCUCCUGUAGAUUCCAAGGUUCCUACUGACAUAUCACCGGAGUCUAUUAUCAGAAGCCCGAUGCUCAUAGCACCGCCCAUUGAGGGCAACUCAGAUUAUAGAGCGAGAUCUUUCCACUUGGAGCUAUAUUUUGAUCAGGAGGCCAUACGACAGCAGCCUGAGCUCCGAGACUCUUAUGGCUUACUGCAGAGGUACCAUCUUGAGGAACUUAUGACUCCUCGUGAGUUUUUUUAUCCCAGAGUAGCACUAAACUUUUACCAGUCCAUGACUACUCGUGGCGUCCCGAGUCCUACCACGAUUCACUUCACCAUUGAUAGACGUCAUGGUAUCCUCAAGGCCAGACAUAUUACAGAGGCUCUACAAAUUCCUUUCGAGCUAGAGGAUCCAUCUGUUUUUCGCUAAUGGUCCCCAGUAUCUCAGAGGGACAUGGUCCGUAUUUUAUCUAGGGGAACAUCUACAGAUUCGAUCUUUCUACGGAAGGAGCUUCGACCUGGGAUGCUCCUCUUAGAUGUGGUGCUAUGCUCCAACCUCUUUCCCUUACAACAUUCGGUACAUAGGUGAUGAGCUAUUUUGGACGCUUUAUUCCGUAUAUCAGAGGGCUUCUACUUUGGCCCGCACCACUUGAUCAUGGUCUCCCUCAUCCACUUUGAGGAGAAGGUUCAUAGGAAGAAGCUUCAGAGGGUGGACACCAUUCCAUUACUAUUCCUGAGGUUACUUUGCCAGGUCUUGGAGUACAUGGGCUUUCCUACUGAGCCUCGGCUCGAGCUUUGCCGCCUUUGUCGAGAGUGAUCCACUCUCGACAAAUGGAAUUAGUUGGCGGGCUAUUCUGCACCUCCAGGAGCCCCUCCCAUGGUAGCACCUCCAAUGUCCCCACAGGCAAAGUAGGGCGAGCUCCCGGCAAAGACUGUACCACCAAUGCCCACACUUGAGGCUAUUUCUGCUGCUCUGCCUAUGACUCCUACUGUUCCACCAGUUGGUCCUUUUACAUCCGAGCCUUCCAUCACCAUCUCGGCUUCGGAGUUUCGCGCCCUUGUGCAUACCUUUCAGACACUCACCACCACACAUACUCCUCUCUUCUAGCAAAUGGUUGAGAUGUGUGCCCAUCAGGACCGGAAGACUACUAUACUCUGCCAAAUUCAGCAGCACCUAAGACUUUUGCCUCAACCUCAACCUAACCAUCCCAUAUCAUCAGAGCCUCUAGCUCCAACUGAGGAUACUAUUCCACCUGAGAACACUACCACAGUAGAGGUCCGGUUUCCACCACCUUAAGAGGCCACCACAGCUACAUCAGAGGAUGUGUCAUCUCCACUUGAGGCUCCCACUACUUGAUCAUAGGACAUAUCUUUAUCUUAUUGUAUUUACAUAUUAUAUUACUAGAGAUUUGUCCUUGUUUUGAUACUUUAUAUUCUGGGAUUGGAUGUAUUGCCUGAUGAUAUCUCAAUUGUACUUUCUCAUAUUAAUAUAUAGACAUCAAUUUUUUUUAGUAUACUUAGCAUUUUUCUAUUUCCUCUACUCAUUACUCUUUUGUUUUUUUUUACUCAUGUGGUUUCUCUUAUACAACUCAGACUCCAUUUCACUCAGGAGGUACCACUUCCUCCCUUUAUUUUCAAUUGCUCUUGAAAUAUUGAGUGCAAUGUUGAUCUUGGUUGGGGGGAGAGUUGAGGAAGGAAGUUUUGUUAAUAAUGCUAGGUUAAUUUGUUAAUUUAGUUACUUUCUGCUUAAUUUUAAAAGUUUUCACUCUACUUUCCAUGGUUAUUAAGGAAAAAUUCUCAAAAUGAAAUGGGAGAAAUCGAAUUCUUGCAUUUUUACUUGAAUCUUAGAAUUUGUAUCAUGCUUAUUAAAGUUGAUGAAUUAUUGAAACUCCUAUUGAAUUCAACCUUAUUUUUUCCACUUUAAUCUUACCACACACGGUGCACAUUAGGUUCCAGUUAUAAGAUAAAAAACUAUCUCACCCCCUAAACUUAGAAAAAUUUACACUUGGUACCUUUGACAUCGUUUUAAUAGUGUUGGGACACCUUAUAAAAGGCCAAUGAGCCUUUAAAAAAAAAAAAAAAAAAAAAAAGAGAAAGAACAAAGUAUUGCACUUGCCUUGAAACCUGAGCAAGAUCCGAGGGGUAUACAGUGAAAGUCUUUAAAACCUGGUGCCCUAAGCCUUGAUUGGUUGGGAGUCACCGACCUCAAUGCUCGUUAUAAGGGUGAAUAGGUGGAGUUUAACAUAUUGUAGGUGCUUGGGUAUUGAAUUUCAAUCUCAAAAGUCCGGGAAAAAAUCUAAGGAGUUAGUGGUCAAAAGAUCCUUAAAGCUUGAUGCCCUAAACCUUGAUUGGUUGAGAGUCAUUGAUGGAUCCCCGCUACAUGGACAUUUUAGAAAACAAUACCUUUAGCAUUGCACGCCUACAAUGAAAAAAAAAUGUGAAAUAAAAGAGGUGCGUUCUUAGCCUAUUGGAGGUUGGUCAGUUUGCUAAAGUUUGAGAAAUCUAGGUUGGGGGGAGAGAAUAGUCCGACAUACUAUAAUAAAAAACUAAUAACCUUAACACUUAGAUUUUUGUGGAAGAGUAAGGAUUGGACCUUUAGGGGUGGAAAUUCUUUUGAUGCUUAAAUUUGCAUAAUGCCUACUCUUUAUAAAUUAUGAUUAGGCAAGAGAUUUGAUGACUCUUGUUCAAAGUUGGGUUUUUCCUCUUUGAUGUUCCAUGAGAGAGUAUAAUCCUCAUCAUGCCACUUGAAAUCUUUUUGGAGUGAUUAACAUGAUUUUGUAAAUUAUUUUACUGUCUAUUUUUCUUUAUCUCUCUUUUAUUGCUAAUGGACUAGCAAUAUGUCAGUUGGGGGGAGUGAUUACUACUCAAAAAGUACUCUUUUAUAGCUUGAAACUAACUGUUUUAAACACUUUUGAGUAGGUGUUAAUACAUUUUAACUCAAUUGGCACAUUAAGGAACCUAACAAGGGUUACUAAUAAGUUUUUGGCAAGUUUUGGUGUUUUUGGUAGCUAUUUGAUCAUUGAAACAAGCCAAGAAUGAGGGAGAAUUUUGUGAAGUCCAUAGCAAUGCAAGUUAAAGCUCAAAUACAUGAAGAAUCCAAGCUUUGAAGCACUUCAUAGCCCUUUGCGAAGCCAAUCAGAGAUGCAAGGAAGAAAACCAGAGGAAAAAAUCCAACAACCAGCAUUUUCGCAUGGCUGUGCGAAAUUUUGCACACCAUGCGAAACCACAAGAAGUAGCCAAAGAAUUUUGCACACCAUGCGAAAUUUCGCAUGGUAUACGAAAUCUUCCUAUGCACCAACUCCGUUAUAUUUUUAUCUUCAGAUAUUUUGUGUAAUUUCCUAGUUUCUCCUUGUAACCAACCUAGAUAUUUUCUUUUAUAUCUUUUUUUUAUAUUUUUUAGGUAACAUCAUAUAUAGGGGGAGAGACAUAAGGAGGAUAUGGAUGUUUUUCAUAAAACACUUUUAAUUUUCUGGUAGUAAGAAAUAUACAAAGUUUUUUGCUCUGCCUUACCUUCUCAUUUUGUUUUCACCUAUCUUUCUAGCCAAACAACCUCUGAGAAUGAUUUCUCAGGGGAUGAGUAGUUAGGUUUUACGUUUCUUGGAGUGAGAGAAGCUAGGUGAAAGACCCAAAUGCUAAGGUGGGAGUUGUCCUUGCUUUAAAUGAAAGUAGUUGUUAAAUAUUAAUGGUUUUUAUUUUAAGGUUUAGCUUUAAAUCCCUUAAAAACACCUUGAAUGGCCAAUACUUGGUAAGCUUUUCGGAUUCUAUGGAUGCUUAUUGCUAGAUCCAUGGAUGUCAUUAGUUAUCAUUUAUGAGCCAUUGGAAGGUGGUUCAAGAUGAGAGUCUUUAGUGUUUGAAGCCAUUAAUGGGAAACAAUUACCAUUUUUUCAUGAAUCCUUUGGAUAAAAUCUUAAUUGCUAAAUAUAAAACUGGUUCGGGAGAUAACCAUCCUUUAUGUUAUUAUGCCCAAUGCAAGGAGAAGAUUUCGAAUCUUCUCAUUUGUCUAAGGAACCCGAUCCUAGUGACCUAAAGCUCCUAGAGACCUUUUCUUUGUAGUUAACUUCAUUUAUUGUUUUUGCUUAACUUAAAAUCAAUCUUUGCAACCACAAUUCCAUUUUCUUUAAAAGCUAAUUUUUAUAAGGAAAAGCACCAUUUUAUUUCCUUCACUAAGUCAACUGUAUGAUGAAAACCCAUCCCUGUGGACGAUCUUAGAGCCACUAUACUAUGUUAUCUAUGCUAUCCUAGUGUGAGGUGAUUUAGGUUUUAUAAAUUUUGUUGAUAACACCCGUCUGAGCCAGAAUCAAAUGGAACCACUGAACCAGGGACAAAUCAACAGCCUAUAUGGGAGGGACACAAGUUUAAUUGAUUUGCAUUUCAGCGUUAUAGAUAAGUAUGUUUUGGAAGAUUUGUUCUGGAAAUACUGCACCAAGUACGAUUCUUUUUCUCUUGAGUGAGUCCAUUUGCAUGCCAAUUAACGAGUUGAAAAGUAGGAGCACCUACCUCGUGCUCAUGGAACCGAAUGUCAGUGAAGUGGGGCUCCUUUUAGCCUCUUGUGUUUCUGUUCCAACCAAGGCGGCGUAGGGAAAAACAACAAUAUGUCUGUGCUAAAUAUCAACGCAUGAUAGAUGUUUUUUUUUUUUUUUUUGGUAUGUCAAGGCUAACGAAUGAAAUGCAUUAGCUUGUUUUGUGACUAUAACUGCAAAUGUCCAAAUUGGAGUAUCUCCAUUUCUCACUUCGGAUGGUUAACUUUAUAAACAAGAUAUAGGAAACAUGUGAACAUCUUGAGGAACAAUUCAAAUUAUUCAUUAGAAGUCCUGGGUUAAGUUCCAAGAUUUAAAUCAGACCCUUCUAGCAGCUUCAAGGGUACUUAGCAACCUAUAACAUAUUAAUGAAGAUUUAGGAUUUAGACUCCGGAAUACAAAUAAAUAUGUAUCUCAUGCUUUGACUAGCUUCCCUACAUAUGCAUAAAAUGGAGAUGACCCAAAAAAAAUAGCAGAAUCUAGCUUCCCUACAUAUGCACAAAAUGGAGAUGACCCAAAAAAUAGCAUAAUCGCCUUAGUUUCUGUGGUUAAGGUGAUUCUCCGCUUAAUAUCCACAUUGACUCAUUAUGCAAAAUCAACUGAGCUAAUUUUAUUUAUUUAUUUAAUGUCAAAUAGGAACUCCUAAUUAACUGAUUACUGUCGAAAAGUGCUAUUUUGUAGACCUAAUUAUAAGGGUUUUAAGCACCUUUGAGUAGUAAUCAUAUUCAUUUAACCUAAUUAAUUCAUUAAGCUCCUUAGUAAUUAGUUCUAACCAUUUUUAGUGGCAAGUUUACAUGUUUUUCAUCAGCUUAUGAACCAAUUCAAGCAUGCCAAUUGAUGGAGGAGCUACUUGGGCGAGUUAAGCAAGGAUUUUGGACGUUUACAGGCUUGAAUUUCAAGUGGAAACACGAGCACAAGCAAUGGGAACACCAUUUCGCAAGGGGAGGCAAUUCACCUUGCCAAAUGACCAAUUUCGCAAGGGGAUUUUCCUCAUGGUGCAAAAUUUGGUCAUUUCGCACCAUGAAGAAACCACCUUGCAAAAUUUCGCAAGGUGGAUUUAGGCACCUUGCGAAAUGCCAAAUUUCACAAGGUGGCUUUUCACCUUGCGAAAUUUGGACCUUUCAUCUUCCCCCCUUGCGAAAUGCCUUUGAAAUCCCCUGUUUUGAGACGCUGUUGAUGAUAUUCCACUGCCGGUUCUCCAAGAUAUUUUGCUUGACUUUUAGCUUUAUAAAUACCUAUUUUACCCUUGUAAUCAACCAAUGAAAAGGUUGCUUUUGUAAUAGCUCUUGUAAUUUAGCUUUUUAUUGUCUUUAAAUAGAGGUGAAGAGCCUCAGACACGAUCAUCUUGUAACCUGUAACUUUAUAAGUUAUAAGAGCACUUUUGUUCAUACGCUUCUUUUCUCUUUUCUUUCUCAUUUUCUUAGUAGCCAAACAUCCUUGGAGGAUGAAAUCCCCAAGGAUGAGAGGCUAAAACCUUUUAGUUUCUUGAAGUAAUGGAUGCCAUGUGAAGCUCCCGUGUCAGGAUGGAGAUUUCCAAGCCAUAAAUGUAAGUAGCUGAGCGUCAUAAAUGUUUUCAUUCAAAGUAAAGCUUUUAAUCCCUCUGACUUGCUUUGAAUGGCCAAUACUUGAUAACCUUUUGGUCUCAAUGGAUUCUUAUUGUUAGAUCCACUGACGUUCAUUAGUUAUCUCCUACGAGCCAUUGUAUUGCAAGUCGAGGAGAUGACCUAUACCAAUAAAAGAGCAUUUAUGAGGUUCAACUACCCUUUUUGUAAGUUUUCAAGGACUAAAACUCAGUUGUUAAACUCAUACCGGUUCGAGAAGUAAGCAUCACCUUAGUUGCUUCCCCAACUCGAGGUGAAAAGUCCCAAAAUCUCCAUUUUUACACAGUGAGUUAAGCAUGGCUAUCCAAAGCUUUAAGAAACUUCUUUUUCCAUCUUUUAACCUAUUUUCAUGUUAGUUUAGUUUACAACACCUUCAUCUUUUUAUGUUUUCAUCUUAACCUAAUUUUUAUUAAGAAAAGUUCACUCCAUCCUCCGAACUUCACCAGUUAAAGUAAAAACCCUUCCCAGUGUUCGAUCCUAGAGCCACUAUGCUAUAGUAGCUUUGCUACUUUAGUGUAAGGACCUUAGGUAUAAAUUUUGUUGAUACCCUUACAUGCCAAGCUACCAAGAGUCGGGUUAUCAUUAACCUAACCAUUGGCCUGUGUAAAUUGAUUUCACAUGCACAAUGUUGUAGUAGAAGUCCAUAUUUUGAAUUUUAUUUUUGUAAAGGUAAGGAAAAUGAAGCAUUGUGUAAUUAUAAAAAUAACUUCAUUGGAAUUCACAAGGUUCACCCAAAAUGGAGCUACAUCUGUAUUCUAUCCUACAGUAGACUAUAUAGAUUGUACAAUAGUAAAUUGCAAAUACAAUUAAUAAGUCUUGUGCUUCCUUACUAAUAAUCCUUUGACAUGAACAUUGCAGCACUAAGGUCCUCUUGGGAAGACACCUUGCACCCAUGAGAGCACUAAGAGGAAGCAAGGCAGAGUCAUGGGUGCAAUGUCAUGACUUGUUGUUGCACCAAGAGAGGCUUGGUGAUGCCAUGGUGUUGCAGUAGCAAGAAUGUUGCCUUGGCAGGGACACGAUCUAGGGAUAGAUGCCAAGAAAGGCUUAGCACUCACAUGAGUUGCACAAAGAUGAAUGUAAUAGAGCAUCAGAGAGACGUCUUGGCAAGUAAAUGAAUGGAUCCAAGAGACAACAACAUGAGGAGUUUCAAAUGGAUAAGGAAUGACUCAAAGACAUUUGAAAGCUACAAGUUGGAUUCUAAUUACGAUUGCAAUUUGAGUUUGAGUAGGAGUUUAGAUUUUGAUUGUAAUUGUAGUAUGAGUUGGACUAGGAUUGCUUAUCCUUAGUCAAUAUAGGAGCGGUUCGUGUCACCCUAUGAAAAGAGUUUGAGUAGGGACUAGGAUUGCUUACUCCUAGUCAAAUAUGGAGUAGGUGGUGCCACACCUAUAAAAAAAAGGGACAACAUGAGAGAGAGAGAGAGAGAGAAAGAGAGAGUGAAUUCACUAAAGAUAUUGUGGGAGUUUUGCUUUGUUACGUCUUGUAUUAUUACUUAGAAUAGGAAUAAAAUACAAGUUGGGGCUAGAGCCCCAUAAUUAAUCUCGUGUGCCUUUGUGGUUAUUCUUUAUUUGUCAUCUCGUGUGGAUUGGAUUAGGUUGACUUAGAGGGCUUCUAAGCACCACCUUUGUGGGUUAUUAUUUAUUUUCCAUCUCUUGUGGAUUAGAUUAGGUUGACUUAGAGGGCUUCUGAGCACCACCUUUGUGGGUUAUUAUUUAUUUUCCAUCUAUUGUGGAUUAGAUUAGGUUGACUUAGAGGGCUUUUAAGCACCACAUUUGUGGGUUAUUCUUUAUUUUCCAUAUCGUGUGGGUUGGAUUAGGUUGACAAGGAGAAAAAUUAUGUGGGAAAUUUGUGUUGGGACACUUACCAUAACCAAGUAAAAUCUACCAAGUCCUUUGUAAUAUCUUCAACAAAUAUUUUAGACUAGUUCUUUCAGUUAGUGUAAAGGAGGAAGAAGUGGUAUUGAUUCUAGAAAUAGGGUGUGUGUAUUUGAACUACAAUCCUUAUGAUCCUUAGGUCUCUAAACCUUCGUGAUGGGCUCCCUGACAUUUCAUAGGUUGUGCUACACAUGCGUUUGAAAUUUAGAGUGCGUUUGACAGUGAUUCCGGGAAGUGUUUUUGGCCUUUCUUACACUUGAAAAUUUUUAUUUUUCAAGUAUUAGAAAUGCUACAAACACUUUUGAAAAUUACUGUCAAACACACUCUUAGGAGCGCACAUAUAUAGUAGAAAACUAGAAAUUGUGGUUUUUUUAGGAUUUACUGUAAUGUCAUUAGGAGGGUAGUAAGUUGAAAUUGAGUAUGAACAAAUAUUUCUUUCUUUGGGAUGUUCUUCUAGUAGGUGCUGAUGAAACUGUUCUUUCUACUGCCAAUGUCACAUAUCAGCCAGAAAUUGAAAAUUUCAGUCAAGGUGUCCUCUGUUUUAGUGGUGAGGAAAGCUAGAAAUUUUAAGGUGAAGUUUUGUUAAAAACCUUAAGUAGCUGGGAUAUCAGGCCUGUUUUGCUUGAAAAAAAAAGUUGCAAGAUAACUCAUAUGCCAAACAGGUUCUGAUAUUGUGAAUCUAUCGGCAGACAUCAGUAAUCUCAUCUUCUGAGAUGGAUGUUGGGGGUGCAUGUGGUGGUGGAGGGGCAAGGUUUCAUUUGGUUUAUUUUGUUGAUGGAUAUUGUCUAGCCACCUGCGCCAAGUUUGAGGGGUGGUGGGUUGUGAUGACCCUACAAUUACUAUUAAUUUCUUCAUCUUUUACCGAUUAAAGUGUCCGAACAGUCGAAGUUACCCUUAUGCAUGUCAACUUGAUCACUUACCUCUUCAAUGGAGUUUAUGCUGGUUCAUUUAGGAACUGAUUUUUAUUGUUAUGUAUUAUAUGCUGAUGUUUAGGUCUCUCCAUCAUCACUAUAUACAAAAAUUCUAGGUUGAUACUAUAGGUUGAGAUUUAUUUUUUAAAUAAAAAAUAAUAAAAAUAAAAAUUAUGGUGAUGUUUAGUUGUUUUAUGGAAAAUUUUAACAAGUAAAAGUUAUUUUUGGGCAAGUUUUCAAACAAAAAGAAAAGUAAAAGUUGUUUUGACAAAAACAUAUAGAAAAAAAAAUCAUAGAAAAUAAAUAAUUUCCCCAUAUUCUAACUUUUUUGAAUUUUUCUCAAUGGGCAAAGGAAUAUCAAAUCAAGUUUGAGUAGGAUUUCUUAAUUUUUAAAAUAACUUACAAUUAAAAAAUUUUGGUGUUUUCAUUUUUGGACAAUUUUUUAUUAAGCAAAUGGACUCUGAGUCAUGCAAGAGAUAUGGUUCAUUAACCGGUCGAACAAUUUUUUUAAAUUAAUUUAAAAGUCAAAUACAUAAUCAAUUUCACAAAAUUUAUAAACAAAAAUAGGUUUAGAGAAGAUCUACACAUAAUUUUACUUUUCUAAUUUUAUUUUAUUUUAUUUUUUGUUGGAAAAUAGUCUUCAAAUCAUGUAAGAUUUAAUAGGUUAAAUUUGUUAACAAUAAAUUUUAAAUUAUAAAAUAUAAUCUGGAACUCAAAAAUCAAUUCAAGUAAUGCUAAAAAAAAAUCAAAUUUGGUAUAGAAUGACUUUGUAAAUUUUUUUACAAAACAAAUGAAUUUUAAAUCAAGUGAGAUUUAAUGCAUUAGAUUUUUAUCAAAUAUAGUAAUUUUAAAAAUAAAUUUGGAACUCAACAAUAGACACAAUAAAUACCAAAAAAUAAUGAACCAAAAUUGGUUUGGAAUAACUCCACAACCUUUUUUUUUUUUUUUUGGUGCACACGAAUUUUCUUACUAGGUAUAUUGCUUUCAAAUUGAGAAAGAUUUACCAUUUAGAUUUUUUUUUAAUGAGUUUAAUGGUAUUUUAAAAUAAUUCAAAAUUUAAAAAAUUGACUAAUUAAUAUUAUAAAUUGAUAAACCAAGACUAUUUCAAAAUGCAUUGGGGGCUAAGGGGGUUGAAAAUAGGGACAAUGGGAUGGGUUUGGGACAUGACACUCAUAUCUCAUUUCCAUUCCAAUUACACAGUUAUCUCCCAUCCUUAUCCCAAACUUGUGUUGGAGCAAGUUGAUUUGUUCCCAUCUUUGUUGACGAAAUGACUAAUAACCUCAUCCCCUCCUUAUCUUAGAUGUACAUUUUGUCAAAUUUGAUCAGGUAUGAUUGAUCCAAGCCCUAACCCUAAUUGGUAAUGAGUGAAUACUACACCUAAUUGCAUUCUUCUUUCAUUGCAAAAUAAUGAGAUUAUAAUAAUCUAGCAAAUAAGAAAAAAUAGUAUGGAAGUUCAAAUUAACACCAUAACUAUCAAUAAUUUUAAGCUUAUAGAUGACUUAAAUGAUUAAAAACUAAUGCAAAAUCCUAAAAAAAAUAAAAAUCAUAUAAAGAAUUCACAAGAGAACAGAAUGAACAAAAACCAAAUAUGAACAUGGGUCAACAUUAGUUAUGGAUUUGGAUUCCUUUCAAGGCCAAUCUUUGAACCAAGACUUCAUCAAAUCAACUACUUCAAAGGCUUUUGUGUUCUUCUUGGGUUGUGCUCUCAAACAAAGACUUCGAGGUGAUGUUCUAGAUGAUUGAAUUACACAUAUUUAGGGUGGAGAGAUUGGAGAAGCUUGAAGAUGCCAACGAUGGGUACAAUUGAGUGGUCAAUAAGAACAAUGUAGCCUAUGACUAGUUUGAUGUCAUGGUACAAGAGUUUUAGGCAUUGAGGUUAAAGCAAGAGCAACAUGGAAUUGAUUUCGGAGUCUUUCAGUUAGUGUAAAGGAGGAAGAAGUGGUGUUGAUUCUAGAAAUAGGGUUUUAAGUGGUGCGUGAUUACUACUCAAAAAGUGCUAUUUGAUAGCCUUUAAUUAAUCCUUUUUAACACUUUUGAGUAGUAGUUUAGGCCUUUUAACUCAAUUGGCAUGUUAAGGAUCCUUUAAAGCAAUUUUGAUCACUUUGUGCAAGUUUUGGUGUUUUUGUUAGUAUUUUGAUCACCAAAGCAAGUCAAGAAUGAGGAGAACUAUGAGGAAUCAUGGGCAAAGCUUAGAAUUCAAUUGCCAAGAGUGAAUCCGGAUUGCAAGGAGAAAAAGCAAAGAGAAUCUGUCAUGAAGCCUAUUCUUGAUGACAGUCGUAGCAGCCACUUUUGGAGCACUUUCUGAAGUCCAAAUGAUGCAAGCUAUAUACCAUUUCAAAGAUCAGGAAGUCAACAAUCCAAUGCUUCAAACGGUGCGCGAUUCGGAGUUGAAACGAAGAAGUUGCAGCCAUUACAAGCCAGUCACUCUAAAGUGUUGCGGAAUCAGCCUUUUGUUGCGAGAAUUUCGCAGCACUUUUGUACAGUAAGGUGUUUCUCCUUCUGACGAUGCACGAACCAUGCCGCGAGAGGGAAGCUAGGAACUUCAAGAUGGAAGCCAACUUUGCAGCCUGGUGAAGAUAGCUUGGUCUUGCGAAAUAAUUUCGCAGCCCUCUUGGGUGUCUGCGAAAUUUCGCAGGCACCACUUUUUUCCUGCGAAAUGGCUCCGGAAGCCUCCCGAAGCUUGCUACCGACAUUGGGAGAUAUUUUCCAUUAGAUUUUUGUUGUCUAAAUUCCAAAAUACUCCUUGUAAACCACCAAUUACAUGAUUCCUUAGUUUUUAAGUUAGUAAAAAGACCAAAUAUCUAUGUAAUAAUUAGUUUUAUAUUAGUUUGCUAUAAAUACCUCUCGGGAGCAUGUUCUCAGAGAGGAGUUCCUUCUGUAACCAUUUUGGUAAGCAAGUAAAGUCUUUUCUUUCUACUGCCUUACCUUCUCACUUUGUAUUUUCAUUUUAUUUCUAAGUUAUGAAUUCUCUGAGGAGCUUUCCCCAGAGAAUGAGUAACUAAACCUCCAAUUCCUUGGAGCUAAGGUUGCCGGGGAAGGUUCCAAGUGCAAGAAUGCAAAGCUCUGUGGUUUUAGCUAGUAAUGAAGAGGAAGUGAAAUCCUUUAGUGAUUUCAAUGUUUUUAGUUAACUUAAAACACCUUGGAGUCACCUGGGCCAACACUUGGUAAGGCAAGUGAUUUCCAACCGUGGAAAUGCACUAGUUUACCCCUUGCGAGCCUCUGGUAGGUGACUUCAAGGUAGGAUUUUCUGGAAUUACCAACACUUGGUAAGCUUUUGGACUCCUAGGAGACAUCCAUUAGUUAUCUCUUGCGAGUUUGUGAAGGGGAAUCCAAGGUUAAAGAUCACCUUGAAUGGUAAGUGCUCGUGAGAGGCAUGAACCAUUGCAAGUUGUAUCAGUGAGAGAAUUAAAGUGAAAUCUAAUUGAAGGAGUCUCUGUACAUCACCGGUUAGAGAAUUGACUAUAAGUUGAAUCUCUAAUGCGAGGAAAUGAACCAUCUGACCGGAGCUAUGUCUUUUGCAUGAGGAACCACCCCAGUGAACCUAAAUCUCCAAGGAAUGCUUUUCUUCCUAAAUUAUUCCAAACUUCUGUUAAGUUAGUUAGUUUAAGUCUAAACCUUUACCAAUCAAACUUUGUGUUUUAUUUCUUAAGCUAACCGUGAAAUGAAACAAAACCAAUUCACUUGGAAUUGGUAUCCUUGAUUGCUUGCAAAUCAUUCCCAGUGAACGAUCCUUAGAGCCACUAUACUAUAGUAGCUUUGUAUUUGCUACCCUAGUGUAUGGUGUUAUAGGUAUAAAUUUUGUUGAUCACUUCCUCAAUCAAGGAACACCAGCUGAACACAAAUCAGCUGAGACACCAAUUGGGCAUGAGUCAAAUGGCGCCGUUGCCGGGGAAUGAGUGUCAAGAUCAUUGUGAUACCAUUUUUGAGCACUUGUGAUUUUCAUCACAAGUUGGUAAAGUUUCUUUCACUUUACUAAUUUUCAUUCUCUCUUUGUUUAUUUACAAUCUAAGUUUAUCUUUUUAAAAUUUAGUCUAGUUUAAUUUUGCUAUUGUAGCCUUGUUUCUCUUGUUGUCCUCUGUUCUUGUUGUCCUCUGUUUUCAUUUUAGUUGCAGCUGAAUACUAGUUGUGUAUGCCAAAGUGGAUACGAGACAUUGGAGGUAGGCUUAUUAAGUGUGAUACACCUCAGAGAGGAGAAUUGGAAGUAAUCUUGAAUAUCAUGGAGGCUGCACCUGAAGAUCAGCAUAGUCACCAAGGUCGUCAAGACAAUCUCAAUGAAUUCAGAUCAAUGAGGGACCGUAUGCAUCCACCUCGUAUGAGUGCACCAUCAUGUAUAGUGCCCCCUACAGAGCAACUAGUGAUCAGACCAUAUCUUGUUCCACUUCUACCAACUUUCCAUGGGAUGGAAAGUGAGAAUCCGUAUGCACACAUCAAGGAAUUUGAAGAUGUUUGUAAUACAUUCCAAGAGGGAGGAGCUUCAAUUGAUUUGAUGAGGCUUAAGUUAUUUCCUUUUAAUUUAAAGGAUAAGGCCAAAAUUUGGCUUAAUUCUUUAAGGCCAAGGAGUAUCCGCUCUUGGACUGAUUUACAAGCUGAAUUCCUCAAGAAAUUUUUUCCUACUCAUAGAACAAAUGGCUUGAAAAGGCAAAUUUCAAACUUCUCAGCUAAAGAGAAUGAGAAAUUCUAUGAGUGUUGGGAAAGAUACAUGGAAGCUAUAAAUGCUUGUCCUCACCAUGGCUUUGAUACUUGGCUACUGGUGAGUUAUUUUUAUGAUGGUAUGUCCUCCUCAAUGAAGCAACUCCUCGAGAAAAUGUGUGGAGAAGAUUUCAUGAGCAAAAAUCCAGAGGAAGCUAUGGAUUUCUUGAGCUAUGUAGCUGAUGUUUCAAGGGGAUGGGAUGAACCAACUAAAGGAGAAGUGGGAAAGAUGAAGUCUCAGUUGAAUGCUUACAAUGCAAAGGCUGGGAUGUAUACUUUAAAAGAGGAUGAUGACAUGAAAGCAAAGUUGGCAGCUAUGACAAGAAGAUUGGAGGAGCUGGAGCUGAAAAGAAUGCAUGAAGUGCAAGCUGUUGCUGAAGCACCAGUGCAAGUGAAGUUGUGUCCCAAUUGUCAAUCGUUUGAACAUUUGGUAGAGGAAUGCCCUGCAAUUUCAGCUGAAAGGGAAAUGUAUAGAGAUCAAGCAAAUGUUGUUGGACAAUUCAGGCCCAAUAACAAUGCUCCUUAUGGAAAUACCUACAAUUCAAGUUGGAGGAAUCAUCCAAAUUUUUCAUGGAAGGCCAGAGCAACUCAAUACCAACAGCCGGAUCCACCAUCUCAACAAUCUUCAAGUAUUGAACAAAUAAUAGCUAAUCUCAGCAAGGUAGUGGGAGAUUUUGUGGGAAAGCAAGAAGCCACCAAUGCUCGAGUGGAUCAAAGAAUGGACAGAGUGGAUCAAAGAAUGGACAGAAUGGAGAGUAUGUUGAACAAAAGAAUGGAUGGAAUGCAAAAUGAUAUGAAUCAAAAAUUUGAUAACAUCCAAUAUUCAAUUUCAAGGCUUACAAAUUUGAAUACACUGCAAGAAAAGGGAAGAUUUCCUUCUCAACCUAACCAAAAUCCCAAAGGUGUCCAUGAAGUGGAAAGCCAUGAGGGAGAAUCAUCACAGGUGAAAGAUGUGAAAGCUUUGAUCACUCUAAGGAGUGGUAAGAAAAUUGAGCAGCCAACACCCAAGCCACAUGUUGAGAAAGAAGAAGAGAUGAAGAAAGGGAAGGAAAUGGAAGAUAAAGGCAGUGAGAUCAGUGAAGAAAAGAAGGACUCUGAUGCAACAAUGAAAGUAAUUCCAGAGAAGGAGCUUCUGAAGGAAGAAAUGCUGAAGAAAUCAACUUUUCCACCUUUUCCUCAAGCAUUACAGGGGAAAAAGGGGGUUAGAAAUGCAGCUGAAAUCCUAGAAGUAUUGAGGCAAGUGAAAGUUAAUAUUCCACUGCUGGAUAUGAUCAAACAAGUUCCAACGUAUGCAAAAUUCCUAAAGGACUUGUGUACUAUCAAAAGAGGGUUGACUGUAAACAAGAAAGCCUUCUUGACUGAGCAAGUAAGUGCAAUCUUACAGUGUAAGUCUCCUUUGAAGUACAAAGACCCUGGAAGUCCUACCAUUUCAGUCAUGAUUGGAGGAAAGGUAGUGGAGAAAGCCUUGCUAGACUUGGGAGCAAGUGUGAAUUUGCUUCCAUAUUCUGUCUACAAGCAACUGGGACUUGGAGAGUUGAAGCCAACAGCAAUCACUUUGUCUCUGGCAGAUAGAUCAGUGAAAAUUCCAAGAGGGGUAAUUGAGGAUGUAUUGGUUCAAGUAGAUAAUUUCUACUAUCCUGUAGAUUUUGUUGUUCUUGAUACAGAUCCUACUGUAAAGGAAGCUAAUUUAGUUCCUAUCAUCCUUGGAAGGCCAUUUCUUGCAACUUCAAAUGCAAUCAUCAACUGUAGAAAUGGGCUUAUGCAACUCACUUUUGGUAACAUGACACUGGAUCUAAAUAUUUUCUAUAUGUCUAAAAAGCAAAUCACUCCAGAAGAAGAAGAGGGUCCAGAAGAGCUAUGUAUUAUUGAUACUUUGGUGGAGGAGCACUGCAAUCAACAUAUGCAAGAUAAGUUGAAUGAAAGUUUUGUGGAUAUUGAGGAAGGUUUUUCUGAAUCUCCUAAUGGGCUUGCUACUCUACAAAGUUGGAGAAAGAUAGAAGGAAUUCUACCUUUGUUCAAUGAAGAAGAGGAGGCAGCUGUUGAAAAAGAAAUUCCAAAACUCAAUCUGAAGCCUUUACCUAUGGAGCUGAAAUAUACAUAUCUUGAAGAAAAUAAUCAAUGUCCUGUCGUAAUAUCUUCAUCUCAAACCAAGUCUCAAGUGAAGGAUGCAAGCUUCAAAUGGGAUCCGGGCAAACUGAAUCAGGAAGGGCAAAAAGUUUUGAUGUAUGACACAAGACUCCAUAUCUUUCCUGGGAAGCUCAAGUCAAGGUGGAUUGGUCCAUUUGUUAUUCACCGAGUAUAUUCCAAUGGAGUGGUGGACUUAUUGAAUUCCAAUGGCAAGGACAGCUUUAGAGUCAAUGGAUAUCGUCUUAAGCCGUUCAUGGAGUCAUUCAAAUCAGAAAAGGAGGCAAUCAACCUCCUUGAACCUCAAAAAGCCUAAGUGAAAUGGGUUUGCUGGACGUGGUUUUACCACAGUCCAAAAAUUUUUGUAAAUUUUGUAAAUUUUCAAGUUGUUUCCAUGCUUUUAAUCUUAGUUUUUGAUUUUAAAUCAUGUUUUUAGGUGUGUUUUAAUCGUUUUAUAUGAUCCCAGGCGGAAGAAAUUUCAAGGGGAUUGAAAAGAAAAAAAUCGGGUCGAAAUUGGAGCCGAAACAGAGCAAAAACAGGGGAAAAACAGAGCUCUGCGAAAUUUCGCAGGGUGAAGGAAACUUCUGCGAAAUUGGCAUUUUGCUGCCAAACCAUUCCGCAGCACUGUAGAAGCCUCUGCGAGUGUAUUUCGCAAUUGCGAAAGUGGAUUUGGCACACGAGUGCCACUUCGCAGCACAGUGACAUCAAUUUCGCAGCUGCGAAACUCACUGCGAAGUUGCUGCGAAAAUGGCAAGUUGCUGCGAAAUUGGCGUUUUGUUGCGAAACGUAAUCUGACCCCUGGGCUUCCGUUUUUCCUAUUUAUACCUGUCAAAAGUGCUGCGAAAAAGGUUUCAAAAAUUAGAGCACCAUUCUCGCAGCCCUUUCAUCUUCUUCGCCAAGCCACGCCGUCCGUUUCUCCGGUCGUCUUCUCCGUUUAGCAGCGCCGGCCAAAGAUCGAUAGCCCAAAAAUGGCACGAACGCGAGGGGCAAAGUCUUCAUCCCCUUCGAACCGCAAAAGGAGUCUGCGAAAGGAGCCAAGUUCAGGCUCUGUUCCAGAACCUGCUCCAAAGCCUUCGCCGUCGAGACCACAACCUUCUCCAGUGAAGCCGGCGCCACCAAAGCCGCCGGCAAGGCGAUAUUUAACCAGGUCAGGUGGUCAGCCAUUGAAGAAGAAAGCCAGAGUUGAGAGCUCUGAACCAAUCGAUUUGACUGAGCAAUCCCCUGAGAAAUCACCAAAUCCUUCACCGGUACAAAUUCCAGUGCCAUCACCGGUUCCCUCGCCAAUUCCCUCACCAGAAGCAACUCCAAUUCCAUCGCCGGUACCAUCUCCGGCACCCCAAGAAAAAGCUCAGGAGCCUCAAGCGCCAAUUCCAGAGCCCCAAAUUGCAGCUGAAGCACCUCUGGAAGAAGUGAUCCGAAGGCCAAUGCUGCCUCAGCCCCCAAUCGAAGGAAACCUGGAUUGCCGAACUCGGGCAUUCCAUUCUGAGCUUUGCUUCGAUUUAACAGCAUUCAGAGUGAGGCCAGAGCUUGCCCAAUCCUUCCAACUGCUGAGGAGAUAUCAUAUGGAGCAUCUGCUAGCUCCAAGGGAUUUUUUCUAUCCCCGGGUAGUCACGGAUUUCUACCAAACCAUGACAACCAAAGAAGUAAGAAAUCCAACUCUGAUUCAUUUCAUAAUUGAUGGAAGGCAUGGUAUUUUGGGAGCAAGACAUAUUGCUGAAGCCCUGCAAAUUCCUUUUGAGCCAACUCAAUUCGACAAUUUUAAAGCUUGGACAAAUCCUACUGAGUUAGAGAUGGUUAGCACACUAACCAGAGGAGCUGCAAAUCGAUCGCAUUUGUUGAGGGGGGAGCUACCUCCAGUUAUGUUUUUGAUUGAUGCCUUUUUGAGGCAUAAUAUCUAUCCCCUGCAGCAUUGGACCCAAAGAAGGGGAAUUCUCCUAGAAGCCUUGUACAAAAUGUCUGAAGGAUUCUUCUUUGGGCCUCAUCAUCUGAUCAUGGCAGCCCUUCUAUACUUUGAGGAGAAGGUUCACAAGAAGAAGCUUCAAAGAGCAGAUUGCAUUCCACUCCUCUUCCCAAGGCUGCUAUGCCAAGUUUUGGAGCAUCUCGGAUACCCCUCUGAGCCUCAGCAGGAAAGAAAGAGAAUAUGCCGUGAGCCUUUUACCCUUGAUAAAUGGAAUAAUAUGACGGCCUACAAAAUUGAUCAGCCUGGGCAGCCUCAGCCAGCAGCAAGGAGAGUCUCCCCAAGACAUAUACCUGAAGGUAUAACACUUGCUACUCCUGCCAUCCCUCGAGCUCCACCAGCUGCACCUGCUCCAUCACAGCCAUCCACAUCAGCUGAGCCGAGGAUGGCCAUCCCUAUAUCCGAAUAUCGAGAGCUGUGCCGUGCAUUGGAGACUCUUACAGCUUCUCAGAGCAAUCUUGCUCAGGAGUUGGCAGCCAUUAAAGCAUGCCAGGAGCAGAUGUUAGCCUCUCAGACUCAACAAGCUGCCAUCCUAAGGCAGCUUCAAGUCCAUUUCGAUCUGCCACAAGCUGUAGAGCCCUCUAUUCCUACUCCACCAGAGCCACACUCUCAGCCUUCAGAGUCUCAUCCUCCAGAACCCGAAGCACCAGCUGAUCCACCUACUGAGGAGGCAGAUCCUUCUGCCUAGCACCAUCACCCCCCUCAUCAGACAUUAUAUAUAUAUUUGCUGUUUAUGUUUUUAUGCAUGUUUGUUUUGUUUUAGUUGAAAAGAAAUCCCAGUAUUUUGGUACUAUAUAUGGGAUUCCUUGUGUUACUUGUCUUUAGUAUUGUAAUCACAUGAACUCAAAGUAAUACAAGUUGACUAUUUCUUGUUAAAAGUUAGCAUUAAAGUUUCCUUAUUUCCUUUUCUCACAUAUUCUAUUCUUUUUGAAACAUGUGGUUUUCCCCAAUCAAUAUUCGAAUUUGAUAUCAGCAUGGAGGUACCACUUCCUCCCUUUUAUUACAGUCACUCAAAUCACAUUGAGGACAAUGCUCAGUUCGGUUGGGGGGUAUGAGGAAGGAAGUAUUCUAAACCUUUUUGGUAUUGCAAUUAUAUUGGUUAAUUAGUUGUAGAUUUUACUUUUUACUAGUGUUACUCUAUUCUCCAUGAAUUUUGAGGAAAAAUUUUCAAAUUAAACCAAGAGAAAUUGAACUGUUGUUUUUCACUUGACUUAGAGUAUGGAUUAUGCUUACUAAAGUGGUUCAAUUGUUGAAACUUCUACUGAAAUUGAAUUGAGUUCUUCCACUUUAAGCUAUCCACACACUGUGCACAUUAGUUUCCGAUUAUAAGAUGAAAAGCUAUUUCCCUCUUGACUUAGUAUAUUUUUGGGACUUGGUAUAUUUGACCUCAUUUGAUAAAAAUUGAAACACCCUGCAAAAGGCCAAUGAGCCUUUGAAAUAAAGAAAGUUGUUUGCUUGCCUUGAAACCCGAGCAAGGUCUGAGGGGUAUAUGGUGAAAAUCUUUAAAGCCUGGUGCCCUAAGCCUUAAUUGGUUGGGAGUCACCGACCUCAAUGCUCGUUACAAGGGUGAAUAGGUAGAGUUAGCAUAUGGUAGAUGCUUGGGUAUUAGAAAUUCAUUCUUAAAAGUCCGGGGAAAAAUCCGAGGAGUUAGUGGUUGAAAGAUCCUUAAAACUUGGUGCCCUAAACCUUAAUUGGUUGGGAGUCAUCGAUGGACCCCCAUUACAUGGACAAGUCAGAAAGAGUACCCCAUAAAGCUACCUUAAAAAAAAAAAAAAAAAAAAAAAAAAAAAAAAAGAUGAAAGUGUGUUCUUUUCUUAUUGAUUUUGGUCAGUUUGCUAAAGUGUUGAAAAGAGAUAGGUUGGGGGGUGAGAUUAGUAGCAUAUUAUUCUCGGAACCUAAGGAACCAAUACACAUAGAUUUUUGUGGAAGAUUGAAGUUUAGUUCUUAGAAAAUGAAAUGAUUUUAAAACUUCAGUUUGCAUAAUGCACUCCCUUGAUUGACAGUGUUUAGCAUAGGUGUUAUGACUCUUGUUGAGAUUUGGGUUUGUAUUUCUUUAAUGAUUCAUGUGAGAAAUAGAUCAUCAUGCCACUUGAGAAUUAUUUUCCUUUUAGCAUGAUGUUGUAAAUUUUAGAUUAGUUUGCUAUUUAUUUUUUAUUUUCUCUCCUAUAUUGCUAAGGGACUAGCAAUAUGUCGGUUGGGGGGAGUGAUUACUACUCAAAAAGUGCUAUUUGAUAGCCUUUAAUUAAUCCUUUUUAACACUUUUGAGUAGUAGUUUAGGCCUUUUAACUCAAUUGGCAUGUUAAGGAUCCUUUAAAGCAAUUUUGAUCACUUUGUGCAAGUUUUGGUGUUUUUGUUAGUAUUUUGAUCACCAAAGCAAGUCAAGAAUGAGGAGAACUAUGAGGAAUCAUGGGCAAAGCUUAGAAUUCAAUUGCCAAGAGUGAAUCCGGAUUGCAAGGAGAAAAAGCAAAGAGAAUCUGUCAUGAAGCCUAUUCUUGAUGACAGUCGUAGCAGCCACUUUUGGAGCACUUUCUGAAGUCCAAAUGAUGCAAGCUAUAUACCAUUUCAAAGCUCAGGAAGUCAACAAUCCAAUGCUUCAAACGGUGCGCGAUUCGGAGUUGAAACGAAGAAGUUGCAGCCAUUACAAGCCAGUCACUCUAAAGUGUUGCGGAAUCAGCCUUUUGUUGCGAGAAUUUCGCAGCACUUUUGUACAGUAAGGUGUUUCUCCUUCUGACGAUGCACGAACCAUGCCGCGAGAGGGAAGCUAGGAACUUCAAGAUGGAAGCCAACUUUGCAGCCUGGUGAAGAUAGCUUGGUCUUGCGAAAUAAUUUCGCAGCCCUCUUGGGUGUCUGCGAAAUUUCGCAGGCACCACUUUUUUCCUGCGAAAUGGCUCCGGAAGCCUCCCGAAGCUUGCUACCGACAUUGGGAGAUAUUUUCCAUUAGAUUUUUGUUGUCUAAAUUCCAAAAUACUCCUUGUAAACCACCAAUUACAUGAUUCCUUAGUUUUUAAGUUAGUAAAAAGACCAAAUAUCUAUGUAAUAAUUAGUUUUAUAUUAGUUUGCUAUAAAUACCUCUCGGGAGCAUGUUCUCAGAGAGGAGUUCCUUCUGUAACCAUUUUGGUAAGCAAGUAAAGUCUUUUCUUUCUACUGCCUUACCUUCUCACUUUGUAUUUUCAUUUUAUUUCUAAGUUAUGAAUUCUCUGAGGAGCUUUCCCCAGAGAAUGAGUAACUAAACCUCCAAUUCCUUGGAGCUAAGGUUGCCGGGGAAGGUUCCAAGUGCAAGAAUGCAAAGCUCUGUGGUUUUAGCUAGUAAUGAAGAGGAAGUGAAAUCCUUUAGUGAUUUCAAUGUUUUUAGUUAACUUAAAACACCUUGGAGUCACCUGGGCCAACACUUGGUAAGGCAAGUGAUUUCCAACCGUGGAAAUGCACUAGUUUACCCCUUGCGAGCCUCUGGUAGGUGACUUCAAGGUAGGAUUUUCUGGAAUUACCAACACUUGGUAAGCUUUUGGACUCCUAGGAGACAUCCAUUAGUUAUCUCUUGCGAGUUUGUGAAGGGGAAUCCAAGGUUAAAGAUCACCUUGAAUGGUAAGUGCUCGUGAGAGGCAUGAACCAUUGCAAGUUGUAUCAGUGAGAGAAUUAAAGUGAAAUCUAAUUGAAGGAGUCUCUGUACAUCACCGGUUAGAGAAUUGACUAUAAGUUGAAUCUCUAAUGCGAGGAAAUGAACCAUCUGACCGGAGCUAUGUCUUUUGCAUGAGGAACCACCCCAGUGAACCUAAAUCUCCAAGGAAUGCUUUUCUUCCUAAAUUAUUCCAAACUUCUGUUAAGUUAGUUAGUUUAAGUCUAAACCUUUACCAAUCAAACUUUGUGUUUUAUUCCUUAAGCUAACCGUGAAAUGAAACAAAACCAAUUCACUUGGAAUUGGUAUCCUUGAUUGCUUGCAAAUCAUUCCCAGUGAACGAUCCUUAGAGCCACUAUACUAUAGUAGCUUUGUAUUUGCUACCCUAGUGUAUGGUGUUAUAGGUAUAAAUUUUGUUGAUCACUUCCUCAAUCAAGGAACACCAGCUGAACACAAAUCAGCUGAGACACCAAUUGGGCAUGAGUCAGUGCGUUAGAGGAUCAAGAAGAAGAAAAAGAAGGAACUGUUGGAAUUAGUAUGAGUGUGAAGAGAAAAGUAUAUAAAUAAGGGGAAGUAAAAGCAAAGUUCAAAAAGCUAUAUUUUUUUAUUGUUGGUGUAUGGUUGCAUGAUUAUCCCUAUAAAUAAUAGGAGUUUUUUGGUAUUCUACUAGUAGUUGAAGCAUAAUUUCAUAAAUUAAUAUUUAGAGCGGGGUGGGGUGAGUUGUGACAAAAUUCAUACCCGUCCCAAACCUUGGUUCAGAUUUUUAAAAUAUUCUCAAACUUAUCAUAUACCCAACUUUUAUAUUUCAUACUUGUCCUAAUAGAGGCACGUUAGGCCGGGUUACUUGAGUAACCUACAUAAUUGUCAUCCCUAGUUGAAAUACACUUUUUGGCAGUGGCCACCAACUGAGCUAGAAGCUUGAUUGAUUGACCUACAAGAUUAGUUCUCAUCAUUUUAAAAAAAGUUCUGGCUUUGGUUGUGAGUGCAAUUGAAUCUAAACUGGCAUUUGCUUAAUGCAUCUACUUCAAUCCUAAACUUCUUACUUCUUAAGCCUCAAUUGUUGUUAGGAUUUUGGAAAACCCAUUUCCUUAAAUUGUAAAUUUAAGAUAAAAUAAAAUAAAAGUGAGACAUUUCUUGAUUGAAUAUUGUUAAAGGUCCCUUGGCAUUAAGACUUGGUUGAAGCCUUGGAAGAUUAGUGGAACUCUCAACAUGUGUUUGAAUCUUGAGGAGAGUGGAUGUAAGCCAAAAUUUUGUCAAACCAUUAUACAAAUUGAGUUUGAAUCCUCAUUUCUUGAUUUCUUAUUUAUUUGCUUUUUCUUAUUAUUACUUGAAUUGUCAUUUGCAUUCAUUAAUGUUAAAAUUGGUUAUAAUUAACCAACACUAAUUCUCUUUCCCCUUCCCUUUCUUGGGUGUAAACCUAGGUUGGAUUAACUAGAUAAAUCUAUUAAGAUGGUAAAAGAAUAAUUAUUCUUAACAUACAUAAGAUCAUCUUCAAUCAAAUGACUCAUUGGCUAAUAUGUUGAAUUUGCUUAUUACUUGCAACUCAAAAUUGUGUUCUAGUUGUGUCAAGUCCCCAGUGUAUGGACAUUAAAUUUGUAGUACGUGAUGAGUAAUUAGAUGGUCCAACUCCAAGAAAGUGAUUGAAAAGUAGUUCAAGAAAGGUGCAAAAGGGAAUUGUUUUGGUAUUUUCGUUUUUAUUCUUGAAGGUGGCAGAGCUAAAAUUUGAGAAAUCAAGCAAAACAUACUGAAAUUACAUUGAAAGAAAGAAGAUGGGAGUUAAUGUCUUGCAGUACAUGAUAAGGACUUCAUGCAUGUAGUGUGACCCAUGUCUUGGACUGAUGCCAACUCACGGUUACACUUAUACCCUUGGUUCUCUCUUUACUACCUUGGCUAACCUAGAUCAGGCUAUGAGAUAGGCUCCUCACCACACCAUUACUUGCCCAUUAAUUAGAGACAUUUUCAAGCAAUGAGGUAACAUGGUGACACCAAGAGGGUCUAUUCCUCGCCCGGAACAAGUCUAGACUUGGUCUCAAAAAAAUGGAGAAAAAUGAGGUGUCGUUAUGUAGAAAUACAACAACCAUGCCUUCCUCAUUACUUAGAUUCAGAAUGUGAAGGUGAAAUUGAGAAACAGAAACUCUUGAAACCAAAAUGAAAAUUGAUACUUUUACGAAGAAUUACAACAACAUUAGAGGAAGACUACAUUCUUCCUCUUUAUUCCUACAUUUCUACACUACUUCUACUCCACUCCAUAUUUCUACAUACAUCUUUAAUCAGUCUUCCCUCCUUUAUAUAGAGCCAUCUUCACACAAAUUUCGCAAGGUAGAAAAGAGGAAUGAAACUUGGAGCAAGGUUCGACUACUGGUUGUAGCUUGUCAAGGCUGGAAGUGAACUUUUCUUGGCUUUCUGGGCAUGGGUAGUAACUUGUGGGUUCCUGUUUGGCAUAAAAAUGGCUAGAACAUGUGGCACUAUCUUGUUGGAUGAUGUGUCAAGCAUGUGGCAGCCAUCUAGUGGCGAUUAUGUCAAUUUUGGGAUGGAGAGUUGGCAUCCAAUUGCAAAGAAAUAUGACGUCUACCAACAUGCAAUGUAAACCUAUGUAGAUCAUAUGAAGAUAGAGAGGAAAAAUAUAGAAAUGGAUAUAUACCUAGAACUAGCUUUUUAUUAAAUGAAACGGAGAGACAACAAUGAAGGAAAAUAAAAUUUUUUGGCUUAUAUCAAAGAGUUCACAUUGUGUUACCCUAGGUUUUCUUAAAACUUACUUUUAUGAUAACAAAAAAGAAAAAACCAUUAUUGUUUAAUCCUUUGUUUUAAACGCAUGUAAGGUGUAAUUAAGUUAGUUCAAUGCAUUAAUUUAAGAAACUUGACCUAUCAAAAGUACAAAAUUAGAUGAAAUCCAUUUCAAUGGUUAAAAUGAUCAAAAUCAAACUUUUUCUAAGUAUUUUUUAAAAGCAUCAAUAGUGAAAGACAAUUUUAUAUUUAGUCGGAGUUUGGACAAAACUGAAAAACACACAAAAUCCAAGCGACCAUCUCUAGCUUGGAUGGUCGCUUGAUCCCACCUAGAGAUGUGCAUGAGUAAAAGGAUUUGAAAAUGGAAAUUGACUAUGUAGUCGAUCAAUUAACUUUGCAACAUCAUAUGCAAUCCUAAUUGCUAGUCAUCUAAUCAAUUAGGUAGUCAAUCAACAGGCCAAAAAUAUGUUUAUAAUGACUAUUUUGUACAAAAACCACCUGUAUAGUUAAAUAUAAUGCAUUUCAUUUAUAAAUCUUCUAAUUCUUGAAUAACGAUCCUAUCAUCCUUUGAAAGUUUUUAUUACACUUUUUUUACUUUUGUUCUAAAACUUACACAUCACCCUUAAUUGUACCAUGAGAACCUAGCUAUUUUUUAUUUUUUUUUUUGUAAUUCAUCAAAGUUAGCUUUUGUAUUCAUUGUUGUAUUAUUUUUAGUAUAACUUAGAAAGCUAGUGUUUUCAAGUGAGUAAAAUUAACUUGUAAAUAUUGUAAAGAUUCAUCGACAUGUAUCUUAAACUAAGUGUACAAGUUAAAACAUUUGCUAGUAGAUUUUCUCAAAAUUUAGAAUAGAGCUUGAGACUAUUGAAAUAGGUGGGGUUGCACCAAACCACAUCACAUCGUUGUUUGCACCUUUUUUCACUCUCUUUUACUUAGUUGCUCUAUAUUUGUUGUCUAGUAAUAUCCUAUAGGCUUGAUGGGUUAGGGAGCAUCCCUUUGUGAAAAAAUUUUAUUCAAUCCUUAGUUGUAUCACGCAUAUAUAAAAUGCCUCAUUGUUUUAAUGGUAUUCAGUCGUGGCAUCACAGAUAUGGGCAUCUAAAUUUUAAAAGUUUGAAACUUUUAUCUAAAGAAAAUAUGGUGCUUUGCCUUUUUGUAAAGCAUGUUGAUGAAAUCCAUGAGAAUUGUGUACUUGGGAAGCAACACCGAGAUGACUUUUUUUUUUUUUUUAUAAUAUUGUUUGUCCAAAUUCCCUACAAAUUAGGCCACCAGAUGUUCAUAAUUCUCCCUUCUUGAAUUUGAAAACUCGGACAAUUGGACAAUGCGACACCUAAGUCCGGUUUCUAAAUGCUAAAGUGAAAGGGUAGGUAUGGACCAUUGAAAUGUGAUCACAACUUUUCUCUGUAGCCAUGUUGUCUCUUUUUUCUUUUGCAUGAUUUUCUUACCUUAACAGAAUCAUAGACUUGUUUAGUCUCUAAAUGGGAUUAAUUUCAUCCAGCUUUAAGCUACUAUAUUAUAUCUAGGUGGAGGACUUUUAAGAGUGCAACCGACAUAGAGCACAUGGAAGUGGGUAUAUGGGACAUGAAAUUUCUUCUUAUAAAGAUUGCAUGAUUUUUAUAUUAGAGUUGUUGAGGCGCUAUGUAUUUAGCUUGUUUUGCAGUUAAAUUAAUUGGAUAAGUAGACAUUGGCGUUUCUAAAUCUACUGUGAAGUGCUUCAUGUACGUGUGAAGUAUUAGAAAUUUCUUUCUUGGCAACUUGUUUUUCUUUGCGGUCUACUGAUAGGUUUGACUAAAAUUAUAUUCCCUGUCAUGCUAAUUAAUUUUCACGUGCAUGCUCAAAAGAAAAGUAUGACCUUAGUGCACCAAAAUCACUUUGAUUAAUUUGUGAUAGGUUUUUGUGCAUCAUGACAUUAGCCUUAUUCAUUUAGAUAAUGUUUAGUUUUUAGAAAGUAUUAAGAAAAGGAAAAUAAAUAUUAAGAAAAAUAUUCUUAUAUUUGAUUGUAUUAUGAAAAAUAUCAUAAAAAAAUCAAAUAUAAUUUAAAUUAAUUAAUAAUUUAUACAUUUUCAAAUUAUUUAAUCUUUAUAUUGAAGAUAUAAUAUAAAUGAAAUGAGUUUUAAGUAUUAUAUAAAAGUGAUUUAUUGAUCUUACAUAUAUAUAUUUCUUUUUUUUUUCCUUCUAUUUUUUCUCUUUAUUUUAUUUUCCUUAUGUUUUCCUCAACAUUUUCCGGAACCAAACAUAGCCUUAGGAAAUCCACAAUUACCUUCAACUGAGUAGAUUCUGUUGUUUUAGCAAUGUUAGGCUGCUAACUUGUGUUGGUACGAACCUAUUAAGCCUAAAGAUGUAAUUAGUUAGGAUAUUCUUUUCCCUCUAGUCUUGUAGCUCCACGUGUACAGUUGGUUAGGACCUCAUUGUAUAUAAUGCUUGCCCUGUUAUUGUAGAAGACAACAAAGAUAAAUAAUAUUAACAUUUUUCCUCUCAUCUCUCUCUGUUUCCCUCUGUUUUCAUCUCCUCUCUCAUCUUGGUAUCAGAGCCUCCAUGGCUUCUUUCAAAGAAACCUCCGAAUCACCUUCUGCUAGCAUUGUUAAUGUGCAAAACCCAUUAUCUCAAUCAAACAACCUUCCUUCACCAGUAGCCACACCCUCUUUUUCUUUCUCGUCUAUGAAUCAACCUCUCACAGUGAAGCUGGAUAAUGGGAACUACCUCAUAUGGAAGAAUUAGCUUCUAAAUGUCAUCAUUGCUAACGGACUCGAUGAUUUCAUUGACGGAUCUCGACCCUGCCCUCCUCGAUUUCUCGAUCUGCAACAACAAACCCUCAAUCCAGAGUACUCAGCUUGGCAGAGAUACAAUCGACUUCUGAUGAGUUGGCUGUACGCAUCCUUGUCCAAAGAUAUAAUGGCUCAGAUUGUUGGGUAUUCAACAGCUAUGGAGAUUUGGAAUGCCCUUAAUCAGAUUUACUCUGCCUCUUCUAUGGCGCGGUUUACUGAGCUUCGCACCAAGCUUCAAACGCUCAAGAAAGAUGGACUCUCAGUUGGUGAAUAUAUUCAAAGGCUCAAAUCCAUUUGCAAUAGUCUUGCAGCAAUAGGAGAACCAGUUUCUGAGAAAGACCAUCUUAUCUAUUUGUUCAAUGGAUUAGAUUGUGAGUAUUAUUCUUUUGUUACCUCCAUUCAAAAUCGAUCUGACCAACCAACUAUUGACAAAAUCCAUAGCCUAUUGCUUAGCUAUGACUUCCGGCUUGAACAACAAAACUCUGUUUCUCUCCAUUCUGCCCAAGUCCAUAUGGCUCAUCUGAACAAGAAACCUUAUAAAUCAACUCCUCAACCUACAUUCAAUCAUAUUCACAUUCAACCUAGAUACUCUUCUCCACCUUUUAAGCCAACCACUAGUCAAUAUCAACCCAACAUUUUGGGCAAACCACAACCACAACCAUGACAGCCUCAACCUCAAUGGAAACCACAUUUUUCAAUCUAAAAUCAAAAGCCUCAGCGCCAAAUUUGUGGUAAAUUUGGACACACUGCUCUUAUUUGCUUCCAUCACACAAAUUUGAACUAUUCACCCCAACCUUCUCCUAAAUCUUUCAAUACUGUUCUCACCACAAAUUCCCAGCUCCCUAAUCCUCCAAAAUUUUCUUACCCUACAAUGGCUCAUCCUGCUGCUACGCAUAACACGGUUCCCGAUACAAAUUGGUACAUGGACUCAGGUGCUACACAUCACUUUACUCUGGACAUCAACGUGCUUGACACUGUGACACCAUUUAGUGGUUCAGAACAGGUGACAGUUGGGAAUGGUAAGCAACUCUGUAUCUCACAUCUUGGUACUGCAAAACUACCAUCUUCGUAUUCUCCUCCUGUUCUACAUCAGGUAUAUCACACUCCAAAAAUUUCAAAUAAUCUUAUUAGUGUUAAAAAAUUGUGUUCUGAUAAUAAAGUUUUUGUUGAAUUUUAUGCCACUCAUUUUCUUGUCAAGGAUCAGGUUUCGAAGAGAGUUCUCCUUUAGGGUCAACUUGAUAAUGGCUUAUACAAAGUUCAGUCGUCAUGCUCUCCUUCUGCUGUUUCCUUUCCUCCUCAAGUUUUCAUAGCCAACAUCAAGUAUCCAAAUCUGUGGCACAAGAGACUAGGCCACCCAGCUUUAUCUGUUGUUAAUCAAAUCUUGGAUUCUUGUAACAUUGCUCGAACACAGAAAAUUUGUUUUAAUUUUUUAAAUUCUUGUCAAUUAGCAAAGAGCCACAGGCUUCCUUUUUCUCUGUCUCCAUCCAUUGCAGAAAAACCUUUUGAGUUAAUUCAUACAGACCUAUGGGGUCUUUCGCUCGUUCGCUCUAUUUCUGGUGCUCUUUAUUUUUUACUUUUCAUUGAUGAUCAUACUCGUUUUACUUGGUUUUAUUUGCUCAAAACAAAAGAUGAAGCAUAUCCUACUUUUCUCAAGUUUCAAGCUCUCAUUGAAAAUCAAUUUAAUACCAAGAUUAAGGCUGUCCAAUCUGAUUGGGGAGGUGAGUUUCGAUCUCUCUCCAUACCGUUUUCAAAUAUGGGCAUUGUCUAUUGUUUAUCGUGUCCAUACACCUCACAACAGAAUGGGCGAGUUGAGCGAAAAAAUCGCCAUGCGAUUGUCCUUUCUUGCUUGCUCUAUGCCCUUAUCUUAUUGGCCUUAUGCCUUUCAAACUGCCACUUACCUUAUUAAUCGUCUCUCUACCCCUGUGCUGCAUCAUCAAUCCUCUUACUUCGCACUCUAUCACAAACUCCCAACUUAUACUCAUCUUAAGGUCUUUGGUUCCUCUUGUUUUCCGUAUUUGCACCCUUAUAAUACCCAUAAACUCCAAUACAGGUCACUAGAGUGUGCUUUUCUUGGUUACAGUUCACACCACAAAGGUUAUCUAUGUCUUGACAUUCAUUCUAGCAGGGUGUAUAUUUCUCGCCAUGUGAUUUUUAAUGAAGAUUCUUUUCCAUUCAAGAAUUUGAAAUCUUCUCUCUCUCAGUCUAUUUCUUCUUCCUCUUCUUUAUAAGUUCCUCUGUUCAUUCUCUUGCCUCCCCUUUCCCCAUCUCCUCUUAUUUCUUCAUCUAUACCUCAUUCUUUUCCCUCUUCUUCUUCUACCUCUAGUACUUGUUCCCCUCUCGUUGCUCCUACCUCUCUUCCUUCCUCUUCACACUCUGUGUCUCCAUCUAUUCCACCUCCUUCUCCACCUUCUCCGAGUGUGGACCUGCUUGCACCUUGUGUGAAUACAAAUUUACAUACUUCUUCUCGCACUCACAAUAUUCAUCCUAUGGUGACUAGAUCUAAGGUUUGUAUCUAUAAACCUAAGUUGUUGUUGAGUGUCUCCAUAGGUUCUCUCACUAAGCCUACUUCCUUUCUUCAAGCUAUUAAAGAUCCUUCAUGGAAGCAAUCCAUGGAAUUCGAGUUUGCUACCCUUCAACACAACAAGACCUGGCAUUUGGUUCCUUCACCUUCCUCAGGCGAAGUAAUCGGUUGUAAAUGGGUCUAUAAGCUAAAGCUUCAGCCUGAUGGCUAAAUUGAGAGAUACAGCCUGCUUAGUAGCUAAGGGUAUCAUCAAAUUGAAGUAUGGACUACUUCGAAACAUUCAGCCUGAUNNNNNNNNNNNNNNNNNNNNNNNNNNNNNNNNNNNNNNNNNNNNNNNNNNNNNNNNNNNNNNNNNNNNNNNNNNNNNNNNNNNNNNNNNNNNNNNNNNNNAGCUUCAGCCUGAUGGCUAAAUUGAGAGAUACAAGGCCUGCUUAGUAGCUAAGGGUUAUCAUCAAAUUGAAGGUAUUGACUACUUCGAAACAUUCAGCCUGAUUGUCAAGCUUUCUACUAUCUGUAUUGUGCUCAGUCUUACUUUUUCCCAGAAUUGGUGUAUUAGACAGCUGGAUGUUCAUAAUGCCUUCUUACAUGGUGACUUAGCUAAAGACGUUUUCAUGGAACAACUGCCUGGAUUUGUUGAUCCUCUCUAUCCUACUCAUGUCUGCAAGUUGGAUAAGUCUCUCUACUGUCUUAAAUAGUCACCUCGGGCUUGGUAUACUAAGCUGAGUACUUCUCGCUACACUUGGGAUUUGUUACUUCUAAGAAUGACUCUUCCUUAUUUAUUUGUCAUUCGUCUCAUGGGUUACUUCUUGUUCUUGUCUAUGUGGAUGAUAUAAUCGUCAUUGGGAGCCACUCUCCUCAGGUUACUCACCUUAUCCAACAGUUGCAUCAUUAGCUUUCUUUAAAGGAUCUUGGUCCUUUACAUUAUUUUCUGGGCUUGGAGGUUCAUCACACCCCUACUGGUAUUCACCUCAGCCAAGCAAAGUAUAUCACUGAUCUCCUUACCCGGGCGGCUAUGUUGGAUGCCAAGCCAUGUCCCACUCCUAUGUCCUCCAACACAUAUCUCUCUUUUCAUGAUGGAGUGGCUCUUGAAAAUGGUUCAGAUUAUCGAAGUUUUGUUGGUGCCCUUUAGUAUUGUACCAUGACACGCCCAGAUAUAGCUUUUGCAAUAAAUAAAGUGUGUCAAUUCAUGCACCAUCCCUCUAAUGUUCACUGGCAGGCUAUAAAACGUAUUCUCCGGUACUUAAAGGGCACAUCUCAUUUUGGUCUCUUCCUACAGCCUUCCUAUGACUUCAACAUCACUUGCUAUACAAAUGCCGACUGGGCUUCCUGUCCUGAUGACAAGUGUAGCACCAGUGGCUACUGCCUCUUUCUUGCCUCUAAUCUGGUUUCUUGGUCAUCUUCCAAACAAAAAGUGGUCUCCCGCUCCAGCGCCGAAUCAGAGUACCGAGGGGUAGCAAAUGGGGCUGCUGAAAUUGCUUGGACUGAAUCUCUUCUUUGUGAACUUUCCAUUACUCCCCCUCCCCUCAUUCUCUGUGACAAUAUCAGUGCCACGUACUUAGCUGCCAAUCCUAUUUUGCAUGCCCGCACCAAACAUGUGGAAAUCGACUAUCACUUUGUCACGGAACGUGUUCUUCAAUGCUCUCUUUUUGUCCAGUUUACACCUUCUGAUGAUCAACUUGCUGAUUGCAUGACCAAGCCUCUCUCCACCCAACGUUUCAUCACUCUACGCUCCAAGCUCACUGUUCUCACUAGACCAAUGAGCUUGAGGGGGGAUGUUAAGCCUAAAGAUGUAAUUAGUUAGGAUAUUCUUUUCCCUCUAGUCUUGUAGCUCCACGUGUACAGUUGGUUAGGACCUCAUUGUAUAUAAUGCCUGCCCUGUUAUUGUAGAAGACAACAGAGAUAAAUAAUAUUAACAUUUUUCCUCUCAUCUCUCUCUCUGUUUCCCUCUGUUUUCAUCUCCUCUCUCAUCUGAACCAAAUGAUCCAUGUUAACCUUGGCUUGGUUUGAUUUGGCUCUAUCUUAGAGAGCUCAAGGAUCACGUCAACUCUGGUUUCUACUAUUCAGGUCCAUUCCCAUAUGAACUGGUUCAAAUUUGAGAAAAUGGUAACAGACCUUUAGUGAUGUUGGUUUGGAGCCAGUUGCCAAACCCGCCCUGAGCUUUACCACUAAUGUCAAGGGAGAAAGCCAUUUGAACAAAAACAAUAGCUUCAAGGGACUGAAUCGUGGAUGAAAUCUGAUCCACAUUUCUUCUCAUUUUGGAAACAAAUGAGAACUUAACUAAGAAGAUUCUACGGCCUCAUAGUGCUUUUCCUGAUCUAAGGUUGGUUCGUUUCCCAAACUGUGAGAUGCACGUGCCAGACUUCAGAACUCUCACGCUCAGGAGUGUAUCCACGUGGUGGACAUAAGAUGGUGGCUUAAGAUCUGGUGUCGGUGGCUUUACUUUACUAGGAGAGUAGUGUGUCUUCAUCUCAUUCACUGCCGGAGGGUGGCGUAAGCAGUGACGCUAAGGUGGGGCACAGUCAAUAUCAUUUGCAUUUGACCAUUAUAGUUUUCUCCCGGCUUUAAAGUAACCUUAUCGUGAUAAAGGAUUACUAGCACUAGUUCAGAUGAUAGUCAUGUUAAAUUCGGACCAUGUUUGUGUCACAUUAUCAGCAACCAUGUGUUUAUGGUUCAUGCUUUCUGCAACUAAAAUUGAUAUAUAACCAGGUGAACUUCAAUCUAAAUUCUGAAAGUACUCAUGUGAUAGAUGGUGCCCGUCUGCAGAGUCCAUCAAUUGAAAAAUGGAGUGAGUGUAUCUAUAAGAGGGAAGGCUUGGAAAAUGUUCAGUUUUCUGGGAAUUCAACAAGGAUCUAAAAUAGAUUGUUUUCUUUGCUGAUUUCAAUGGUUGAAAUUUGAGAAGAUUGUGUCCACAUAACACAACUAUUACUGGUCCUUCUGUUGCAAUUUAUCCUCUAAAGCUCUAGCAUGUCUUCCAAUUCCCACUUCCCUGUUACUCCAGGAAAGCUAUUUCUGUCAUUGUGAAGAAGAAAAGAGAAUGUACAUAUCGAUGCUUUUAAGUGACUGGAGCAUUUAUAUCAGGUGGUCUGCAGCCAUAUAUGCCACUUUGUGAAGAUUGGAACAGUCAAUCACUAGGCUAUAUAUUAGUGUGGCCCAGCCACUUUAAUCAAGGACAAGUCUUCAUACUUAAAGUCAAAUUCUGCCUUUAGUCUCAUUAUAAAUUUCUGUUUAAAUAUUAAGCAAACAUUUGUUUAAUGCGAUUAAGACAGUACUAACUCAAUACCUGUUCUAUUUUUGGAUGCAAAUGCUUGAUGGUUUCAUCAUUGGAUGGGAUAAAGGUGCAUUCAUGAUUAGGAAUACUAGUAGUUAUAUUUUAAUUCUCUUUUUUCUCAAUGAGACUUGUUGGCACAAUUUUGCUGUUGAGAAACCUACCUCUCCAUGGAAAAUAAGUUGUGAUUGAUAGUACUGGAUAUAUUCAAGAAAUCUAAAUAUAGAUAGCACAAAAUAUUAUCGACAUAAAUAGCAUUAACAGCGUACGUAUGUCUCAGUGCUCAUCAGCUAUAAGCAUGGGGCAAACACUUACUAUGAGCAACUUACGUCAAAAUUCCAGAAUAGGACAUAGAAGUGACAGAUAUAGAACAUUGCAUAUGAGUCACAAGAAAGGAAAUUACGGGUGCAUAGCAGCUCUUAUUUUACAUACUACUACUCAUACUGAUCAAAGUCACUCAGUUGGGAUGGGUGGGAGUAGGAGGUUUGUGGGGUGGCUUGUGCGGAGGAGUUGGCAGCUUCUUUCCAGGACCUGGUUGCUUCUCUGCUGGAGUUGAAGGAGGCUUAAUCUUCCGAGGUGGCUUGUAUGAGUCUUCAGCAUUCUCAGCUGGAGGGUGACCAGGGUUGUGACCAUAAUGUGGUGGCUUCUCUCCCUUAGGUGGUUUGCCAACUGGGGUUGGUGGCUUGUAUGAGUCUUCAGCAUUCUCAGCAGGAGGGUGACCAGGGUUGUGACCAUAAUGUGGUGGCUUCUCUCCCUUAGGUGGUUUGCCAACUGGGGUUGGUGGCUUGUGUUCUGGGAGUGGCUUCUCCCCCUUGGGAGGUUUUUCCAAUGGGGUUGGUUUGUGUUCAGGAGGUGGCUUCUCCACUGGAGGCUUGUGUUCAGGAGGUGGCUUCUCCACCGGAGGCUUGUGUUCAGGUGGUGGCUUCUCCACCGGAGGCUUAUGCUCUGGUGGUGGCUUCUCGAAUGGGGGAUGCUUAGGAUAAUCAGCAAGUGAGGGGGCGGUGAGAACCACCAGGCCAAGCAACACCACUAGCAAAUAUGUAGGAGACAUCUUUGGGUUUGGGCUCAGAUGGUGCAAAACUAGGAGAAUUGGCUAGCCUUUUAUAGCGGAUCGUACCCAAUAAUGAAAUGACACGUGUCAUUAUGACCCAUGUGUAAUGGGGUCGAUUUGGGUCCUACAGUGUUGAAAACUUCGACAUCCACUUUUGGCCUUUUGCUUUCUCUACAGCCGCCUUGCUUUUUCCCUCUUUCCUUUUGUUUUCCUCCUGCCCCAUUCUAUCAACUAAACACAAUUAUGUAGUUGUUUAAUUCUUAAAUGAGAUAUUAUCCGUCAAUCGUAUUAUAUUUUAUCAAGAGAGAACGGAGUGCAAUGUGGCUGUAAUUUUAUCGUUUAGUUUUAUCUCUUGGACCACUGCAUUUUUGUUAAGAGGUGCAAUAAUACACGUCUUUAUCUGCCAUUCAAUAUUUACAGUAAAGAGAGGGCACAAAACUCUUCACUUCGCACCAUAAUUAUUUUGUUUUCUGGACACCCCGGGGCCCUUUGGUUGGUUUGGGGGUCAGAAAGUGAACAUCAUAGGGGGUUUUUCCCUUAUGUGCAUUUGUAUCUGAUGGCUUUAACUCGCCUUGUUACUACAAAGAAACUGUCACAGAUAGGAACUUAUUCCAGGCUGAGUAUCUCCUCAUAGACCCUAUAAAAGAAGACAAGUCAUAAUGAACAUCUAACCUUUGUUCAAUUUGAUUCAAUGCCCCCAUUGUGUCCAUCUCACAAAUCUGAAUUAUUAUAUCCAUUGAAUACAUAAAUUAAUGAAGAAAAUAUGAAACCCAAGAUACAUCUCUGCACAACCUCAACCCUGGUUGCUAUGUUUCCCUUCUAUUCACAUGAUUUGAUGCUAAUUGCCAAACUUGCAACAAGCCCUGAGUUUGACACCUAGUAUCGAUGGGCGAAUUUAAAGUCUCCUCCAAACAUAUAUUCCACAGCUUGAAGCUCACAGAAGAUGUUACAGGCAGGGAAAAACCUUCAGAGUUCGCUACCAAAGAUAAUUAUUAAGGAGAUAUCACAAAGAGAAUUCCAAGGGGUCUGAAUCAAAGACAAAUUGGUCGUUCGUGGGGGUUCUUACUUUCUUUUGGGUAUAACUCACUGAGGGCACUGUCUUUGUUAUUUGCAUUUCACAUUUAGAGUUCUGUUCUGGAAACAUAUAAAAGGAGCAUCAUUUUGUUCUUGGGUAACCCAUAGUCGUGAGUGGGUCCAUUUGCAUGCUACUUAGUUGAAAAGUUGGACCAUUUGCUCCGACGCCUACCUCCCGGAUUCCAUGCUCGGAUAAAACAAGAAUAAAAAAAAUAUUUAUAAUUUACAAAUGGGGGAAAGAAAAAAAUGUCAACAACAAACCAGGAAAAAAGAGUAGUAAAAUUCAUGUCACAUGCUAGUGAGAGAAGGGGUUGUUACACUCACUCGAAGUUCUUUCCAAAAUAUCGCAUGGUAUUUUAUUUUAUGUGUCAGCGCAGUUGUGAAUGGAACGUGCAAAAGUCCAAAUUGGCGUUUUUCCUUUUCCCGUGUAGGAUGGCGACCUUUAAUAAAUAUUUAAAACAAAAAACGAAAAAAAGGAGGGAAAAGGGAUCAGAAAAGAUAAAACAAUGUGUACAAGAGCUCAAUUAGUUUGCAAAUUACUGUUUGGAUUUUGAUAGUAUUUUAUUUGUCCAUCUAUAUUUGAUGGAAAAGAGAAUUUAAGAUAUUUCUGAAACAAAAGCAUUAGUGUAAAACUAAAUUAAGGUAUAAUUAAGUUAGUUCAAUGCAUUAAUUUAAGAAACUUGAUCUAUCCAAAGUACAAAAUUAGAUGAAAUCCAUUUCAAUGGUUAAAAUGAUCAAAAUCAAACUUUUUCUAAGUAUUUUUUAAAAGCAUCAAUAUUAAAAGACAAUUUUAUAUUUAGUCGGAGUUUGGACAAAACCAAAAAGCACACAAAAUCCAAGCGACCAUCUCUAGCUUGGAUAGUCACUUGAUCCCACCUAGAGAUGUGCAUGAGUAAAAGGAUUUGAAAAUGGAAAUUGACUAAAUAUUUAGUUGAUCAAUUAAAUUUGCAAUGUCAUAUGCAAUCCUAAUAGCUAGUCAUCUAAUCAAUUAGGUAGUCAAUCAAGUGUUUGUAAUGACUAUUUUGUACAAAAAACCACAUGUAUAGUUAAAUAUAAUGCAUUUCAUUUAUAAAUCUUCUAAUUCUUGAAUAACGAUCCUAUCAUCCUUUGAAAAUUUUUAUUACACCUUUUUUACUUUUGUUCUAAAACUUACAUAUCACCCUUAAUUGUACCAUGAGAACCUAGCUAUUUUUUUUUUUUUUGUAAUUCAUCAAAGUUAGCUUUUGUAUUCAUUGUUGUAUUAUUUUUAGUAUAACUUAGAAAGCUAGUGUUUUCAAGUGAGUAAAAUUAACUUGUAAAUAUUGUAAAGAUUCAUUGAUAUGUAUCUUAAACUAAGUGUACAAAUUAAAACAUUUGCUAGUAGAUUUUCUCAAAAUUUAGAAUAGAGCUUGAGGCUAUUGAAAUAGGUGGGGUUACACCAAACCACAUCACAUCGUUGUUUGCACCUUUUUUCACUCUCUUUUACUUAGUUUCUCUAUAUUUGUUGUCUAGUAAUAUCCUAUAGGCUUGAUGGGUUAGGGAGCAUCCCUUUGUGAAAAAAUUUCAUUCAAUUCUUAGUUGUAUUACGCAUAUAUAAAAUGCCUCAUUGUUUUAAUGGUAUUCAGUCGUGGCAUCACAGAUAUGGGCAUCUAAAUUUUAAAAGUUUGAAACUUUUGUAAAGCAUGUUGAUAAAAUCCAUGAGAGUUGUGUACUUGGGAAGCAACAUCGAGGUGACUUUAUUUUUUUUUCCUUUUAUAAUGCCACACCUAAGUCCGGUUUCUAAAUGCUAAAGUGAAAGGGUAGGUAUGGACCAUUGAAAUGUGAUCACAACUUUUGGCCUUUUCCUUUCUCUGCAGCCAUGUUGUCUCUUUUUUCUUUUGCAUGAUUUUCUUACCAAAACAGAAUCAUAGACUUGUUUAGUCUCUAAGCUACUAUAUUAUAUCUCGGUGGACUUUUAAGAGUGCAACCGACAUAGAGCACAUGCAAGUGGGCAUAUGGGACAUGAAAUUUCUUCUUACAAAGAUUGCAUGAUUUUUAUAUUAGAGUUGUUCACGUGCAAUGUAUUUAGCUUGUUUUGCAGUUAAAUUAAUUGGAUAAGUAAACAUUGGCAUUUCUAAAUCGACUGUGAAGUGCUUCAUGUACGUGUAAAGUAUUAGAAAUUUCUUUCUUGGCAACUUGUUUUUUCCUUGCCAUCUACUGGUAGGUUUGACUAAAAUUAUAUUCCCUGUCAUGCUAAUUAAUUUUCAUGUGCAUGCUCAAAAGAAGAGUAUGACCUUAGUGCACCAAAAUCACUUUGAUUAAUUUGUGAUAGGUUUUUUUGCAUCAUUUAGAUAAUGUUUAGUUCUAAGAAAAAUUUAUAUAAAAAUGGUUUAUUUAUCUUACAUAUAUAUAUAUAUAUAUAUAUUUUUUUUUUUUUCAUUUUUUUUUCUUCUAUUUUAUUUAUUUAUUUUAUUUUCCUUAUGUUUUCCUCACAUUUUCCGGAACUAAACAUAGUCUUACGAAAUCAACAAUUGCCUUCAACUGAGUAGAUUCUGUUGUUUUAGCAAUGUUAGGCUGCUAACUUGUGGUGGUACGAACCAAAUGACCCAUGUUAAUCUUGGCUUGGUUUGAUUUGGCUCUAUCUCAGAGAGCUAAAGGAUCACGUCAACUCUGGUUUCUACUAUUCAGGUCCAUUCCCAGAUGAACUGGUUCAAAUUUGAGAAAAUGGUAACAGACCUUUAGUGAUGUUGGUUUGGAGCCAGUUGCCAAACCCGCCCUGAGCUUUACCACUAAUGUCAAGGGAGAAAGCCAUUUGAACAAAAACAAUAGCUUCAAGAGACUGAAUCGUGGAUGAAAUCUGAUCCACAUUUCUUCUCAUUUUGGGAAAAAAUGAGAACUUAACUACAAAGAUUCUACUGCCUCAUUCAUAGUGCUUUUCCUGAUCCAAGGUUGGUUCGUUUCCCAAAUUGUGAGGUGCACGUGCCACUCUCACGCUCAGGAGUGUAUCCACGUGGUGGACAUCAGAUGGUGGCUUAAUAUCUGGUGUCGGUGGCUUUACUUUACUAGGAGAGUAGUGUGUCUUCAUCUCAUUCACUGCCGGAGGGUGGCGUAAGCAGUGACGCUAAGGUGGGGCACAGUCAAUAUCAUUUGCAUUUGACCAUUAUAGUUUUCUCCCGGCUUGAAAGUAACCUUAUCGUGAUAAAGGAUUACUAGCACUAGUUCAGAUGACCGUCAUGUUAAUUCGGACCAUGUUUGUGUCACAUUAUCAGCAACCAUGUGUUUAUGGUUCAUGCUAUCUGCAACUAAACUUGAUAUAUAACCAGGUGAACUUCAAUCAAAAUUCUGGAAGUACUCUUGUGAUAGAUGGUGCCUGUCUGCAGAGUCCAUCAAUUGAAAAAUGGAGUGAGUGUAUCUAUAAGAGGGAAGGCUUGGCAAAUGUUCAGUUUUCUGGGAAUUCAACAAGGAUCUAAAAUAGAUUGUUUUCUUUGCCGACUUCAAUGGUUGAAAUUUGAGAAGAUUGUGUCCACAUAUCACAACUAUUACUGGUCCUUCUGUUGCAAUUUAUCCUGUAAGGCUCUAACAUGUCUUCCAAUUCCCACUUCCCUGUUACUCCAGGAAAGCUAUUUCUGUCAUUGUGAAGAAGAAAAGAGAAUGUACAUAUCGAUGCUUUUAAGUGACUGGAGCAUUCAUAUCAGGUGGUCUGCAGCCAUAUAUGCCACUUUGUGAAGGUUGGAACAGUCAAUCACUAGGCUAUAUAUUGGUGUGGCCCAGCCACUUCAAUCAAGGACAAGUCUUCAUACUUAAAGUCAAAUUCUGCCUUUAGUCUCAUUAUAAAUUGCUGUUUAAAUAUUAAGCAAACUUUUGUUUAAUGCGAUUAAGACAGUACUAACUCAAUACUUGUUCUAUUUUUGGAUGCAAAUGCUUGAUGGUUUCAUCAUUGGAUGGGAUAAAGGUGCAUUCAUGAUUAUGAAUACUUGUAGUUAUAUUUUCAUUCUCUUUUUUCUCAAUGAGACUUGUUGGCACAAUGUUGCUGUUCAGAAACCUACCUCUCCAUGGAAAAUAAGUUGCGAUUGAUAGUACUGGAUAUGUUCAAGAAAGCUAAAUAUAGAUAGCACAAAAUAUUAUCGAUAUAAAUAGCAUUAACAGCGUACGUAUGUCUCAAUGCUCAUCAGCUAUAAGCAUGGGACAAACACUUACUAUGAGCAACUUACGUCAAAAUUCCAGAAUAGGACAUAGAAGUGACAGAUCUAUAUAUAUAGAACACUGCAUAUGAGUCACAAGAAAGGAAAUUACGGGUGCAUAGCAGCUCUUAUUUUACAUACUACUACUCAUACUGAUCAAAGUCACUCAGUUGGGAUGGGUGGGAGUAGGAGGUUUGUGGGGUGGCUUGUGCGGAGGAGUUGGCAGCUUCUUUCCAGGACCUGGUUGCUUCUCUGCUGGAGUUGAAGGAGGCUUAAUCUUCCGAGGUGGCUUGUAUGAGUCUUCAGCAUUCUCAGCUGGAGGGUGACCAGGGUUGUGACCAUAAUGUGGUGGCUUCUCUCCCUUAGGUGGUUUGCCAACUGGGGUUGGUGGCUUGUAUGAGUCUUCAGCAUUCUCAGCAGGAGGGUGACCAGGGUUGUGACCAUAAUGUGGUGGCUUCUCUCCCUUAGGUGGUUUGCCAACUGGGGUUGGUGGCUUGUGUUCUGGGAGUGGCUUCUCCCCCUUGGGAGGUUUUUCCAAUGGGGUUGGUUUGUGUUCAGGAGGUGGCUUCUCCACUGGAGGCUUGUGUUCAGGAGGUGGCUUCUCCACCGGUGGCUUGUGUUCAGGAGGUGGCUUCUCCACCGGAGGCUUAUGCUCUGGUGGUGGCUUCUCCACCGGAGGCUUAUGCUCUGGUGGUGGCUUCUUGAAUGGGGGAUGCUGAGGGUAAUCAGCAAGUGAGGGGGCGGUGAGAACCACCAGGCCAAGCAACACCACUAGCAAAUAUGUAGGAGACAUCUUUGGGUUUGGGCUCAGAUGGUGCAAAACUAGGAGAAUUGGCUAGCCUUUUAUAGCGGAUCGUACUCAAUAAUGAAAUGACACGUGUCAUUAUGACCCAUGUGUAAUGGGGUCGAUUUGGGUCCUACAGUGUUGAAAACUUCGACAUCCAGUUUUGGCCUUUUGCUUUCUCUACAGCCGCCUUGCUUUUUCCCUCUUUCCUUUUGUUUUCCUCCUGCCCCAUUCUAUCAACUAAACACAAUUAUGUAGUUGUUUAAUUCUUAAAUGAGAUAUUAUCGGUCAAUCGUAUUAUAUUUUAUCAAGAGAGAACGGAGUGCAAUGCAGCUGUAAUUUUAUCGUUUACUUUUAUCUCUUGGACCACUGCAUUUUUGUUAAGAGGUGCAAUAAUACACGUCUUUAUCUGCCAUUCAAUGUUUACAGUAAAGAGAGGGCACAAAACUCUUCACUGCUCUGCAUGUGUCCCAAAAAUGCGAUUGGACAAAUUAUGAUUUGCAUGCUAAAAAGAGGCAAAUGAGGUUAAUUCGCACCAUAAUUAUUUGGUUUUCUGGACACCAUAAAAAGAUGUUAUACAGGCAGGGAAAAACCUUCAGAGUUAGCUACCAAAGAUAAUUAUCAAGCAGAUAUCACCAAGAGAAUUCCAUAGAGUCUGAAUCAAAGACAGAUUGCUCGCUCGUGGGGGUUCUUACUUUCUUUUGGGUAUAACUCACUGAGGUCACUGUCUUUUUUAUUUGCAUUUCACAGUUAGAGUUCUGCUCUGGAAGGUUUGUUCUGGAAACAUAUAAAAGGAGCAUCAUUUUGUUCUUGGGUAACCCAUAGUCGUGAGUGGGUCCAUUUGCAUGCUACUUAGUUGAAAAGUUGGACAAUUUGCUCCGACGCCUACCUCCUGGAUUCCAUGCUCGGUAAAACAAGAAUAAAAAAAAAUAUAUAAUUUACAAAUGGGGGAAAGAAAAAAUGUCGGAAAAAAUAGUAAAAUUCAUGUCACAUGCUAGUGAGAGAAGGGGUUGUUACACUCACUCGAAGUUCUUUUCAAAAUAUCGAAUGGUAUUUUACUUUAUGUGUCAGCGCAGUUGUGAAUGGAACGUGCAAAAGUCCAAAUUGGCGUUUUUAUUUUUCCCAUGUAGGAUGGUGACCUUUAAUAAAUAUUUAAAACAAAAGACGAAAAAAAAAAGGAGGGAAAAGGGAUCACAAAAGAUAAAAUAAUGUUUACAAAAGCUCAAUUAGUUUGCAAAUUACUGUUUGGAUUUUGAUAGUAUUUUAUUUGUCGUUCUAUAUUUGAUGUAAAAGAGAAUUUAAGAUAUUUCCGAAGCAAAAGCAUUAGUUUGCUCUGUGAUGUCCCACAUCGAAUAGGGGAGAAAGUUUCUGGCGCUAUAUAUGUAGAGGCUCCUCUUAACCAAGUAGAUGCGUUUUAAAACCAUGAGGGCCCCCUUAGGUCCAAAGCGGACAAUAUCUACAUGAUUGGGUGUAAGUCAUUACAAAUGGUAUCAGAGCCGAUCCCCGACCCCGGUGUGGGGGUUUGUUUGGCCCUGUAAGGGGUGUUUGUCUGUUUGACCCCACAAUCCCAUGGGACACAACGAGGACGUUGUGUCUGCAUGGGGGGGCGUUUGUGAUGUCCCACAUCGGAUAGGGGAGAAAGUUCCUAGUGCUAUAUAUGUAGAUGUUUCUCUUAACCAAGUAGAUGCAUUUUAAAAUUGUGAGGGCCUCUUUGGGCCCAAAGCGGACAAUAUCUACAUGGUUGAGUGUAAGUCAUUACAUGCUCCAUGUCAAUUUCAGCAUUUCUCAUAUGUUUCACACAUACACAGAAGAGCAUCGUUUUUUAAAGCAUGCAUUUAUGUUGGAUUAAUUUGGAUUUUGUGGGAACUGGGGCAAGGAUCACAUGGAAGAGAGGUUGACUUUUUUCAGUACUUCAAUGGUUGAAAUAUGUGAAGGCUUGAUUGAUACUAAAGCUUGAAAUUGCGACUCUGUCAUUUGUAAAAAAAUAUGACAGCUUCCAUGCUCUCGUUUGGUUGCAUUGUCCGGUCGAGAGGUGCAAAAAGCAUUCUCUCUCUUCUAAUAGUCUUUUCGUUUAAAUCAAGGGAUUUGCCUUCCCGGUCGAGGUCCAAUAGAGGGUAACGGUCACCUACUAAACAUUAAAUGCUCCAACAACUAGUGAACUGAUCGACCCCAGCUCGACUAGUUGAGGUUACUUUUUGGUUUUCUUGUCUCCCGAGGUUAGAAACCUAUAAAUAGAGAGCUUCACUUCAUUUAUGAGUAAGAGAACACCUAAAUUUAUUUGUUUACCUACUUGUUUUUGCCAUAAAAGCUCUCAUUUCUUUUCUUGGUGUAUUAAAUCUCCAUUUGCAUAUCCUUUAGUGCACCUUUGUGAUUCAUUCUAGCCUUGAGUUGUAUUUAAGCCUUUGUUGAGCUAGGUUGAGAGUUUCAUACUUGUUUAUUGAGUGUUAAAGCCUUCAAGUGAGUUAAAACUUGAAGAGAUUGUGUAAGAGCCCAUUGGAGUCGGAAUCCAAGUGUAAAGGUGAUUAAAAGCUUGGUUGAAGCUUCAAGUUAGUGGAACUCUCACUCGGUUAUGAGCUUGAGAAGAGUGGACAUAGACAAGGCAGUGUCGAACCACUAUAAAAUCUGAGUUUGAUUUCUCUAACCUUAUCUCUUUAUAUUUGCUUCUCUUGUGCUUAAAUUUUUUGUGUUUAAAAAGAAUUUUUAAAAACUCAAUUCACCCCCUUCUUGGGAGUUUUUCUCUUUUAAGAUCAGCUUUUAUUUUCUCAAUUGGUAUCAGAACUAUGCCUCUUGUUUAAGACUUAAUCGUCUAAGAGGAAAUGGCUAAUCCAUCAAGUUCAUCUCACAUUGAAAGUUUUGCAACCAAUAGACUUCUUUUUUUUUUUUUGCGGGAACUGAUUAUCCCUAUUGGAAAACUAAAAUGACUUGGUUUUUACAAUCAAUUGAUUUAGAUGUAUGAGAUGCCAUUGAAGAUGACCUAACUUUUCCUUCAAAACUAGUUGAUGGAGUCAUGGUUCCAAAACCUAAGCAAGAAUGGGAUGAGCGUGAUUGAAGAAAUUUUCAAUUAAAUGCUAAAGUCGUUUAUACUUUGCAAUGCUCUAUGGACAGAAAUGAAUAUAAUAGAAUAUGUCAAUGCAAAUCGGUUAAAGAAAUUUGGAGAUUGCUUGAAAUAACUCAUAAAGGAACAAAUCAAGUUAAAGAGUCAAAAAUCAAUUUACUUGUUCAUAGAUAUGAAUUGUUUUUUAUGAAAGAUAAUGAAACUAUUGUUAAGAUGAUCACUAGGUUCACCAACAUUGUUAAUGGUCUUAAAGCCUUGGGAAAGACCUACAAGGAAUCCGAAAACGUGAUGAAGAUCUUGAGGUCACUUCCAUCAAAGUGGCAUACCAAGGUCACCGCAAUUUAAGAAGCAAAAGACUUGAUCAAGCUACCUUUGGAGGAGUUCAUAGGGUCAUUGAUGACAUAUGAAAUCAAUUUGGCAAAGAAGUAACAAAAAGGUGAAGACAAAAAGAAGAAGAACAUAACUCUCAAAGCUACAACUAAGGAAGAAGAAGUUGAAGAAGAAAAACAAAUUGAAGAAGAUGAAGAUUUAGCCCUCAUCACAAGAAAGUUCAACAAAUUCAUGAGGGGUGAAAGGUUUAGAAGAAGAAGGUUCACUUCUAGAAGAGACUUUUCUAAAAAGGAAUCUUCAUCUAAUGGUGACAAAAAGAGAUGGGAAGAGAAAAGAGACUUGGUGUGUUUCAAGUGCAAGAAACCGGGACACAUUAAAUAUGAUUGUCCUCUCUACAAAAGUGAAGUCAAGAGGAAAAAGAAUAAGGCAAUGAUGGCCACUUAGAGUGAAAGUGAAGAUGAAUCAUCCGAAGAAGAAAAUGAGAAAGAAGUGGCAAACAUGUGUUUCAUGGCAAUAGAUGAACUUGAUGAGGUAAAAUCUAACCUUAGUGAUUAAGAUAUACAUGAUGCAUUUGAAGAAUUGUAUGAGGAUUUUUAAAAACUUAGUUUGAAAAAUAUUUCUCUUAAAAAGAAAGUUCAACAACUUGACAAAGAACUUAGAGAAGUAAAAGAAAAAUUUUCAAAUGUUAAAGUUUCUAAAACUCAUCUUGAAAAAGAAAAUGAGAUUCUAAGAAAGAAAAAUGAAUAGUUGAACUCCUCUCUUUCAAUCUUUUCUUCUAGACAAAAAUCUUUUGAAAUGAUUCUAACUAGCUAAAAAUGUGUUUUUGACAAACAAGGGUUAAGAUUUAAAUCUUCAAAAAAUCAAAAGUAUUUUAAAAACUAUUUUGUAAAGGAAUCCACAAGUGCAAGUCCUUCCACUACUUGCAACUUUUGUGGAAGAGAAUGGCACAUUAGUAGUACGCCCUUUAAGAAAUGGUUCUCAAAAGAAUUUAAAUGCAAAAACUAAAAAAGAUUUGGAUUGAGAAAUCCAAGGUCACUAACCCUCAAGGACCCAAAAAGAUAUAGGUACCUAAAUCAACUUGAGUUUUAUGUUGUAAGGUUCAAAGAAUGAUAAGUGGUUCUUAGAUAAUGGUUGCUCAAGACACAUGACCGGAGAUGAAUCCAAGUUUGCUUUUCUUAAAAAGAAAAAUGGAGGAUAUGUUACCUUUGGAGACAAUGCAAAAGAAAGGAUGAUUGGUCAAGGCAACAUUGGUAAUGGCACAUCCUCUCUCAUUGAAAGUGUUUUAUUAGUAGAUGGUUUCAAACAUAACCUUUUAAGCAUUAGUCAAUUUUGCGACAAAGGUUUUUAAGUGAUUUUUUAAGCAUCUCAUUGCAUCAUCAAGGAUAUUCAAAAUGAUAAAACCAUUUUCAUGGGCCAUAGAUGUGAUAAUGUUUAUGCUAUAAAUAUUUCAAAAUAUGAUGGCCAUGAUAGAUGUUUUUCAAGCAUGCAUGAUCAAAGUUGGUUGUGCCAUAGGAGAUUGAGACAUGCUAACAUAGACCUCAUUUCCCAACUCAACAAAGAUGAACUUGUUAGAGGCCUUCCCAAAAUAAUUUUUUAAAAAGAUAAAGUUUGUGAAGCUUGUCAAGUGGGAAAGUAAAUCAAAAACUCUUUUAAAAACAAAAACUUCAUUUCCACAUCUAGGCCACUUGAGUUGUUGCAUAUGGAUUUAUUUGGUCCCUCUAGGACACCAAGUCUUAGAGGAAAUUCUUAUGCAUAUGCUAUUGUGGACGACUUCUCUAGAUACACAUGAGUCUUGUUUUUUAGUCAAAAGAAUAAAGUUUUUUAUGAGUUUUCAAAGUUUUGCAAUAAGAUUCAAAAUGAAAAAGGUUUUUCAAUUACUUAUAUAAGAAGUGAUCAUGGGAGAGAAUUCGAAAAUAUUGAUUUUGAAGAGUAUUGCAAUGAGCAUGGAAUUGACCACAAUUUUUUGGCUCUUAGAACUCCUCAACAAAAUGGGGUAGUUGAAAGGAAAAAUAGAACUCUUCAAAAAAUGACAAGAACCAUACUAAAUGAAAACAACUUACCAAAAUAUUUUUAGGCCAAAACGGUUAACACUUCUUGUUAUGUUUUAAAUAGAGUAUUAUUGAGGCUCAUACUUAAGAAAACUCCCUAUGAGCUUUGGAAAAACAAAAAACCCAACAUUAGUUAUUCCAAAGUCUUUGGAUGCAAUAUUUUAUAAUAAACACCAAAGACAAUCUUGGAAAAUUUGAUGCAAAAUUGGAUGUUGGAAUUUUCCUUGGUUACUCAACUUCAAGUAAAGCUUUUCGAGUUUUAACAAAAGAACCAUGGUUGUAGAGGAGUCCAUCCAUGUUAUUUUUUAUGAAUCUCCAAGAAAGAGAGAGGAUUGAUGAUGAUUUAGGUUUGAAGACCUCUAUAGGAAGAUUGCAAAUCGAAGAUAGAAGACAACAAGAAGAAAAUGGAGAGAAUCCAAAGAAAGAAGGAUCACCAUUGGCACUACCCCCUCAUCAACAAGCGCAAGGUGAAUCAAGUCAAGAGCUUCCUAAAGAAUGGAAGUUUGUCAUCAAUCACCCACAAGAUCAAAUUAUAGGCAAUCCAUCUAGUGGGGUAAGAACUAGAUCCUCUCUUAGAAAUAUUUGCAAUAAUCUAGCUUUUAUCUCUCAAAUUGAGCCUAAAAAUAUAAAUGAUGUUUUAGAUGAUGAAAAUUGGAUAAUUGCAAUGCAAGAAGAGUUAAAUCCAUUUGAAAGAAGUGGAGUAUGGGAAUUAGUACCAAGACCUUCAAAUCAAAGUGUUAUUGGAACUAGAUGGAUCUUUAGAAAUAAAAUGGAUGAAAAUAGCAUAAUUGUUAGAAAUAAAGCAAGAUUGGUAGCCCAAGGUUUUAAUCAAGAAGAAAUGAUAGAUUAUGAAGAAACCUUUGCCCCCGUAGCUAGGUUGGAAGCCAUUAGGAUGCUACUUGCCUUUGCAUGUUUUAAAGACUUUGUUUUAUAUCAAAUGGAUGUGAAAAGUGCUUUUUUAAAUGGUUUUAUAAAUGAAGAAGUAUAUGUUGAACAACCACCCGGUUUUCAAAGUUUCAACUUUCCUAACCAUGUUUUUAAACUUAAAAAGACACUUUAUGGUUUGAAACAAGCACCUAGAUCAUGGUAUGAAAAAUUGAGUAAAUUUCUUUUGAAAAAAAUGUUUUAAAAUGGGAAAAAUUGACACAACUCUUUUUAUAAAAACCAAAGAAAAUGAUAUGCUCUUAGUUCAAAUAUAUAUUGAUGAUAUCAUUUUUGGUGCUACUAAUGUCUCUCUUUAUGAAGAAUUUUCUAAGUGCAUGCAUAGUGAGUUUGAAAUGAGCAUGAUAGGAGAACUCAACUUCUUCCUUGGACUUCAAAUCAAGCAACUAAAGGAAUGAACCUUCAUCAAUCAAGCAAAGUAUAUAAGAGAUCUUCUCAAAAGGUUCAACAUGGAAGAAGCCAAAACAAUGAAGACUCUAAUGAGCUCAUCCAUUAAGCUUGAUAAGGAUGAGAAAGGUAAAUCCAUUGACUCUAUUAUGUAUAGAGGCAUGAUAGGUUCUUUGCUCUAUUUGACCACUAGUAGACCUUACAUUAUGUAUAGUGUGUGUUUGUGUACUAGAUUUCAAUCUUGUCUUAAAAAAUCUCACUUAAGUGUCGUGAAAAGAAUCCUCAAAUAUUUGAAAGGGACAAUGGACAUAGGCUUAUGGUAUCCUAAGAGUGAUAACUUUGAAUUAAUUGGUUUUUUGGAUGCUGAUUUUGUCAGUUGUAGGGUUGAAAAAUAAAACACUAGUGGCACUUUUCAUUUCUUAAGACACUUACUUGUCUCAUGGCAUAAUAAGAAGCAAAAUUUGGUAGCUUUGUCAACAGCAGAAGCUAAAUACAUAGCAACUGGUUUAUGUUGUGCACAAAUCCUUUGGAUGAAAUAAACACUUAGUGAUUUUGAUUUAUCUUUUGAGCAUAUUCCUAUUAAAUGUGAUAAUAGUAGUGCCAUAAGUAUAUCAAAAAAUCUCGUGCAACACUCUAGGACUAAGCAUAUAGAGAUUAGACAUAAUUUUCUUAGAUAUCAUACACAAAAGGAUGAUAUAACACUUGAAUUUGUAAGCAUAAAAGACCAACUUGCCGAUAUCUUUACAAAACCUCUAAGAACAUUUUGUUGAUAUUAGAGGACAAUUAGGAGUGAUUUCUUUAUGAUCUAAUGUGAUGAAUUCUUGAUGAAUAUACUUUUUGAUUGCAUGAAUUUCAUGUCAUAUAUGCAUCAUAUAGAAAUAUACUUAGAUAAUGGUCAAAUUUCGACCAAAAAUCAAAAUUCCCAUGGCAUUAGGCAUAAAAAUUUUGGAAUUUCAACUGAAAAUGGUAGGAGGAGGAUCACAAAAUGAGAAAGUAUGCAAAAAUUGAAAAAUCAAAACGUUGACCAAGCGGUCAAUCGGACUAGACCGAUCGACUAGUUUGUCGAGAUUUAGGAUUUUUAAGAGACUCCAACGCUUCAAUUUUUGCACCGUUCUCCUCUAUUUCUUCACGGUUUCUCUGAUUUUGUCUUUUAGAGACUAAUUUGAGUGCGUUUUGGAUCAAUUGAAGCAUUUUGGAUUGGAUUUUAGGAAGAUUGAAAGUUAAGGUUUCGGAUUUGGGUCGCCUUCUCUUCCUCUCGCGUGUCACAAUCAGCUUUAGCAUUGUUCUCUUUCCAUUUUCACACACCUAGGGUUUCAGUUGUGAGCAUCUCUCUCUCUUUACCAACCACUACUCCCUUGCUUCUUCCAUAUGGCUCCUAGGCGAGAGUCCGCUACUUCUAGGGCACAAGGCAAGCACCCAACUGAGUCGUCUCAGUCAAAGGCACGUCGAAAAGUGAGAUUUGACAUUGCCUUGUUCAGUUCCAUGGAGGACUACCAACUAUACAAGCAACACUUUGCUUAGAGACGAGUAGUUCCCAAGAGAAAUAUUAAUUUUCCUCAACUUCAGCAUUUCGAAUUUAAGGGUCUAUUUACUAGGAUGGUUGGUUGUCUAUUGUCACAAUUUCGGAGCCGGUUUUCCUGACCUUAGUGCGAGUUUUUUACUCGAGGGCGACUUAUGGCAUGGGUGGCAUGAUCAUUUCUACUGUUGGAGGAGUUGAGAUCUGUCUGGACCCAGAGAGCAUCUGCCAUAUUUUCGAUAUUGCUCUGGUUGGACUCAAAGUAUACAAGUCCAAAAUGUGGCCCAUUGUGCCAGGAUUUGAGCUUAGAGAGGUCAUUCAGAGGAUUUGUGAACUUCCAGACGCCCAGGAGAUGGGCAAACCAUUGCCACACAGUUUGACGGUCAUCAACAGGGUGCUACACCAUAUAUUGUGCUCUAUCUUUCUACCACGAAGUGGACAUUGAGAUGAGGUCUCUUAUUAUGAGGCAUUCCUUAUUGACUCCAUUCUAACGGAGAGACGAAUUCAUCUACUAUGUCAUCAUUCACUAAGCCUCCUCACAGUGACAUACCACCUCAUCAGGCACCUCUUGCUCCUGACCAUGCUCCAUUGAUGGAUUUAUUUACUCAUAUUAGCUCUCUAGGCACUCGCAUGAAGGAGUUUGUUGUAGUUAGUGAUACAUGGUUCUACUCCAUAGAGGAUCGCAUGGAUCAGUAUCAGACUGGCUUCACGUCACAGUUUGAGUAUCUCCAAUAGAGGAUUGAGCAUAUUGAGGAUCACUUGAGCAUGAGAAGAUGAUGGCUUUUCUAUGCUCUGUGUUUCCACCUCCACCUCGUCAACCUUGAUUUCUUAGAGACCCAUUGUUUUCAUUUUGUAAUGUUGCCAAAAGGGGGAGAUAUUUAGGAUCUAGGACUCUAUAGGAGACUUACAUGCAUAUCAUUUUCAUAUCAUUGUUUGGAUCGUACAUAUUGGAUAGUGAUACUUUUUACUUAUAUAUGAUAUGCCUAUAUGUUUCAUGUCUUACAUUGUUUCUUAUUGCAAAUUAUCUCUAACAUGUCUUGAUUAUCUUUUUUUUAACUUCAUAAAUUUUGAUUGUUAACCCAUGAUUGGUUUGAGGGGAAGAUUCUUCUUCUCCUAGAUAACCAAGGUUUGUCAUCAUAAAAAAAUUGGAGAUUGUUAGCCCAAGGGUUCUCCUAAUCAUGUUUUGAUGAUAACAAACCAUGCUUAAGUUACUAAUUGGUUUGAAUUAUAAAGAAUUUCAAGUGUUAAUUUGAAAAUUCAUCAAAGAACCUAAUGGAUGCAAGAUCAAGAUUUUUGGAAGACCUUUAAUCAUAAGAAACAUAUGUAAGAUGAAUGCAUGGGUGCACUUAAGAUUUGCAUAUCAUUUCAUGCAUAUUUGGAAAACACGGUUUAUGCUUUAAAGUUACAUUUCCAUCAAAAUUUGAGAUCCAUCAAAUGAACCUUAGGAAAAAUGUUUUAAAAUUGGCAUAUAAUUUUACCUAAAGACCUUGCCUAAGUGUUAGAAGCAAAAGGACAAAAAAAAUAUAGGUUUUCUGGUCAAAAAUGGUGAACCAGUCAAGGCAUUGUCUAAAUCAGCUCAAUCGGCCAAGGUACCGGUCGAUCGGUUUCCCUUUCCCUGUCGAGAUCUAGUCAAGAGGUACAAAAAUCACAAUCUCUGUCUCUUUCUCUCUUUGUCUAUCUUCCAGUAGUCUUUCCUUCCCGGUCGAGGGAUUUGCCUUCCCGAUUGAGGUCCGAUUGAGAGUAAUAGUCACUUGCCAAAUAUUAAAUGCUCCAACAGUUAGUGAACUGGUCGACCCCCACCUUGCCCAGUUGAGGUUACUUUUUGGUUUUCUUGGCUCCCGAUGUUAGAAACCUAUAAAUAGAGAGUUCCACUUCAUUUAUGAGCAAGAGAACACUUGCAUUUAUUUGUUUACCUACUUGUUCUUGCCUUAAAAGCUCUCAUUUCUUUUCUUGGUGCAUUAAAUCUCCAUUUUGAUAUCCUUUAGUGCACCUUUGUGAUUCAUCUUAGCCUUGAGUUGUAUUUGAGCCCUUUUUUUAGCUAGGUUGAGAGUUUCAUACUUGUUAAUUGAGUGUUAAAGCCUUCAAGUGAGUUGAAACUUGUAGAGAUUAUGUGAGAGUCGAUUGGAGCCGAAAUCCAAGUGUAAAGGUGAUUAGAAGCUUGGUUGAAGCUUCAAGUUAGUGGAAUCCUCACUCAAUUAGGAGCUUGAGGAGAGUGGACGUAGCCAAGGAAGUGUCGAACCACUAUAAAAUUUGAGUUUGAUUUCUCUAACAUUGUCUCUUUAUAUUUGUUUAUCUUGUGCUUAAAUUUAUUGUGUUUAAAAAGAAUUUUUAAAUACCCAAUUCACCCCCCUCUUGGGUGUUUUUCUCUUUUAAAAUUAGCCUUUAUUUUCUCACAAACUAUUGUAGUAUAGUGGUUUUUAGGUGUCAUCCAUUAGGAUGAAUUGUUCUCGGUAAUUAAGGCGUGAAUGAGAGGAGAAUUAAUGAUUGUGAUUAAGUAAAAUUGAUUUGAAAAUUCAUGGUGAAAAAUCAAUUUAACAAUGGUUUCUAAUUGAGAAAAACAAUGAAAUGUGAAAUAAAAUAAAAUUAAUAGGAAAUGAAAUUCUCGAAGUUAGAAUUUUCUAAAAAACAAAUUCCAUGGUGAAUGGAUGUUGAGAUCUAAUUUUCAUCAAGUUAGAUUGAAAACCGAAAUUUUCAUAUAAACUGAUUUUUUAUUUAGUUUUAGGUCUAGAUUUAAUUUCCCUUAAAAUUAGGUUAUUUAAUCCAAGAAAUCAAUUCAAAUCAUAUAUUCAAUUCAUCUUAAAUUAUCUUCCAAUUAUUCACACAAUGCAACUAUUCAAUCUCAUCAAAUCUAGCUUUUAAGAAUUUAAUGAAUCUACCUAGUUUGCAUUGUAAUAGUCAUCCAUGACAAUUUGAAGAGAAAAAUAAUUCAAUUAAUCAAUCACUUGGAUCAAAUUACCUUUGCAAUUAAAGUUCAUUUCUCUAAUUCACCACAGAUUUUGUCUCUAGAUCCUCCUUUCUCAAAGAAAAAUGAGAUUUAGCCACACAUGAUUGGAGAUUUGGUCUCAUAAGGCAUGUUUAGCUAGUGAUAAAAUGAGAGAAAAUAAAGAAAAAUAGAGAAUUCGAUUAAGAAAGAAAAUCUAAAAAAUUCUACAAUUAGAAAUGUCCAAAAAGCUUUUUCAUGAGAAAAUCAAGUUUCUAUUUAUAGGCCAAGGUCAAGUGGACACUUGACAUCAUCUAAGAGGUCUUCCGGAAGCUUCUUCAUCAAGAAAUCUGGAGUUUAAUAAUAAAAUGGUCAUUUCACAAGAGCUCAAACAAUUUCGCAUGAUUAUGUGAAAUAAAAAAUGCAACAACAGCAAUUUACAUCUUCUUGGAGCAUUUCGCAUGACUGUGUGAAAUUUUCACAUGAUCAUGUGGAAUCGACUUGACAACUCUCAUUUAGCCUACAACAUAAUUCCACCUUUUGGUCCAUUUUUCAUAGUCAUGCGAAAUGGAAAUAUUUGAUUUUUAAGUUUUCUUUUGUCAUUUCUUUCAUUUCCUUCUCUUGAUUCCACUUCAACUACCUCCGAAUCCUGGUCCAAACCAAUUGCAUUACUUCUUUCAUUAUGCAUUUGGAUCAUCAUCAACAUUAUUUGUUCUCUUCAAUUUGAUUCAUCUCUUUUGUCACCAAUUUAUCAAAAUCAUACCUUGAAAUGACUCCAAAACUUCAUAAAACUUGUUAGUAACUCUUGCAAGGGCAACAACAUAUUAAUUAAGUGUUUUAGGCAUAGUUACUACUCAAAAGAUGCGAAACUCAUGAUAAUUAUUAUAUAAAAUAUGCUCUUUUUGAGUAGUAAUCAACUUUCUUGCAUAAGCAGACCUUUUAGGGUGGAGUACUAAAGACCAAUAUGCUUGUCCUUGUUGUAAUAAAGAAACUUGCUCUUAUUGAUUGCACCAUGGGAGAAAAUUUUGCUACAUGAGUUAUCAUCAAUUUCUUCCCACCAAUCAUAGAUUUAGACGUGACAAGAGGCCUCUUAAUGGCAAGGAGGAACUGACACUCACACUUAUACAAUUAUCGGGCAUUGAUGUGUUGCAACAAUUAGAAUAACUUACACCAAUUAUGUUGGGGAAGUCACAAAAGGCAAACAUGAAAACUAAAAGGAAAAAAGAAAAAUGUUACAUAUCACCACAACUGGAAAGAAAAAAGUAUUUACUUUCAUUUGCCAUAUUGGAAAGCACUUAUUUUACAUCAUAAUAAUUUAGACAUAAUGCAUAUUGAGAAAAAUGUGUGACAAUAUAAUUGAGACAUUGUUCAGUAUUGACGAAGAAACAAGGACAACCUAAAUAGUCAUCUCGAUUUACAAGCUCUAACUAUUAGAAAUGAGAUUCACCCAAUAGAAAGCAGGACCAAAUUUAUUUUGCUUGCAACAUGCUACUCACUCACCCCAAAUGAGAUUAAGGAAUUUUGCAAGUUUUUGAAAUCAAUAAAGGUCCCCAAUGGCUAUUCUUUCAAUAUCUCUCGUUAUGUGCAACUCAAUGAAAGGAAGAUAUAUGAGCUCAAAUUGUAUGAUUGUCAUGUCCUAAUGCAACAACUUCUCUCACUUGUAGUUCGUGGAGUUCUACAUAAGAAUGUUUGUGGAGUUAUCAUAGAAUUGCGUAAUUUUUUCAAGCAAUUGUGCUCAAAGGUGUUAGAAACAAAUCACUUACACCAACUUGAGAACAAUAUUAUUGUCAUACUAUGUAAAAUGGAGCAAAUAUUUCUUCCAUCAUUCUUUGAUAUUAUGGUGCAUUUACUUGUGCAUCUAGUAAGGCAAAGGUUGCAAGACUUGUGCAAUAUUGUUGGAUGUACCUAAUUGAACGAUAUUGUUAUAAUUUCAUAUGAAUCAUUUAAUUUUAUUUUAUAUUAUGUUCAGUUCAUUAACAUGUACAUUGGUCUACAUAUGGAUGAUGAUAGGUACCUAAGCACUUUAAAGUCAUAUGUGCGUAAUAGAACUUUUCUAGAAGGUUCUAUUGUAGAAAGGUACCUUGCAAAAGAAUGUACAACAUUUUAUUCUAGGUACUUGAAUGAUGUGGAAAUAAAGUAUAAUCACAAUGAUAGAAACUUUGUUGGUUUCAACACUAGAGGAGAUGAAAGGGGUUAUCUUUAAACAUAUUGGACAUGCAUUGGGAAAGCCCAUAUUUCAUUAACUUAGUUCAAAAGAGUGGUCACAAGCACAUUUAUAUGUGUUGACAAAUUGCGAAGAUGUCAUACCAUUCAUUGAGUAAAAAAUUUAUUUGAAUUUUAAUUAAAGCUCUAGUUUAUAUCCUUAAUCAAUGUUUUUUAAAUUCACAAGGAGCACAAGCAAACCAUCAAGGCUAGACCACAUAUACGUGUUUGAGACGUAGAUUUAAUUCAUAACAAGGAAUUUAUCAAGUGGUUUGAAAGACAUGUAAGUAUAUUCCUUAUUAUAAGGGAUUUAUUUCACAUUAUGUUUAUAUUGAAUCCAAACCUAUUAUUGAAUUGUAGGUUGAACAAUUACAUAAUGAAGGUCAUAUAUCUGAACACCUUCUCACAUUAUCAUGUGUUCCAAAUUCAUUAGUUACAUGCUUCAAAUGAUAUAUUGUCAAUGGAUUUAGAUCCCACAUUAAAGAACGUGAUAAAAAAGUUUUUAAAAAAAGACUCAGAAUAAUGGAAUUGUUGUAGUUGCAAAAACGUCAAGCUUUACAAGUGCAUGUGAUAUGAGUCCAAUUAUUAGUGAUGCUCUCUACUAUGGUGUUCUAACUAAAGUUGUUGAGUUACAUUAUCUUGGUGAAAAUAAGGUUGUUUUAUUCGAGUUUGAUUGGUGGGAUGUUACAAAUAUUGGAAAAUUGAUAAAAGAUGAUGAGUACAAUUACACAUUUGUUAACUUUGCAUGAAUUCUAACCACGAACGAACGAUUUGUACUUGCAUCUCCAGCAAAGUAAGUGUUCUAUGUGAAGAAUGCGAAUGAAUCAGAUUGGCAUACUAUCAUGGAGAUGCAACCUCAAGACCUCUAUAAGAUGAACGGGAUAGGAUCCAAUGGUGAUUUUGAACCAUUUCAACAAAGUGAACUACAUGAUCACUAAUAUAUCUCAGAUUUAGUUGAUGAAGAUAUAAUCAAGUGGAACAAAAGUGAUGUUUUAGGACUAAUCAUCCUAAAAAAUAUUGUAGUUUCUUAAAAAAAAAAUGAAAAUGAAGAAGAUAAUUGAACCUUUGUCAUACUUUAAAAAGCAACUAUGCAUUGUUCAUUUUGUAUGUUUUGGUUUUCUUCAUUUAAUUUCCUGAUUUUUGUGAUUCAAUGUCAUAUUAUUGAUCUUGAAAUAUUUUUCUAAUUUUUCAUUCUACGAUGGUUUCAACAAGGAUGACAUCAAGUCAAAAAAGGAAAUGUGGUCCCACACACAAUAUUGCAUUACAGGGAUUAAGGUCAGGGAAGAAGGUAAAAGUUGCAUUUAAUGAGUACAAUCAAUUGGUUAAACAGAAAAAUGGAAAACACUUAUCGAGCUACAUAGGGACACUUGUAUCUAACCAACACAAUGUACCUCUCCAAGCUAGUGAUUGGAAAAAUGUUCCAAAUGAUGCAAAAGAGAAAGUAUGGCCUUUGUUUUGGUAUGUUGUAUUUCUCACUAUAUGAUGUCAUUUCACUGUUAUUCUAUUUUGUGACUAACGUUUGAAUCAUAUGUAAGAAAAAUUUGAAGUAGAUAAAGACUGAAAAGAUUACAUGUUGGGUAUAGCCUCAAAUAAAUAUAGAAGCUAUAAAAAUAUGAUGAAUGCAAAAUACUAUGACCCUUGGCAUAAGGAUGCAUGAGGAGAGGUUAAUACAUAAAUCACCAUUUGUCUCUGAUGUUGAUUGGAAGUGGCUUGUCUCUGAUGCAUAAACCAAAUCCCCCACUGAAUGUUUGAUAUUUGAUAGCAGGAAAAACACACCCGCAGCUAUACACCUCCAUCAUUCAGAUAAUUAUAGUGGGGGAGAUGAUUCAUGGUUGCCCUUAUACCCUUUAUUUGCACCAUCUAUUGAGAUUCUUUAUCAUGGCCAGGUUUUACUGCAGCAAUAAGAUAUGGUGGCAACAAUUUUAUCUAUAGGUGCGGUUCCAGACCGCCUCCAUAGGUGCGGUUCCUGACUGCCUCCAUAGGUGCCUCUUCUUGUAAUGUUUGUUCUGGGAAUUACACUUGAAAGCCUUAUCGUGAUAAGGGAUUACAAACACUAGUUCAGAGGACAGCCAUGUUAAACUUCCACUAUGUUUGUGUCACAUUAUCAGCAGCCUAGUGUUUAUUGGUCAUGCUAUCUGCAACUAAUAUAACCCGGUGAACUUCAAUCUAAAUUCUGAAAGUACUCAUGUGACAGAUGGUGCCUUUCAGCAGAUAUCAUCAAUUUAAAAGUAGUGUGUGUGCCUAUAGGUGGGAAGGCCUUGGCAAAUGUUCAGUAUUCCGGUAAUUCAAGAAGGAUAUAUCUAAAAUAGAUUUUCUUCUUGCCCAUUUCAAUAGUUAAAAUUUGAGAAGAUUGUGUCCACAUCACACAAAUAUUAUUGGUCCUUCUGUUGCAAUUUACCUCUGAACAUGUCUUCCAAUUCCCACGGUCCUGUUACUCCAGGAAAACUAUUUCGGUCAUAUUGAAAAAAAAAAUAUUAAAGAAGGUACACAUGCUUUUAAGUGGACUGGGGCAUUCAUAUCAGGUGGUCUGUAUCCACAUAUGCCACUUCGUGAAAGGUGGAACAGCCUAAUCACUAGGCUAUUUAGUGUGGCCCAGCCACGUUAAUCAAGCACAAGUCUUCAUACUUAAAGUCAAAUGGUGUCUUUAGUCUCAUUACACAUCGCUAUUUGAAGAUUAACUCAUCACUAGUGUAAUGCGAUUAAGACAGUCCUAACUCAAUAUUUGUUCUAGUUUUGGAUGCAAAUGCUUGCUGGUUUCAUCAUUGGAUGGGAUAAAGGUGCAAUCAGGACUAUGAAUACGUGCAGUAAUACUUCAUUCUCUUUUUUCUCAAUGAGACUUCUUGGCACAAUUUUGCUGCUCAGCAACCUACCUUUCCAUGGAAAAUCAGUUGUGACUGAUAGUAAUGGAUAUAUUCUAGAAAGCUAAACAUAGAUAGCAUUCAAUAUUAUCGAUAUAACAUUAACAGCGUAUGUCUCAAUGCUCAUCAGCUACAAGCAAUGGACAAACACUUUGAGUAACUCACAGCAGUCAAAAUUCCUAAACAGGACAGACGUGACAGAUCUAUAUAUAGAACACUGCAUAUGAGUCACAGGAAAAGAUAAUACGGGUACAUAGAAGCUCUUAUUUUACAUAUUACUCAUACUGAUCAAAGUCGCUCAGUUGGGAUGGAUGGGAGAAGGAGGUUUGAGGGGUGGCUUGUGCGGGGAAGUUGGCAGCUUCUUUCCGGGAGCUGGUUGCUUCUUUGCUGGAGUUGAAGGAGGCUUAAUCUUCCGAGGUGGCUUGUAUGAGUCUUCAGCAUUCUCAGCAGGAGGGUGACCAGGGUUGUGACCAUAAUGUGGUGGCUUCUCUCCCUUAGGUGGUUUGCCAACUGGGGUUGGUGGCUUGUUUUCUGGGAGUGGCUUCUCUCCCUUGGGUGGUUUGCCAACUGGGGUUGGUGGCUUGUGUUCUGGGAGUGGCUUCUCCCCCUUGGGAGGUUUUUCGAAUGGGGUGGGUUUGUGUCCUGGUGGUGGCUUCUCUCCCUUGGGAGGUUUACCAAUUGGGGUCGGUGGCUUGUGUUCUGGGAGGGGCUUCUCUCCCUGGGGAGGUUUAGUGGGUGGCUUGUGUUCUGGAGGUGGCUUCUCCACCGGAGGCUUAUGCUCUGGUGGUGGCUUCUCGAAGGGGGGAUGCUCAGGGUAAUCACCAAGUGAGGGGGUGGUGAGAACCACCAUGCCAAGCAACAACACUAGCAAGUAUGUAGUAGACAUCUUUGGGUUUGGACUCAGACAGUGCAAAACUACGAGAAAUCGCUAGCCCUUUAUAGCGGCUCGGACCUAAUACUGACAUAAUAUAAAAUAAAUAUUAUAUUUUAUCAAGAGAGAACAGAGUGUAAUUUUAUCAUUAAUACCGAUCGAGGCCAAAGAAAGAAGACCCAUAAUCCAUUUCCCACAAGCAUACACAAUGCAGCUGUAAUUUUAUCAUUUACUUUUAUCCCUUGGACCACUGCAUUUUUGUUGAGAGACACAAUAACACAUUUUUAUCUGUCAUUCAACAUUUACAGUAAAGAGAGGGCACAAAACGCAAUUAGAUAAAUUAUGUUUUGCCUGCUAAAAAGAGGCAAAUAACUUUAUUUGCAACAUAAUUAUUUUGGUUUCUAGUGACCCCGGGGCCUUUCGGUUGGUUUGGGAUCGGAAAAUGAACAUCAUAGGGGGGGUUGUGCCCUUAUGGGCAUAUAUAUCUGAUAGCUUCAACUGGCCUUGUUCCUAGAAAGAAAUUGCCAAAGAUAUAAACUUAUUCCAGGCUGAAAGUAGAUGAGAGUCAUAAUGAACAUCAACCUUUGUUCAGUUUGAUUCAAUGCCCCCAUAGUGUUCAUUUCACAGAUCUGAAUGAUUAUAUCCGUUGAAUACAUAAAUUAAUGAAGACAAAUAUGAAACCCAAGAUACAUCUCUGCAUAACAACCCCAACCCUGGUUGCUAUGUUUCCCUUCUUCUAUUCACAUGAGGAUACUGGUUAUAAUUGUCAAACUUGCAACAAGCCCUUUGACACCUAACGUCAAUGGACGAAUUAAAAGUCUCCUUCAAACGUCUAUUUCACAGCAUGAAGCUUAUAAAGGAUGCUGACAACCUUCAGAGUUAGCGACAAAAGAUAAUUAUCAAGGAGAGAUAGUUCCAUGAGAAUUCCAAGGAGUCUGAAUCAAAGACAAAUUGCUCACUCAAGGGUUCUUAUUUUCUUUUAGGUACAAAUCUCUUGAGUGUUGUUAAAGAAACACGUCACUGUCAUUUUGAUUUGCAUUUAACAUUUCACUUUUGUUCUGGAAGGUUUGUUCCGGAAACAUAUCAAAUGAGCAUCAUUUUCUUCUUCGGUGACACAUGGUCGCGAGUACGUGGGUCCAUUUUCAUGCCACUUAGUUGAAAAGUUGGAAAGAAAAAACAUGCCAACAAGAAGAUAGUGAGAGAAGGGGCACUUCAAGCCUUUAACAUGAACAAACAGUAAAUAAAAGAUGUUUCUCCACUCAUAAAAGUGUGUUAGAUAGCAAUAUAACGAAUCACAUCCAAAAUCUUUACUAGGCUCAAACAUAAAGAAGACUCAUUUUUAAGAAAAGAUAAAAAUGGCAUUGUCUGAUAGUAUCCAAUACACGAGAUGGCACUUAAUUUGUACAAGAUCUGUCAAUGCUGACGCACAUUUUCUGAUUAAAAAAAAACUGAUCAGUCAAAAGCAAUGAAGAGAAGUGAUGACAAUGAAUGAUGCUUCCAAUAUUUUCACCCCUUAUAGUGUUCUUCAUGAUUCAGAUAUAUAAUUGGAAAUAGAACAACCCUAUGCCAUACAUUCGUCUAAGUAUGGUGUCUAAUUUUUUGUGUCAGCGGUUGCGAAUGGAGCGUGCAAAAGUCCAAAUUGGCGUCUCUCCAUUUCCACAUAGGAAGGUGACCUUUAUUGACAAAUACCCAAUAUUUGUAGACAUUCCUUAAAUAUCAUAACUUCUUGUUGAUUUGAAAAUCAUUUUUCAACUACCAUGUUUUAAUAAAUAUUUUUUAAAAUGUAUUUUUAUCAAAGUCCACCAUGAUGGAUAAUAUUCACCAUGCAAUAAUUAAUAAAGUACAAACUAAGCGAAAUGAAAAGCAUUUUCUUUGCUUUGAGUUGAUUUUGGUUGCAUUGAGUUGAUUUUGGUUUCAUGGUUUUUUCAACUCUUAUUUUGAUUGGAAGAUGUCAAGAAAAGAAAACAUAAAGAAAAAUUAAAAGGGAAAAAAGAAGAAAAAUAAAAAAAAAUAGAUUUAAAAGUUAAUAAAUUAUUUUUUAUAUUUAUUUUAAUUCAUUUCACUUAUUUUUCUUUUACUAUAUAAAAUUUAAAUAAUUUAAAUUUUAUAAUUAAUUUAAUUACAUUUCAUUUUCUUCUAUAUUUAAAUAUUGGAAAAAUAUUUUACUUAAUAUUUUUUUCUUUAAUUUCUUUGGCAUUUUGGGAACCAAACUUAGCCUUUAAAAUAAAAAACAAAAAAAAAAUGAAAAUAAGGAGGGAAAAGUGAGAAAAGAUAAAAACAAUAUGUAAAGGAUUUGAAAAGUAUUAGUUUGUAAUUACUAUUUGGAUUUCAAUAGUAUUUUAUUUGUCUUUCUAUAUUUCAUGUAAGAGAGAAUUUAAGAUAUUCCCCAAGGCAAAGCAUUAGUUACCUGCAAUCAGUGGUGAUAAGGCUCCAAGCCAAUUUUGGGCCCCAUAUCUUAAGACAGUACAAUUUCCAUUUCAACAUUUCUGAUUUCUCAGAUGUUUCACAUACCACAGAAGAACAUUGUUUGUGAAAAUAUGCAUUUAUGUUGGAUUUUGUAUGCUGUGGGGACUGGGGCAAGGAUCAUAUGGAAGAGUGGUUGACUUUUUCUGUACUUUAACGGUUGAAAUAGGAUAAGCACGGGCAUUUGUGAGGCUUAAUUGAUUUUGAAGCCUGAAAUUGCGUUUCUGUCAUUUUGUCAAAAAAAUGGCAGAUUCCAUACUCAUAUGUUUGGCCUGUGGCCAUGUACAGAUGCCAUUUAGUGACCAGUUUGUAACUGUCAAUCGUUGCGUUUUGACUCUGCCUCAACAACAUCUGCCAUUGACGGGUUUUCAUACUUGCAAAUCAAAUAGUCUUUCGUCCCAUCAGGAAUUUCGGUUUAAAUAUUAUUAAGCAUACGUUUGGCUGACAAUCAUUAUCCAGUUCAUGAUUUGGUUUCUUACCCUUAAUCAAUGGUUUCUAAGUGAAUAUAUGUAGAAGGAAAUCCGAAGUGUAGACAGUAGUAUCGAUAACUCUCAAUAUUCUCUAUAUAAUAGAAUAAACAGCGUCAUAGUGAUCGUCGCCUACAAGCAAGGUACAAAUACCAAAACGAGUGACUCACAUAGACAUCUCCCAACAAGAUGUAGUAGUGACUGACACAUGGACACAAUUAACUCGUAGAAAAGGAUAAGACCAUUGCACAGCAGCUCUUAUUUUACAUACUACUUAUGCUAACCAAAGUCAAUUAGUUGGGAUGGGUGGGAGAUGGAGGUUUGUGCGGUGGCUUGUGGGGCGGAGUUGAUGGCUUCUUUCCAGGAGCUUCUGGCUUUUUCAUCGGAGCUGAAGGAGGCUCAAUCUUAUGAGGCGGCUUGUAUGAGUCUUCUUUACUCUCGACAGGAGGGUGGCCAGGGUUGUGAUCAUAAUGUGGUGGCUUCUCUCCCUUAGGUGGCUUGCCAACUGGGGUUGGUGGCUUGUGUUCAGGAAGUGGUUUCUCUCCCAUGGGAGGUUUAGCAAUUGGGGUUGGUGGCUUGUGUUCUGGGAGUGGCUUCUCUCCCUUGGGAGGUUUAGUAGGUGACUUGUGUUCUGGAGGUGGCUUCUCCACCGGAGGCUUGUGCUCCGGUGGUGGCUUCUUGGUUGGAGGGGGCUUGGGGUAAUCAGCAAGAGAUGGGGUGGUGAGAACCACCAGUCCAAGGAACAACACUAGCAAGUAUGUGGGAGACAUUUUUGAGUUUGGGCUGAUCAGAUGAUGCAAAACUAAAGCAUUACGUGACCUUUUAUAGCAUGUAGCUCCCAAUACCCACUAAGUAUUGUGGGGUCCAUUUGUGCCCUACGGGGUUGAAAACUUAGACAAUUGGGCAAGGACCCACCUGACUAUGGAGGACUAGUGAGGUGUGAUCAUAGCUUUAGGAUUUUUCUUCCUCUGCAGCCGUCGUGCCGUUGGCAUGAUUUUCUUAAUCUUAAAUAAAGGCAUAGUUAUAGAGUUGUUUAAUCUCUAAAUGGGAUUUUAUAUAUAUCUUCAGAUAGCCAUUAAUAUAUUUGAUGAAGAAAGAAAGACAAGUGCAUACAACAUGUAUACGACUAGCUUUCAUGGAGUUCAUUUAUGAUCAGUUUUCCUGUACAUGUAAACCAGGAUCAUAUAUAUGUUUCUGUUCCACAACUAUUUUGGAAUCUUGUUUAUCAGUUUUUAUCAUUAUAAUGUCACAUAGGCUGCCAACUUGGGCGCUAAAAGAACCAGUUGGGCUAGUUCGUUUCAGAAUUUCAAUGUGGAUUCAGGAAUUGUUUUGUAAGAUAUGCGAAAUAGUAGAGGGAUGAAUAGUGUUUCAUUAAUAAAAGUGUCCUGUAAAUUAGAAGGUGUCAUAGAAACUAUAAUCAAUAAAUAACUUUUUUUCCCCACGGGUGGUGUUUCUUGUGGGGAUCAGUGACUGGUUUAGGUUCACCCAAAAUGAGUUCAGACUAAAAUUGGUUUGAGUCAAUGCCGUGUCUCUUUUUUCCAGAAAUCAACUAUUUUAUGCAUUGAAUAAAUCAUACAAAGAAAAUAUGAACGCCCGCAAAACCUAAACCCUGGUUGCUAACUUUCUAUGUUUCAGUUCUAUUCACGCAAGAAUAUUAGUUUAAGUUUGGGAAAAAUGGCAACUUACCUAGUGAUUACUUGGUUUUGGUUUGCGACUAUUUACGCAACCAACCAUGAGUUUGACUUUAACGUCAUGGGUUGAAGCCUCCUACAGGAAGGGAGAAAGCUCCACAGCUAGCUCCAAAAGAGAAUUAUCACAUUGAUAGCUCCAGAGAUUCCCAAGGGGACUGAAUCAAAGACAAGUUCCUCACUUUUUCUUCUUUUGAGGCCAAAUAUGAACCAAGGAUCACACAACCUCAUUCAACUUCAUAAGUUUGAUUUCAUGCAGUUGAACACUGGGUGAAGGCCAUGACAAGAAUUGAUUCAAAAAUUCUAUCACUCUUUUAAGUAAUGGAAGAUUAUUAUCUCUGAUUGGCAUCACAACAGCACAUGCUCCUAGAUCUUUCUAGACACUCCAUGCAAUGAAAGCACAAUGGAUCUUGUAACGAUAGAAACUAAGCCAUGCUACAGUACUAGAUGAUGAGGUAAAACUAGUAGACACGGGUGGCAGCCUAUAUGGGAGGGACACAAGUCUAAUUGAUUUGCAUUUCAGCAUUAUAGAUAGGUAUGUUUUGGAAGAUUUGUUCUGGAAAUACCGCACCAAGUAGGAUUCUUUUUCUCUUUAGUGGGUCCACUUGCAUGCCAAUUAACGAGUUGAAAAGUAUGAGCACCUACCUCGUGCUCGUGGAACCGAAGGUCAGUGAAGUGGGGCUCCUUUUGGCCUCGUGUAAACUUGAUUCAGAAGUGAAGUUAAUAGUCUUCCAUUCAGAUGGAUACAUGGGAAUUUUUCUCUUUUAUUUAUUUAUUUAUUUUUUUUUUGUGUGUGUAUGUCAAAGGAUAAUGAAUGAAGCGCGUUAGCUUGUUUUCUGACUGGAACCGCAGAUGUCCAAAUUGGAGUUCCUUCAUUUCUUACUUAGGAUUGUUACAUGUAUAAACAAGGUAUAAGAAAUAUGCCAACGUGUCUUGAGGAGUUAUUGAUUAGAAAUAACAAGUCACCCGACUGUAGAGUUCCAAGAUUUGAAUCUUCAGACCCUAUAGCAGCCUCUGGGGUACGUGGCAUCCUAUAGCAUAUUAAUGAAGGCUUUUUCGAUUUAGACUUCACAAUACCAAUUAAUAUGUAUGCACAAAAUGGAGAUGACCCCAAAAAAAACAGAAUCGCCAUAGUUUAUGAGGUUAAGGUGAUUCUCCACUUAAUAUCUACAUUAGCUAAUUAUGUAAAUCAAAUGAACUUCUAUUUUUCCUUUUUUUUUUUGGUUUAUGUCAAAUAGUAGCCCAUAAUUAACCCAACCAUUAGCCUGUUUGAAUUGAUUUCACAUGCACAAUGUUGUAGUAGUUCAUAUUUUGAAUUUUAUUUUUACAAAGGUAGUUAAGGAAAAUGAAGUAUAAUAAUUAUAAAAGCAGACUAUAUACACUACAAUAAUUGUUAGAAUGGUAUCUCAAAUUCUAAUUUAAAAUAUUAUUUUUUGUAAAAGAAAUAUUAUAUAGAAUAUUUCCUAAUUUUAUAAAUGAUUAUAAUUAGAUCUUUAUAAAAUAAGGAAAGUUGGUAAGAAUAUCUUUAUAAAUAUUUUAGGUCAUGAGAGAAAGAAAUGGGAUAAAAAUGUGAUGAAGAGGUGAAAUAAGAGAGUUGAUUAGGAUAUAGAUGUGAAGAAGAAAGGGAUUCAAUAUAUAUAUAUCUUUCAAUUACCACAUUAAAACCCUGUGAACCUUUUAUAUGGUUUACUUUAUUUUUAUAUUCCUCCUUUAAUAUAUUUACAUUAAUGCUUCCAUUGGCACAACAAUAACGAAUUACAAAUACAAGCAACAAGUCCCAUGUUUUAUUACCAAAAGCAGGUAAAAUCCACCUAAUAUAUUACAAUAUAUUCAUCCAAUAUUUUAGACCAAUUCUUCACCAUAAAUAUCAUAAUGUGGCUUUUGUUCUUUCUUAAAUUUAAAUUGAAUUGUCUUAUAUCAAUUUGUUUGUGAUUUUUUCAUUAACUUCACUUUCAUUUGGUUAUCUUUGGUUUUUGAAAAGUAUUAAGGAAUUAAUUAACAAAAUAAUGUUAAGAAAAAUAAUUUUCUCUCUUUUGAUUUUGAUUUUGUAGUAGAAAAAUAUAAUUAAAAUUAUUUAAAAAGUAUGUAAUUUUAAAUUAUUUAAUAUUUAGAUAAAAAAAAUAAGUCUAAUGAGUUUAAAAUAACAUAUAAAAAUAAUUUAUUUAUUUUAAAUUUAUUUUUUAUUUUCCAUUAUGUUCUCUUUCUCUUUUACUUUUUCAUAUUUUUUCUUACGAAGAAUCAAACACAACCUCAUAUUAUAUGUCAAGUGUUUGUCUAUAUUUGAGCAAUGUUAGAUACGGCCAUGGAUUCAUCAAACUAAACUGAUUUUAAUAGAUACUUCACAAAUUGAUUUAUACACUAAAUCAUUGGAUAGCAAUGAUGCAUUGGAAUUAAACGUAGGAUGAAGCUCGAAGAACACUGUUUGUGUAACAACAUAUUUAUGAAAUUAUGCAAAGGAUGAGCUUCGGGGUAGUAGUACAAGGUCAUUAAUGGAGAGCCGUGUUAAACCUUGAUUGUGAUUGGAUUCCGUUAUCAGCAACAGCAACCUUGUUUGUAACCUUGAAAGUCAUUCUGUCCACAUCGAAACUCCAAUUUGACGUUUGUAAUUACCAUUCCUGGAGUGUUCCUUGAUUGAAAUUUAAAUAAUAAUUGCGGCCCACAAGGAAUAUUUUCGAUUCUGUGGGAAUUUGACAAGGUUUGUUAGAGAAGACUGGUGACAUGUUGACUUCAAUGGUUCAAAUAGGAGACGUAUGUGGAUUUGGGGGGUUUAAUUGAAACUGAGUCCCUAUGGCUUUUUAAUAUUUGCAUUGAGCAGUCUCCAUGUGACUUCCUAAUUCCCACCAACCCUCCUGUCCAUGCUGUGAAACUAAAUUGUAAUUUAUCAGCCUUUGUCAAUGGUUUCUAAAUUAAAGAUAUAGACCAUGCAUGUACUUUAAUAAAAGCAAAUCUAAAGUGUAGAUAGCAGCAAUGGUGACACCCAAUAUUCUCCAUAAAAUAGAAUUAGAAUAAGCAGUGUUACAUUGUUCAUGAUCACCUACAAGCAUACAAGAACUUCCAUGAAUAACUCAUAGCAAUUGCCAACAGGGCGUCGUAGAGACUCAUACAUAGAACACUAUCCACCCAGAGGAAAGGACAAGACCAGUGCGCUGCAGCUCUUAUUUUUCACAUGUAUACCACCACUCGUAAUAACCAAAUUCACUCAGUUGGGAUAGGUGGGAGAUGGUGGUUUGUGGGGUGGCUUGUGGGGAGGAGUUGGAGGAGGCUUUAUUUUCUGAGGCGGCUUGUAUGAGUGUGCAGGAGGAUGCCCGGGAGUGUGACCAUAAUGUGGUGGCUUCUCUCCCGUAGGUGGUUUGCCAAAUGGGCUUGGUGGCUUCUCUCCCUUAGGAGGUUUACCAAUUGGGGUUGGUGGCUUGUGUUCUGGGAGUGGUUUCUCUCCCUUGGUAGGUUUGCCAAUUGGGGUUGGCGGCUUAUGUUCUGGGAGUGGCUUCUCUCCCUUGGGAGGUUUGCUAAUUGGGGUUGGCGGCUUAUGUUCUGGGGGCGGCUUCUCUCCCUUGGGAGGUUUGCCAAUUGGAGUUGGCGGCUUAUGUUCUGGGAGUGGCUUUUCUCCCUUGGGAGGCUUGCCAAUUGGGGUUGGCGGCUUAUGUUCUGGGGGUGGCUUCUCUCCUUUAGGAGGUUUGCCAAUUGGAGUCGGCGGCUUAUGUUCUGGAAGUGGCUUUUUUCCCUUGGGAGGUUUGCCAAUUGGGGUUGGCGGCUUAUGUUCUGGGGGUGGCUUCUCUCCCUUGGGAGGUUUGCCAAUUGGAGUCGGCGGCUUAUGUUCUGGGAGUGGCUUCUCUCCCUUGGGAGGUUUUGUUGGUGGCUUGUGUUCUGGAGAUGGCUUCUCCCCUGGAGGCUUGUGCUCCGGAGGUGGCUUCUGAAAUGGCGGGGGCUUGGGGUAAUGAGCAAGAGAUGGAGUACUGGUGAGAACCACCAUUCCAAGCAACAAUACUAGCAAGCAUGUGGGAGACAUCUUUGAGUAGUUGUAGCUAAGAUGGCGCAACACUGUAGGCAUUGGGUGGCCUUUUAUAAAGGGCUGGACCCAACAGCCAUAUGACACGUGUCAUGAUGACAAAUGAAGUUGAGGGGAUCCAGAUGGGUCCUACUGAGUCGAAAA
Molecule: long non-coding RNA, 276174 nt
Filed under: Vitis vinifera (wine grape)
Lineage: Eukaryota; Viridiplantae; Streptophyta; Magnoliopsida; Vitales; Vitaceae
Description: long non-coding RNA (VVIN_LNC001392)
Rfam family: tRNA (bases 20616-20687)
Source: RNAcentral